AGCUCUAUAAAUUCGAACUCUCUAUAUAAAACUGAUCAAGUAACUCACUCAAUCAGCUCUCUGAAAGAUAACAAAAUGGGUACUCCUUUUGUAACUGCAAUCUCCUUCCUUGUCCUUACCUUUGCCACAAAACCGCUUGUGGGACUCGCUGAUCCUUUGGUUGAUGUCAAUGGCAACAAGGUCGAAGCAUCCCGAGACUACUAUUUGGUCCCAGCAAUUCGAGGAGCAGGCGGCGGCGGCGGCCUCACCCUCUUCAGGGGCAGAAACGAACUCUGCCCACUUGAUGUUGUCCAACUAAGUUCCGACUCAGAAAGAGGAACCCGUUUAAGAUUCUCAAUGUAUGAUAAAACUAGUAUUAUCAAUGAAGAUGUGGAUCUGAACGUGAGAUUCUCGACAGAGACUCGCUGCAACGAACCAACAGUAUGGAGAGUCGACAGCUAUGAUCCAUCGAGAGGAAAAUGGUUUAUAACAACUGGUGGUGUUGAAGGAAACCCUGGAGCUCAAACUUUGAAAAACUGGUUUAAGUUUGAGAGAAUUGGAAGAGAUCGAGGUGAGAAAUAGGGAUAAAAAUACCUAUAUUUCUUUAUUUAAGUAUCAGUUUAAUUUUUAUAUUUUAAAAAAUACCUCAAAAAUUUAUAAUGUAAUAUGUUACAUUCUUAUUCUAUUUUUUUCUUUUCUUUUAAUGAAAUAAGUUAAUUUGACAUAUUAUAAUUUUUUUUAUUGAUAUCCUAAAAAUAUUGUUGUAAGGAUAUUAUUGUAAAAAGAAAGGAUGGAAUUGUGACCUAUUUAACAAUAAAAGUAUCUUGAGAUUUUUUUUUUUAAAUAUAGAGAUUAAAUGAAUGUUUAACUCAAAAUAGAAGCAGUAAAUAAACAUUUACCCUAAGUAAUAAUGAUAACUGAACACAAAGUUUGAAGAGACAAAUAAUGAGAAAAUACGACAAAUACCAUCUCACUUAUCUUGUAUUGAUUUUUUUUUUUUUAACUGACUUUACAAAAUUGUAUAUUAAUGUAUCAUUGCUCUUUCCAGUUACGUACAAGAUUGUUCACUGUCCUUCCGUUUGCGAAUCCUGUGUAUCUUUAUGCAAUGAUGUUGGGGUUUCUAACGAUCAUGCUCGACGUUUGGCUCUCACUAAUGGGCGCGCGCUUGCUGUUGUUCUAGUCCCUGGUAAUGAGAGAUCAGCCUCAUGUGCGUCUUGAAUGCCCUUGUAUCAUUACUCUAAAUAAUGGAUCGGGCUAGCUCCUUGACGCUUAUAACAUAAACAAAAAUGUCAUUGCUAGCUAGCCUGUGUACCUUUGAACGAAAUAAAAGUGGCGAAUUUUGACUGUUUAAUCUCUUAGAGCUUUGGUUAUGACUGAGGAGUUAUAUCUUGGGGGAAAAAAAGCUACCUUGACAGGGAUAAAAAAAUUUAUUUGAAAAAAAAUGAAAUACUUCAAUCAACCAUGACAAUAUUCAUAGGCAUAUUCAUGUGACUAAGUUGAAAAAUUAAUAUUCUUUCAAGUGAUAGGCUUAAGCAUUACAGUUAAAAAAAAGUUGUGACAAUCAGCUUAUUCAGAUAUCUGUACCUCACAAUCGUGGAUCUUAUCCCAACUAACAUGCUUUAAGACAAUGAACAAAACCGUGUAGUUAAACACAUUUCAAUUGUCUUCAACCAAACCGUGAAACAGAUAUAAAUUGUCUUGAUGCAAAUAAUUAUGAGUAAUAUCUUGCUAAUAUUUUGGACCGCUUGUUAGUGAAUGUAACGUACAGGGUAUCUCCAAUUCUUAACUAGGAUUCAUAGGGCUAAAUAUAUUAGAAUUUAUAGUAUUUAAGUAAGAUCAUUCUUAAAUAUUUUAUUAGAAUUUGCCUUGUUUUUUUGUAUUUGAGUUUUUUUUUCUAGCUAGUAUAGUUUUAUAUAUGUUAGACCAGUAACUUCUUUCUCGCUUAUUUUAUUAGAAUUUUCCUAUGGAUCUACUCAUGCUCAAAAGUUAAGCUUUAGAUUUGAAAGUUACCUCAAGCUUAUAUUAUUAGUCCAGUAAUCGGGAUGGUAAAAAAAAAAAUUCAACUUGACUUUAUCCCUAAUAAACUAGCCUGGACAUAUUUUUCAAACACUCGGCUAAAUACAUGCUCAGGCCUCACCUUAAAAGCUUGAUACCAACCCGAAAGCUAGAAAAUUGUUUUACAAUAGAAAUACAUAUUUUUUUAAUUAGAAUACACAUUUUAAUAUUUAUUUACCUCACUAAUAACAUAUAUUUGAAGUUCUAAAUCCUUUAACCGAACUUUUAAAUACUAAUCUAAUAAAAAAAAAUUUAUAAACUACCAAGUUGUUUUACAAAUUAAAUUUUAUUUAUAAAACACCUUUUAAUAUAUUUUAAAGUUUAUAACGUUUUAUUUUUAUCAUAUUAGGCAUUAGAAAGAUUUAAUGUUGUUAUGAAUGGGCUAAAUAGAUACAAAAAUAUAUAUUUUAACUUUUUAUUUUUAAGUAUUUCUCUUGCUUUAAGUUGGGUUUAGGUUUUUUAGGUGAAACCUAAGCCCAACAUAAGUGUGUUGAGAAAACAUGUUCUGGGCGGGUUACCUGCUAUGGUGGACCCGACUUAUUUUGUCAUCCUUAGUAUUGGACUAACAUAAAUAUGAGGCAACUAUUAACUUUUGAGUUAGUUUUUAGGUAUAAAUUGAGCAUAUGGGCUUAUGGGUUCUAUACUAUGACGGAACCCAUAAAUUAAUUGUUGAUUGAAAAUGAUAUUUAACAUCUCAAUGUGGUCCUUUUAAGCUAGAAAAUAGGAGUUGGACCAUUGGCACCCACCCAAUCUCCUCAUGCAACCCCAUUUUUAAUUGCAUUUAUUUUAUUUAUGAAAAUGUCCUUUUUCUUAAUACAUUCUUUUAACUUUUAAUUUAAUUUUUUUAUUGUUAAAACUCAAAGUAGUAUUUUGUCUUUUUUUUUGUGGGGGCAAUCUUGUUGUUUGUCUACACACAAAUUAAAAUUUUUUCUAGGUAAUGAAUUUUUAGAUGUCAAUCAUCGGUUUAAAUUAAACUAUUUUAAAUUAUAACUUGGAAGGAACUUAAACACAAAAAUAUAUAACCAGUAAGAAAUAAGGAAAAAAAAAUAUUUUAAGCCUAUUUUAAUUAGAUAGGAAGUGAUGAUAGAAAAUAAAAAAGAAGGAUUGAUUAUGAAUUCAAGAAUUUGUUAAACAAAAAAUCACUGCGUGUUUGAUUCUUGUUUGUUUUGACUAUAAUUUUAUUUAAAGUGGGGUUUUAUAAGGAUAAUAAAUGGGUGCCAAUAGCUUCAUUUGGAAAAUAGUUUUUAGCCUGAUGAUAUGAGCUUCAAGCAACCUUUAACUCUUGUUCUAACUUUUUAGUAUGAGUUAGGCCCAUAAGAUUCGAUAUGAUCACAUCAUAACCCCCUACAUUAAAAUGAUUUUAAUAUGUUUCGAUUUUUUUGCUUUUACUAAUUGUUGAAAACAAAGAGUAGUAUAGAUAAGGAUAACAAUUGAUUUUUGUAAGCAUCAAGGCUUAACUUAUAACAUGAACGAAAAUAUUAAAACGGAAAUGUUACAAUUACCAGGAAAAGAAAUGUUACAAUUAUAAUGAUUAUGAUUGUUUAACGAGUUAAUCCUUGAUGCUUAAUUUAUUUGAUUGAUUCACAAUAUAUUAUUAAGGAUUAACUGGUUGUCCAGGUGUCCUAUAGAUAGACUGUGUUUUGGCGCUCGCUAGGGGCACCUUGCAUUGAGGUAAAUACGGAUGAUUUGGCUACGGGUAAUCCCAGAAUCUCGGAUUGUGGCUUUUUUCAAGGCUUUAAUGGUGCUUUUACGAAGCCGCCUUACUGUGGCUCUGGGCCUUGUUUUGCUGAUAUAAAUGCCAUUCAAGCUGUUAAUACUGCUCUUUCCAUGGGAUGGCAAUUUGUUUGGCCGAAGAGGGAUUCAAAUCUGCUAACUCUUGCUUAUUUGCAGAACUCUCUUUUUCAUCUGCCGGGGCAACUCGUAUUUAGUGGUUGAACUGUCUAUAACAGAUCAGUCAUAUGUAGUUUCGUAGUCAUAUUAAUUUUGAAGGGUAAUUCGGUUGCUGAUUGCUUAGGAAAGGCCGGGUCUAACUGAUUCGAGGCCCUUGGUGAACUUUUUUUUUUUUUUUUUUCUUUUAAAGACAUUCUUACGCUAAACAACAUUAAUUCCGAAAGAAAUAUUAAAUAGCUUAUAAUUCAACUAUCUUUAAUAAUAUAUUGAAUUUCAACAAUUAUCAACAUGAUCCUGACAAAUAAUAAAAAAAGAUAUAUAUUUUUAGGGCCGAAACUACGUUGCCACAUGGGUUUCGUACCCCCUUUUUUUGUCUUUUUCAAGGUUAAUUGUAAUGGAGUCCAUUUAUUUGUUUAAAGAACAAAAAAGCUAAAGACUUUUAUAUUUUCACACAUUAGUCCUGCAUCUAAAAAUUUUCAAUUACAAUGAUGUUUUUGGAAGCCACAAUCUAUUUUAGAAGCACUUUUCAAAGAUGCCGACAUGAAUACAAUACUCCGACAUCAUAGACUUGUCAAUUGGGAGAAUAUAAGUUUUUUUCUUUUUUUUAUUGCAAUAUAUGUAGAGAAGAGAAUGCGUAAAUUGUUAGAGUUGAAGGAAAAAAAAUCCAUUUCACUACCAAACUAAAAAAUAAAAAAAUAAAAAAUUGGUCAUGGCCAUGGUUAUGUUUUCCAGCACUUAGCCAUUAAUCCAACAAAAAUGUAACACAAUCAAUAUAUAUAUAUAUAUAUAUUGUAAGGGCUAAACAUGCGUAUUUAAUUUGUAUUAUAAAUCACUAUGCAUUUUAUAAUAUGAAAAGCUAAUUAAUGUGUUUUACAUAAAAAAAAAAUCUUAUUUUUUAUUUACUUUUCCUAAAAUGAUUAAUAUUAAAAGAUAAUUAAAAUUAUUUACAAUAUAGAAACAAACUAAUAAAAUAAAAUUAUUUCUCUUCUCUUUAAUUACAAAAAAUAAUAAAGAAAUGUUUAAAUUAUUUCCAAAUAGAGUAAUUGUUUAGAUUUAUUUUUUUUACCCUUCUUUAAUUAAGUUAAUGAAAUAUUUUAAAUGAGUGUGCAAUUAAAUUUACCCUUUUUAUUUAAGGACAAAAAUUCAACCAAAAAUACAAAAUCCUUGUUCAAAUGAACAAAAAUGAUUUUAUGAAUUGAUAAACUCAUGAUUUUACGAAUUGAUAAACUAACACUUUAUUAUUAUUAUUAUUAUUAUUAUUAUUAUUAUUAUUAUUAUUAUUAGUAAAUUAAUAUAUUUUUGUACAUAAUCAAAUAAUUGAUAGUAUGUUAAAUAAAUAUUAUGUUACAAGAAAAUAAUAAAAUAAUAAUUAUAUAUUAUAUGAAAUUAAAUUCAUUUUCAUAUUUUGUGCAUUUCAUCCAUUUGAGAUAGUAAAAUCUCUUGCGUUAUAAAAAAAAAGGGUAUAAUAUCUCUCACAUGGAAGGAAAUUGGCUGCCAUUUUGUUAAAUAAAAAAAAAUCAUAUAUAUAUAUUUAUUGUCAAUUAUGGUUAGUAAAAAAAAUACAAUGUUUAGCUAUAUAUUAAAUUAAUUAGUUUAUUAAUUAAUAAGGGAAUUAUUAAUUUAAAUAAAUAUUAACAAAUGUAAGAAUAAGUCAUUUAAUUGAAAACCUAGUUCAAUAAUCUAAAAAGAAUUUAAAAUAUUAUGGACUUACAUGUUAAAAUUUAGCAACUUUUAAUUUUUCUUAUUUUGUAUAAACAAUAGGGGCAUUUAAUGUUAAUAACCUAACAAAUGCAUCUAAGCCGUUAUAUAGGUUGAAUCUAAAGGUGGAUUUGAAAAAGACAAAAAAAUGGGGUACCAAACACCAUGGGUAAUAUAGCUGGACCCUAUUUUUAGUGAUCAUCUUCAAAGUUGAUAAUUUCAUUCACUAUUUCAUUAUUGUUUAAUUCAUUUGAAGUUAAUUGUUCAAUAACUAAUUCUUCACUUAAAUACAUAUCUUUUUUUACUAGCUGUGAAAAAUUUAUCAAGAGCUCGUUUUUGAGAUCUGACUAAUUUUUCUGCUCUGCUUUUUUUUAAAAUUUUUUUUUGUAGCUUUUCAUAUUCUAAUGCUUAUUUUCUAGUUGACAUGCUUUUCAAAUCUAAAUAACAAACAAAUAAACAAACACGAUUUUUCUUUUCUAGAUUAUUCGAGCCAUAUAUCAGUACAAAAAAUAAAAAUAAAUUAAAUUUUAAAAAAGAUAAGAAUAGUAACAAUUAAAAAUAGAAUUAUUGAUACCACUUGGCAAGUUGACUAGUUGAGAUGAAUAUAAUGAUUAGAUGAUGACAAUAAAUUUCGUACAAAAGAAUUUUCUUUAUAGAGAGGAGAGUAACAAAUUGUUUAAUUGAGAAUAUCAUUGAUUCACUAUCUAUUUGUUUUGGGUUUUUAAAUAGAUUUUUAUAGAAUACUAAGAGUUCUAAAAUAUAAGGUUAAUAAUUUUAAUAGAGUAAUUUUUGAAAAAGAGAAGGCAUUGAAUUUUUUUUUAAAUAAAGAAGUAACAUUUAAAGUCAUUAUUCAACUGGAAAAAUAUAUUUAUUUUUAAUAAUAAGGAGAUGUCUAGAAAUUAUGCUUUCCUACAAUAUAUACUUAGCUUAAAAUGAUUUUGAAUAACAAAAAAAAAAUUUAAUUAUACUAACUAAUAAAUAGAUAAACAAAAGUUGCGGCAUCCAUAAAUAUUGGGUUCGCCUAGUGGUAAAGUGUUACAUCCUUAAAACUCAAGGCACGCCAAUGUUUAGCUUGCGGCCUUGUGCCAAGCAUGGCUACGCAGCGGAUGUGCAAGGGAAGGCACGAAAGCAAGUCAAGUUUGCGCGCAAGCUGGGGCGCAACAACAACUAAGCAGGCUGAUGGACAACACACAAGAUAUGUGUGAGGCAGCGCACAAGUGCUCUGAGGGAUAGUGCACACACAAAGGUGCGCAAGGCAUGCGCACGCUAACAGACAGCGGGCAGGCACGUGAGGGAGCGCACGCACACACGCACACUGGCAAGAGCCACACACAAGCAACAGGCCAGGGGGUUGUUGGAGCAAUCCUUAGUGGAUCAAUUUUAUUUUUAUUUUUAUAAUAAUGAUUUUGAUGAUAACAAACAUGUUUUCAAUUGAUAAGUUUAAAAUUUAUUGUUAAUUGGAUUAAUUUUUUAAGCCAUAUAAUAUUCAAAGCAAAGAAAAACCUUAUGGAAAUAAACGGCAAAACGUUUACAGAAAAUGGAAAACCGAUUACAUUCCAGAGAAUGAAUUUUCAGAAAACGGUAAACCGUUUAUAGAAAAUGGCAAACUGAUUGCAUUAACCGUUUAUGGUUAACGGUACACCCAAUGCAUUCCAGAGAGCAAAUUUCAGAUAUCGGCAAAUCGUUAACGGAUAACGGUAAACCGAUUUCAUUCCAGAGAGGAAAUCAUAUAUAACGGUCAAUGGAUAACGGUAAACCAAAUGCAUUCCAGAGAGCAAAUCUCAGAUAACAGUAAACCGUUUAUGGAUAACGGUAAUCCGACUGCAUUCCAGAGAGUGAAUCUUAGAUGACGGCAUACUGUUUAUUAAUAAUGGUAAACCGAUAACAUUUCAGAGAACAAUCAUCUUGCAAACGGUCAACCGUUUAUGUCAAACGGAUAACCGACAUCUUGAACAAGUUUAUAGAAUGAUAACAGUAAUCCGACUUCCUGCUAACGGUGAUCUGGCAAUUUGACUUUCGGCGCAACGGUAACUUGCUUAAGUCAAAACGACAAUCUGACAAUGUGCAGAAAGUCAAUAACAGCUAAUUUUCAGCUCCAUCUAUAAAUUAUCUCAAUCAAAUUCAAACAAGAGGUGAUUCAACUAUUGUGAUUGAGCAAACCAUUGAGCAUACAACUUUCCUUGAGCUUUAAAAUUCUUGUGUUCAUCACAUUUACUCACACUUUUAGAAUUUCAUUUGUAAUCAAUACAUUGUGUGAGAGAUAUUUAUUUUGUAAUGCUUUUUGAAAAAUCGAAUUGAGAGGUUGUAAGUAUUGGGAUACACUUGUGUUAAGAAAUUGAGGAUAAUCUCUUGUUGUAAAGGUUCAUUGACACAUUUGAAGUCAAUUGUAAGAGUGAUUAAAGCCUUGGAGGCUUGCUUAGUGGAAUCUUCAAGCCCGUGAGCUUGGAGGCAUAAAUGUAAGCAUGGUUGGCCGAACCACAUAAAAUUGUGUCUUUGCUCUCUCUUUUCCCUUACUCUUUUAUUUUUUAGUAUUGUUAAAUUUAUUGCUUUUGUUUUCAUUAAGACAUUAGAUUAAAAUUGUUGUGUGGUUUGAUUAGCUUAAAUUUUAGAAUAUUAAUUCACCCCCUCUUGGGUUGCCUAGUUAGUAUUUCAUUUGGUAUCAGACUGAGGUUCUCUUAUUAGGACUUAACCGUCUAGAGUAAAAGAUCCAUGACAACUCAAAAUGAUUCAACUUUUAGGGAAGGACAGUGCAUAACUAGACCACCAUUCUUUGACGGUAAUGACUACCUAUAUUGAAAAACUAGAAUGAAAAUUUAUUUGCAAGCUUUAGAUUAUGAAAUUUAGGAAGUUGUUUGUAAUGGUCUAUUCAUGUCUAUGACUAAAAAUGAAGUAGAAGAUGAUAUUUCAAAACCUUCAAGUCAAUGGAGUGAGUUAGAAAAGAAAAAUAUAUCUUUAAAGAGUCUAAGAUUAGUAGAUACACUAGACAAUAUGAAUUAUUCCAAAUGGAACAAAAUGAAAGUGUUUAUUCCAUGUAUACUAGAUUUAUGGAUAUUGUAAACACAUUAGGAGCCCUAGGAAAAACCUUUUCAAACAGCGAAAAGGUUAAGACGAUCAUUAGAUUUUUGCCAAUGGAAUGGAGACCUAAAAGAACCGCCAUAGAGGAAGCUAAAGAUUUAAACACUUUGCCUAUUGAUGAUUGAAUUGGUUCUCUUAUUUCAUAUGAAGAAGAUUUGGCAGCGAAAAAAGGUAAUAAGGAAAAGAAGAAGAAGAACAUUGCACUCAAGGCAUCAAAGCAUGAGAGUGAUGAGGAAAGUGAGCUUGAUAAUGAAAACAUGACUAUGAUGGUUAAGAGGUUCAGAAAAAUUUUCAAGAAAACCACUAAGCGGAAAAGAUUCUAAAACUAUAAGAAUUAAAAGGAGAAGAAUGAGCCAAUCACCUGCUAUGAAUGUAAGAAGCCUGGACACAUACGAUCGGACUGUCCUUUUCUCAACAAGCUCAAGAAGACGACAAUGGUAGCCACAUGGGAUGACAACAAUGAGGAAGCAAGUGAUAAUAAAGAGUCACAAGAAAUGUGAAAUCUCGUUCUCAUGGCAAUUAGGGAAGAAUCGUUUAACGAACUCGAUGAGGUAUGUGAUCCUACCUAUGAUGAAUUAUAUGAUACUUUUUUAAGGAAUUGCACAAUGAUUGGAUGAAAAUUGGUAAAAAGAAUGCAUUUCUUAAAAAGAAAGUUGUAGAGCUCACAAAUGAAAAUGAAUAUCUAAGUACAAAGAUUGCAUGCUUAGAACUAGAGAAUAAAACUUUGCAUAAUAAAGUUGCAUUAACAAAUGAGAAACCAAGCAUUUCACAUUAGCACUUAGAAUCACAUGUAGAUGAUUUGAAAAAAGAAAAUGAAAUGCUCAAGAAAAAUAACAUUAAACUUAAUGAUUUUGUCGUAAAAUUUACAAAUGGGUAAAAGAUAUUGGAUAACUUGCUUAAUUGAAAAAAAUGUGUGUUUGACAAAGGAGCAUUGACUAUAAGCCAAAUUUGAAAUAAAAAUAUUAUAAGAAUUAUUUUGUUAAAGCUAUCACCACAAGUGAUAAUAAGAGUGUUUGUCAUUAUUGCAAUCAAAAUGGUCAUAUGAAAUAUACAUGUCUAGUGAAAAGAAAUGUAUGCUUUGGAUUAAAAUGUAUUUGGGUUCCAAAAGGAACCAUUACUAACACUCAAGGACCCAAAAAGGUUUGGGUACCUAAGACUUAAGAUUUUCUUUGUAGGGCCUGAAGAAGAAGAAAAAUAAAUGGUACUCGGAUAGCGGAUGUUCAAGGCAUAUGACCGGAAACUGUGCAUGGUUCUUAAGUUUCACUAAAUCGAAAAUGAUGGAGAUGUAUCCUUUAGAGACAACUCAAAAGGAAAAAUUCUCGGAAUUGGUGAUGUUGGUAAAGUUUCCUCAACUCUAAUUGAAAAUGUAUGUUUAGUUGAAAAUUUGAAAUACAAUUUGAUUAGCAUUAGUCAAUUGUGUGACAAGGGUUAUAAAGUAUUAUGCAUUUGUAAUUGUUGAUGAUUUUUUAGAUACACAUAGGUAUUAUUCUUAACUAAUAAGGAUGAUGCUCUUGAUACUUUUAAAGUAUUUUGUAAGAAAAUUCAAAAUAAAAAGGGGUAUGGUAUUGCAUGCAUUAGGAGUGAUCAUGGAGGAGAGUUUGAAAAUUAUGCAUUUGAAACAUUUUGCAACAAUUUUGGCACUGUGCAUCAAUUUUUAUCACCUAGGACUCCACAAUAAAAUCGAGUUGUUGAAAGAAAAAAAUACAUCUAUUCAAGAAAUGGCUAGAACCAUGUUGAAUGAAAAUUAUUUGCCUAAGUAUUUUUGGGCCAAAGCCGUCAACACCGCUUGUUAUGUUUUAAUCAUGUGUUGAUUAAACCUCUUCUUAAUAAAACUCUCUAUGAGCUUUGGAAAGAUAGAAAGCCCAACAUUGGUUAUUUCAAAGUUUUCGGUUGCAAAUGUUUUAUUUUGAACACAAAAGAUAAUCUUGGUAAAUUUGAUCCAAAAUCUGAUGUUGGUAUUUUUCUUGGUUACUCAAACACAAGGUGUAACCACUAGAUCAUCAUUUAGAAAUACUUGUGAGCAUGCUACAUUCAUAUCUCAAAUUGAACCAAAAUCCUUUACGGAUGAGAAAAAUGAUGAAUUUUGGAUUAUGGCAAUACAAGAGGAGUUAAAUCAAUUUGAGAGAAAUAAUGUGUGGAAAUUAGUUCCUAAACCGAAACAUCAGUCCAUUAUAAACACUAAAUGGGUAUUUAGAAAUAAAAUGGAUGAAUCCAAUAUGGUUGUAAGAAAUAAAGCUAGAUUAGUGGCUCAAGCUUACAACCAAGAAGAGGAAAUUGAUUUUGAUGAAACAUUUGCACUUGUAGCAAGAUUAGAAUCCAUUAGGAUGUUACUAGCAUUUGUAUGUCAUAAAGAUUUUAUUCUAUAUCAAAUGGAUGUCAAAAGUGUUUUUUUAAAUAGUUAUAUUAUGGAAGAAAUUUUUAUCAAACAACCCCUGAUUUUGAAAAUUAAAAAUUUCCAAAUCAUGUUUAUAAGUUGUCAAAAGUAUUGUAUGAAUUAAAGUAAGCACCUAGAGCAUGGUGUGAUAGGCUUAAGAGUUUCUUAUUAGAUAAUGGUUUUGUUAGCCUAAAUGGCUAUAAAAUGUUGAUUUUGAUGAUAACAAACCACAUGUUUUAGAUAAACAAAAAAUUACAUAUUAUGUUUUUAUAACAAGAAAAUGAUUUUAUAAAAUUGUUUGUUUUCAGGUUUAUGGUUUAAAUUGAAAAGUUUUGAGAACUUUGAAAUCAACAAAUAUUGUUUUAAAAUUCUAAAAAGGGGCCUAUUUGCAAAGUUUUCUAAAUAUUUUGGCCAUAGUAUAAUUUUAUACAGUUUUAGGGUAAAAUUAUAAUUUUUGAAAAAUAGUUGUUUCACUGUAGCAAGCGGCUAGCCGGAUUUAUCAAAGCGGCAAAUCGGUUAUGGGCAGAAGCUCUCUAGAAUAAAAACGGCUAACCAAAAAUGAAAAACGGCAAACCAGAUGAGCAAAAUUUAAAUCUUUGAACAUAACGGUAACAUAAAGUGGCAAGCCGGUUAACACAAAGCGACAAGUCAGAUAUCACCAAAAAGUCAAUACGGCUGGUUUUCUUCUUUAACUAUAAAUUGGCUCAAAUCAAAUUUAAUAAAAGUGAGAUACAACCAUUGUUAUCAUUGAGUCAUCAUCUACAAUCUGAGCAUAAAAUUUGUAUUCAUUUCAUUCAUUCACACACAUUGAGUUUUCAUUUGUAAUUAAACACAUUGUGUGAGAUAAAUUUAUUUGUAAUCAUUUUUGUAAAAUCAAGUUGAGAGGUUGCAAGUGUUGGGAUACACUUGGGUGAAGAGAUUGGAGAUAAUCUCUUGUUAUAGAGAUCAAUUGACACCUUAGAAGUUAAUUGUAAGCGUGGUUGAAGCUUUGGAGGCUUGGAUAAUGAAAUCAUUAAGCUUGGUUUGCUUGGAGGCAUAGGCAUAGGCAGAGAUUGCCGAACCAAGUAAAAAUAUUUGUAUUUGCUCUCUCCUCCCUUACACUUUUUAUUCUCGAGCAUUGUUAAAUUUAUUUAUUUUCAUUUUAUUAAGACAUUAGAUUAAAUUAUUGUGUGGUUUGGUUAGUUUAAGUUUUAAAAACCCAAUUCACCCCCUUCUUGGGUUGCAUAACUAGUAUUUCAGGUUCCUCAAUAGGAAAAGUGAAUACUACUCUCUUUGCUAAGCAUAAGAAUCAAGAUAAACUUGUAGUUCAAAUUUAUGUUGAUGACAUUAUUUUUGGUUCUACUAAAGAAGUAUUGUGUAAAGAAUUUUCAUCUUGUAUGAGUAAAGAUAUUCAAAUGAGCAUGAUGGGAGAGCUAAAAUACUUCCUUGGACUGCAAAUAAAACAAAAUGAGGAAGGAAUUUUCAUAAAUCAAGCCAAAUAUGUGAAAGACUUACUCAAAAGAUUUGGCUAUGAAAAUAGAACAGCAAAAAGCACUCCAAUGAGUACCACCAUCAAGAUAGACAAGGAUGAGAAGGGUAAGGAGGUUGACAUCAAGACGUAUCGAGGUAUGAUCGAAUCCUUACCCUACUUGACUGCUAGUAGGCCUAAUAUUAUGUUUAGUGUAUGCUUAUGUGCUAGAUUUCAAUCUUGCCCUAAAUAGUCACACUUGCAUGCUGUUAAACAAAUUUUUUUAUAUUUGAUCGGCACUAUAGAUCUCAGCCUUUGGUAUCCUAGAGGAAUAUAUAUAGACUUAACUUGCUAUUCGGAUGUUGAUUUUGCUGGCUAUAAGGUUGAUAGGAAAAUCACUAGUGGAACAUGUCACUUUUUAGGUCACUCGUCUCUCUUUAGUCUCUUGGUUUAGCAAGAAACAAAAUUCGGUUGCACUAUUAACUACCAAGGUUGAGUAUAUUGUAGUCGAAAGUUGUUGUGCUCAAGCUUUAUAGAUGAAAAAAAUUCUUAGAGACUAUGGCAUUCACCUUGAUAAAACACUUAUUUUGUGUGAUAAUACUAGUGCUAUAAAUCUUUCAAAGAAUCUUAUCCAACACUUAAGAACCAAGCAUAUAGAGAUUAGACGCCAUUUCUUCAGAGAUCAUGUUCAAAGAGGGGAUAUUUCUUUGAAUUUUGUUUCAACCAAAAAACAACUCGGUGAUAUUUUCACAAAACCCCUCAAUGAAGAACAAUUUACUAAAAUUAUACAUGAGCUUGGAAUAUUGAAUGUUCCACAAUAGCUUGGCUUUAUGUGAUAUUAAUCUAUUUUUAGUAAUGUGAUUGCUUAUUUGUAUCAAUUGUUUAAAUUGUGUGAAUUCAUGAAUUAUGCAUUAAAUUGAUUUUUAAGACAUUUCAGAUCAAUAAAAUGAUCUUAAAAUGGAUUAAUUGCUGACCAAAAACUAAAGUAGAUGUGCGAAAUCAUUAGUUAAAGAAAACGGAAUGUCGUUUAUUCAAUAAACGAUUAACCGUUUUUGGGACAGAAACUAGGGAAAAUAUUCAGGAAGAUAACAGUUCGCCGUUUUGGUAAAACUUUUGGGUUACAUUCUAGAACGAUAUCAGCUCGCUGAUAUCUUAAUAACGGCUCACCGUUAUCGCGCGAUAAGAGCACAGUAAACCGUUUUCUCCAUCUUUUGCCCUUGAACUGUUUAACCUUCAACCGCGGCUGUGACUUCUCUCUCUCAAAUUACUCAUUUUCCUUGCAAUUUCUCUUCAAAUUGAAGCCAUAGAAAUCUUCUUUAACGUGUUUAGAACAUUUUCAUUCGAUUAAAAACAAUUUUAAGCUUUAAAUUGCAAAUUCCCAAUUUCAAAACCCUAGUGAAAAUCGAAUAUAGUUCCUCCAAAUUCUCCACAAUUUCCUUCAUUUCUUGAACCUCUUAAGCCCAUACACACUCUUUUAUACCUCAAAUUUAUCCAUAGAUGGUGAAGGACCUUCAAUACCGAAGAGACGAGUCAAACAGAGGGCUAGCAGGAGUCCUCUUUAUCCCCCUCAUGUUCCUGAUUUCGAAAGGGUCUACUUCCCUUCUCCUUCUCUUGCUAGGAGAUUCCAAACUCAUUUUAUGACUCGUAAGUUAACCGAUUCCUUUUUUCUUGAUUUAGAUAAUUUUGAGGAGUUGGUUGUAUGUAGUAGUAAUGUAAAGGAGAUGUUGGUACAAUGAGAGAUUCCUUUGAACCUAAAUGAGAAAGUGUACCCAAACCUACUUAGAAUUUUCUACUCCAACAUGGAGCUUUCGGCUACUAGUUUGGAUUGAUUAGUGACAUAUGUCGGAGGCGUACCCAUUGAAUUUACUGUGGAAGAUUUAAGUUCCAUUUUAGAGACUGAUCAUUCAGGUCUAGAGCUCUACACAUCUCGGAAAGAACUUCAAUUUAACCGUUUUUCUCAUGUAGAUGUGGUUAUGAACAUUUAUAGGUGUCGAGACCUUUCCGAUGAUAUUUUUUCUCUACCUUUUCGGUCUAAAUUAUUGCCUAAGAAUGUUAGGAUCCUCUAUAGUAUUCUCCAGCAUAUCGUUACUCUUAGAAAUGGGCAUAGUGACGAGGUUACUCAUUUAGAUAUCGGGUUGCUGGAUUGUCUUCUUCGAAGGCGUUCGGUUAACCUUGGCUAUGUAAUUGUCCAUCACAUGUUGUUGACCCCCGCCAUGAGCAAUCGACUUCUUCCAUAUGGCAGUAUUAUCACUAGAAUUCUGAGGCAUUUUAGGAUACCCAUUACCGAGCUUAUAUACGAUGAGUCUAAGAGGUUAGGUAGUGAGAUUAUCCUCAGCAUUGGUUUUCAUAGGAGCAAUGGGGAAUGGGUAAAGGUUACCUCAUCCAAGAAUGAGGAUACACUCUUGGCUCCUGAAGAUGAUUGUAUAUUGAAUGACAUAUAUUCUGCUAAUCAGCUUCCAGACUUUCGUUAAGGAGCUAGAGACCUUGAGUUCCUCGUUGAGCUGCAGCUGCGCGUGCUGAGGAGCCUGAUGAGCACGAGGAGCAUGAUAUGAAUACCUACAUGCCUCCAGCCCCUACCUCUUCUUCAGCUUAUGAGGAAUUGAUGCAACAGGUUUUGAGCGAGAUUCACACUCUCUCAGUCCAGCAGUAGCAGCUUGUGUCUCGCUUCAAUUCAUUUCAGCAUAUCAUUUUUUAUCAGCAGCAAGAGAUUCGAGAUGGUCAGAGACACAUCUUUACUGAUCUUGGUUUUCCUCUCACUGAGUCUUCAUCGCGGCCACUUUCAUAGUUUAUCUUUAUUUUCCCUUUUGGUUACGCACAUACAUUUGUCAUCUCAUAUUUUGGAUGUUAUUCUAUGUAUGUUUUAGAUGAUAUUUGUUAUGAAAAUUUUAUUGAACUCGCAAAUGCAUGAAUCUAUUGUAGAAUAGAUUAAUGAUGACGAGUGUCGAUCCCACGAGGAGGUUGAUUCUAAUUGUGUGUAGAAUUAAUUUUUUUCUAAAUAGAUGUUUGGAUUUGUGGUGAAAGUGACUUAGAUUAUCUUAAAAUUGGAAUUGAAAUGGUGAGAAUAAAUUGAAGAGAAAUCUAUUGAAAUGAAACACUUGGGUAUCUGGAUCCGUAUCAACAUGCACCAUGGGCUAAAUAUUCCUUAUUAGUGCCAAUUAAAUCAUGAGGGGGGAAUCCACACCUCAUGAACCACACUCUAAUCAAUAUGGUGCUAAGGGCUUAUCGUGCCAAAUAAUAAUAAUCUUGUACUAGGGAGCCGGUGAAACCAGGGCGGUAUCUAGACAAGAUUAUUAUUAUUUGUCGAUGAGAAGUCAAAACAUCCACAAAAACUAGAGGGGAAGAUAAAGUAAAUUUACCAAUUAAAUCCCAUGACACAUGUUGAGACUUCACCUUCAACCCAAACUUGAAAGAAAAUUAGCUACUCAUAAUUGAAUUAAGGGAAAAAUGAAAAUUUAUUAAAAUACGUAGAAAAUACAAGAUGGAGAAGGAAUUUCAGAAAAUGGAGUCCGAAAAUGGAUUCAGAGAUGCCAAAUUAGGGGGGAGGCCCCCUUUUUAUAGAUAAAUUGAGUAAAUCAUGGUCAUCGGAUUAAAAACAGUUUGGACGCUCAGGAUUGCGCCACGUCAUCAGUCAACAAUACGCGGUUUGACCACGCGGUUUGAAUAGUGACACGGUUUGACCCAGCUUGAACAGUAAUGUGGUUUGGUUGAAAAUAAUUCUGUGUAUAUGCAUGUAACGUACGCGUAAUUUUUGGUUCAUUAACAUGUUGCCACGUCACCAAUCAAUAAUGUAUAAGAAUUUUAGUCCAACAGGAUCAUGACAGCUCAUCAAUCAAUGCCACAUCAUCGGUCAAUGCCACAUCAUCGAUCCGUCUAUGUGAACAGUGUCGUGAACAGUAACGUAGACAGUACCGUACAUGUAAAUAGUACCGUACAUGUAAAUAGUACCAUACAUGUGAACAAUGCCAUUUUUUCUUUUAUGCCCCUCUUAAGGUUUUCGACCGUCCUGAGUUCAAAAGUGAUGUCUGUUUUGCCGUCUGAUCUCUUGUUCAUUGUGAAAUGACCAUAGUACCCCUAAAAUAUAUAAAAUACUUAAUUAAAAUAAAACACACGUAAUUAAAUCACAAGAAGCUUAAAUACAUAAAAGUACGGGUGUUAGUAAAACUUGAAGUGUAAAUGAUGAUUUUCUCCUUUAUAAAUAUACAUUUUCUAACACUCAACAAUAUUAACUAUAUAUUUUGGAUGAUUUUCUAUUUUGAUAUUUGGAUUUCAUUUGUUGGUUUUGAUGAUGUGGUUAUAUGCUUGUUGGUUCUAUGCAUACUUUUGUGUUGUUGGCUUGUUGGAUUGUUGGAGUUUGUUGAUUGAGUUGAAUUGGCUUGUGCAUAUUUGGGAGUGCUUUCAAAAUUUUCUGUAAUUCAGGAUAUGUCUACUUUUAUGGGGAGUCUCUGCCCAAUUUUCCCCUCACUUUCUCUUUUUGAUGAUGAAGGGGGAGAAAUAUAUCUUUGUUGUGGUAAAUAAAAUUGAGUGCAUAAAUGUUUUUGGUUCAAAAAUUGAUUGGCCACAAACUAAGGGGGAGCACACAUUAAGGGGGAGCAAUCUUGCUUAGUCUUGAAAUGUUUGUCAUCAUAAAAAAAGGGGAGAUUGUUAACUCUUUUGUUUUUAUAAUAAUGAUUUUGAUGAUAACAAACAUGUUUUCAAUUGAUUAGUUUUAAAAUUUGUUGUUAAUUGGAUCAAUUUUUUAAGCCUUAUGAUAUUCAAAGUAAAGAAAAACCUUUUAGAAAUAAAUGGCAAACUGUUUACAGAAAAUGAUAAACUGAUUACAAUAUAAAGAAUGAAUUUUCAGAAAAUGGCAAACCGAUUGCAUUAAUCGUUUAUCGCUAAUGGUACACCAAAUGCAUUCCAAAGAGCAAAUUUCAUAUAUCGGCAAACCGUUAACGGAUAACGGUAAGCCGAUUUCAUUUCAGAGAGCAAAUCAUAAAUAACGGUCAACCAUUUAUGGAUAACGGUAAACCGAAUGCAUUCCAGAGAGCAAAUCUUAAAUAACAGUAAACCAUUCAUGGAUAACAGUAAUCUGACUGCAUUUCAGAGAGUAAAUCUUAGAUAACAGCAUAACAUUUAUUGAUAAUGGUAAACCGAUAACAUUCUAGAGAACAAUCAUCUUGCAAACGGUAAACCGUUUAUGUAAAACAGAUAACCGACAUCUUUGAACAAGUUUUUGGAACGAUAACGGUAAUUCGACUUCCUACGAUGACUCGACAAUUUGAAUUUCGGGGCACCGGUAACUUGCUAAAGUCAAAAUGACGAUCCGAUAAGUUAAAUUAUUGUGUAGUUUGAUUAGCUUAAAUUUUAGAAUCCCAAUUCACCACUUCUUGGGUUGCCUAGUUAGUAUUUCAACAAUUAUAUUAUAUUAUCCUAGUAAGUGAGGGUGUCAUUUAUAAAUGCUAUAAAAAACAUUAGGGGAGCCAAGUUUUGUAGAGAGUGAGUAGCCUUCUCUAAGCUCACUAAGCUUGAAGCUAUUUGUCAUUCCUUGUUCUUGAUUAUAAGAAAAUGUUGGAAGUUUGUGCUUCUGUAAACAUUGUGUGUCUUUUGUUCUCUUCGUGCAUUAGAUCUUCAAAAAUGUUAAGGUGUGUCUAACACAUAUAGCCUUCGUUGUGAAUUGUUGAGUGGCUGGCUAAGCAGAAACCUUAGUGACAUCACAGGCUUGCCGCAUAGAAGAAAAUAGCCUUGUGAUAGUUUAGUAUCAGAGCCUUGAUUAACAAUAUGUAGGGAGACACUUUGAAAGAUAGAAUGAGUCGGAUGAAAGCUGCUGUCGGGGAAGUACGGUCUGGGGAGGAAUCCUUGGCUGUCAAAAUCGAAGUAACCUCUAUUGAUUUAGCGAAUAUGAAGUUGUCCUUUGAAGGGCUGACUCAAGAUGUUGUUGAAAAGAUCAGUUCAGUGAUGGAAGAUGUUGUUGCUUUGGUGGAGGAGCUAAAGGGCAGCGUUGCCAACCUGAAAAAUGAGUUGGGCCUGCAAAAGCUCGCGUUGAGCACAAUGUUGGGUAUAAAUACUAAUGCUAUUAGUGUUAAUGUGCAAGUGUACAUAACAAGUAAUAUAAUGAUAAGUAUUCAAGAUCGUCUCCACAAGGAUUGAUAUUAUCAGACUUGCUACAAUAAUUUUAACAGUGCAGAUUUUGUUCUAAAUUAAAAUAAAACAAUUAAUGAAACUAAUAUACUAAUUAAAAUAAAAACGCAAUAAAUAAAAUGCAACAAAGUAAAUUGUCACGUCAAACUCAAGGAUAAAACCAUUGGGAAUAUAGAGUAGUUGAAUGAAUAAGUUUUCUUAAUGGUUUUGACUAUUUUCUAAUGGUUGGCUCGGUUGCUACAGUAUCUGCUACAGCACUAGGCAGAAUCCUUAUGCAUCCUCAGCCAUCGCAUGUUGGAUAUCUUAUAUCUAUAUGCAACCUAACAGUGAUAAGUUAUUAUACCAACAUAAGAUAUAACAUUUCACGCUUAGGUUCUAUUUACCCUACAAGGUGAAUCCCUAUGUUUAGUUCAUCACUAAUUUUAAAUUAAGCAUGACCCUUUUGAGACUCAAGUAAAACUCAAUUCAGGAAACCCAAUUUAAGAUCAAGUAUUGCUUUGAUAUGUUCCACUAAGAUAUGUCCUUUUGUGGCUUUUCCUUAGCUAGUAUCAUUAAAUGGGUGAUCAGCCGAAAUAAUGAAUAAAAUAAAUUCUAUUAAAACAAAAUGCUACAGCAAACAUGCAACAACUUAUUUUUUCAGUCAAUAAACCAUCAAGAUUGUUUAUCACUCAACUACAAAUAAAUUUAGUUCAUGAUUUGCAAAAGAAAAAUAAAGAACAAGGUUUCGGCCAAGAAACACAUCCCCAUGAAUAAAUAGAAAACAAGAAAACAAGAAAACAAGAGAAGAAUAAGAACGAUUGAGCUCCCAAUUGAUCUUUGCAAUUUCUCCUCUUGUGCAGCCCUUAAUCUCUCUCUUGAAUUUUUUUUUUUCUUUGUGGUUUUUCUCCUUGGGUGACGGCCCUCUUUAUUCCUUAUGAUGUGUGCUCAUUUUAUAGUUGAAAAUUAGGGUAAACGGAAGCCUAGGGCAUGCAUAAGUCAGAUUAGGAAACUGCAGAUCGCAAUUCUGUAAGUAUCCCGCGCAAAAUUUUCUUUGUCGUUGUUCCAGGAUUGCUACAGCAACAACUACAACAACUGCACUGUUCUAGAUUUGUUUCAAUUCUUUUGUAACUAUGUUCUUUUUCAUCUUUUACAAGCCUAUUACACCAGCAUUCCUUCCUUGAAAUUGGGGCUUCCAAUCACCUACAAUUAUGGAUAUAAUUUAAGCACACAAAAUUAUUCUAAAACAACACAAUUUAUUAAAAAUAAACUAAAAUGGUUAUUCAUGCAAAACAAAACUAAAAUGCAAUAAAAACAGAUCAUUUACUCUCAAAGUAAUCUUGAUUUAAGUCUAAAAGUGUCAUGAUAACUCUCAUUUCAUAGAGUUAUCACACAACUUCCUUGCAUUUGGAGGUAGGGCUUUCGAAAGUAAUGUUCCGAAGUCAAAAUUAUUUGGGGGCACGCGAAGUGCCAAGGAAUUGGAGAACUUUCAGUAAGAUAUGAAGCAAUAUUUCAAGGAUGCUCGGAUACCUGAAGUGGAGCGAGUUUCCAUUACAAGCAUGUAUCUUGAGGGGGAUGCAAAGCUUUGGUGGCGCGGUACACUCCAAGAGGAUGUCGAAGCCAACCGACCAACUAUCGAGACAUAGGACUCACUGAAGCAAGAGUUGAAGGGUCAAUUAUUACCGGGUAAUGCGAGUGGGAUAACGGGUUUAAAGUAUUAACAUAUAUAUAAUCAUUAUAAUGAUUUUGAUGAUAACAAACUUUAAGUGUUCUUGAUCAAAAGGUUGGAGUUUCUCUUUAAUAAACAUUUCAUUAAAUAGCCAUAUAACAUUCUUAAAUGUGUUCAUGAAAUAUGAAUUAUCAUUAACUUUAAACCGAAAAAGCAUCUCCUGCAAAAUGUUGAUUAAAACUUUGAUUCUAGAAACAAAUAGUGAACCAUUAACUUUGAAAUGGUUAACCGAUAAUUUUUAGAGAUGGUUAAUUCCUUAAACUUGAACCGGUUAACGAAAACGGACAAUGCAAGUAAGCUGGGGAGGCUACUGGAAUUAAACGGUAAACCGUUUAUAUCAAACGGCUAACCGAUAAUUUCCAGAAUGUCAUUCCAUACUACUCUUCAAUCGUUUAGCAAGAACAGUUAGCACAAAUUUGUUUUUGUAGGUCUCUAGAAAUUAACAGCAAACCGAUAAUGGCAAACGGUCAACCGUUUAUUUGAAUUUAAGAUCAAUGGUCACUUGGACCAAUCAAAACGUUAUCGGUUAAUGGUGAUCCGUUUUCGCCCAGAAAGUUAACAACGGCUAUAUUUCAGCUCUAACUAUAAAUAAACUCAAUCAAAUUCAAACAAGGACUAAUCACAACAUUUUCAUUGAGCAAAUUAUUGAACAUUAAACUUAUUUGUGCUUUAAAUUCUUGUAUACAUUUUAUUUACUCACACUUUAAAAUUUCAUUUGUAAUCAAACAUAUUGUGUGAGAGAGAUUUAUUGUGUAAUCUUUUGAAAAUCAAAUUGAGAGGUUGUAAAGUGUUAGGAUACACUUGGGUUAAGAGAUUGGGAAUAAUUUCUUGUUGUAAAGGUUAUUGACACUUUGGAAGUCAAUUGUAAGAGUGAUUGAAGCCUUGGAGGCUUGCUUAGUAGAAUCUUUAAGCCCGGUGAGCUUGGAGAGGUGGACAUAGGCACGGUUAGCCGAACCUCGUAAAAAGCAAGUGUUUGAUUUCUCUUCCGUUACUCUUUUAUUAUUUUGCAUGAUUAAAUUUAUUGUUUUUGUUCUUAUUAAGGCAAGAGAUUUAAAUUGUUGUGUGGUUUGUUUUGCAUAAGUUUUUAUAACCCAAUUCACCCCCCUCUUGGGUUACUUAGAUAGUAUUUCAUAAGGAAGCUCAAACAUACUGGUUCAAUCAGUGAUUAUGUCAAAGAAUUUAGUUCUUUGAUGCUUGAUAUCAAGAACAUGUCCGAUGAAGAUAAGCUUUUCAAAUUCAUGAGUGGUUUGCAACUGUGAGCGCAAACCAAACUAAGAAGGUAGGUUGUACGCGACUUGCCUAUGACGAUUGUUGCUGCGAAAGGUUUGGUUGAUUUUAGGUUUGCGAGUUCUUCUCCCUCCGAACCUAAAAAGAAUAAAGAUUCGAGGAAAUCUGACCCUUUUAAGCAUGAUGGUAAAAAGAAAGGGGGCUUUGCGGGGAAAACCAAACCGAAAGAUGGACAUGAGAAGAAAAGCUCGGGAUGCUUCAUAUGUGACAGACCACACCGGGUGAGGGAUUGCCCAAAGCGGACACAGCUGAAUGCUAUGGUCAAGGAGACGGAGGUAGAACCUUCAAUGACUGAGGCAAGUACUUCUCGAAUGAAUACAUUACAGUUGAUGAACACUUUGAGGAAUGAGGUUGUGUGCAAUGACUUCAAUCAAGGGUUGAUGAUCAUGACUGUUUUGGUAGAUGGGAGGGAAGUGCGUGCUAUGCUGGAUACGGGAGCCACAACUAACUUUCUUGCAUCCCACGAAGUGGCACAUUUGGGUUUGAAAAUAACAGCUGUGGGCAGCAAAGUAAUGGCUGUAAAUUCUGUGAGUGUGGGGGUUAAAGGGGCUAUGCAAAGUUCACUACGGGUGGGAAUUUGGCAGAAAACAGUAAAGUUUACUGUCAUGCCUCUUGAUGACUUCGAUUUAAUCCUUGGUAUGAAAUUCUUUAUGGCGUAAUGAUACAAUUGAUGCCCUAUUAGAAGAGCAUCUUGAUCAUGGGAAUGGAAGACGUGCUAGUAAUUUAUAUAUUAUUUUUGUAUUUUCUUAAUUUAAUUUUAUGUUAAAUUAUAUUUUAUUAUGUUAAUUUUAUCUUAAUUUUUAUAUUUUGUUAUUUAGGUAUAAUUUGGGAUUAAAGAAGAAUUAAAUUGAAAUAUUCAGGAAGAAAUCUACUUGAAGGAAUUAAAAAGGAAAAGGAAUAAAGAGAUUUAAUAAAAAAUAAAUUAAAGAAGAUUAGCGGACACACCAUCCAUUGUACCAUUCCAAUUCUUGGUUCAUGGCAGAUCAUAACCAUCACUCCAAUCUGCGGGACAAUUUACAAAAGGCUUGAAACGGAAGGAGAACUCUUACUUGGCAGCGUUGUUGGAGAUAAAACCUUAUCAGAUUGUGGAGAUGCUUGAUAAAUACGCCCAAGUAUUGGAAUAGUUUGCGGAUGUCAUGCCGCCGGAGCUCCCUCGAGCCUUACUACUGAAACGUGCUAAAGAUCAUCGGAAUGAUUUAGAGACUGGUACUAGACCCCCUGCACAUGCUUUUUAUCAGAUAUUGCCUUCGAUAUUAGUAGAACUUCGGAAACAAUUGGAUGAGUUAUUGGAUGCGGGAUUCAUUUGACCAUUCAAAGCACCGUAUGGUGCACCAGUAUUAUUUCAGAGGAAGAACGAUAGCUCAAUGCGAAUGUGUGUGGACUACCGUGCCUUAAACAAUGACGAUAAAAAACAAGUAUCCAGUCCCCAACAUUGCAGAUUUUUUUGAUCGAUAGGGUAGAGCCUCUUACUUCACGAAGCUGGACUUGAGGUCAGGGUAUUGGCAAGAACGGAUUGCGGAAGGUGGUGAAGCAAAAGCAGCUUGCGCAACUCGGUAUGGAUCAUACGAGUUCUUAUUAAUGCCUUUCAAACUCACCAAUGUGCAUGCAACAUUCUGCGAUUUGAUGAACGAUGUUCUUUACGAGUACUUGGACUUCUUUGUGGUGGUGUAUCUCGAUGAUAUACUGGUGUACAACGAGUCUUUGGAAGAUCAGUUGGAUCACUUUAACCAAUGUUCUCACGAUUAUGGGAAUACAAGCUCUUUGUCAAGAAAGAAAAAUGUGAAUUUUGUCACCGGGAGAUAGUAUUCUUAGGGCUAUCAUUGAUUGGCCUGCACCUACAAAAGUGGUGGAACUUCGAUAAUUUCUUCGGUUAGCUAACUACUACCGCAAGUUCAUUAAAGGGUACUCAAACAGGUAAGUUCACUCACGGAGUUGUUAAGGAAAGAUCGAAAGUGGGAAUGGGCUGAAGUGUGCGAGCAAGCAUUCAAGAAACUCAAACAAGCAGUAGCUUUGGAACCGGUGCUUAAGCUACCUGACUUUAGCUUGCCAUUUGAGGUACAUACAGAUGCAUCAGAUAGGGCCAUUAAUGGCGUGCUUGUUCAAGAUGGCCAUCUGGUAGCGUUUGAAAGUCGAAAGCUAGAGGAUACAGAACAACGGUACUCGGCACAUGAGAAGGAAAUGACGACAAUGGUACAUUGCCUAAAUAUAUGGAGACAUUACUUGUUAGGUAUGAUUUUUAUGUUGUUAAGGACAAUGUAGCCAAUGCUUAUUUCAAGACACAGAAGAAACUAUCACCAAAACAAGCAAGAUGGCAACAGUUCCUUGCUGAAUACGAUUUUGUAUAGGUACAUAGGCUUGGAAGGCAAAAUCAGGUUGCGGAUGCCCUCAGCCGCAAAACAAUUGAAACAUAUGUGGCGGCUUUAACUCAAUAGUAACGGAUUUUCUUGACAAGAUUCGGCAGCAAGCGGAAAUAGAUACUAGCUACUGCCAACUCCGCAAGAAGAUCAAGCAAGGCUUGAUGCGAAGAUAUUGGGUUGAUGAUGAUCUAAUUUAUGGACAAGGUGGAAAAUUAUAUAUUCUUUCGGGAGGGGACUUACAAAGGAUCGUAUUGCGUGAUACACAUGAUUCUCGAUAGGCUGGACAUCCAGGGGUGAAAGGAUAAUGGCGUUGCUGGAACACUCAUAUUUCUGGCCUAAAAUAGAAGACAACGUGCAUCUAUAUGUCAAAACUUACCUAGUGUAUUAACUAGAUAAGUCGGAAAAGAGGAAGCCAGCGGGACUUCUUCAACCAUUGCCAAAUCCGGAGAGACCUUUGCAAUCUCUCUAUGGAGUUUAUCUCGAGAAUGGCUAAAUCGAAUAGAUAGAAAUCGAUUUUUGUUGUGGUUGAUCGAUUUUCAAAAUAUGCGAUAUUCAUACCUGCACCUCAUGCUUGCCCAGUGGCCAAGGCAGUGGAGCUAUUUUUCAAGCACAUGGUUAAGUACUUUGGUGUUUCGGAGGACAUCAUUAGUGACUAGGAUGCUUGGUUCACGGGAAGAUUUUGGAAAGUGCUCUUCAAUUUAAUGGGGACGGAAUUGAAGUUUUCUACUGCCAAUCAUCCUCAAACGGAUGGACAAACAGAGAGGGUGAAUCCACUAUUAGAGGAAUACUUACGGCACUAUGUGACAGCAAGCUAAAAAUAAUUGGGUAGACUUGCUAGAUGUGGCUUAAUUUUGCUGUGACAUCCAUUGCUCUUCAACAACGGGGAUGAGUCCAGUGGAGCUAAUUAUGGGACAACAACCAUUGACUCCUCAUGAAGUGGUGAAACAGCACACAUGUGGAAAAUGCUCCGCAGCUUAUCGAUUUGCACGAGACAAGCAAGAAAUGAUUAAACGGGCCAUUGAUAGCUUGGCCAAUGCAUCGCGACAAAUGAAGAAUAUGCGGGUGCUGGAAGAAGACCGCCAGAGUUCAAUGUAGGUGACAAGGUGUUACUCAAAUUAACGCCCCAAAUUUAGAAGAAAAUCAGUAGCAAAACUAUACAUCGGGGGCUGGUACCAAAAUAUGAUGGACUAUUUGAGGUGAUCAAAAGGGUGGGUCAGGCGGCGUAUCGAUUACGACUACCCGAGCAGUUGAAGAUUCAUCCUACAUUUCAUGUGGGUUUCUUUAACCUUUCAGCGAAGACUUGGCUGACAAGGGGCGCCAACAAGCUAAGCGUGCUCCACCGGUAAUUCGGAAGCAAUAUGACAAGGAAGUUGAGAAAAUCCUUGAUCAUAAGCCAAUGGGGCAAAGUAAGAAGAAUCGGAGAAUGGAGUAUCUAGUUCAAUAGAAAGGAGGCAGCGAAGCGAAUGCUAGCUGGCAAAAAGAAGUAUCAUUAUGGCAAUUCUAGAAAAAGGUUAAGGCGUACUUAGACUCCUUGCCAACGAGGGCGUCGGGUUCUUCUGGUAGGGGGGUUUGUUACAGCCUUAAAACUCGAGGCACGCCAAUGUUUGGCUUGCGGCCUUGUACCAAGCAUGGCUACAAGUGAAUGUGUGAGGGAAGGCACGAAAGCAAGGCCAGUCUGUGCGCAAGCUGGGGCGUGACAGCAACUAAAUAGGCUGAUGGAGAACACUCAAGAUAUGUGCAAGGCAGUGCACAAGUGCUCCGACGGAUAGCGCGCACUGAGGGUGAGCGCGCCAAGCAGCAUGUAGCGCACGCUAACGGACAGAGAGCAGGCGCGCGAGGGAGCGCACAACGCACUAGCAAGAGCCACACACAAGCAACAGGCUAGAGGGUUGUUGGAGCAAUCCUUAGUGGCGGCGGCCAGCCACUACAUGAGCAUUGCCUAUAAUAAGGAAUUUGUCAGGGUGGGGUUAGUCCACCACUGUUCAAAAUAUCCUAAUUAAUAGUGUUUGGGCAAAGCAAUAGGGUAUUGAGCUUAUUUGUUUAGUGCGUUGGUGGCAAACAAAGUAUGGCGUGGGAAUACAUUAUACUAUCCUUGUAAGUGGCGGUGUCACAUACAAAUGCUAUAAAUAGCAUUAGGAUGGUGAGCUUAGGGAAGCCAAGUUUUGUAGAGAAUGAGUGGCCUUCUCCAAGCUCACUAAGCUUGAAGCUAUUUGUCAUUCUUUGUUCUUGAUAAUAAGAAAAUGUUGGAACUUGGUGCUUCUGUAAACAUUGUGUGUCUUGUGUCCUCUUCGUGUAUUGGAUCGUCGAAAAUCUUGGGGUGUGUCUAUCACACAUAGUCACCACUGUAAAUUGUCAAGUGGUUGGCUAAGCGGAAAACUUAGCGCCAUCAUAGGCUUGCCGCAUAGAAGAAAAUAGCCUUGUGACAUAAAGCUUAGUUAACACAAGUACUAUCUGCUUAUCGUACGUUUGGUGUGGGAUACUCUACCAUACCCCUAAUUACAAAAAUUUACAUGAAAAUUCGUGGGGCCUUCCUGUAUAUCAACUUUCUUGAAUGAUUUGCAAUCAUUCUUUCUCAUAUUUAAGUGCAGAUUUAGUUUUAUUUUAUAUUAGUUUUUUUAAAAUUAUAUAUAACUCACAAAACCUUCAUAAUAAGUUUCCCUUUAUACUUCGACUUUUUUCUUUUGUUGCGUCACCAAUAUCCAUGCUUUCAUAUUUGCAAAGUACAUUGCUGAAAAUUAUUGUUCAAGACAUCAAAGAUUUGCAACUCAGUGAAAAAAUAAUCAGCCUUAAAAUAACUGUAAUUUAUUCGAGUGUAGAACAAAAAACUGAAGCUCCUGAAGAGUUCCCAGCCAACGCGUAAAGUAAUAUAUCCUCUAUCUUGUUGUUGCCGAGAUCAACAACUUGAAGAUUUGCACAAUUGAGCAAAGAUCUUGGGACUGACCCUACAAGUUCAUUGCCAUUGAAGUUAAGGGUCCUCAAAUUAUUGCAAUUUGAUUAUUUCAGGAAUUGGCCAUGGAAUCUAUUCUUCCUUAAAUCCAACGCACACAGAGUAUUGCUAAAGUUUCUAAUUAAUGCAUUCUGGAAUGGUGCCACUCAAGCUGUUGCUGGGCAGAUCACGAACUUAAAUAGUACUUGAGUUACAGAUCACACAAGGUAUCUUUCUAGUGAACCUAUUUCUUGAUAUCAGAAAGACUUUCAUAUUAGAUGAUGGAGCUGGAAACGAUCCUUGAAGCAAGUUGGAAUGAAAGUCAAGAUAUUCAAGAUUCUUCCACAGAAGUUUCUUCGUGCCUGUAAAGAAAUAUUCUGAUUCAUCAAAUAUCUAAGAGGCUUUCUUUAUUAAAGUGCCUUGGGGAUUGAGGUAUGUAAUUUUCAAUAUAUUUGUGCCAGCAUUCAGCAGUUGUAUGCCCUGAUUUGAAGCAAAUUUGAGAGAUAGGCACUAAUUUAUCACCAUUUGAAGCUUGUGGUUCAAUAACAGACAUAUUGCCACUGCUAAUAAGAUUUUCGCCAAAUGAAUUCUUUCCAAACUGAGCAGACUUAUUACUUCCCAUCAUAUGACCUCUUCCAGAAUUACCAAAAAUACCAGUACUAGGGGGAAAACCUCUUAGAUAAGUACUAAAAAACAUGCAUUUGCCAUUUUUUUUUUUACAAGGCUUAGCCAAGCUAAGAAAUUACAGAUGGGGAAAUUCUCAUCCCGUACAUAUCAUAAGAAAGUUAAGGACCAAUUCCUGUUGGAGGUUCCUAAAAAACAUGAAAUUCAAAAGGCAAAGAUCCUGCAUUCCUAACUAAAAAAUCAGUUGCAAAGUUGGCUUCGUGAUAGAUAUGUUGAAAGGAUACAUGCCAAUCCUUCGUGAGAAGAUUCUUGAUCGAAUUUAUCAAAUAGGUGUGCACAUUCGAGCUCUGACCGCUAGACUCCAUCAUAUGCAGUAUGCAAAGGCUAUCAACCUUUGCCUCUAAAAAUCGAAUACCUUAAUUCCACGCAAGGUUAAGACCUUGGUACAGCCCCUAAAUUUCUGCCAUACUAAUGGGACAAGAUCCAAUAUUCAUCCCGAAGCCCCGAAUCCAAUUUCCAUUUGCAUCACGAAUUAAGCCACAUGCACUAGCUUUUCCAUUAAUUUCUCUUGGUCAGUCAGUUUUUAAUCAGAAAUAAGGUCAUCUAAGGGCUGUUCAGCCAAUACCAACUGACACCUUGCAAUGUCUCUGUUGCAUAUUAGCCUUAAAAGUCUAUUGUAUCUCAUGCACCCAUGCGCUGAUAUCUGACACCACACGAAGGCUGCAUGGGGAAUUGUUGGCAAAAACAAACUGAUUCCGACAGUGCCAAAUUUUCUAUACAGUGAUCUAAAAAGCCAAGGACCAGCUAUCUCCCAUCUCCACACUCUCCCACAUAGAAAUGUUGUUAAAGAGCCAUUCUUUAAAGUAGCAGAGAAGAAAGCAUAUGUACUAGUAAUAGGAAGCAAGGAAAUCUAUACCUGUUUGGCCAAAAUGCAGUCACGGAGUGUGUGCAAAAUAGUCUCUGUGUCAGCUCUGCAGAUAUCACAAACGGAAUUACUAUAAAUGUGCCUUCUAAAAAGUUCCUCCUUUGUCUUGAUUUUUUCAUGCAUUAAAAGCUAAAGAAAUACCCUUACUCGGUGUGGGCCUUCCAACUCCAGAUGAGCUACCAAUCCUUUUUAUCCCCACAAAAGACUUGGUUACUGAUAGAAUCAGAGGCUGAUUUUGUAGUAAAAUUGCCAUUACAUGAAAAACUCCAGAAUGAUUGGUCUUCACCCUCCAAGCUAGAUGGGAGUUUAACCACCGCAAGUUGGAGGAUAUGUUUAUUAGAUAAAAGGUAGCCAAAAACAUCCUAUCAUAAUGACCCGUCUAGGUUAACCAUACCAGCCACACACAUGUUUGCCAUCCCUAAAGGAAUCUGUUGUACGUGAGAUCCAAUAUUACAAACCUCAAACACUCAAUUAUCAUUCCAGAAACUAACACUUUUCUUGUUCCCUAUAGCCCAUUUAAUGCCCUUCACAACAUGAGGCCAAACGUUACAAACUAACUGCUCUCCACAAAUAGGAACCGUGUCCAAAGUAUAGAUUAGUUGGAAUUCCAUAAAAUUGUAAACCAAACUUAGUUCAAGGAACUCUGAUCUAUAACCUUUGGGGUGAAGCAACUAUAUUCCAACCAAUUUUCAUUAAUAGGGUAGUGUUCAUGUGCGAGAGAUUUUUCAAGCUAAGGUCCCGUAGAUUUUUCAAUUGGCAAACUGUUUACCAAUUAAUCAAGCUCAUCUUACGCUCAUUGGCAACACCACUCCAAAUAAAUCUUCGACAAAUUUUGUCAACCCUUGCACGAACACCCUCGAGGAGUCAAGUAGUUUGCAUAGCAUAGGUGUGUUAAGGAAGCUCAUACUUGCAAUGUGGUCAGCAGAGCAGAGGAUCACAGUAGUAGCAACAACAGAGCAGAGCAGAGGAUCACAACAGCAGCAACUUUCAGUUACAAAUUGAUGACAUGGCUUUCCGGCUGGCACCUAGUAGUUAUGUAAUCGGUUGUGCGUGUAUUAACUAGAAGUAGUUAAUUAGCUAUAGUUAGUUACAACAAUUUGAGCUGAGCUUCAGCUUUGUAUAUAAAGAAGCCUCUUGUACAUAUCAGUGUGUGGUUAAUAAAAAUGAUGUUAUAGAGAAUUCUCAGAUCCAACUCUUAUUUUCUUUCAAUUGUCUCACUAGUUUCUCAGCUGCCAAACAAUAUUUUCAUUUUUUAACUUGGUAUCAGAGCUAAGUGCAAUGGCCUCAGUACAUUUAGCUUCUUCUUCUCAAGCGGCAGUCAAUCAAACAGCUGUUAACUCAACAAAUAUGACAUUUACUUUCAAUGUUCCUAUUAAGCUAGAUUAAUCCAAUUAUUUGAUCUAACGAUCUUCAGUUCUUGCCUCGAUACGUGGCAAUAGACUUGAGAAUUCAUUGAUGAUUCCAUCACUUCACCUCCUUCACACAUUGCUCAAAGGAUUAGUGAUGAUCUAAGAUCAGUGGAGAAUCCAGACUUUGUGACUUAAAGAUGAUAAGAUCAGGUGCUUCUUGGCUGGCUGUUCUCUUCAAUGAGUGAAGGUAUUAUUAGUCUGGUGUUCGAUCUAGAGACUUCUCGUGAGGUAUGGAAAGCUAUUGAAGUUCAGUUUGGAACACAAUCUAAAUCCAGGCUUUUGCAUUUAAGAUACAUGAUGAACUCGACUAGGAAAGAUGAUCUGAAAAUUACUAAUUACUUUAUUAGGAUGAAAAACAUAGCUGAUAAUAUGGCUGCAGCAGGAAGUGCUUUAAGUUAUAAUGAUUUAAUCCUGCAUAUACUCAUGGCUUAAGUCUAGAAUAUAGUUUUGUUGGUACCUACAUCACUAGACAAGUAGGUGUGGGAAAGAUGAAUGUGAAUGAAUCUUAUGCUAUGCUCUUAACUUAAGAAGCUAGGAUUGAACAGCAAACUCAUAUGUUAGAUUGGGUGUUCAGAACCAAGUACAACACAGAUGGCUCAGUCUUUAAAUAUAAAGCUAGAUUGGUAACACAGGAGUGUUUGAAAUAUUUGGUAUUCAAGUUAUACCAAGUCCAGUUCAAGUUCUUACAUUAAUCAAGUGAGCAGAAUUUCUGUACAGAAGGAGCAUCUUUGGGAAUUAAAUUGUACUUCAUGAGAUCGAAUUAAUUUUAGAGCCAUACAUCAUUGGAAAUAUAUUUCUGUCAGCUUUCCAAUGAAUUUUACUAAUCUAAAUUUGGAGCUUUCUACAGUAAGUUAUGAUCAGUUAAGUGCAGGCUGGUCAGUUUCGAGUCAAGAAGAAUAUUUCUGGACUUGGACUUUUUUUUAAUGCUCUUUGCUGUGUUUUAAGCAUACCAAUGAUUUAUUAAUGUCUAGCUUUAAUGUUGGUCUUUGAAGUCAAGUCAUUUGAAGGGUUUCUUUGUAGUAUAUUUAUGCUUGGAGGAUUGUUCCAAGAAAGUUAUUGAAGCUUAUGUAGUUGUAACCAAAAGAUAGAGAUUAAUUUUGGAAAUUGAAUGAACUUUGAGCUAUUAUCAAACUUUGUAUCUCUUUGGUGGAUUCCAUUGAGUGGUGAGUGUUUUAAGCUCUGUAUCCUUAGCUUAACAACUUUAGGUGGUGAAAAUUUGUUUGUAUCCUUUUGUUGUUUGCUAUGGUGGUGAGCUUGUGAUUUCUUGAGUGUGUGACGUUGUGCUUUCUCAUCUAUUGUGUCCGGUGUCAAUUGGUGGCUAAGGAAUUUCAUCAAACUACAGGUAUUGAUUAUUCAGAAACCUUUAGUCAUGUAGUAAAGUCCUCGACAGUGAGAGUAAUUCUAAGUCUGGCUGUCAUGAAAGGUUAGAAGGUUAGACAAAUUGAUGUCAAUAAUGCUUUUUUAAAUGGGGAUUUAUUAGAGGAUGUGUAUAUGACUCAGCCUGAGGGUUUUUUAUCCAAAGAAGGCUACAUAUGCAAGCUUAAUAAUGCAUUAUAUGGAUUGAAACAAGCUCCAAGAGCAUGGUAUGAUAAACUGAAAUGUUGUCUUACCACUUGGCAAUUCUUUAAUUCUAAAGUUGACACUUCUUUAUUCUUCAAAUAUGAUAUUAAAGGCAUGAUCAUUGUGUUAAUUUAUGUUGAUGACAAUUUGGUUAUUGGUCCUGACUCAACAUUACUUAAAGAUUUUAUUACUAAACUCAGUAAGGUCUUUGCUUUCAAGGAUUUGGGAUUAGUGGCCUAUUUUCCGGGUUUGGAAGUUUGUUACAUAACUCAUGGUAUGCAUUUCUCACAGACGAAGUACAUUAAGGAUCUGUUGAGUAAAGCCUCAAUGCAGGAUUGCAAGGGUUCUGAUACAUCUCUCAGCAUUGGUUUCAAACUGGAGAAAAAUGGUGUGAAGGACCUUUGGGGCAAGAAUUUGAAGAGGCAGCACUCUAUAGAAGCAUUGUCGGGGGUCUUUAGUACUUGAUUCUCACCAGACCUAACAUUACUUUCUCUGUACAUAAACUUAAUCAGUAUCUCAAUAAUCCUACACUUUAUCACUGGUUGCAAUACAAAAAAGUUCUCAGGUAUCUUCCAGUUACAACCACUCAUGGUCUAUAUCUUCAAAAGGAGGGAACACUUGAAUCUAUUGGUUUAAUAGGCUACUCUGAUGCUGAUUGGGCGUGUGAUGUUGAUGAUCGAAAAUCUAUUAGAGCUUAUUAUAUCUACCUCGAUAAUAAUUUGAUUUCUUGGUCAUCUAAAAAGUAAACUACUGUAGCUAAGUCAAGUAGUGAGAGUGAAUAUGGGACUCUAUUUUCAGCAAGCUCAUAACUCUCCUAGUUACAAUCCUUAUUGUCAGAGUUUAAUAUUGUGCAAGUACCAACUCUAAUUUUUUGGUGUGACAAUCUGAGUACUAGAGAAUUAGCUCGGAAUCCUAUUAUUCACUAUAAGUCUAAGCAUAUUGAAUUAGAUGUUCACUACAUUAGAGACAAAGUGCUUAGAAAAGAGUUGGAAGUGAGAUAUAUUCCAAGAACAAAUUGCUGAUGUUCUUACAAAGCUUUUUUCAUUUCUUAACCUCAACUAAUUUCGAUCCAAGCUCAAUGUCAUCAGCAGGCCAUUGAGCUUGAGGGGGGAUGUUAACAAAGCUCAUACUUGCAAUGUGGUCAGCAGAGCAGAGGAUCGCAGCUGCAGCAGCAGCAGAACAGAUGAUCAAAGCAGCAGCAACAUUCAGUUAUGAAUUGAUGACAUGGCUUGCUAGCUAGCACCUGAUGGUUAAGUAAUUGGUCGUGCACGUAUUAAUUAGCUCAAGCUAUUGUGAUUAGUUACUAGAAGUAGUUCAUUAGCUAUAGUUAGUUACAACAAUUUGAGCUGAGCUACAGCUUUGUAUAUAAAAGAACCUCUUAUACAUAUCAGUGUGUGUGGUUAAUAAAAAUGAUAUUCUAGAGAAUUAUCAAAUCCAAUUCCUAUUUUCCUUCAAUUUUCUCACUAGUUUCUCAGCCGCCAAACAAUAUUUUCAUUCUUUAACUUGGUGGGUAUAGCUUGAAUAACAAUUUACACCAAGGUUACUCGUCCAGCUAGGGAUAAGUGCAAUGAAUUCCUUCCCAAUGAUUUUUUAUCCACCUUAUUCACAAUCUACUGAUAGCUUGCCUUCCUAACUCGAUUAUGAAGUAAAGGCAUUCCAAGAUACUUGCUAAGGUUGUUUAUAAUAGAAAAACCACACACUGUAACGAUAUUCUUGGCCCUAACCUGCUCUACAUUCUUAGCGAAGAAAAUUUGUGUGUUUUCCUUACUGACCAUCUUAUUAGAGCUUAAACAAAAAUCUUCCAAAACUGAAUUGAUAGUUCUGGCUUGUUGGUGAGUUUCUUCCGCCAACAAAAGUAAAUCAUCUGCGAAAAAAAAAAAGAUAGGUUAGUAGAGUACUUUUUCGAGAGAGGUGGAUGGGCACGACUACAUUAUGGAUGCCAUGGCCAAGGUGCUCAAUCCAUAAACAAAAAUAUAGGGAGACAAAGGAUCCAUUUGACGAAUCCCGUGAGUUAGGGUGAAAGGAUGGGUGAGCUCUCCUUCCCGUAGAAUUUGCAUUCUCACCGUAGUAAUGCACUCUAUAGUGAGUCUAAUAAAAUCAGAGGGUAAGCCAACUUCAAUAAGCAUAUCAUGAAUAAAAUCCCACCUUAACCGAUCAUAAGCCUUCUCCAGAUUGACUUUAAUGGCCAUGAACCCACCUUUGCUACUUUUCCUCCUCAUUGAAUGGACAAUCUCUUGUGCCUUGACAAUAUUUUCAGUUAUAUUCCUCCCGGGGAUGAAAUUUGUUUGAUUAGGGCCAAUAAGUUAGGAAGGAUAGCUUUUAGGCAAUUGGUAAGGAUUUUGGUAAUUGUUUUAUAAAUGACAAGGAAAAAGUUAAUAGGUCGAAAGAGCUUUAUAAUAUCCGGUUGUUGGUUUUAAGGAUAAGGACAAUGAGAGUUUCAUUUAUUUUAGUGGGUAAGGGUUGCCCUCAAAUAUAUUUUUUAUGACUCUACACCCACGGUAUUCCAUUGGCUUUGGUAGAACAAAGCAUGCAGCCCAUCCACUCCAGGAGCCUUCCAAUGAUGCAUGCCAAAUAUGGUGCUUCGAAUAUCCCCAACAUUAACAGGCUACACCAUCUCCCUUAUCACAUCACUGUCAACUGUUGGAAACAUACAAGAGGAUGGGUAAUUGAUAAACUCCCUACCAUUAGACUUGAAACUUUUGAUGAAGUAAUGCACAAUAUGAUUUUUUAUCUCAUUUUUGUCAUAUAACCAACGCCCCUUGUUAUUUUUUAUGGCAUCCACUUUGUUGCAUCUUCUCCUACUAAUGGUUUUCCUCUGAAUGAAAACUAUAUUCCUAUCCCCACUAGAAAUCCAAUCACGUCUUGAAUUUUGAAACUAUAAUAUUUUUUUCCUGAGCAAGGACAACCUCUAACUCUUUUCUAGGCGUGGACUCAUGUUGCAUAAGCUUGUUAGAACUAUGCCGCUGAAGAGCCUUUUGAAUGCCACCUACAAGUGCAAGAAGUCUUUUUUUACGGUUAAAAAUAUUCCCAAAAGUCUUCUUGUUCCAAACCAUAACGUCCUUAGUAAAAGUUUUUGUUGCAUGAAAAUAAUUACACUCACUGUUCCAAUAGCUAGCCACAAAUUCAGUAAACUUCUCAUCCGAUAACCAAGCUGCAAGGAAGCGGAAACUUUUGAUAUUGUCCCUUCUGUUCCCAGACUUUUCAAACCUCAUUAGCACCGGACGAUAGUCAGAUUAAAUUUUUGGAAGAUGAAAAACUGAAGCUUCCUCAAAAGUCGUUAUCCAUUCAUCAUUACAAAUUGCUCUGUCUAAUCUUUUAGCUAGCAUUUCUCUAGACCAGGUGAAUUUAGAACCCUUAAACUCAAGAUCAACCAUCUUUGCCUCGUGGAACCAUCUAUUAAAUCGGCUACACACAUAAAUUCUUUUAGAUAACCCAUCUUGCUUCUCCUCAGCCUGUAGAAUGGUAUUAAAAUCGCCACGAAGAAGCCACGGCCCUUUAAUAUAACUACCCAUCUUCUCCAAUUCACUCCAUAAAUGAGUUCUAAAGACAUUAACAGGCUAGCAUAAAUAGCGGUGACCCAUGACCAUACCACAUUGGUAUCCAUGACUUUGAAAUGUAUAAAUUGUAUAUAGUUGAGGCAAUAUCGACAGUAAUUGCAUUAUUCCACAAUAUCCAUAUGCCACCAGAGAAACCAUCAGCUUUUACUCUUUGCGACCUUUCAAAUCCACUUAGCUGAAAAAACUUGUCAGCUUUCAACCCACUGACCUUAGGCUUUAGUACAGCGGCUAUGUCAACCUUAUACACAUAAAUUGUCAAACAAAUGGGCUAUCUAGAUGGUCAACACCAUCUUUAGUUGGAAAAGAAAACAAAAGAAGAAUGGAGAAUGAGGAGUCGCAAUCUAGAAGCUAUAAAUGUUUGAAGAAGAAAUAAGAGGCACACGGCUUUGACAAAAGAAAGAAGAAAAAAUAAUAAUAUAUAAUUGAUGAAUAGUGCCAAAGCUUUCUCUAUAAAUAGAAACGAAGAGAAUGAGCAAAUUCAAUUCCAUUUUGAGAGGCAUUCAAUUUUGUAGAGAGAGUCAAGAGUUGUGAGAAAUAAUUCUUGCAGAGCAGAGAGUCUAGUGAGUGAGAGAUUGGGUGUAUUGGGGUUUUGGGUUGUGAGCCAAAAUAUUACAAUACUUGUAAUCCUUAUUUCACUAGUAAAAUAUUUCCUUCUGUUUUCGCCCGUGGACGUAGGCUAAAAGCCGAACCACGUAAUUUCUGGUGUCCUCUAUUGUGCUCGUUCUUUAUUUUUCUCCCAAUUUUACUUUAGCUGCGUGUCUGCUUCACCCACCAAUUUCCUAACAUAAAUGAGUGAUUUGAAGGCUCAUCGAAAAUCUAGAGAGGAUACUCCUUGACAAUUCCAAAUGACUAUUGAUAAAUUCAUAAUAAAAAGUGUAUAUACGAAAACAUAGUAAACACGUUACAAUGGUUCCUACAUCUCAGCUUCAAGAUCCAUCUCAUCUUCAACUAAGGAAACCAUACUAUCAGAAGAGUCUAUUCCUUCCUCACCACUCUCACCCAUAUAAUCUUCAUCUUUUGAUCCAUCAUUUUCAUCCUCACCAAAUCUAUUGGGCUUGUCAGGGGGUUUAUCAAUGUCAUCCAUAGCAUUAUCAAUCGCCUUACCAGAGGGGGAAGGAGUAAGGGUUUCUUUCUGAUGGGAAAUGACUUGUUUGGUAUCAAGGGUUAAAGUUACUGUUGUGUGCUUGUCAGAGUUGACAUGCCUCUACCAUUUAAUGGGCCAUUUUUGCCACCUGAAUUGUAAUGUCGCUAAAAACCUCCUAUGUAACUCCCUCUUCUAACAUUGCCUUUUAUUUGUACAUAAUAAUAUUUAAUUCCUUUUAUUUUUCCUAACUAUCUCUACAAACUUCUCUUACAUCAUCACUUAUGUCAUUGUUUAUGUCAUCAAUACUUUAGAAUUAAAUAUUUUAUAUUAUUAUUAUUAUUAUUAUUAGUAGUUUAAUACUUAAGGGGCUUAUUAGUCUAAAGUUGAUUCUAUUAUAUUCAAGUGAGAAAGUUGUACCUGACAAAUGCAGCUCUCUAUACCUCCAACUGAGUAUGAUGCUCUCAUUAAAAAUAAUACUUGGAAUCUUGUGCCUAUAUGCUCAUCUUAUAAACUAGUUGGAUGCAAAUGGGUGUUCAGAAUCAAGUACAACACAGAUGGCUCAGUCUCUAAAUAUAAAGCUAGAUUGGUGGCCAAGAGAUUUCAUCAAACUGUAGGUAUUGAUUAUUCAGAAACCUUUAGUAUUGUAGUAAAGUCCUUGACAGUGAGAGUAAUUCUAAGUCUGGUUUUCAUGAAAAGUUGGAAGGUUAGACAAAUUGAUGUCAAUAAUGUUUUUUUAAAUAGGGAUUUAUGAGAGGAUGUGUAUAUGACUCAGCUUGAGGGUUUUGUAUCCAAAGAAGGCUAUAUAUGCAAGCUUAAUAACACAUUAUAUGGAUUGAAACAAGCUCCAAUAGCUUGGUAUGAUAAACUAAAAAGCUACCUUACCGCUUGGCAAUUUUUUAAUUCAAAAGCUGAUACUUCUUUAUUCAUCAAACGUGAUACUGAAGGUAAGAUCAUUGUGUUAAUUUAUGUUGAUGACAUUUUGGUUAUUGGUCCUGACUCAGCAUUACUUAAAGAUUUCAUUCCUAAACUCUAUAAGGUCUUUGCUCUCAAGGAUCUGAGAUUAAUGGCCUAUUUUCUUGUGUGGCAGUUUGUUUCACAACUUAUAGUAUGCAUUUCUCACAGACAAAGUACAUUAAGAAUCUGUUGAGAAAAGCCUCAAUGCAGGAUUGCAAUGGUUUUGAUACACAUUUCAGCAAUGGUUUCAAACUAGAGAAAAAUGUUAAAGGACCUCUGGUGCAAGAAUUUGAAGAGGCAGCACUUUAUAUAAGCAUUGUUGGGGGUCUUUAGUACUUCAGUCUCACCAGACCUGACAUUGCUUACUCUGUACAUAAACUUAGUCAAUAUCUUAGUAAUCUUAUACUUUAGCACUGGUUGGCAUACAAGAAAGUGCUCAAGUAUAUUCAAGUUACAAUCACCCAUGGUCUAUAUCUUCAAAAAGAGGGAACACUUAAAGUUGUUGGUUUAACAUGCUACUUUGAUGUUGACUGGGCGUGUAAUGUUGAUGAUCGAAAAUCUAUUAGAGCUUAUUGUAUCUACCUUGGUAAUAAUUUUAUUUCCUGGUCAUCCAAAAAGUAAGUUAUUGUAGCUAAGUCAAGUAGUGAGAGUGAAUAUAGGGCUUUAUCUUUAGCAAGCUCAGAACUCUCCUGGUUACAAUCCUUACUGUUAGGGCUUAAUAUUGUGCAAUUACCAACUCUAAUUCUUUGGUGUGGCAAUCAGAGUACUGGAGAAUUAGCUCGAAAUCCUAUUCUUCACUGUAAGUCUAAGCAUGUUGAAUUAGAUGUUCACUACAUUAGAGACAAAGUGCUAAGAAAAGAGUUGGAGGUAAGAUACAUUCCUAUUAAAGAACAAGUUACUGAUGUUCUUACAAAGCCUUUAUCAUUUCCUAACUUCAACUACUUUCGAUCCAAGCUUAGUGUUAUCAGCAGGCCAUUGAGCUUGAGGGGGGAUGUUAAGGAAGCUCAUACUUGCAAUUACUAUUUACAAAUGGUAUAAUCAAAAGAGGGUGUUGAAAUCUCUUAUUGAAAAGUUGAGGAUCUACAUAGCCAUGCAUUUUCCCAAACCUUGUAUAUGUCUUAUUCCCUUGUUUACGCCUAAAAAAUUGUUUGAAUAUUUAAAAAAGAAUUCAAAUAGAUUUUUUAUGUAAUAAAUGACAGAAUUUGACAAACAUUUGUAAUUAGUUAUAUUCCUCUGGUUGAAAGGUUCAAAAAGAUAUAUUAUAUGACCAAAUCGAUAUCAUUUGAGCUAUCUGACAGUACCAAAAAAAUCCUAUGUCAUAAUACCAAAUUACAUUACAAAGGGAACAAAUUAUUGUGUCAAAAGUCCUCUCUUUAGGAGUUUUCUCUGAAAACAACUAAGGAUGAGAGAUAAAAUCGAGUCGUCAUGACUCUUAAAGUCGCUCCUGGGUGGGUGGUUGGCUUUUAAUGUCUUUCGCUGGUAGAUAAUUCUCAAGGCUUGUUAUUGAAGAUAAAAAAGUUUUAGCAGUAGUGUAGUUAGGAGGUCAUAAGCAAUUUAGUUCCAGAGAGCUUCCAAGCUAAAAUAAAUGGAUUCGGAAGAGCUCAUUAAGAGGUGCAGAGCUAUUGAGAUAAGUGACGAGGAAGAAGGAUAAGUAACGUUUAAGAGCAAAAUGAAAGCUAGAGGAGAAAAAAUAGUAGCAGGUUGUUUAAUUGGGAAAGUAAUUCAUACAAGGGGAGUUAGUAUUGAAGGCUUAAAAGCUAUGAUGCAGAGGAUUUGGAAAACGUCGCGGGAGGUUAAAAUAGAAAGUCUGGGAGACAAUGUUUUCAUGUUUAAAUUUGGGUCUGAGAUGGACAAGCGAAGUGUUUUGGUUGGAGGUCCAUGGCACUUCGAUAGAGCGCUGAUUGUGGUUAAGGAACCAGCUGGGAUCGGAGAUGUAAAAAAGAUGAAUUUUAGCCAAGCGUCUUUUUAGGUUCAAAUUCACGAUGUUCCCAUCAUGUGUAUGUCAAAGGAAAUGGCACAGGAGUUGGGUCAAGUGAUUGGUAAAGUGGAAGAAGUAGAAACAGAUGCUGUGGGGGACUGUUUUGGUGAAUUUCUUAGGAUCAGAAUUUCAAUAGAUAUCACUAAGCCAUUAAAAAAGCUUAUUGAGCUCGAACAAGAAGGGGAAGAAGAACAUAUCCCGAUGAGAGUAAUGUAUGAGAAUUGGGCAUCAAUAUAGAGAAUGCACACAUUACAAAUCCCAAUCAAAUGAUGAAAUGGCUUACGGGCCAUGGCUAAAGGCAACUACCAUAACCGAAAGGUUAAAACAGAGCAGACGUAGAGAUAGAUCGGAGUCCGAACCAAGCAAAGAUUAUACAAACUCUCCAACGCCUAGGAAGGAAAACGCAAGUCAAAGUAGAAUAGAAGAGGAAAGAAACAAGCUUGGGGGAAAUGGGCAGUAUCGAGGACGAAAAUCGGAUCCAUCAAAAUCCGGGUAUGGAUAGUUUGGAUGGGGAAGUGGGUGAGGUUCAAAAGAUGAGUCAAAAGCAAUUAAUGCAAGGGGACACAAGAAACAGAGAGCCAAAUGAUAGCUGUAAGGGUAACCACAAGUUAGAUGUUAGCAACACAGCCCAUGGGAAUAGGUUCGGGGAAUCAGAAUUAAAAGGCGGGAAUGUAAAACAGCUGGAAGAAAAAAUUCAAGACAAAAAGCUGCUGGAACAGAGAAUGAAAGUUUGAAAAAUGCGGGAAUCAUUGAGCGGGAAGGGGAGUGUCCACGGAAAGAUUUAGAAGAGUUGGGCUACCAAAAAAUAAAUGGGCUGCAAACAUUAAUGGAAUCUGAGGUGGAGGACAUGGAAAAUGGGCCCAAGAUAGACAGAAUAAAAGCGAGAAAGAAAAAAUGGAAAUACUAAGUCCGAAAUAUUGAAGGAAGAAGUGAAACAAGUGAAGAGAUUGUAAAGAUAAAGAGGCCCAGUAGCACAAUGGGUUGGGAAAGCCCGAAGCCAAAAAGAAGUAAAUUUACCUGUCCUCAUAAGACUGUUUUAUCAUCACCAUUCCAGAGAGCAACGAGAGCAGUAACUAAGCUAACUUUUGAUAGAAUAUGUGAUGGGUGGGAGAGGAUUUAGAAUGUUGAAACUAAAACAUCGGCGGUGGCUGGGAGACGGCACCGCCGACAGCCAUAAAACUCUUAACCUGGAAUGUUCGGGGCCUGGGGCAAGAUCAAACAUUCCGAGAAGCCCAACAACUCUUGUAGGAGAAUAGGUCUCAAAUUUGUUUCCUUUGUAAAACAAAGAUGACGACUAGACAAAUGCAAGAAAAACGAAAGAAGUUGAAGUUCUAGAAUUAUUUUGCAGUUAGUAGAGAGGGUUUGGGAGGUGGGUUGGCAAUGCUUUGGAAUCCUGACAUCAAUGUGGAAAUCAAAUCCUACAGCAAACACCAUGUGGAUGGUGUAGUCCACAGUGAAAAGGGAAGCUACUGGAGAUGUAUUGGCGUUUACGGGCACCCGGAAUCAGACAAGAAAAAACACACGUGGGAACUGCUGAGAAGGUUAGCUGUUUUAUCUUUUCUCCCUUGGUUAUGCUUUGGGGAUUUCAAUGAGGUGUUGAACUUAAAUGAAAAAUCGGGAGGUAGAGAUAGGAGGGCAAGUAUGGUAAUUGACUUUAGGGAGGCUAUAAGAGAUUGUGGCUUGAUGGAUUUGGGAAGCACUGGGUAUCCAUUCACUUGGUCAAAUAGGCGAUUUGGGGCUCACAUUAUAGAAGAAAAGUUGGAUAAGUUCUUAGGGAACAGUAGCUGGAAGAGUUUUUUUUGAAGAAAAUGUAGCUUCCAAUUAAAUUUCGUGGAGCUCUUAUCAUAGUCCCAUAAUGAUAGAGGUGCUGGAAAAAGGGAGAGAAACAAGAUACACGAGGAAAACUUUUCAUAGAACCCACUAUGAAGAUAUGUGAAGUCCGUAUGAAAAGUGUAAGGAGAUCGUUAAGCAAGAAUGGGUGGAGAUGAGCUGCUGGAAGAAUAAGAACCCGGUUGACAGCUUUACAAGGAUUUCAAAUGAGUCUUUAGCGAGAUUAAAGAUAUGGAGUAAGGAGGAGUUUAGUGGGAGAAAAAGAGAGCUGAAACGGCUAAAGAAGAAGCUCCAAGAUUUAAAGAAUGGGUGCUAUCAUUUGGAAAAUUGGGAGAAUAUCACGCAAGUAGAAAAGUAGAUUGACAACAUCUUUCUGGAUGAGGAAAUUUUUUGGAAGCAAAGAUCGACGGCUGACUGGUUGAGGGAGCGAGACAAAAAUAAAAAAAAAUUUCACGCAAAAGCCUCAGUUAGAAAAAAGAAAAACAAGAUCAGUGGUUUGGAAGAUGAUAGUGGAAAGUGGAUAGAAGAAGAGGGGGAUGUAGAACGGCUGAUUUGUGAAUACUUUUCAAAAAUCUUUGCCACAACAAAUCCUUUGUUGGAUCAAAUGAAUGCAGCGUUAGAUGACUUGCCAGCCAGGAUUACGGCGAAGUGGGAAAGCUAUUUGGAGCAACCCUUUACAAGGGAAGAAGUUGCUGAAGCUUUAGCCCAAAUGUGUCCCACGAAAACUCUAGGCCCAGAUGGACUUCCAGCAGUAUUUUUUCAGAAACACUAGUGCUCAGUGAAAGAUAGGGUGACCACAACUUGUUUGCACGUCUUGAAUGAGGGAGGUAAUAUUCAACCCUUAAAUCACACUUACAUUGCUAUGAUUUCGAAAUUAAACAAGCCAAAGAAAGUGAUUGAUUUUAGACCUAUUAGCCUUUGUAAUGUUAGCUAUAGAAUCAUAGCAAAAACAAUAACUAAUAAACUAAAAGAGGUGUUAAAUGCUAUCAUUUCCCCUACCCAAAGUGCCUUUGUUCCUGGCAGACUCAUCACUGAUGACAUUAUUAUAGGCUAUGAGUGCUUGAAUAAAAUAAGACAGAGCAGAAGUAGUAGAAAGGGGCUGGUUGCUUUAAAACUUGAUAUUAACAAGGCAUAUGAUAGGGUGGAGUGGAGUUUUGUCAAACACACAAUGCAGAGGCUGGGAUUUUCUUCAAAAUGGGUGAAUUUGGUUAUGACUUGUAUAUCCACAGCUAGUUUCUCGAUUUUGAUCAUGUGCCAAAAAGGCUCAUCUUUCCGCAAAGAGGAUUAAGGCAAGGUUGUCAUCUUUCACCUUACAUUUUCAUCAUGUGUGCAGAGGUGUUCUCGAAUAUGUUAGUGCAGGCAAAAAACCGAGGGCAAAUUCAAGGGCUGAGAUUCAAUGGAAGCUUGUCAAUCACCCACUUGUUAUUUGCAGAUGAUAGUUUGGUUUUUGCAAGAGCAUCUAACAUGGAUUGUAUGAAGUUAAAAGACAUUUUUUAUUGCUAUACAGCUGCAUCGGGCCAGGUUUUUAAUUAUGAAAAAUCCUCAAUGUUUUUUAGCUCGAGUACAAGCCAAUUUCAAAGGGAGGCAUUCAGGAACAUAUUUGGGCUGAAUGCGGUCCCAAAACAUGAGAAAUACCUUGGUCUUCCAUCCAUGGUGGGAGAAGGAAGAUUAGCUUUUUCAAUGAAGUAAAGCUAAGGGUUUUAAACAAGCUUUCCAAUUGGCAAAGCAAAAAUUUCACCCGUGGUGGUACAGAAGUUCUCAUUAAGGCUGUAAAGCAAGCAAUUCCGGCCUAUGCUAUGAGUGUCUUUAAAAUCCGUCAAGGCCUUUGUUCUGAAAUUGAAAAAGCCAUUGCAAGAUUCUGGUGGGGAUCCUUGGAUACGCAUAGAAGCAUACAUUGGGCGAGAUGGGAAAGUUCCUUGGAUACGCAUAGAAGCAUACAUUGGGCGAGAUGGGAAAGAUUAUGCCAUGCCAAGAUAAGAGGGGGAAUUGGUUUCCGAGAUUUUUCUAGCUUUAAUCAAACCCUCAUAGCUAAGCAGAGGUGGAGAAUUCUGCACAAUCCUGAUUCAUUAAUGGCAAAAAUCUUGAAGGCUAAAUAUUCCAAACACACUAAUUUUAUGGAAACAAAGCUUGGCUCAAAUCCAUCUUUUGUGUGGAGGAGUAUUCUAUGGGGCAAACAAGUGCUUCAUAAAGGGCUGAGAUAGAGGAUUGGUAAUGGGAAUCAGGUGCCAGUUUGUGGUAGCAAUUGGGUUCAAAAUUUUGAGAUCACUGAAAAUGCCACCCAAGUUAUUGUACUAACCGAGGCAGUUGUGGCCGAUUUUAUUGACGAGAGCAAUAACUGGAGGGAAGAGUUGGUUGCUAAGUAUUUCUCUAAAGAGGCUUAGAAAGAAUACUGAGGACUCCACUUCCGAAAAUCCCAAGACCGGAUCAACUGGUACGAUCCUUUGAUAAGCAUUGUUUGUAUACAGUUAAGAGUGGCUAUCAGCAGGCUAUAAAGCUCAAAUUCCCGGACAGACCAUGUUGCUCAGAUAGCUCCAAAACUCAGUGGAAGGUAAUCUGGGCAAGUGACAUUCCGAAAAAAGUGAAAAUCUUCAUGUGGAGGGCAGCUCAAGACAUGUUACCAAUAGGGGAGAAUUUGUGGAGAAAGAAAAUUGUGGGGGAUCCGAUUUGCCAAAGAUGUUAUAAUAUGAGAGAAGAUGUGUUUCAUGCGUUAAUUGGGUGUAAGGUUGCUCGUAAGGUCUGGAAGUUGACAGAAAUUUAUGAGGAUAUCAGGCGAAUGGCCCACCAGGACAUGUUGAGUUUGCUGCAACUCGCAGUGAAGAUGAAGAAAGAGGAGAUAGAGCAAAUAAUUGUUGUUUGUUGGGCAAUAUGGUACUCAAGGAAUUGUUAUAUUAUGGAAGGGAAGAAGGAAGACCCCAUGCCUCAGUAGCAAGAGCAGAAGCUAUCGUGGCAUCCUACAGAAGAAUUAAAUCUGGAAAUGGUCAAGCUGUGUCUCAGCAUCAGCACGACAACAAGAAAACUUGGGAACCCCCCUACCAGGAAGGUACAAACUGAAUGUAGAUGCUGCAAUUCAAAUGUCUAAGCAAAGAGCGGGUCUUGGAGCAGUAGUUAGAAAUUCAAGUGGGGAGAUCAUGGCUGCAGCUGUUAAGAGAGUAGCUUUCAAAGGAAAUGUGGCAAACAUGGAGGCAGAAGCAGUGCUGCUCGGUAUUCAAGUACCUUAGAAAGCAAAUUGUGCCCAAUUUAUUGUUGAAUCAGAUUAAAAGGAAGUUGUGGAGCUCACUUUAAACAAAAAGGAAAGUUUAGCUGAAAUUUGUUGGAACAUUGAAGAAAUCCAGGCAGGGCUGAAAAACCAGGUCUCGUCAGCUAUACUUUUUGUCCCAAGAAAGUGUAACGUAAUAGCCCAUAACUUAGCUAAUGUAGCUCUAGAGUUUGAGGUUGCUGUCACCUGGAUAGGUGACUUCCUUGCCCAGGUGUUGAUGUUGUUCUCUUCUUCUUAAUCUAUUGAAAGCUUUACUUUCUCAUCAAAAAAAAAAAAAAAAUUACAUUACAAGGGAAAAAUCGUCUUUUUACAUCAAUUCAGUAACAAAUACAAGGGCAAGGUGUAAACAUGUUAAUUUCAGAAACUCGGGUAUAAAGAUGACCUUUGUAUUAUAAAGAUGGACAGUAAGGGGAACUAGAAAUAUAAAGAUGGAAUCUGGACCCCUUCGUACGAAAAUUAUCUAGCUCUAAUAAUUAAACUAAAAUAACUCAUAAGUUGUUAUUUUUCUUAUGGUUUAUAUUUGGUAUGUAACGGUUAAUUAAAAAAAUUAAAAUCUAAUUAAAUUUGGAAGACCUCUUUCUUGUGAUGGCAAGAUGGCGGUCACAUAAAGGCCUUUUUCUUGUAACUUGAGUGGAUAAGAAGUAUAUUAGAGACCCAAGUUUCAUCCCAGAAAAUAAAAAAGGAAACCAUUCACAACAGAUCUUCUUUAUGAAAACUAAAUUACUUGAUAUAUGGAACUUCUAAAUAAGGAAAAAAGCCAUUUAUACCCCAAGAUUUAGGAAAAUAGCCACAAAGACCUUCAAUUUUUAAUACCAUAAUUCCUUUUAGACCAUAAUGUCCCUCAACUCUAUAAAUCCCAAAAAAUAACUCUAAAAUUUUAUAAUAAAUAGAAAUAUGGCAUUAAAAUAAAUGUAAUAAUAUAUACAUUUCAAAAUAAUUUUAAUAUUUAAAAAUAUUUUAAUAUUUUUCAAUCCAUGAGACCCAUUUUAUUAUAUUAAAGUAAUUUUUAAUAAUAGAUAGAAACAUAAUAUUAAAAUAAAUAAAUUAAAACUAAAAUUAUUUUGAAUAUUAUGUAAAGUUUAAUUCUAAUAUUACUAAUAGGGAGAUUUUUUUAAUUGUAAAAUCUAUUUAACCCAAAGAUUUAUUUAAAAUCUUUAUAACAUUACAAAUAUAUUAUUAAAAUAAAUAUAAUAAUUUAAAAUUUUAAUAUUAUUUUAAAUAUAAAAAAUAAUUUAAUAUUAUUAGUCUACUAGACAGAUUAUAUUAUUUAUAUUAAAUUUUUGUUAAUUAAAAAUCAUUAAAGUUAAAUUUUUAAUUACUAUAAUUAAAGAGUUUUAUGGAUAAAAAAGGAUUUUGAUGUCCUUUUAUUAAAACUUGCCAAUUUUUAUGAUCAUUUUCUCAAACUUUAGAGAUGUAGGUGUCUUUUUUUCUUUAAAUAACCAUGCCACAGAGGAUUAGAAAUCGUUGCAUUCUAUGGUGCAUAUAGAUUUUAGAAGACCGUCAUAAUUUUCUUGUCAAAUUAAUCUGAAUUAUCCAAUUUUCUAUAAUUUCACAAAUCAACUGGUUUACUUUAAUUUGCUCUUUUCUAAAUCGACUGUUUAGUCCCAAAAACACGGAAAAUUCACCCAUGAUUUCUUGUUAUUUCUAUCCAUGGUAAUCUGCUUGGAUCAUUCAUUUGACAAUAUGACUGUUCCGUUUAUUGUGUUUUCUCCGCACAAUCGGACUGAAUGAUAAAGCAUCGUCCGAUUAUGUGGUGUAGAUUUUAAGGGCAUUUUAUCUCGUCUCUUAUUACUAUUGUUUGCAUUUUCUGUGAAGACUGAUUUGGAUGAUGAGAACGAUUUCAGAGAAUUAUCGUUUGAAUAUGGCGGAACACCAUUUUUCUAGCUCUAAAUUUUCUGUGGACUGCAAUUCAGGUUGCAUAUUGAACCAGGUGGGGCCUUGUAAAAACUGAAAAUAAGAACAUGUGUUUAUCAUUUUCUAUGGGUUUGCUGAUAGCCUGAUACCGCUCGAAAUUAUGCGAUGCUCAUUACGCUCGACAGAUGGCCGACAAUUAUUCAUUUCUUUUUUUGUUUUGUUUUAUUCACAAAACAACCGCUCAAGUCAAAUCAAAAGUGGAAAAAGAUUUUCCACGUCUAAAGCAAAAGCUAGAUAGAUAAUUACAUACGACAAUAAUCAUGUUGUAAUGUAUAUAUAUAUAUAUAGGUUUUGGCAAGAUGACAAUUCGUACGGUGAUAAAAAUGCUUGAUCUUAUCAGAUCGAUAAUGACAAGGCAACGUCCGAUUUGCUAGAGAUUUCACGAGCUAUGUUCAUCAUGCCUCUCUUGUCGCAAUUACGAGAAUUGAUUUGGACGAGAGCGACUUUAUUGAAUUAUUAGUUUUUUUGAUGGUCCAGGCUCAAAAUAUAUUCAUCACUAAUUUAACGUAUAAAAUAAAGAAAGAGGAAAUAGACAUUAUAAAUAAACAGAGUCAGGUUCCAAUUGCUGAAAUGAUUGAUUAAACAACCAGAAUCAUACUUUGAAAAAGUAAGAUAAAAGUCAAGUAAUUAAUCGGGUCAAUCUUUCUGGAGCGUAAAAAAUAAAGUAAUGUAUGAUGUGGCUGGAAAAGAAUAAUGAUAUGUGACCCUUAAUAUAUUUCAACCGCUCACUUAAUUUCCAAAAGUACCCUGACGUGUGACCCUUAAUAUAUUUCAACCGCUCACUUAUUAAUUAUCCCUAGUAAUUUCUAAAAGUACCCCUGCUCAUUUAGUUUAAUUCUGCAGCUCCAAACUUAAUUUCAAUUCUAAGUGUUGGCCAACAAUGGUCUCGGAACUGAGAAUAUGACUUUUCAUAAUAUAAUGCAGGCAAGUAGUGCAAAUAUUAACACUAAAAUAAAUAAAUCAAUACAAAUUGCAAACAAAAAGUAGGGGAAAUAAAACCGCCGAAAAUAUUAGAAACCUUGGAGAAAGAUUGCUGGGUCGUUGGAUUGUUGGUGUCGGUAUUGUCUUGGCAAGCAAACGCGCCAAUUUUCAAUCUUUAAUUUAGAAAAUCAAUUGUUGUGGUGGGCGUUUGGCAGGGGAGGAAAUGAAGGAAAUUGAUGGAGAAUGAGAGAAGGGAGAGAAGGAAAAAAUGGGCACUUUUUGAAAAUAAACAUUAUUUUACUAAGUAUAUUUUAAUAAUUAUUUUAGAUAUUUUAAGUUAAAAUGAGAAAAAUAGGGGUUAGUGAGAUAAAUUAUGGAGGUCAAAUAUCACUAUUCUCUUAAAAAGAGUGAAGUUGUUGACAGUCCUUUAUAGUCUUUAUAAAACCUCACCUCAAAAAAAAUUAUAGUGAAGGAGAAAUAAGAAUUAAGCAUACGUAAGUUUUCUCUCCCCCCCCCCCCCCCCAAAAAAAGAAAAAAAGAAAACAUAAGCAAUCUUUUUCUCUUUUUAAUUUUCUACUUGUUUCUUCCUAUUUAACUAAGAUAAAUUGUACAAAUUUAGAAUAAUCCAUUAUUCUUUUCAUAUUUCUUAUUUAUUUAAUAUAUUUUAUGCUUAAAAUUGCUUUUCAAAUUAAAAUUUAGAAUAUGUGUAAUUUAAACCAAUGACUAACAUCAAAAAAUUUAUCACCCAAAAAAAUUUUAAUUUCUAUGUCCAGUAACAAUAAGAUUACAAAAUAAAAAGAAAAUAGCAUAAUAAUACAUUGAGUUUUAACAAAAUAAAAAAUUAGAAAUGUAUUUAAAAAGAAGAAAAUUUUUAAAAUGAAAAAAAUAUAACUGACAAAAAAUGGGGUUUUAUGAGGAUAUUAGGGGGUGCCGAUAGUUUAACUUUCUUUGGAUAUCAAAAUUAUGCCCAAUGCCUAGGGCCUUGUACAGCCCGAAGGAUUUUACUCAAUGGGCAAGCUAGUAUUUGGGGGUAAUAAAAGUUCAAACAAACUUUGAAAAAUAAAUGGUUUCAAUACUACAUUACAAACUGUUCAAAGUCGUAUAUAUUUAUUCCGAUUUCAAAUAAAAUAUCAAACGCCUGCUUAAUUAUAAUAUAUAUAAUUAAGUAAAAUCCUAAAUAUUCUGUAUUAAUAUAAUGUUCGGUUUAUGGUGUAAGUUAAAAAGCUAAAGCUAAAUGUUUCUUUAACCUUUUGGAAAUUUGAGCCAAUUACUUAGGGUGGAUUCGUGGCAGCGGCACAUCAGCUCGACCACUUAUAUUUUCAUUUAAAUCCAAACGCACCAUUAGUUGGCCCUUGUGGUUAAAAUCAUCUUUAUUACAUAUCUAUUUCAUUUACAAGCUACUCACUUACUCUUUACUUUACUUGCUGCAUGUUGGAUUUGAUUUAAAUGUUAAAUUACAUAUCUUAGAUAAAAAUUAUUUUUUAGCCUUGAGAAGUUGGAUCCAACAAUUAUGUUUUGAGUAAUUUUUAAAUUUAGAGUUUUAUUUGAAUUAUUGACCAAUGCGCUAGUGCCUAAAUGAAAAUUUACCAAAAAGAUAAAAAUAAAUUACAAAUAUCAAUUUCUUUUUUAUAAAGUAAAAUUGAAAUACAACUUGCUAAAGGAAAGAAAACUUUGUGAAUUUAGAUAGAUUUCUUUAGAUUAUCUUUUAAUUAUCUUUUACGACAUGCGUAUUUAUAUCAUUAUAUAGUUAAGUUUCUUAUUACCAAGAAAAUCACAUCAACACUUGAUCAAAAUUUUAUUUAUCAAAUACUAAGAAGAUAUUAGAUUCCUACUUUUAUAACAAGUGAAAUCUAGUUUCAAUUUAUGCUUUACAAAAGGUUAAAGGAAAAUUACCAUUUUCCCUCCUGCAGAUGGUAAAUGGAAAAAGACAUCUACACCACUAAAGUUUGGAAAAAUAGUUAUCAACACUCCAAGUUUUCAAAAAGGGAUACCAAGACCCUCUUUUAACCAUCUCUAUUAUCUUAAAAAAAAUGACUCUAAUGUUUUAUAAUAAAUAUAAAUAUAACAUUAAAAAUAAAUGUAAUAAUAUUUACAUUUUUAAAAAAAAUUAAUGUCUAAAAAUAUUUUAAUAUUUUACAAUCUACUAGAUAUAUUUUUUAUAUUAAUGUAAACUUUAUAAUAAAUAGAAUCAUAAUACUAAAAUAAAUGUAUUAAAAUUUAAAUUAUCUUGAAUAUUAUGUAAAAUAAUCGUUUCAAUGUUAUUAAUAUGUGAGAUUUUUUUUACUUGUAAAAUGUAUUUAAUGCGAAUAUUUAUUUAAAAUCUAUAACAAAUAAAAACAUAUUACUAAAAUAAAUAUAAUAAUUUACAUAUUUAAAUUUAUUAAAAUAUUAAAAUAUUCUAAUAUUGUUAGUUUUUUGAUAGAUUACACUAUUUAUAUAAUAUUAGCAUUUAUAAAAAAAAAUUAAAGUCAUUUUCUUGGGAUAAUAGAGGUAAAGGGUAUAAUGAUCAAAAGAAGGUCUUGGUAUCAUUUUUUGGAAACUUGGGGGUGUUGAUGAAGGCACAUCAAAAAUAUUACAAUACUUUGAAAUCUACCAUUUUUAUAAACUAAAUUUGUAAAAUGCUAUUUUUACACUUUGUUGUUAACAAGGAAUCCGUUAGUGAAUUUGUUUGAAAAGAUGUUUUUAUCCUUGAAAUGUAAUUUAACAUUUUGAAGUAGAAUAUUUUGAGGAAAUGAAGUCAAAUUCAUAUGUAUAACAAAUAUACAUAUAAAGCCCUCAAUGAGAGGAACAAAAAUUUAAAGUAAAUAUUUUACCACGUUCUAUUGUUUUUGAGGAAAAUGACACAUGUAUCUCCAACACCCCCAUAUUUUCAAUAAAUGAUGCCAAGAUCCCUUAUUGACUAUAAUACCCUUUAUUUACUCAAAAAAAUGACUCUAAUUUUUUAGAGUAAAUACAAAUAUAAUAUUAAAAUAAAUGUAAAAAUAUAGACUUUUUAAAAUAAUUUCAAUAUUUAAAAAAUAUUUUAAUACUUUACUAUCUUAUAUUAAAUUAAAAAAUUAUAAUAAAUAGCAACAUAAUGUUAAAAUAAAUAUUUAAAUAUUUAAAUUGUUUUCAAUAUUAUAUAAAAAAAUUUAAAUAUAAUUAAUUAAUAAGAUUUAUUCCAUUAAUUGUAAAAUCUAUUUAACCAAGGGCAUGUUUGAUUUGAAGAAAGGGGAAGAGAGGAAAAGAGUGGAACGGAAGGGAAAUGAGAAGAAAUGAGUGAAGGAAAAUAGUGAAAUUAAAUUUCAUUGUUUGGUUUGACAUAAAAUUUGAUAGGAAAAAUAAUUACAAUUUUUUUUUUUGGACAAAUUUAUUCUUUGCCUUAAAUACUAAACUAUCUAUAUUGGCAAUGAAAUAUAAUUUAAUAUCAAUACCACACUUUUUCAAUGUCAAAAAGUCCUAAAACAAUUCAUGAUUUAUUAGAAUAAAAUAAAAUGGAGGUUUGGAGGAAAUCGAUGGCAUUUCGACAGAAAUUAGUGGCGGCCGAUGACAUUCCAGUAGUGGUCCGGUGGAGUUCGGGUGAUAGUCUGGCGGAUGUUUGGCGAGGAUUGACCGGAGUUUCGGCGACGGUUAAUUUUUAUUCCUAUAUUUUCAUAUUAAAUAAAUAAGUUUAUUUAUUUUGUUAAGUUUCUUAAAUCAUUCAUUAAAUUUAAUUAAUAUAAAAUUAUUUAUAACAUUAAAUUGAUGAAAUAAAAUUAUAAAUAAUAAUUACUAAGGGCAUUAAAUAAGCUAAAACGUUGAAGGGUAAUUUUGGAAGUUUUGGUUUCCAAUAUAAGAGGAAUUUAAAUUCUUCACUCCUUAGUGUGGAAAUCAAAUUAUACAUUAUGAUGGAUAUUAAAUUCUAAUGGAAAUUAAAUUCUUAUAUAUUUUGUCUAGCUAAUCAAUGAAAAUAAAAAUAGAACUUAAAUUAUUUCUCUCCUCCAUUCUAUGCUCCUAACCAAACAAUGCCUAAAGAUUUAUUUAAAAAUUUUGUAAUAAAUACAGAUAAAUUAUUAAAAUAAAAUAAUAAUUUGUAUUCUAAUGUUAUUUUUAUAUAUUAUAAAAUAUUCUAAUAUUCUAUUAGAUAAAUUAGAUUAUUUAAAUUAUAUUUAUUUAAAUUAUAUUUGUCUUUAUUAGAAAAAUCUAAAGACCAAUUUUUUAAUUACUAUUUACAAAGGCUAUUAUAGUUAAAAGGGGAUUUUGGUGUCCCUUAUUAAAUUCUUAAAGGUAUAUAACUAUUUUCUCAAACUUUAAGUGUAACUGUGUAAGUGUUCUUUUUCCUUGUUUGUGCCUCAAAAACUUAUUUCAAUAUUUAAAAAAGACUUCAAAUAGAUUUUUGAUGCAAUAAAUGACAGAAUUUGGCAUACAUUUGUAAUUAGUUCUAUUCCUCACGUUGAGAGGUUCAAAAAGACAUGUUAUAUGAUCAAAUCUGAUAUCAUUUGCCCUAUCUAACAAUAUCAAACAAAUCCUGCAUCAUAAUAUUAAAUUACAUUACAAGAGAAAAACUGUCUUUUAGAAACUUGGGUAUAAAGAUAAAUUUGUUACUGUUGUAAUAUUUUUGGCCUUUGUCAUCUAUAAGGUGAAAAAAGAAAAUAGUAAUUUCCCAAGUUCAAAUAUGUGAUUGAAUAUGUAUAAAUCAUAAAAUCAAUAAUAGAAGCAGAAGCGACUCCGCACUGACCCCACUUGUCAAAUCACGAUGAUGACUUUGGAUAACAAAUCAUGCCAAAUGGACAAAAUUAAAAAGAACUACUGAAGAUAAAAACUGACUUAAAUUAUGCACGUUUUUUCGCAUGCAACAAUUCGAUCUUAUCCUCAUCUGAGCUUAGUCUCUAGAGCUCUAUAAAUUCGAACUCUUCUAUGUCAAACUGAUCAAGUAACUCACUCAAACAGCUCUCUGAAAGAUAACAAAAUGAAUACUCCUUUCGUGACUGCAAUCUCCUUCCUUCUCCUCUCCUUUGCCACAAAACCUCUUGUGGCACACCCUGAUCCUUUGGUUGAUGUCAAUGGCAACGAGGUCGAAGCAUCCCGAGACUACUAUGUGGUCUCACUAAUUUCAGGAGCAGGCGGCGGUGGCCUCACCCUCUUCAGGGGCAGAAACGAACUCUGCCCGCUUGAUGUUAUCCAACUAAGUUCCGAUUUACGAAGAGGAACACGUUUAAGAUUCGCAACGUACAAUAACACUAGAAUUAUCCAUGAAAACGUGGAUCUGAACGUGAGAUUCUCGACGGCGACUCGCUGCAACGAACCAACAGUAUGGAAAGUCGACAACUAUGAUCCAUCAAGAGGCAAAUGGUUUAUAACAACUGGCGGCAUUGAAGGAAACCCUGGAGCUCAAACUUUGAAAAACUGGUUUAAGUUUGUGAGAAUUGGGAGAGAUCGAGGUGAGUAAGAAGGAUAAAUUCUUAUUUAGUCCUUUUAUCCUGAUUUAAGUAGCCGUUUGAUCCUUCUAUUUUAAAAAAUACCGCAAACCCUUAUAACGAAAUAUGUUGUAUCUCAUCCUUACUUUUUCUUUCAUUUUAAAAUAAUAUCCUUAUGACAAUAUUAUCAAUAUUAAUUUAUUUAUUUAUAAAAAAUUAAUUAAUAAAUUAACUAAUAAAUAUUUAUUAACAGAUUAACCAAUAAAUUCAGUGUGAACAAAUUAAUAUUUUUGCACUUAUACAAUAAUUUUACUAAUAACUAUUUUAGAAUUUUUAUUAAAAGUAAAAUAAUAACAUAAAAGUUUAAGUAUGUUUCUUUUUCCUUUUAAGGUUAAUUCAAUGAAAUGUCAUUUUUUAUCUUCAUUAAUAUCCUUAAGAAUAUUAUUGUAAGGAUAAUAUUGUAAAAAAAAAAAGUAAGGACAGUAGUGUCAUCACAUAUUUAAGAAUAAGAAUGUCAUGGAAUUUCGUUUUAAAUAUAAAGACUAAACGAAUACUUAAUUAAAAAAUAUAAGUAUUAAAGGAGUAUUUACCCUGAAUAAUAAUGAUUCGUGAACACAAAAUUUGAAAGGGUUCCUCUAUGAUGAUGUAAUUUUUUUACAGCAUCAAUAAUGUUUUUAAUUGUGACCAUUGGAUUUAAUCAAUGGUACACAAUAUUUGUAGUAAAAACAAAUAAUGGUAAACGGUUAGCAAACGUGUAACGGUGGAGAAUUUUGUAAAAUAACUAUGACCAUCCUUAGAGUUUGAAACAAUUUCACUUAAAUAACAUAUUUUAUUUAAAAUUAUUUUUCAAUCCUCCUUUAAAUUUGAAAUGUGAUAAUUUUUUUUAAAUAAAUCUUCCAAAAUCUAUUACCAUUAAGUAUAAAAUAUAAUGGUAGGUUAUUUAAACACAAAUCAAAUAAAUAAGUUGCAAUUGUAAAUUUUAUAUAUGAUAUAAUAGUAAUAAAUAACACAACUAAGUACAUAUAAUUAAGUAAAUGUCAUAGUUACAUCAAUAAACUCAUUGUUGAGAUUGCUUGUAACAUAAAAAAGUACUUGAUCACACAUGUUUUAAUAAAAUUUAAUAUUGUAUAUUAAAAUACUCAUUAUUUUAUAUAAUAUUAAGGGUUAUUGUAUAAUUGAUCAUGAAGUAUGUAUUAUUUUUAACACCCAUUUAACAUACUUAUUCUCUGAACUUUAUAUUUAUCUUACAAUUAAUAUCCUUACAUGAUAGGAAUUUUAAGUUUUAUAAGCCUAUAUAUUUUCAUUUUAUUUUCAAAUAUCACUUUGUUAAUUUCAUAAAAGUUAAAUCUAAUAUAUAUUCCUAAUGAGCUUUAAUUUAUUAAUCGUGAAAGAUUAUUUUAUUGAUAUCAUUUGAUUGUAAUUAUAAAAUUUUAUGUUAUUAAGAGUCAUUACUUUUGUUAUGAUAAUUAAUAGUGACAAUAAAUAAAAUAUUGCCUCCAAUAAUAUUUACGUGGGAAAAAAAAUGAAAGAAAAUCAUUUAUAUUUUUAGAUUUUUAUUGACAUGGUAGGAAAUUAUCCUAGCCUUAUAAAAUUUAACUUCCACAAGCUUGUUUUCAUUUUAUUUUCAAAUGCCACUUUGUUAAUUUCAUAAAAGUUAAAUCUAACACAUAUUCCUAAUUAACUUUAGUUUAUGAAUCAUGAAAGAUUAUUUUAUUGUUAUUCUUUGAUAGUAAUUAUAAUUUUUUUAUGCUACGAAGAGUCAUUACUUUUAUUAUGAUAAUUAAUAGUGACAAUAAAUAAAAUAUUACAUCAAAUAAUAUUUAAUGGACAAAAUGAGGAAAAAAAAUCAUUGUAUGCUUUUAUAUUUCCAUUAUAAAGAUAUGGUUUGAGAUACUUUAACUUAUAAUUUUGGCACAAUAUUUGAGCCACUAAUAUCUCAUAGUCUAAUGGUUGAUAUUGAAAGUUAAAGCAACAUUUCAUAAUGUUAUAUCCUCCACCAUUGAAUUGCAUGAAAUAAAUAGUUUAAUUUUUUGAUAAAAAUUUAAAUCAAAAUAUUUCUCACUCUAUAGUUAUAUAGACAUAUAUAUUUUUCAAUAAUAAUUGGUGAAUAAAAUAUUUUUCAUUUGUUGUGACUCAUAUAGUAUUGUUAAUAAAACACAUAUAAAAUAGUUUAUUGCAAUACUUUCUAUUAUCAUUAUUGUUUAGGUAUUAAUGGUUUGUAAUUAAAUUCAUACAAUACAAAUUAUUACAAGACUUUGUGUUAAAUAACCUGCUUGAUAUUAUAUUUUAUACUUAAUGGUAACUGAUUUUGGAAGAUUUAUUUAAAAGAGAUUAUCAUAUUACAAAUUUAAAGGAGGGCUAAAAAGUAAUUUUAAAUAAAAUAUACUAUUUAAGUGAAAUUGUUUCAAACUCUAAGGGUGGUCACAAUUAUUUUACAAAAAUUAUCCACCCACUUGUACGAUUACCAUUAUUUUUAAAUUAUUUUUUUAGUACAAAUAGUGUAUACCAUUGAUUAGAUCUAAUGGUUCACAAUUAAUACAUUAUUGAUGUUGUAAAAAAAAUUACAACAUCAUAGAGGAACCCAAUUUGAAAAGAUAAAUAAUGACAAAGUGCGACAAAAUCAUCUCACUUAUCCUGUAUUGAUUUUUUUUUUUACUGAUUUUACAAAAUGUCAUGAAAUUUUUUUUAAAUAUAAAAACUAAACGAACACUUAAUUAAAAAAACAUAAGUAUUAAAGGAGCAUUUACCCCGAAUAAUAAUGAUUCAUGAACACAAAAUUUGAAAAGACAAAUAAUGAAAAAGUGCGACAAAAUCAUCUCACUUAUCUUGUAUUGAUUUAUUUUUUUUUACUGAUUUUACAAAUUUUAUAUUUAUGUAUCAUUGCUCUUUCCAGAUGCGUACAAGAUUGUUCAUUGUCCUUCCGUUUGCGAAUCCUGUGUAUCCUUAUGCAAUGAUGUUGGGGUUUCUUACGAUGAUAAUCGACGUUUGGCUCUUACUAAGGAGCGCGCGUUUGCUGUUGUUCUAUUCCCGGCUGAUGAGAGAUCAGCCUCAUGCGUGUCUUGAAUGCCCUUGUACCAUUACUCUAAAUAAUGGACCGCGCUAGCUCCUUGACGCUUAUAACAUAAACAAAAAUGUCAUUGCUAGCUAGCCUAUGUACCUUUGAACGGAAACUUGUAGUAGCAUUAAAUAAAAGCAGAAUUUUGACUGUUUAAUCUCUUACAGAUUUGAUUAUGAUUGAGGAGUUAUAACUUCAAAAAAAAAAUAAAUAAAUAACCUCGACAGUGAUAAAAAAAUUAUUUUUUUUAAAAUGAAAUACUUCAAUCAACUAUGAUAAUAUUUAGAGAAAAUAUCAUUGCACUACUUUUUUUUAUUUGAUAUUCUUCCAACUAUCAUAAAAUUUUAAUAUGUUCUCUGCAUUAUUUUUCUUUGUAAAUUUUUAUUAAUUAAUUAUUUUUGUACUAACACUUUUAAAUAAUUUAAAUAAAAUGAUAAUUUUACCUCUAAAUAAAUUAAAAGACUAUUUUAUUUUAUAAAAAUUUGAAAAUAAAAAUUAUAAUUAAAAAAUACUCCUAAAUUUAAUAAAGAAAUAAAUCUCAAAAUUAGAAUUUUUAUUUUUAAUAAAAAAAUAUAAUUAUAAAAAUAAUUACAACAUUUUGGGAUUUAAUAAAAAUCCUCUAAAUUAUUAAAAUUUUGGGAUUUAUUUUUUAAUAAAUAAAUUCAAUUAUUUUAAUAAAAUUUUGCAAAAUUAUAAAUUUUUAAUAAAAAUAAUUAUUAAAAUUUUUCAAAAUCUAAAUUUAAUAAAAAUCAGCUGAGCACCUCUAUUUUUGAAUUUAUUUUUUAUUAAAUUUAGAGGCAUUUCUAUAAUUAUAUUUUUUAUUUUUCAAAGUUUUUAUAAGAUAAAAUAAUUUUUUAAUUUAUUUAGGGGUAAAAUUGUCAUUUCGUUUAAAUUAUUUAACAGCAUUAGUGAAAAAGUGACUAAUUAAUACAAAUUUAAAAAAAAAAUGUGAUGCAGAGAACAUGUUAUAAUUUUAUAAUAGUUGGAUGAACAUAAGGCAAAAGAAAAAUAGUGCAAUGAUAAUUUCCCUAAUAUUUAUAUGCAUUUUCAUGGGAAGAGCUGAGAAAUUAAAAUUCUUGCAAGUGAUAGGCUUAACCAUUACAGUUAAGAAAAAAGUUGUGACAAUCAGCUUAUUCAGAUAUCUAUAUCUCACAAUAAUGGAUCUUAUCCUAAUUAACAGGCUUUAAGACAAUGAACCACACCGCGUAGUUAAACACAUUUCAAUUGUCUUGAACCAAACCGUGAAACAGAUAUCAACUGUCUUGAUGCAAAUAAUUACGAGUAAUAUCUUGCUUAAUAUUUUGGACCGUUUGUUAAUGAAUGCAAUGUACAGAGUAUCUUUAAUUCUUAACAAGGAUUCGUAAGGGUAAAUAUAUUACAAUAUAUAGUAUUUGAGUCAGAUCAAUCCUAGAUAUUUUAUUAGAAUUUGCCUUGUUUUUUAUUUGUAUUUGAGUUUUUUUUUUUUUUUUUUUUUUUUUUCUCUCUAGCUAGUAUAGUUUAUAUAUAUUAGACCGGUAACCUUUUUCUAGACUAUUUUAUUAGAAUUUUCCUAUAGACGUACUCUUACUUAAAAUUUAGCUUAAAAGUUGAGAGUUACCUCAAGUUUAAUUAUUAGACCAGAAAUAGGAUACUAAAAAAUAAAAAUAAAAAACAACUUGACUUGAUCCCUAAUAAUAAACUAGCCUCGGCAUAUUUAUUAAACACUCAGGCCAAGUUCUGGUUCAUGCCUCACCUUAAAAAGCUUGAUACUAAACCGAAAGCUAGAAAAAUGCUAGAAAAUAAAAAUAUAAUUUAUUUCAAUCAGAUUUAUCCAACCAAUAACAUAGACUUAAAGUUCUAAAUCCUUUGACCCAACUUUUAAAUCCUAAUCUAAUAAAAACAAAAUUUCAUAAAGUACGAAGCUAUUUUACAAAUUUAAUUUAAUUUAUAAAAACACCUUUUAAUAUAUUUAAUAGUUUAUAACGUUUUAUUUUUAUUAUAUAGGCCUUAAAAGUUGGGGCUGAAGGAUUUAAAUGUUGUUAUGGAUGGGUUAAAUAGAUACAAAAAUAUAUAUUUUAACUUUACUCGUUUUUAAGCAUUUUUCUUGCUUUCAAGCUGGAUUCAGGUUUUUUAGGUGAGACCCAAGGCCAACAUAAAAUGUUUAGAAAACAUGCCCAGGCCAGGCUACCUAGGCUCGGGUCAAGCGGAUUUAUUUUUCCAUCCUUAGUAUUGAACUAAUAAUAUAACCUUAAGAUAACUAUCAAUUCUUGAGCUAUCUUUUUAUUAUGAAUUGGGCCUAUAGGCUUCUAUACCAUGAUGAAACUCACAAAUUUAUUGUUGAUUGAAAAAAUAUUUAACAUCUUAAUGUGAUCCUUUCUAAUUACAUUUAUUUUAUUUAUGAAAUUAUCCCUUUUUUAAAAAAAAAUACAAUCUUUUAGCUUUCAAUUCAGCUUAAAAAAUUUUCUUGGCCAUGAAUUUUUGGAUGUCAUUCAUUGGUUUAAAUUAAACUAUUUCAAAUCAUAAUUUGAAAGGAACUUAACUAAAAAAAUACAUAAUCAGUAAAAAAAAUGGGGAAAAACCAAUAAAUUAUUUGAAGUCUAUUUUGGUUAGAUAGGAAGUGAUAAAUAGAAAAUUAAAAAAAAAAAGGGAUUGAUUAUGAAUUCAAAUAAUUUGUUGGAAAAAAAAAUAUGUGUGUUUAAUUCUUAUUUGUCUUUAACUAUAAUUUUAUUUAAAGUGGAGUUUUAUAAGGAUAACGAAGGGGUACCAAUAACUUCACUUAGAAAAUAGUUUUUGGUCUAAUGAUAUGAGUUUAAGGCAACGUUAACUCUUGUUUUAACUUUUUAAUAUGAGUUAAACUUAUAAACUUCAAUAUGAUCACGUCAUGACCCUCUACAUCAAAAAGAUCUUAUUAUAUUUCAUUUUUUUUUCUUUUACUAAUUGUUGAAAAUAAAGACUAGUAUAGAUAAGGGUAACAAUUGAUUUUUGUAAGCAUCAAGGCUUAACUUAUUGAUGUAGGAAGUUAAUUUAUGUUAUUUUAGGUAAUUUAGGAUUCUAGAAUAUUUAUUGUUUAAAUAUUUUCUAUUUUAAUUUGAGUCAAUUAUAGUAUGUAUCUUAGUCUUUUAUUUCCAUUAUAAUUGUGAUUUAAUUUCCCUUUUUAAGUUAACUUAGGAAAGUGAAUUUUCUCUAUUAUAAAUAGAGAGGUUUUGUUAUUGUUUUGGGAUCUUCAUAUUCAAUUAUACACAUAAUUUUCUUUCGGAUGAUCUAUUAAAAUCUCUCUUGUAAAGUCGUUUGGAUUAGAGCAUUAUUUAAUCUCGCAUUACGCGUUAUUAAAAAUCUCAUUGAGUCGUUGGAUUAGAUCUCGAACAAGAUCUAAUCAUGUCUCGAUUAGAGUGUAAGCUAAUCGCGCGUUGGCUUAGUUCAGUACUAAAAUGAUAUCUAGUGUUUUCUAUUCGAUCAAUUCCACUUCCACUACGCUCGUUCCAUCAAUUGGUAUUAGAGCGGUUCUGUGCAAUUCGCACAGCUUUCCUAGAUACCUAAAUCCUCUAGAUCCACUCAUAUCAAAUCCACCACAAAAAAAGCACAAAAAUUAAAAAUUCCCAAUUUGACAAAUUAACAAACCCUAGCCGCCACCACACUCCACCCACUGCCGCCACCGAACCACGGCCACCAUCAUCACUAUUCAACCCACCACCAGACUCGCCAUCAUUCGGCGGCCAAACCCCAGCCAUCACCACUUAACCGCCAACUGAACCACCACAAAUCGCCAACCCUAACUCGCAGCUCCACCGAUCAAUCCACCACCGUUUAGCCACUUUCACCGCCAGCCAACAUUGCCAUCAAACUCACCAGCCACCGCCGGCCAAAUCCCAGCCAGCUUCGCCUUCAGCCGCUGCCAUUUAGCCACCGCACAAAAGCAACCAAAUCCCGCAAGCCAUCACCCUUAAACCUGCUGCCUACAACCUUCACCACCGUCGACCAGUACCGCUGCCACACUCUGUUGAGUGUUAAAAAAUGUAUAUUUAUAAAGGAGAAAAUCGUCAUUUUACAUUUCAAGUCUUACUAACAACCCUUACUUUUAUGUAUUUAAAGUUCUUGUAAUUUAAUUAUGUGUGUUUUAUUUUAAUUAAGUAUUUUGUGUAUUUUAGGGCAUCAUAGUCAUUUCACAAUAAACGAGAGAUCAAACGGCAAAACGGACAUCGCUUUUGAACUCAGGACGGUCGAAAACCUUAGGAGGAGCAUAAAAGGAAAAAUGGCACUGUUCACAUGUACGGUACUAUUCACAUAUAUAAUACUGUAUACGUUACUGUUCACGACACUGUUCACAUAGACGGAUCAAUGACGUGGCAUUGACCAAUGAUGUGGCAUUGGCCGAUGAGGUGUUAUGAUCCCGUUGGUCUAAAAUUCUUAUGAACUGUUGAUGGUGACGUGGCAGCAUAUUAGUGGACUAAAACUUGCGAGUACAGUACAUGCAUUAAACAAGAUUAUUUUCAACCAAACCGCGUUACUAUUCAAAGCCGGGUCAAACCGUGUUACUGUUCACCCGCGUGGUCAAACCGCGUACUGUUGACUGAUGACGUGGCGCAAUCCUGAGCGUCCAAACUGUUUUUAAUCCGAUGGCCAUGAUUUACUCAAUGUAUCUAUAAAAAGGCCCCCUAAUUGGAUAUCUCUGAAUCCAUUUGUGGACUCCAUUUUCUGUAAUUCCUUCUCCAUCUUGUAUUUUCUACGUAUUUUAAUAAAUUUCCAUUUUGCCCCUAGUUCAAUUAUGAGUAGCUAAUUUUCUUUCAAGCUUGGGUUGAAGGUGAAAUCUCAACAUGUGUCAUAGGCUUUAUUUGGUAAAUUUACUUUCUCUUCCCCUCUAAUUUUUGUGGAUGUUUUGACUUUCAUCGACAAAUAAUACUAAUAUUGUCUAGUACUGCCUUGGUUUCACCGGCCCCCUAGUACAAGGUUAUUAUUAUUUGGCACGAUAAGCCCUUAGCACCAUAUUGAUUAGAGCGUGGUUCAUGAGGUGUGGAUUCCCCCCUCAUGAUUUAAUUGGCAUUAAUAAGGAUUAUUUAGCCCAUGAUGCAUGUUGAUACGGAUCCGGAUACCCAAGUGCUUCAUUUCAAUAGAUUUCUCUUCAAUUUAUUCUCGCCAUUGCAAUUUCAAUUUUAGGAUAAUUUAAAUCACUUCCACCACAAAUCCAACCACCCAUUUACAAAAUUAAUUCUAUACAUAAUUAAAAUCCAACUCCUCGUGGGAUCGACACUUGUCACCAUUAGUCUAUUCUACAAUAGAUUCGUGCACUUGCGAGUUCAAUAAAAUUUGCACAACAAAUUUUUGGCGCCGUUGCCAGAGAGGUAAGUAAUUUUAAUUCAUAGAAUUAAUUUUUGUGAAUAAUUCCAUUUAAUUGUUUUUUUUUUUAUUUUUUUUUCUUUAAAGAAAAAGAAAAAAAAAGUGAAUCUACAUUUAAAGGUUAGUAUUUCUUUUCUUUUUCUCUUCUUUAAAAUUCUGUAAUUUAUUUUUCAAUUUAUUUUUCUUUAUAAAUUUUUUUUUUGGUUUAUCUUAUUAAUUUAUUUUUAGUUAAUUUAUUGCACGUAUUUAUUUUUGUGUAUUUUUAUAGUAAGGUUGUAAUAGCGCAAUAAGGUUAGUAUCGAAAUUUCUCUUUCUUCUUUAUUUUUAUUUGUUUUGUUCCCAUUUAUUUUUGUAUUUCUUGCAUGCAUGGUCGUAGGUCAUUAUUACCUAAUCUUGAACAUAUAGACCUUGAUCUAGAAAAAACACUUCGCACACACAAACACGUUAAAAAUCAAUUUAAAAUGGAUUUGCAACCACAGGAGAGGCCAUUUAAGGACUAUUUCAGCCCCUUAGCUAAUUUGAGCACAUCAUGCAUAAGAUACCCAAAUGUAGCUACUAGGAGUUUUGAGUUAAAACCUAGUGUGCUAAAUUGUCUCCCAACAUUCUAUGGCUUAGAAAAUGAGGACCCAUAUAAUCAUCUGAAUGAUUUUCAUGCUAUUUGUCAAACUUUUAAAUACGAGAAUUUUUCAGACGAUGAUGUUAAACUCAGAUUAUUCCCCUUUUCUUUAAAAGAUAGAGCUCGUUCAUGGCUUAAUACAUUGCCUGCUAAUAGUAUUGCAUCAUGGGAACAAAUGGUAACAAAAUUUUUGAAUAAAUAUUUCCCAGUGUAUAAAACCAAUGCUAUUCGCAGGGAAAUUUCAUAGUUUACCCAGAGAGAAGACGAGCAGUUUUUCGAAACAUGGGAGCGAUUCAAUGGGCUACUCUUGAAGUGUCCACAUCAUGGGUACGAGAAAUGGCACCAAUGCCAAUACUUUUUGGAGGGAUUAUUGCCGAAUGUGCAAGAAUGACUAAUGGCAACAAGUGGAGGAGAGCUAAUGUCAAAAAGUGCAUCAGAGAUUUGGGAAUUCUUCCGGCAACAAGCGGAUAAUUCCCAACAACGGAGUCGGUCACUCAGGAAUACUAAAAGAAUUAAAGGAGUAAAUGAGGUUCAAAUUGGCGAGUCAACUUCGGGAAUCAAAGAAGUCAAGGAGAUGGUUGAAGGUCUCGCUCGACAAAUAGCAUCGUUAUCGACUGCUAAAUCAACAGAGCCACAUGACCAUGACUCAUACUCAGAUCAAGCCAAUGUCAUAGGUGUAAUGAGAAAACCAUCAAAUUACAACCCAUACUCCAACACAUAUAACCCUGGAUGGAAAGAGCACCCCAAUUUUUCAUGGUCUCAAGGAUUCCAACAGAAUGGACCAGCAGCUCCAGCUCCACCAAUGCAAUCAAUUCCUUAAAAUCCUCAAGCCUCUCAGCCACCAUUUAGACCAUACAAUCAAAACCAGAACUACUCUCAACCCAGACCAUGGGAGGAUUCAUUUCAGAAUCUCAAGAAUGUUACUCACUCCACGAUUGAGCAACAGAACCGCACCAUUGAUGGACUACGAAAUGAGUUAAGAGCGGGCUUCAACUCACAAGCCCAAUCAGUUUCAAGCCUCGAGAAGAUGGUGGGACAGCUUGCUUCUUCAGUUCAGACCUUGGCAAUGACCGUUGAGAAAGGCAAGUUUUCAAGUCAACCAGUGCCUAAUCCUAAAGGAGUACAUGAAGCAAGUAUCAGUUCACCACAACAGCAUGGAGAGGUCAAAGCAGUCAUGACCUUGUGAAAAGAAAAAGAAGUCGACAACAAAGUGGAGAUGCCGGUGACAAAAGAAAAUCAAAUUGUACCUGUUAAUAUUGAGGACUCACCAUUGGAAGAGAAAGAAGAAAUCAACCCACGAGAAUAUGUUCCAAAAGCUCAAUUUCCUUAGAGGUUAGCUAAAGGAAAGAAGGGAAAAUCCACAGGUGAGAUUCUUGAAAUCUUCAAACAGGUAAACGUUAACAUCCCUUUACUUGAUGCUAUAAAACAAGUUCCAUCUUAUGCCAAGUUUCUUAAAGAUCUUUGUACUAAAAAGAUAAACAUUCAUGUUCAAAAGAAGGCAUUUUAAACAGAAAACGUUAGUUCUAUACUCCAACAUAAAAUUCAUUUAAAAUGCAAAGACCCAGGCUUCCCCACUAUCUCAUGUAGUAUAGGGAACCACACAAUUGAGAAUGCUUUGUUGGAUUUAGGAGCUAAUGUAAAUCUGUUGCCUUAUUCAGUAUUUUUGAAACUUGGACUUGGAGAAUUACACUCAACUCCAGUGGUGUUACAGCUUGCAGAUCGGUCCACGAAAAUACCUCGUGGUAUUGUGGAGGACGUGCUUAUCCAGGUAGACAAGUUUUAUUUUCCUGUUGAUUUCAUUGUAAUUGACACUCAACCAAUACAGGAUUCAAGGAAGCACAUCCCCAUUAUUCUAGGCCGACCUUUCUUGGCAACUGCGGAUGCUCACAUUCAAUGCAGGACUGAAAAUAUGCAGUUGUCCUUUGGCAACAUGACUAUGGAGCUGAACAUCUUCAACAUUGCCAAACAACCUCACAAUGCAGAUGAUGAAAUUGUUGAUGUGGAUUUAAUAGAAACAAUAGUUGAUAAUACUUUUCUUUCAAACCUUAGUGAUGAUCCUUUACAAACAUGUUUAACUCACUUUGGUUUGGAUUUUGAUAUUGACAGAUCGGUCGAUGAGGUCAACGCCCUGCUUGACUCAGUACCAUCCAUGGACACUAAUAAAUGGAAGUCAAGAGUUGAACAACUAGCACCAUCAGAGAAGAAACUCAUCCCAUCAUCAGAAUCACCACUGAAACACAAGCUCAAACCAUUACCCAACACAUUGGAAUAUGCGUUUUUGGGAGAAGAAAGCACUCUACCGGUAAUCAUCUCAUCAUCCCUAAACGACGAACAAAAAGGUAAGUUGUUGGAUGUUUUAAAAGAGCACAAAGGGGCAUUAGGAUGGACCAUAGCGAACAUAAAAGGUAUAAACCCAGUAGACUGCAUGCAUUACAUUCACCUCGAUGAAAAUGCUAAAUCUACUAGGGAAAUGCAACGUCGGUUAAAUCCUAAUAUGAAAGAAGUUGUUAGAACUGAGUCCUUAAGCUAUUAGAUGCAGGUAUCAUUUACCCCAUUUCUGAUAGUUCAUGGGUUAGUCCUGUACAAGUUGUCCCUAAAAAGUCAGGAGUCACAGUAGUUACGCAUGCCGAUAAUGAAUUGAUACCAACUAGUGUAACUACAGGAUGACGUGUAUGCAUUGAUUAUAGAAAGUUGAAUUCAGUCACACGUAAAGACCAUUUUUCUUUACCAUUUAUUGAUCAAAUGCUUGAUAGAUUAGCAGGUCAUGAAUUUUAUUGCUUUCUAGAUGGCUACUCAGGAUAUAAUCAGAUUCCCAUAGCACCAAAAGAUCAAGAGAAGACCACUUUCACUUGCUCUUUUGGCAUUUUUGCAUAUAUGAGAAUGCCAUUUGGAUUAUGUAAUGCACCUGCUACAUUUCAACGAUGCAUGUUAAGCAUUUUUUCUGAUAUGGUUGAACGAUUCCUUGAAGUCUUUAUGGAUGAAUUUUCUGUUUUUGGUGACUCAUUUGAUCAAUGUUUACAUCAUCUAACAUUAGUUCUGCAGAGAUGUAUCGAGAAGAACUUGGUCUUAAAUUGGGAGAAGUGUCAUUUUAUGGUAAAAAAAAGUAUUGUUCUCGGUCACAUCAUUUCAAGCAAAGGUAUUGAGGUUGACAAAGCCAAGGUGGAUCUCAUUUCUAAUCUUCCUCCACCCAAAACAAUCAGAGAAGUAAGAUCUUUCCUUGGGCAUGCUGGUUUCUAUAGACGUUUCAUUAAAGAUUUUAGCAAAGUUUUUAGACCCUUAUGCAAUUUACUUGCUAAGGAUGUACCUUUUAUCUUUGAUGAUUCAUGUCUUGUGGCAUUUGAAAAACUAAAGUAGUUGUUGACAUCAUCACCCAUCAUUCAGCCCCCAAACUGGAGCUUACCAUUUGAGCUCAUGUGUGAUGCAUCUGAUUAUGCAGUAGGGGCAGUAUUAGGACAAAGAGUUGAUCGAAUUCCCCAUGUUAUUUACUAUGCUAGUAUGACAUUGAAUGAUGCACAGUUGAACUAUUCAACUACUGAAAAAGAAAUGCUAGCAGUAGUGUUUGCAUUAGAGAAAUUUCGAUCUUAUCUCAUUGGCUGUAAAAUAAUUAUAUUCACAGAUUAUGCUGCUCUUAAAUAUCUUUUCACAAAGAAAGAUGCAAAAGCUAGACUAAUUCGUUGGGUGUUAUUUUUACAGGAAUUUAACUUGGAAUUCAAAGAUAAGAAAGGCACAGAAAAUGUUGUGGCGGACCAUCUCUCUCGUCUCCAUUUUGACACAAUCACAGAGCUGUUAAUAUUGAAUGAGUCAUUCUCAGAUGAACAAUUAAUGAGUGUGGAAGUAUUACCUUGGUAUGCUGAUAUAGUUAAUUAUCUUGUUACAGGUAAACUUCCAGACCAUUGGACCAAGCAAGACAAGGCUAAAUUCUUUGCAGAGAUAAAGAAUUUCUUUUGGGAUGACCCGUAUUUGUUCAAGUAUUGUGCUGAUCAAAUUGUUAGACGAUGUGUCCCAGAAAAUGAAAUUCAGAAUAUUCUUUCAUUCUGCCAUGAACAAGCUUGUGGAGGCCAUUUCAGUGCUAAGAAAACGGCAACUAAAGUUUUACAAUGUGAUUUUUAUUGGCCAACUAUAUUUCGAGACGCUUACACUUUUUGUUCUUCAUGUGAUAGGUGUCAAUGAAUGAGGAGCAUUACGCGAAGGAACAUAAUGCCACUAAAUCCAAUUUUAGUGGUUGAGAUUUUUUACGUAUGGGGUAUCGAUUUCAUGGGACCCUUUCCCUCUUCUUUUGGCCAUUAAUACAUAUUGGUUGCUGUUGACUAUGUAUCGAAAUGGGUAGAAGCAAUUCCAUGUAGAACCAAUGAUCACAAGGUGGUGAUAGGAUUUUUGAAAAGCAACAUUGUUUCGCGCUUUGGAUUCCCUCGAGCAAUAAUCAGUGAUGGUGGUGCCCACUUUUAUAACAAAGCAUUUAAAGCUCUUUUGACAAAGUAUUCAAUUACUCACAAAGUGGCGACCCCAUAUCAUCCGCAAACCAGUGGCCAAGUUGGGAUCUCCAAUCGAGAAAUAAAGCAUAUAUUAGAAAAGACGGUGAAGCCGGACAGAAAAGAUUGGUCAUUAAGACUUGAUGAUGCAUUAUGGGCAUAUAGAACGGCUUUCAAGACCCCGAUUGGGAUGUCACCCUACAUGCUAGUGUAUGGAAAAGCUUGUCACCUACCUGUAGAACUCGAACAUCGUGCAUAUUGGGCCAUCAAGAAAUUCAACUUUGACAUACAGCAAACCAGCUCAGAAAGAAGAUUACAAUUGGCAGAACUUGAAGAAAUUCACAAUGAUGCAUACGAAAAUGCCAAGAUUUACAAGCAACGAAUGAAAGUCUUUCACGACAAGCAAAUUAUGAGAAAAUCUUUUACUUCAGGUCAGAAAGUGCUUUUAUUCAAUUCUCGCUUGCACCUAUUCCCAGGUAAGUUACGCUCUCGAUGGUCUGGUCCCUUUAUUGUUCAUACUGUUUUUCCACAUGGGGCAAUUGAAAUUAAGGACCCAAAUAACGGUGUCACGUUUAAAGUUAAUGGUCAAAGAUUAAAGCCAUAUCUAGAGUACCAACCACAUGGAGAAGACACCAAAAUAAAUUUGAGUGACCCACCAGAUUUGAAUUGAUUUUUUUUUCUUUUCAUUGAUUUGAUUUUUCUUUCUUUAUUUUUAUUUGCUAAUUGAAAUUAUUUUUGCAUAAGUGUGUUUGUUUUACCAUCAAGUUUUUUCUUAUCAUUGUUAAUCAUGAGUACCAUACUUAGACCGUUCCUCCUGAACAUUCUUAAACCACUUCAACGUGUCAAAACUCAUCUCAAAAAGCAGAUUCAAUUUUGUAAAACACAACGCAUUUGGGCUCUACAACCACCAGCGUUAGUAGCCUAUGUUGAGAAUCUAGAAAACCAACUCAGAGACAUUGAGAGAAGUGUUUAUGACAUCCAGUUGGAGCUUGAGGUAAAUUCAAUAAGAGGACGAUUUUAAUUUUCUUUGUGUGUUUUAAUUUUUUUUUCUGUUUGUGUGCUUUAGUUUGUUACCCCGGUGAAGUGGCAGAUAAUGGUACUCCGUGACAAUCAAGUCGGUUACUUCAGUUUUCCAUAAUAACUGAUAUUCUGAGGUGAAAGUAUGGACAGAAACGACAUUCUAGCAAAGCUUCACAAGCGAUUCCCUUCACUUCCUCAAAAUGCCCUCCUUACGAUCUAUAAAGCUCGGUCCAAACGCAUGCGAUUACUCAUGAGAAAUAACAUACCUGCUGACAUUCGUUGGUUAAUCGAGGCUAAAGUACGAUCGGCAAGUGAGUUACCUCCAAAAUUUAUUGCAUACAUGUCUAGUUGUGGUAAAGGAAAUUAUGCAAGAAAACGACGAGCUCGAAGAAUUUCUGUUGCUUGUCAUAAGUGUGCCAGAAUGAGUUGCGAUAAAAAAACCAUGUUCUUUAGGAAUGUUGUCUGAUAACAAGGAAGAUAAGAUUCAAUUCAUUAGGGAUGGCUUGAAUAAGGAGUCAUUGGAUGAUAUUCUUUUGUCUCUUGAAACACAUCCUAGUGGAUAUGUGCAAGGAGCGAUUCUCCAGUUAUGGCCAUUAUUCCAGAAAGAGCAUGCACGAUAUAGUCUCGGGAAUCUGACUAUAAACGACCCUGUUUGCCAGUUUAUAAGAAAACUGGAUGGGAAGCCCAUCCUCGACCCAUAGAGGGCGUUCAAGCCGUUUCUGGACGUAAAACCAGAGGAAGAUGUGAGCCACAGUCGCAACUACCUGUAAAUAUCAUUUUACUUCACUGUUGUUUUAUUUCACUGUUGUUUUAUUUCACUGUUAUUUUAUCUUUUGCAUUAUUGUCUUUAAUAAUUUUAUUUAAUCAUUAUUUCUUUUUUAUUUUACUGUUUCCUUUUUUACUCACAAGCCAUGUGCUUUACGCGUUAUUUGACAGUGACAUGCUACCUCAUACACAGUUGUGACCCACUGUCACCAAGACUCUUAAAUGUGAUUUCUUUUGUCAAACACUCAUAAAUUAUUUUUGAGAAAUAUUCCAAUGGCAGCUACUCCCAAUAGACAAUUCAAGAACAUUUGUUUGCUUUCUGGAUUUAACUAUGGCAAACAUAAAGAGUUCGUUGAGGCAGCCAUAGAUCUUGGUCGAAGCAUAGCAGCGAGAAAAUUACAUUUGGUGUAUGGAGGAGGUAACCGAUGGUUAUAAAAAAUUGUCUCAGAAGCAGCUUUUAUCAGAGGAAGUCAAGUGUUAGGCAUCAUCCCAAGAGUCCUAAAACCUUUGGGCAGUUUGUCUGACUCAUCGACUGGAGAAGCGUUAGUCGUCUCAGGUAUGCAAGAAAGAAUAACUGAAAUGCUUAAUCAUGCUGAUGCUUUUAUUUUCCUUCCAGGAGAUCUUGCAACACUAGAGGCACUUAUCACACUAGCAUCUUGGGCCCAUCUGCACAUUCACCAGAAACCCAUCGGUUUGUUAAAUGUCAAUAACUUUUAUGAUGGCUUUAUCGCAUUUCUUAACCAUGCAAUAAAAAACUACUUCAUUCCUUCCAAUGCGAAAAAACUUUUUAUUUGUGCUCACACUGCUAAUGAGCUACUUGAUCUGUUACAAGCUUAUAAACUGGAGCCGGACCCAUGGACCUUUGUGUUGGAGCAUCCAAAUAAUGAUGGUAACAGUAGCCACAGUAAGAAGUACAAAUUAGAUUUAACUCUCCGCCUGUAAAUAUUUUCUUCUGUGUUGCACCACCCAGGUGAUGUCCUCUAAACUCUACUUCUUUCCUUUAAACAUUGAGGACAAUGUUUCAUUCUGGUUGGGGGGAGGGAAUAGUCGACAAUUGUAGAAUCUUGGUUAAGUUUUUACUGAUUUUUUGUUGUAGAAACUAACUGUUGCUAACUUUUUGUGUUGAAGAUAGUUGAAUAUGGAGUGUAGUGACUCUAGAAACGCAUCUUCAUCGUUUAAAAAAAAAACAAACAAAAAAUUCAGACAUUUUCUUUUCUUUAUUAAGCUUUGAUAUUCAUUUUUCUUCUUCUUUUUAAUUUCUCCUUAUAAAUAUAUAUUUUCAAAUUUUUGAGUCGAAGAUGACUGAAUAUGGAGUGUAGUGCCUCUAGAAACAAAUCUUCUAAGUUAAAAAAAAAAAAAAAACAAACCAUUUUCAUUUUCUAUCAUUUUAAGUGUAACUUUUCUAAUUAGUUUUUAUGCAUCGCUUUCACAUUUUUGCAUGCAUAUUUUCCUUUCAUGCUUAGAAUAGGUUGGGGGGUAGAAUGUUGUUAAAAAAAAAAUUGUGUGAUUUGUUUUAACAUUGGAUGACAUGAUUAAUUUCAAAUUUUAGUAUUUGUAUUAUCUUUGGUCUUAAGUGAUGUUACGCUAUGUUUGCUACUUUACAUGUUGAUGCUGGAGACAAAUAUGAGUUGCUUGAAGGAAUGAACAUGUCAUAAAUAAGUGCCAAGUGAGUUUUUGAGCCUAUCAUUUUUCUUAGAGAGUAACCCUUUUGCCCAUUCUUUAUACAGCUUAGCAAUUUAUUAUUGUAUACACGAUCUCUAGAUUUCUUUUGAGUUAACCCUUAAAAAAAAAAUUGUAAAAUAAAAAAAGAAAAAAAAGAAAAAAAAUGUGUGCUGCUACAUUUGGAGGCCCAUCUAACUAGUAGAUAUAGAAGAUUAUUUAGAGCCCUAAAAGACGAUGGAAAUGCCAUUUUUUUUUAUCCGUUUGAGCCUUUCUAGCCAUCCCUUGUGUGAAAUAUCCAUAGUUAACCAUUUUGAGCCUUUAAAAAAAAAAAAAAAAACCUUUUAUUUGUUAAACUUAUCAUCUUGACCCACUCCGAUUUGGAGUAUUACCCGAUGUCUUAUAAGUUCCAUCACCUAUUUAUGUUUGAGAAAAAUGUAAAUAAUUAUUUUGUUCAGUGACGUUGUGCCAAGCAAAAAAAAAAAAAUUGUUUCAAAAAAAAAAAAAAGAAGAAAUAACAAUAAUAGGUGAAAUCCACCUUGCAACUUCCCAAAAAAAAAAAAAUUCCUCUGCAUUUUUCUCAAACAUACACUUUGUUUUCCUUAUUUCCCUUCUUUGUUAACCAUAUCCCUAGCCUACGUUACAUCCUAAUAAAAGUCCUUCUUUAUUUUAGGGAAUUAUAGUCUGAAGUAGAAGCUAGUUAUAUGGGCUAAAAAGAUGUAGUGAUGCAUGAAAAAAAUAAUAAUAAAUAAAUAAAUAAAUUGGGUUGACUAACAUUUUUUAUUUGACUUGAGAUCGUAUUAUUUCUAAGUUGAGGGCAUAUUUCUUUCAUCUUCGUGAGAGCAUGUGAUAUCACUUCUUGAUUAUUUUCUCUCAAUUACCAUUCAUUGGAGUGACUAUUUUUAUUGGGUUUAAUUUCUUUGUGAGAGUGUCACUACUUCCAGUGAGACUUUGGGGUUUGAUAUGUCAUUCUUGAAAGUAGCUCUAACAAAGUCUACUGGGCUGAUUCAUGUGGAUGAUUGAUGUGGGUGUGAUGUUGCUUUAGACUGAAGAUAAUGCUUAUACUUUUAUUUGAUUGCUAUCAUUAAUCUAAUUUAAUAAACACGAGUGUUUCCAAAAAAAAAAAAAUCAUUUUGGAUUUGAAUUUUGUUUUCGCUUUAUUUGCUAGGGACUAGCAAUAAGCUAGUUGGGGGGUAUGUUGAGUGUUAGAAAAUGUAUAUUUAUAAAGGAGAAAAUCGUCAUUUUACAUUUCAAGUCUUACUAACAAUCCUUACUUUUAUGUAUUUAAAGUUCUUGUAAUUUAAUAAUGUGUGUUUUAUUUUAAUUAAGUAUUUUGUGUAUUUUAGGGGCAUCAUAGUCAUUUCACAAUAAACGAGAGAUCAAACGGCAAAACGGACAUCACUUUUGAACUCAGGACGGUCGAAAACCUUAGGAGGAGCAUAAAAGGGAAAAUGGCACUGUUCACAUGUACGGUACUAUUCACAUGUACAGUACUGUCUACGUUACUGUUCACGACACUGUUCACAUAGACGGAUCGAUGACGUGGCAUUGACCGAUGAUGUGGCAUUGACUGAUGAGGUGUCAUGAUCCUGUUGGUCUAAAAUUCUUAUGAACUGUUGAUGGUAACGUGGCAGCAUAUUAGUGGACUAAAACUUGCGAGUACAGUACAUGCAUUACACAGGAUUAUUUUCAACCAAACCGCGUUACUGUUCAAAGCCGGGUCAAACCGUGUUACUGUUCACCCGCGUGGUAAAACCGCGUACUGUUGACUGAUGACGUGGCGCAAUCCUGAGCGCCCAAACUGUUUUUAAUCCAAUGGCCAUGAUUUACUCAAUGUAUCUAUAAAAAGGGGGCCACCCCCCCCUAAUUGGAUAUCUCUGAAUCCAUUUUUGGACUCCAUUUUCUGUAAUUCCUUCUCCAUCUUGUAUUUUCUACGUAUUUUAAUAAAUUCUCAUUUUACCCCUAGUUCAAUUAUGAGUAGCUAAUUUUCUUUCAAGCUUGGGUUGAAGGUGAAGUCUCAACAUGUGUCAUGGGCUUUAUUUGGUAAAUUUACUUUCUCUUCCCCUCUAAUUUACUUUCAUCGACAAAUAAUACUAAUCUUGUCUAGUACCGCCUUGGUUUCACCGGCCCCCUAGUACAAUGUUAUUAUUAUUUGGCACGAUAAGCCCUUAGCACCAUAUUGAUUAGAUUGGUUCAUGAGGUGUGGAUUCCCCCCUCAUGAUUUAAUUGGCAUUAAUAAGGAUUAUUUAGCCCAUGAUGCAUGUUGAUACGGAUCCGGAUACCCAAGUGCUUCAUUUCAAUAGAUUUCUCUUCAAUUUAUUCUCGCCAUUGCAAUUUCAAUUUUAGGAUAAUUUAAAUCACUUCCACCACAAAUCCAACCACCCAUUUACAAAAUUAAUUCUAUACAUAAUUAAAAUCCAACUCCUCGUGGGAUCGACACUCGUCACCAUUAGUCUAUUCUACAAUAGAUUCGUGCACUUACGAGUUCAAUAAAAUUUGCAGAACACACUCCCCUCGAGCCACACAUCCAAAAUCAAUCACCAAUUGCCACCAAACACAGCCAAAAAACCACCCCACCAUAAGCCACCGCCACUUUAAUUCGGUUUUCUGGCCAAACCGCCGCGAAUCCGGCCAAUCCACCGCCACCAAUGAGUUCCUCAUCACCAAAUCUACCAAAUCUAACUUUCACCACACGCCAAAUCUAGGCCACCAACUGCCGACCACACUAAACUCAAGAGUUGAGCAUUAUUUACAAUUUUGCCAUUGUGUGGGAAUUUAAAUGGUAAACCACCGUCCUUGCCCGCCUAUGUAUCAUGUGCCGAUAUUAUUUGCAUACACUCGUCCAAAAUAAUUUCUUGAUUAGUUGGACAAUAUUGAGCAUUGGUUUCUAUUUUGGCGCACUCCUAAAGAAGAGUAUCGUUUGCUGCUAGUAGAUUAAGCAUAAGUGCUUCAGAAUAGUGGGAAGAGUUGCAAACUUGUCGACUUGACCUAGGUAAAUGUAAAAUUCAAUCAUGGAAUUAUAUGAAGCGUAUUUUGCGAUUUGAGUUUAUCCCUCUUGAUUAUUGUUCGGUACAGUAAGGUACGAGAUCCAUUUCUGCUUAUACUUAUGAGUUUGAACAAUUUUAUGGAUGCAAAUACUACUAUGAACGAGAGGAGAAUACAACUACAAGAUUUGUGAAAGGGCUUGAUUUGCAUAUUCAAGAAAGAGUGUCUACAUACACUAUCUAUAAUUUACAGCAAGCAAUUCAUUUAGCCAAGCACAUCGAAUAAUAAAUUGAGUCACAACGAUAAAGAAACUUUGAUGAUGUGUUAAGAAACUUGACGAAGUCUAGAAUUUAAGCAAGAAAUGGUGUGUCUCCAUGAAAGUGCCUAAAGAUGUACUAAUGAGUUCUCAUAUCGUGAGGAAGAAGACUCGUGUAAGAUGCCAAAAGAAAAGGUACAAUUUAUUAUUGAUUUAAGGUUUCAAUCUGAUAAGUUGUUCGAGAAUGUGCUUGAUGUUUCCUUUGAAGAGAAAACAAGUAUUGAAGAUGAUGAUAUUAUUUAUCUAUCUGAUAUUUUUAAAGAAUAUAUACAACCUACUCUUAAUUUAAGCAGUGAGCCUAACAGUACGAUCGAAGUCGUACAACAAAAUCAAAUUGAAGAAGUUGAAAUGAUUAAAAUGGUUCUACCUAUUCAUUUUGAAGAAAAGAAGAUUGUGCUUGAAAAAGAUUUGGUUGAAAAUGUGAAACUUAUUGGCGAGCGCAUAGAGCGACAAUUGGGGAAGGGCAAGAGUUAUGUGAUCGUUGUUCGUUCUUGAAAGUCGUCAUUGGCUCGAAGAAUGUACAAGCGAAAGAAGUUGAUGAAAUUUGGAUACUUCAAAGUUUCGAGGAAGAUUGAUGAGCAAGCCUACAAGUUUGAAUUACAAGAUGACUUGCUUCUACACUAUAAGUUUCAUCCUCCAGACUGUAUUCAAGCUCUAGGACAAGUUUCUUUUAAGAGGGGAAGAAUGAUGUAGGAAGUUAAUUUAUGUUAUUUUAGGCAAUUUAGGAUUCUAAAAUAUUUAUUAUUUUAGGAUUUUCUAUUUUAGUUUGAGUCAAUUAUGGUAUGUAUCUUAGUCUUUUAUUUCCAUUAUAAUUGUGAUUUAAUUUUCCUUUUUAGGUUAACUUAGGGAAGUGUGUUUCCUCUAUUAUAAAUAGAGAGGUCUUGUCAUUGUUUUGAGAACUUCAGAUUUAAUUAUUCAAUAAAACUCCCAUUUAAUAAUUCCCUUUGGGAUAGCUAUCAAAAUCUCUCUUAUAAAAUCGUUUGGAUUAGAGCGUCAUCUAAUCUCGCAUUACGUGCUAUUAAGAAUUUCAUUGAGUCGUUGGAUUAGAACGAGAUCUAAUCACGCCUCGAUUAGAGCAUAAGCUAAUCGCGUUGGCUUGCUCCAGUACAAGAAUGAUAUAUAAUGUUUUCUAUCCGAUCAAUUCCACUUCCGCUAAGCUCGCUCCAUUACUUAUAACAAGAACAAAAAUAUUAAAACAGAAAUGUUACGAUUAUAAUGAUUAUGAUUGAUUAACGAGUUAAUCCUUGAUGCUUAAUUUAUUUGAUUGAUUUAUAAUAUAUUAUUAAGGACUACCUUGUUGUCCAGGUGUCAUUUUCAUGCCUAUUAGCCGUCUUCUUAAUCAAAAUACUAGUCGCAACUCUUCUUCUAUCAAGAUUGUGCUUUGGCGCUCGCCAAGAGCACCUUAGAUUGAGAUAAAUACGAAUGGUUUGGCCACAGGUAAUCCUAAAAUCUCGGUUUGUGGGCUUUUUUCAAGGCUUUAAUGGUGCUUUUAAGAAUAUGCUUUGUUGUGGGUCUGGCCUUGUUAUGCUCAGAUAUAUGCCAUUCAAGCGGUUAAUAUUGCUUUUUCCGUGGGAUAGCAAUUUGUUUGACCGAAGAGGGAUUCAAAUAUGCUAACUUGUAUUUCCGGAACUCUCCUUUUCAUCUGCCGUGGCAAGUCGUACUUAGUGGUUGAACGGUCUAUAACUUAUCAGUCAUGUAACACUCUAAAUGUAACACGUGUGGAGCAAGCGAAAAAAAGAGGUUAUUAACAAAUCCAAAACUUUACGCAAAAAUCUCAAAUUGAAAUAUUUUGAAUUUUUAAUCAAUUAAUUCACAAAUCCAUGUAUUAAUUACUAAAUAAUCUCUCCCGAAGACAUAAAUACAAAAGUCUCAAAACUCCCAAAUUACAAGUUCAUAACAAAAAUAAACUAAAAAGAAACAUGAGUUUAUUCCUCUUCUUAUUCAUCUUGCAAAAAAGAAAGAAACCUCUAACUCCAAUGAUAAGCACACCUCUCAAUAAGAAACUUAAUCUGCAAAAAGAUGUGACGAGAGGCAAGCCGUCAACUCGGUAAGUAAAAUCAUUCCCAACAUACUAGGUCUAUCGAUCGCAAAAAAUAUUGCAAGCCCUCUUUUAUCUAAAAUAUAUAUUAUAAUUUAUGAAUUUCAUAAAAAGAAAUUUUACCAUAACAACUCCACAGUAAUUCAAAAUAUCAAAAGUAUCGUAAAUUAUGAAAGCAAAUCAUAUAACAUAUACACAUAAAACAAAAGGUUAAAAAACAAAAGGUUAGCUCAUGUCUCAUAGUAUCACCUAUAGUCCUGGUGAUUUGGCCCAAAAUAUAAUUAGAAUCAGAAUAUCGUGUUCACAUUCAGAAUAGAAACUCAGCACUAGUCCAGAACACACACACACACACACACACACAUAUAUACACACGCACACUUACACGAUCAGAAUCAUAAUCAGAAUUAGAAUAAUUAUAGGCAAUAAGUUAAAAUAUUCAAAUUAGUUUUUCAUAUGUAGUGACUUGUACGUGGCACUUUGCAAUAUAUAUAGCACUUUGCGGUGCUCUGUACCUCAAGAGGUGACCCCCAUAUAGUCUCAAGAAGUGGCUCUCAUAAAUCAUGAAUAAUUUAAAUCGUACAUCGGUGCAAAACAUUCGUAUCAGAUUCAUAAAUGUCCAUAACAAUAAUUUAGGCUUGCAAAAUAUUUUAUAGACAAAAUCAUAAAAGGUAAUCAUGUAACAAAAUAAGCUACAUAUUUAGAACAUUUAUAAUAUCUUGUAAAAAAUUAUAAUUUUUCAGAUUUGAAAACAUUUAUACAAAUUAAAUUUAUUAUGAAAAUCAAUUACUCUUUUAAGUAGUAUAAAAACACUUAUACUUAUAAUAGUAUCAAAUUAAUCAUACAUUUCCAGUACAUUAAGAAUGAAGUUAUUUACCUCGAUAAAAGAAUUUAUCUAACACACUUCUAAGUCUCUAAGAGCCUCAAAUACCUCCAACACUUCAAACCAAAUACAAUAUAUAACUAUUAAUAACUUAUUCUAAGAAUCUGAUUCUCUAAUUCAUACCCGUACAAGUCUGAUUCUCAUAAUUUUAACUCUUAAUCUAAAAAUCAGAAUAACACCAUAUUUUACAGAACUAUUCUAGACAUAUAAGGUAUCUCAUAUAAAAUUUUCAAGAAUAUUCGAUAUCAAAAACAUUUUCAAAAGUAUUUGUUUCCUAACAAAUUCAAAACUAUUUCACAGUACCUUAACUGAACAGAAUAGGUUCCGAGAUUUUAUAAAAUCAUAUAUUGAUAAGAAAAUUAUGAAAUUAAAAUUGUGGAUCCUAGACACAUAUAUCAAUCCCUUUUUCAAAUUUCAUAAUUUUUUGAACUCGUUUGGUUCUGUAAAUAAAUUUGUGAAAUAUGUCAUUUUGCUGCAGUUGCAGUUUUAUAGUGCAGCAAUGUCUGCUUCAAAAAUACAUAUAAAAUUGAAAAUGAAACCAAAUUUCAUGAAACAGAAUUUAUUCAAUAAGUCGUGCAUGUCUAGUUUCCCAAAGAUAAAGGUCUUAAGAAAAAUCAUUCAGAAAAUAUACGUUUAAUUUUGAGAUACUCAUUAUGUCCAAAAUUGUCCAGUGUGCUUAAUGCAUCAAGGAUUGAUUAACAAGACUCAACAAUAAAUCAAGCCUUAAAUAGAACUUAAACACAUCCUAAAUCAUGCAUUAUGAUAUGUAAAAAUUUAAGAUAAUGUCAAUUAAACCCUAAAUAGAGUGAUAGGAAAAACUGUGGAGGAAAAGUAAACUUAUUGACCGUUAUGAUUCUCUCCUAAAAAAAAGUUUGAAUCCUAGGGUAUAAUUAAGAGCGUAAUGAGCAGAAGAGAAAAAGAAGAAAACGUCGUGCACUUAGUGUUAUGGAAGGGGAAGAAAAAUAUGAAUUUAUAGGGAGUCUUGAGAAACCCUAUUAAAUUUGGAAAAAUAAACUUUUUCCAAAAAUUAUCCCAUGAAUAACCUCAUUUGUAGUUUUAAUAUCCUUACUAAUAAGGGUUAUAGAGCCAUAUACGAUUUCUAAUAAAAGCCCAAUUUCCAUAAUUUAAUAUUAUGGAAUUUGGCAUUACAAGUCAUGUAUUUUUGUAGUCAUCUUUUGAAAGGUAAUUCGGUUGCUGAUUGCUUUGGAAAGGCCAUGUCUAACUAAUUCGAGGCCUUUGGUGAAUUUGUUUUUAAAGACAUUCUUACAUGAAACAACAUUAAUUCCCAAAAGAACAUUAAAUAGCUUAAAAUUGAACUAUCUUUAAUAAUAUCUUGAAUAUCAACAAUUAUAAACAUCACCCAAAAAAAUCAACAAAAAAGAUAUAUAUUUACUGCGAUCAUCUUCAAAGUUGAUUAUUUCAUUCACUAUUUCAUUAUUGUUUAAUUCAUUUGGAGUUAAUUGUUCAAUAACUAAUUCUUCACCUAAUUACAUAUCUUUUUUACUGUUAUGAAAAAUUUAUCAAGAGCUCGUUUUUGAGAUUUGACUAAUUUUUUUGUUCUCCUUUUUUUUUUUUUGUAGUUUUUCAUAUUUUAAUGCUUAUUUUCAAGUUGACAUGCUUUUCAAUUCGAAAUAACAAACAAAUAAGCAAACAAAAAUUUUCUUUCUAGAUUAUUCGAGUCAUAUAUCAAAACAAAAAAAAAAAUAAAUUUAAGAAAGAUAAGAAUAAUAACAAUUAAAAAUAGAAUAAUUGAUACCACCAGGCAAGUUGACUAGUCGAGACAAAUAUAAUGAUCAAAUGAUGAUAAUAAAUUUCCUACAAAAGGAUUUUCUUUAUAGAAAAGAGAGUAACAAAUUGUUUAUUUGAGAUCGUCAUUGAUUCACUGUCUAUUUUUUUUGAAUUUUUAAAUAGAUUUUCAUAGAAUACUAAGAGUUACUUCUAAAAUAUAAGGUUAAUAAUUUUAAUAGAGUAAUUUUUGGAAAGAGAAGGCAUUAAUUAUUUUUAAAUAAAGAAGUGACAGUUAAAGUCAUUAUUCAAUUGUAAAAGUAUAUCUUAUUUUUAAUACUAGGGAGAUGCCUAGAAAUUAUGACAAGUACUACCUGCUCAUCGUAUGUCUGGUGUGGGAUACUCUAUCAUACCCAUGUUUACAACAUUUGCAUGAAAAUUCAUGGGGCCUUAUUGUAUAUCAACUUCCUUAAAUGAUUGGUAAACAUUCUUUCUCAUAUUUGAGUGCAUAUUUGGUUUUGUUUUAUAUUAGUUUUUUUUUUUAAAUUAUAUGUAACUCACAGAACCUUCAUAAUAAGUCUCCCCAUAUACUUUGAUUUCUUUUAAUCUGAUGCGUCACCAAUAUCUAUGCUUUCAUAUUUGCAAAAUACAUUGCUAAAAAUUGUUGCUGGAGACAUCAAAGAUUUGCAACUUAGAGAAAAAAUAAUCAGCCUUAAAGGACCGUAAUUUAUUCGAAUGAAGAACAAGAAACUAAAGCUCCCGAAAAGUUCCCAGCCAAUAUGUGAAUUAAUAAAUCCUCUAUCUUGUUAAGGGAUGGCAACCAAACCCGGACCCGGACUGAACCUGAUAAUCCGGUCCGGGUUCAACCCGUACUGGAACAAUUUUGAUGCGGAAUCCGGAUGAGAUUUUGAGAACCCGCAUACUUGCAGGUCCGAAUCCGGGUUCAGGUGAACCCGCAAAUCCAGAACAUGGAUCAGGAUAUUAUUUAUUUUAAUAUUAAUUUUUUAAAAAAUUAUUAAAUAUAAAUAGAAAAAUUAAAAAAACAAAAAGAAACCUUUGUGCCAAUUAGAUCCUCUCUUAAUCUCUCUCAGCCGUUCCUCUCUCAAUCUCUCACUCUCUCUUUAACUCUCCUGUAAUUUCUCUUCUUCAGAUAAGAUCCUUCGCAGCGUGGCUGUCUUCGCGGCCUGGCUGUCAUCACCUUCACGGUGCUGCUAUGUUUGUUUCAUCACUCAUCUCAUCUCUCACUCUAUCGCAACCAACAAAAGGGGUUGAAAUCCACCUCAAUCGCGGCUGAGUUCGUUUCAUUUUUUUCCUUUUUUUCCAGCAACUUAAGUAUAGAAUGGCAUCAUCUGAUUAAUAACUCUGCUUAUUUUGUUAUUAUUAAUCAACAUUAUCGUCCUGAAGAGCCUUUGAAUUUGAAUUCAUUUAAGCUUUAGUGCUGAAGAAGCUCAACAGAGCAACGAUUGCCCUAUUUUUACUAACCUAGAUUUGGUUCCAAGGGUAUUCAUUGACGCAUGGUCUAACGCUAAUGGAGUGUCAAAUGGUGAUAACUAGAUCCACAAUACAAAUUCUGGUACCAAGAGCUCUGUCUCUUCAAGCGGGAAUUUGUAACUUUCUCCUCUUAAGUCUUUCAAUAAGAGGCAACAACACCAUUCAUGAGGAAAUGGGUCAACUACAAAUAGGGUUGGGCCUUGUGGAAUCUAGUCAAGAGUACCAUAAUUGUGAUACCAAACUUAAGUAAACCAAUCCGAGUUCAAAACCUGGAUUUUUCCGAGUUGAAUCCAGACCGGACUCGGUUUGAAAAAACCAGGUUUAAAUGCGGGUCCGGUAAUGAUAAUUGUGUGUCCGGAUCUGGAUCCAAAAAGGGCAAACCUAGACCCAGACCCAAAAAUUACCAUCCCUAAUCUUGUUGUUGCCAAGAUAAAAAAUUUGAAGAUUUACACAAUUGAGCAAAUAUCUUGGGACUGACCCUACAAAUUCAUUGCCAUUGAAGUAAAGGGUCCUCAGAUUACUGCCCUUUCACAAUGUUUUAGGAAUUGGCCAUGGAAUAUAUUCUUCUUCAAAUCCAACACAUGCGGAGUAUUGUUAAAGUUUCUAAUUAAUGCAUUCUGGAAUGGUGCCACUCAAGUUGUUGCUGGGUAUAUCAAGAACUUUAAUAGUGCUUGGGUUGCAGAUUAAAAAAGGUAUCUCUCUAGUGAACUUAUUGUUUGAUAUAAAAAAAAAACCUUCAAAUUAGAUGAUGGAGCUAGAAACAUUCCUUAAAGCAAGUUGAAACGAAGGUCAAGAUAUUCAAGAUUCUUCCACGGAAGUUUCUUAAUGCCUGUAAAGAAAUGUUCUUGUUUUUAGUGGAUUUUAGCUGCAGGGAAGAUGAGUAAAAUCUCACCAAAACAAUAAAUUUAUCUUCUGGGGUCCAGGGUACCUCACUGGAUCAUGGUGUAUAGGUUAUUUUGGAUUUGUAAAGGAGCUAGAGAAGAAAAGGAAUGAGAUGGUUUCGGCAAGGGGUCUAUACUAGAGUAGAAAAUCUUUAAGGAAUGCCUUUGAAUCUACAAAACAAGAAAAAAGGUUAGAGGUGGAGUUGGCAGUGACCAGCGACCACACUCCGACACUCAAGUCAGUUACUUGAACUUUUUUAGGUGAAAAGAACUUGCAAGCUCUCUGAAAAAUAGUAGCUAGAGGUUGAAGAAGACCUCAGUCCCUUAGUUUUAUGUGUGCUUUUGUGAUGAGUCUUAAAGUAUGAAUGAGAUAGAACUUUUUUUGCCUUUAUAUAGGUCUCCCUAGGUACCUUGCCACAUGGCACUUUUUUAUUGGACAAUAAAUUCCCAUGUCUUUUACCAUUAUGGUAGUUUUUGACCCAUUAGGAGCAUGCUCAGAGAGUAAUGAGGUAGUUUUUUUAUGUGCGUUGUCGUUUAGUGUACGUGGCAUAUGCUGCAGGUGGUCCAAGUUUCCUUUUGCAUAGACUGUCUGUACAGUGGCAGGUAUGGCAACUAAGUGCCACAAUCAUUUAUGGGAUGCUUUUGAUUUUUACUGAUUACUACCAGUUGUCUUUCUUUUUCUGACAUAAUAUAUUUGAUUUAAUUUCAUCAGAUCAAAUAUUCCUUUUGGACGAUUGAGACAUCAUGUGUGAUGGUCAUUUUUUGGAUAUUUUCUUUAAUUCAUUAAUUCUAUAAUGGCAUUAGUUCCUCUGGAGAGUAUUCUCGGUACAGGUCGGGUACCCCAUGACGUUAACUCCCAGCCAUUAAAAUCCAUUUAUUGAUACGUGGUGCUUUUUUUUAACUCCUUUAUUUAUUCUCCAAACAAUUCUGAUUCAUCAAAUAUCCAAGAGGCUUUUUUUAUUAAGGUGCCUGAGAUUGAGAUAUGUAAUUUUCAAUAUAUUUGUGCUAGCAUUCAGCAGCUAUAUGCCCUGAUUUGAAGCAAAUUUGACAAAUAUGCACUGAUUUAUCACCAUAUAAAGUUUGUGGUUCAAUAGCAGACAUUUUGCCACUGCUAAUAAGAUUACCGCCAAAUGAAUUAUUUCCAAAUUAAGCAGACCUAUUACUUCCCAUUAUAUGAUCUCUUACAGAAUUGCCAAAAAUACCAGUACUAGUGAGAAAACCUCUUGGAUAAGUACUAAAAAAGAUGCCUCAGCCAUUUAAUGAGCCAUUUCUCCCAUUAAAUUGUAAGGUCCCUAAAAACCUCUUGUAUAACUUCCUCUUCUAGCCUUUUGUUUGUGGAUAAUAAGUAUUCAUCACACCAGAAUUGCUAUAGUUAAAAAAGUUUGCAACAUUAACAUUGAACAUUUGGUUUUCACUCUGACUUUGCUCAUGAGUAAAAAGUAAAGCAUAAGUAUCAUGAUAAUUCAGUUUACUUGCAAUGAUGAAAAUAAUUAUAUCUAGUUAACUAGCUCGUAAGCCAUUUAGAAUCUGUUGCAACAAAUCCUUCUCAGAUGUUGGACUACCAGCACAAGCCAAUUUAUUUGUUAUCAUUUUCAUUUUUAAGCAAUACUCUUUUAUAUCUAGAGACUCUUUUCUCAAAACAUUCAAUCUCAUAUCUAAGUUGAAAAACCCUAGCUUCAUACUGCACACCAAACUUUUUUCUCCAAAGUUCUCCAAACGUCAAAAAAAGUAUUACGAUAAAGUAGAAGACUUAGUAUACCUUACUGAUGGAACUGAGUAACCAGCUUAGAAGCAUUUGAUCUUGAGAUCUCCACGUAUAACAUAAUUAGGAUUCUUAAUUUGUUGCAUAGAUCUAGAAGCUGCUCCAACAUAAUUUAAUGAAGUGAUGAACUGAUUUGGAGCUGUUUUCUUUUCAAUGGUAUAGCCUUCAAGACGAUUUCCUCUUAUAGAGGCAAGAACAAGAUUACGCCAGAUCCUGUAAUUAGAUCGAUCUAAUUUGAUCAGAGCGAUUAAAGAAAAUGUUGUUUGUGGUGCUGGACUUGUAGUAUCUGUACUGGAAUUUGUAUUAAAAUUGCUUGUGCUAGCCAUUUUGGCUUUGAUACCAUAAAACAAAAAUGAAAAAUUGAUUGAAAAAUGAUGUUUGACAACUGAGAAAAUUUGUGAGAAUAUUCUUUGUAAUGAAUCUAUUAUUUCCAAGAAUGGGGCUAUUGGCACCCCUCUAAUAUCCUUUUAAAACCCCUAUUAUAAGUACACCCCAUUGAACAAUGAUAGAAAAUUUAUUGUUAUUACUAACACUCACUUUAAUUCCAAACCUGCCCUUCUUCUAAAUUUGAUUUUCUCUGCAAUACCCAACAAUAAAUAUCGGAAAUAUUUCUGCCACCUAUCUCAUGUCAUGCUUUUGGUCUCAUAAUUCAUGCAAUUUCCCAUCCAUCUCUUGAAUUCUUUUUCUCUUGCAAUUUUGCUGUUUUAUAAAAUUUUUUAGUCCCACUCCAUAAUUUAUGCUAAGCCAUUGGAUAGUCAUGAGAUUUUUCAAACAAAAGAUUGUUAGGUCUAUAAACACUUCGUUUUGGUUUUUGGAUGCCUGAGAUUCAAAAAAUUCAUUGAUAUUUGGAAUGGAAUUGAUGAUGAAUGCCAAGAAAUUGUAAACAGUUAAAAUUUGUACUUAUGCGAGGUAUGGACUUGUUUGUACUUUAAAAAAAGAAAAUAUAAUAGAUUUACAUUUGUCCUUAAAUGUAAUUGCAGAAAAUAAGGGUUUUAAAAAUUUAAUAAGGGGGUGCCAAUAGCUCCACUCUAUUUCCAAUUAAUGAAUGUGUCGUGAUCUUGGAUAUUAUACCUCUUACAAUAAAUCAAUGCUUUACUAACUAACUGUAUUAAGCUAAUCUAGAUCAGCUAAAUUUAAGCACAUUCAGGAGAGAAUGCAUAACAGAAUUUGCUGAGCUUGCCGGUGAGCUGCAUUAGCUGACUCAGCAAAAUUGGCAUUUGACUUCUUUAACUCGGCAAUGCUGCUUCAUUUCUUCACACUUGACUUGCUUUCCUUCUUUACCUCAACAAUUUGAGCUAUCUUCGCUCCCUUAAGACUGGAUUCAAUCACCUCCAAUACCCUAGUAAUAUCUCAAAUCUAAAGCAAGAUUAACAAACAAAUAAUCAAACACGAAUUGAAUCAAGAAACAAAUGAAAACAGACAAAAAACACAGAGAUUUAAGCAGUUCAGCACCUGAUACUGGUGCCUACGUGCACUGAGAAACAUUGCUUAGUGCUUUCACUAUAUCAAUAACUGAAGUUACAAGGCUAUAGAGAUUAUUACAAGAUUACAAGAAUGGAACUUUCUCUCUCUACAACACACUCUCUCUCUCCUCGAUUGUUGCAUAACCAGCUUAUAUAACAGAAACAGCUGCAACUUGUAAACCCAGAUUGCACAGUAUUGAGCCACGUAGCAUAACGGUUUUAACAGCUUUCACUUCUCACGUGCUGCUGACGAGUCUCUUUAGUGCAUUGGCCAAAACAACUUUGAGUCUGUCGUUUCUCAGGCGCUUGAACUUUACGCAAUCUUCAUACAUGCUGCAGAUGACAGUUAUAAUCAGAUCUUGAUUUACCCAGAACGACUCGUCUUAUCUCUGAGUUUGUGCUCAUAGUCAACAAUAUCCAAAUUAAUUAAACCGGAAAUAAAUCAAAUCCCAAAUGAUCAACUAACUAGGAAGCUGAAUGAUCCCUUCAAAAUAUGAAAAUAAUAAAGGAAACAAGAAGCGCUCUCAUCUAACAACUUUGACCCAUCAGAAGCUUCAGAUUCAGUAGCAGAUGCAUGUAUGUAAUUUUUUAAAUUGCUGUGACCACCAUGGACAACACACGAGCUUCCGGCAAGUAAUUCAAGAAACGGAACAACAAAAAACAACAACACUACUACUCAUGGCUGCCUGAUUUCAAUGCUGUGCAAGUUGAAAUAUUCUUUUCUUUUGUUAAUUAACGUGUGUAAUGCGAAAUAUUGUUUUCUUUUGUUAAUUAACGUGUGUAAUGCAGAAUCUCUCCAAGUGCAUUGUCCUUUUGCUAGCAUAUAUUGUUUUGCCUGGUGUACCUGAGUUAAACUCAAUUUCUAAAACACACUUACUUUACUUUCCGUCCCAGUAAGGCAUUCCCUUAAUCCUCUGACAGAUUCCCAAUGCUCUUUUAGAUUAGCUACGAACCAGCUCUCCACACCAGGACACAUCAUAGUACCUAAGCUCUCCACUACACUAUUUAGCAGCACCCUCAGCUUAUUAUUCGCAUCUAGAUCCUUACAAUUCAGCCUCUCAUCUGUAUACACCCGCAGAUAGAAAGCACCACCUUGCUCAGCAUUCCUUAGGCCAUCUCCACUAUCAAAAUAUUCUCCUUAGUUUGAAGUGGUUCAUUAGAUGAACCGCUACGGCACUACCUGAGCACCUAAUCCCCAAACUCCAUCUACAUCUGCUAUAGGGAACUCUUUAGCCCAUACAAAGACUUCCUGGACAAAAGUCUACCCUUGUCUCUUUCGAGCUUCGCUCCAGCGAUUCCUUAGUUUACCUUGUAUUGAUAGCCCAUAAAUUACAUGCCAGUAGGUCCCCUUUACAUUUCCUUCAUCCUCAUGGUCUUCAUUUAGCCAAUGAUUCCCGAACACAUAAUACUCAUUGGAAUCAUGCAAUAACCUCAAGAAUUAAAAUCUCCAAAUCAUAAUCAUAGAGGUCAAAUGGAAUAAUUCUAAGUUUAUACAAGAAAAAUAGUGCUUUAAUAUGGUAGAUAUUCAUACCUUAAGCAUCUCCAUAAUUAUCCCACAUCACUAUAACGAGGAAAAAAUGAAAAAAAAAAAAAAAAAGCUCUCAAAAGCUUUGGCCACUCUCUCUUCAAUCUCAAAUUGCUGACCAUAAGGGAGAUGAAGGGGCUAGCUCUCAUUCUCUCUGUUCAAUUUAUCUAUUCAUACCCAGACCCUUUUUUGCUAAUGGGCUCCGAUAAAAAUGACUAAAAUGGCCUUGACUAAAACUAGAUCCAAUAACAAAUAAGUCAAAGUACUAAUAUAAUGUUCAUACUAAUAUUAAUUGUAAUAACAAAAAACAACAAUAAUAAUCACAUAAUUAGAAAAAUUUAUCAAUUAAGAAACAAAUCAAUAAUCACAACAAUACAAUGAAAAUGAUACUAACAAUUAAUUGCGUAAUUUUUGGAUUUUGCAAUAAAUGUGACCAUAUUUUUAUCACUAAAAUAUAACAUAUGCCUAAUUAGGAAAAGACUCAUUACUUUUAGCUGCCUUAAACUGUAAAUUAGUUGUAUAGCAUAAAUAGGAAGUUUAUGUAUGGUGUAAGAAAGAUUAAACCUCCCGAAAUAUGGUUGGUUCACUUAGUUGUGAAGUAAAGAAAUUCCAAUGAAAAUGGACUCAUCUUGUCAUUUUUUGAGUACUUGGAGUUAGGAGUGGUAAAAUCGGAUCAAAUUACCCUGUAUUAGAGAGAGGUUGUGUGUGUAUAUAUAUAUGGCUUGUCCCUUUACUAAAGUAAAUGAUUCUCUUACUGUAAAAUUACUCAUAUAUAGUUUGAGAUCCCUUAUAGAAAACUUUUCGUGUAUACCCGGGCAAACUCAGCUGCAACUUUUCCAAACAACAUACCCGGGCAAAAUCUUCUUCCAGUACCAAACGGAAUGAAAUCAAAGUAUUGGCCAUUAAAAUCAAUCGUGCUAUUAAUAAACCUCUCUGGCAGAAACACUUCUUCUCUAUCCCACACCUUCGGGUCCCUCUGAAUGGCCCACACAUUCAUAUACACAAUUGUUUUGGCAGGAAUAUCAUAACCUCCUAGAUUGACACUAGUUGAAGUUUCUCGAGGAAAUGAAAUGGUACCUGCCGGAUGUAAUCUCAGAGAUUCCUUCAUAACACAUUUUAAAUAGUGCAUCUGAUCGACAUCAUCCAUAUUUAUACUUGAUUUGUUUUUCACCACCCUCCUUACCUCUUCCUGUGCGUUCUUCAACAACUUGGGAUUUUUCGCUAGUUCAGCCAUUGCCCAUUCUACUGUUGUUGCAGUUGUCUGAGUUCCUCCCGUGAACAUGUCCUAAAAGAUCAAAUAAGAAAACUUCAAUUAGCCACCUAUGUAUCGUAUAUUAUCAUGCAUGCAUGCAUGUGUAUGUGUAAGAGAGAUUGUAAUUGAUAAUUAGUAAAAAAAUAACUAAAUAAUUAUUUUCCAUAUAUACACACACACAUAUACACACACACACAUAAAUACAUAUAUGUGUGUGUGUGUGGAGCUAAUGAGAAAUUCUUAUGUCCGGAUGUCUAAAUACAGAUUUGUUAUUACAUCAUAAUUGAACCAAAAUACUAUAAGACCAUAUAGCAUAAGAGCGAAUCCAUACAAAAUUCGAAUUUAGGCAUCUUGACCUAGAAAUUGUGUAUGACUAGUAUACAUUUGUGUGCGUGCGCUUGUCUGAUAACAUUCUUAAAACGUUAAUUAAAAUUAGAUAUGGAGAAAAUUCUAAUUCGAGAGGAGAGAGAUACCAAGAGAAGUGCUUUAAGAUUGUCUUGAGUCAGCUCGAUCCCUAGCUUGCCAUCCUUUUGAAGUUUGAGGAGUGCAUACACCAAAUCUUUUUUAUCAGACUGGUCAUUAUCUUCAUGGCUCAUUGCUGACAUCCUGUGCUCUUCAAUCACCUGAUCAAACAAAGCAUCAAAUUCUCUAGUGGUUGCUUUCAAGUGACCAAUGUGUCCCGUAACAACGUCCAGCCAUCCAAAAGAAGGAAACAAAUCUCUGAAACUAAUGGAUCCUAACUGAAUCAACAGCCUUUUUGAUAACUCCCCGAACUUAUUGCUCUUCCCUCCAGCAGCACUUUCUUCUUCUACCCUCCGACCAAGAACGGAACGGGAUACUAUGUUGUUGGUAACAGUUUGAAGCAUCUCAGCUAAAUUAACGGAAUCCCCACUUAAACACGAAGAACGAAUUUUAUUGAUCAUGAUUGCAACCUCCUCUUCUUUUACAUAGUGCAAUGGCUGCACUUUUUUAUUACUCAAAAGCCCAAGAACACAAGUCUUCCUAGCUUCUCUCCAGUAUUCGCCAUAAGAAGAAAAACCAAUGUCUUUGCUUCCAUAAAGGAGAACAUCUCCAGCUGUGGUUUUGGGACGGUUCGAGAAAACAAUAUCAUGAUCAUCUCCAGCUGUGGUUUUGGGACGGUUCAAGAAAACAAUAUCAUGAUUUUUGAUAAUGUCUCUAGUUAUCUCAGCUGAUGAGACAACAAGAGUUGGAGAAUGACCCAAGUGCAUGAACAUCAAAGGGCCAUACUUGCUGGAUAGAUCUUUAAGAGAGCGAUGGGGGGAGAGCCUAGCUGGUGAAGGUUGCCAAUUAUGGGUAAGCCUGGUGGGGAUGGAGGUAAGUUGAGUUUGCUUUUAUUUCUACUGAGCUUGAGGCGCAAAAAUAGAAAUGGAGAAAGAAGAAGAAGGAGAAGGAGAAGAAGAGACACCAACAUAUUGUUGUAACGAGUUGAUAACAAAUAAGUUUACUUAAAUGUUGCGGAUCUUCACUUGAGGCCACUCACUUAAAACUUCGGUCAUGUAUAUAUAUACACAGGAGCAUGCAUGAUACCUGGAGAAACCUGCGUCUCUUAAAAUUGAUUAUUUAACAAAGAAAGAGAUGAAAGAUGAUAAUGUUAGCAUUUUGUUUUUUAAGAGGAGAGAGAUUUUUUAUUUUAUUUAUUUAUUUCUGCUGUUUCUAAAAUACAACGUUGGGGUAGAAAAAACAGUACGGCGGGGGAUUUGUUUGACUGAAUAGCGUUUGAUUGAAAAACGACUUUUUUUAGAUUCAAAUUGAUUAUUUAAUAUCUUUACAGAUUAAAACUAGCUUUUGUAGACUCCCAUCGGCCUACUAACUUCAACUCAUAAUAAAAAUGAUAUAGGAGUUUCUUUAGCUUAUAAAAUUCAUAUUAAAUUCGGAUCCCCUCCUUAUAUUAACCCUCUUUAUCUACCCUCUGCUUUCAAAAAUCUAUUACAUUUUUAAAAUAACAAAUUAAUUAAAAGAUAGAAAAAUAAAAAUUUCAUUAUCCUAUAUAAAUGAGGGCUCAUUUUAUAUUGAUUUCGAGAGGCUUAAAAGUACUUUUAAAAAGUUGAAAGGUAAUUUUUGGUGUUUUUUUUUAAUCACUUUUGGCAAAAUUAUCACAUUCUACAAUUUUGAAAAGUAGUAAAGGAGUAUCAUUCCAAAGUUUGAUUUUGAAAAUCACUUUUGUACUUAAUAAAAUUUCAUAUAUAUUCUCAUAUAUUUUAUAAAAAUUUAAAAUUAUUUUUAUUAUUUAAGAAAUAAAAUCAUUAAUUUUAAGAGAUUAUUAUUAUUACUAAUUAUAUAGAGAUAUUUUAUUUUUAGUUAUCAAUUAAUAAAUGUAUGCAUUAAAAAAUAUUUUAUAUACAUAUUUAUAAAUAUUUAAAUAAGUUUUAUUAUGUCUAAUUCAAUCAUUUAUAUUUUUUCAGUAAUUUAACAAUAAGAAUUAUCAAAUACAUAUAAUUACUUUUAAAAUUCAUAACAAUUUUAAAAAUAAAUAUUACCAAAUAUUUAAUUGACUCUCUUAAUUUUUAUAGCAAAGCUAAUAAUAAUUAUUUUAAUAAUUACAACAGUACCAAACUGGCUCAAACACAUUAAAUUAGAGUAUGACUUUUUAUGUCUUUUAAUAAAUAUCUUAUUUUAAUAACAUAAAAGAUCUUUAAUUGAAAAUUUACUAUAUAUGUGUAUGUGCACACGCGCGCAGAAAAAAAAAAAUUUAAAAAGAUUAUGAAAGUAAUUGAAUGAACAUGCAUAUACGCAAUGGACAUAGAGACUGGGGGGACGGUUGACGAUGGCAUGGAGCUGUAUAAGAGUGUUGAAAAUAUCAAUGUUAUGACCUGACUUUCCUUGAUAGUGAAACCAAAUGUUAAACUGUUAAAGAGAAAAAUGAAACCAAAUGUGAACCAUACAAUUAAUUUAUUGUUUGAACUGGUUUGAUUGGAUCCUGAUCUGAAAUGUAGCAAGGCAACCUCAAAUAAAAAUUUCCAUUUUAAGACAACGUUUCGGGAAAUAAUAAAUUUUCUUGAUAACUACUUUGGUAAGUGCUUCAAAAUUUCCAAGACAGUAAUAAAUGUCCGCAAUUAAUUAAUUGUAGCGGCAUCCUAGCUAGAAAUUCUUACUUUAUGACGUAUAAACGCUUCAUGAAAUUUCAUUGGAUCUCACUUUGCUUCAAAUUUUGUAACAGAUUCAGAUUUUAUUGGUCCCGUUAUUGCCUUCUACUGGCAAGAUAUCAGAGUAUAAUCAUGGUAAGGAGAACAUUAUACUACAAUCUUGAUAAAUUUGUACCUUUAAAUAAUAUAUUAAUUUGGGGUAUAUUUGCUUAAUUAUUAAAUUUUUCUUGGACUCAAAGAUAUUAACUUAUACAAGUUUUAUAUUUUUACUGUAUUAGGGUUUGAAUUUUUUUUCAAUUAUCUUCAUUGAAGUAAAUGGAAAUGAAAAUCUUCCCCUGAAAAUAAAAAAUUUCCUUACUCAUAUGAACAAUGUUCAAACUAAGAAUUUUUCAAACGCUCCAUAAGAUUUUAAUAAUUAAACCAAUUAACACCCAAAGUAUUUUAAUUUAAUUGAUACAUGCUCAAUAAUUACCUUUCAAAUUCACCCUAUUACUUUAUAGGAAAAAAAAAAAAAAGAUAAGUAACUGGAGGGUUCCUUAAUAACUUUAGAUUUUAGUUUUCUACAAUUGGGGUGAGGGAACGUAGUUGUUAUUAGUAAUAAAACUUUUUGGAUCGAUCAAAAAGUCCGAGAUUUGAAUUAAUUCUGGCCGGCUAACAUGGGUGGACAAGAUUUAGUUGUGCUAUGUUUUAUUAUAGAAAAAUUCUCAUAAAUUUUGUACGGACAUACUCUUUUACAUAUGUAUCUUUUAUAUAUUUUAAAUAAUGCCAGAAAUUUCAAAAGGUAUCGUAAAUUUUCAUUACAAAUGAUAUUUCAUUUAUGAAAUAAUAGUGAGGUCAUGUAAUAAAUUCAUGUGGCAGUAGGUGAAGAUGCACCGCACCGAAUAAUUUAUAACACUUCUGAGAUUUAUAAGAGACAUAAUUGUUAUAUGAUUGGUGUCACCUCAUACUAGCUGAUUAGCAGAGCAAGAGAUAAACUUGUGUUCAAAAAUGGAUGGCGAGUAUACCUCUAAAAAACAGUUAAUUAACAUUGCCGUUGGCUAGUUUUAAUUUAUUUAUAAUUAAUUAUUAACAAGAUUAGUUAGAGCGUAUGAAAAAUACUGAUUCUUUUAUACAGAUAAUGAUUGGUUGUUAAUAAAUAAUUAUUGGUUGAUUUACUAAACAAUAAUUAUUGAUUAAUUUGUUCAUAAAUAAGUAUUAGUUAAUCUAUUAAUUAAUUUUUUAUAGAUAAAUUAAUUAAUAUCCCUAAAAAUAUUGUUGUAAGAGUAUUGUUGUAAAAUUUAAGAAAAAGUAAAGGUAUAACAUACUAAUAUUAGUGGUAUCUUGAGAUACUUUUUAAAAUAUAGAGACUAUUCUAAAAUAUUAGAACUAAACUAACAUUUACUCUGCUGAACAACUAAAGUGUAUGAAAAAGUAUUUAGUAACUCAGUUUUCACCAUCUACAUUGUGCAAUGAUUGAUAAUUACUUAUUCUCAUGAUUUCAAAGAGAUUUAAUUGAUAGUAAUUGACAACAUGAAACUCAAUUAUAGAGGAUAAUUUGAGCCUUGAUUUGGAAUUAUCCUUGUACUUGGUAAUGAGAAAAAUUUUAAUAUUUGAAUCAGUUUUCGUUGUGAAAAGUUGCUCUGGACUUGUUAGAUUUAUCGAAUGUUCGGAAAUUCAUCAAUAUGACCAUGUAAUCAACUAGAAUAAUCCUUUAGCUAACGGUUGAAACCCAAAUCCACUCUAUCAUAGCAAGAAAAGAGCAAAAGCCAAGCAAUCAAGACACACAAAUUUAUAAAUCCAAUGUUUUUUGUUAGUUGGCUAGAGAGAUAUCCAAUUUAAUGAAAUUAACAAGAAAUAAAUCUAAUUCCACAUGACCAACCUAACUAACUAAGAAUAUCAAAAUCUCUUUAAAAUAUUAUUACUACUCGUAGAUGGACUAACGCAUUCAAUCUUUAAAAUAUUAUUACUACUCAAAGAUGGACUAACGCUUUCAAUAACGUUGAACCACAUCAAUUUCCUAUAGGACUCAUUCAUGAAUAGUAAGUAUGAUCAAAAUUGUACUAGUCUAUAAAGGAAAAAAUGUAAAGGAAAUAAUAUAAAUCAAGUUUGAUUAAGCUUCUAACACAAGAUACUUAGCCAAAACCAAUAAUGGAUUUAAAUUAUGAUAAGAUUUUAAGUUUCUGAUUUGCCAUUUUAUUUUAUUUUUUCAUCUAUAAGGGCAUUUUGGUGGUUUUAGAAAAAAGUAAACUUUAGAAUGUAAGCCCAAUAGUGUUUUUUUUUUUUUAAAGGAGAGCCCAAUAGGGUAAGAUUUUCUUUUCGAUAGUAUAACAAAAGUAAAACAUGUAAAAUAAAAGGGUCUAGUUAUGGUACCACAGUGAUAUCGUACCGCAGUUGGAUCCAGCCAUUGGAUCCAGCUAUGGUGACAACUGUGGGCUGGAUCCAGCUGUGUUACGGUACCACUGUGGUGCCAUAGUUUUACCCAAAAUAAAAUAGCUAAAAAGCAAUACAUAUCUUUACAUAAAAAGAGGUUAGAGUCUCAAAGAUGAUAGCGAUUCGUCCAUUUAAGUUAAAAAAAUUUAUUAGAUGAUAAAUUGAAAAUUUGAAAUCAGCACCACAAGCUAUUAAAUUUAUAAAGUACUUUGUGUUUACAGUAUAGUAACAAAAUAUGUUAAAACUUUUUUACAGUAUAGUAACAAAAUAUGUUAAAACUUUGUUAUUCAUUUAAAAUGCCAAAAAGUUAAAAUUGACUGCUCUAUUUAUGAAUGAGACAACCACUAAGAAUUUUUAGUUGAAAAACAAAUGAAAUUUCCAAGCAGAAUGGGACAGAUACGCUAAAUAAGGAAAUUAAGAUAUUGACCGAAAAUUGGAGUGUAAUGUGAUUAUUAAUAAUAACGGGUUAUGAUUGACAAAAGGUAAUCAAGGCAAUAAAAAAAAUGAAUAAAAAAAUUAGUUUAGGUUACAAAAAGGUUAUGGCAUCAGAUAAUGAUUACAAUAAUAGCAAUAACACAAAUCAUAUAUAAGUAAUAUCAAAGUCAAUAGUUUACAAUUUUAUACCUCAUUUUGGGGGGAAUUACUAUCAUUAUAACAUGCUUCAGUCACUGGCAUAGAAUAUGGUCAAUCAUUUGGUAUUAUUAAAAGUUUAACUUAUCUUUGGGUAGUCAUGGGUUGACUUGGGUUGGGGUUAAGUUCACCCAAAUCAAACCAAAUAAGUUUGGAUUUCAACCCAAACCAACACAAAGUUGUUAGAACCUUAUUCACAUUACUAGAAAAAGACUAAAUAAUCACGAUUUUUUACCAUUGUCAUGCAUUCUAUAAAGGUCACUUGAGCAUCAUUGAAGUCGAUAUCAACAAAUUUUGGAUGAUGGUUUUUAUAUGCUAUCAAUUUUAUGGUGUAUUCUCCAUCAUUAAUUUGUUAUUCACAAAUGGUUGUCUAUCAUAAUAUUUUUUAUACACGACUAUUAUUUGCCAUAUGAAAUUAAAUAUCUUAUUAUAUAAAUAAACAUAAAAUUGUUAUCUUAAUUAAAAAUAAACUUGGUGGGAUUAUUUUAAAUUAUUUUGGAGGAAAUGAAUUAUAAUUUAAAUAAAUAAUUUGGCAAAAUUUGAAAUUAUUUUUAAUUUUUAGCGCCAGCUAUUACUAUUGUUGUUUAAUUUAGCGGGAAUGAAUGAAUCUUUGGUGCCAAUUGUUAUUAUUAUUAUUGAAUUUCAUUUCCUUAUACGUAUUUGUGCACCCACACGCAUGCAUGUGGUUUAUAGGUGUGCAUGUGCACACGUGUGGGUGUGUGGGUGUAGAUGUGUGUGCAUACAUCCAUGCGUGCGUGUGCGUGCGUGUGUGUGCAUAAUGGUGUGCGUGACCGUGGGUGUGCACGUGCAUCUGCACACAUGCAAGUGUGUGUGUGUGUGUGUGUGCACAUGUGUGUGCAGCCAUGUGUGUGUAGGUGUAUGUGGUGUGUGCAUGUAUGUGCACGAGCAUGUGUGUAUGCUCACAACAAGAAACACUACUAAAAAAAAAAAGAAUAACAGCAUUCAAAAUACUUUUUGCCAGACUAUUUGUUACAAGUAAAAUCAUGUAAAAAUUAAUAAAUGAUUUGGAACCAUGCUGCCAUUUAAUUUGUAAAAUUAACAACUAUUGAAUCCAAUAAGAAUUUCAACUUUAUCACUAAAAGCAAUGAGUAUAAUAAACAAAGAAAUCAUGAGAUUGUAAUUUUACGUAUGAUAAUUAUUACAAGGAGACAUGUUCUCACGAUCUUCAAUUAUUUAAAACUAAUUGAUCUGAAUGUUACUUUCAUAAUAGUUGUGUCAUGAAUCGUUAAUUAGAUUGGCAAUAUUAUUAAUUGCAUCCUUUUCAUUCCCCUUAAUAACUGAUAUGUCUAUUGUUAAAGCCAACUUCAAUGGCAUCGUCUAAAAUAUUUUUCCUUCAAUGCUUACUUUAGCAUUCUAGUAAUUUUUAGCCAACUUGUCAAGUAGACAUUCAUUCAAGAAGUUUUUCCAAAUGUUUAAUAACUAAACUUAAAAAAGAUAAGAUCUCUAUUAGCUAAAGCUUAUAAUAAGUCUAAAUCAAACAGGAUAAAGCCUAAAUGAUAGAGUUUCAAUUAUCAUAAUACAAAAAAUAAAAAUAAAAACUUCGUACAACUUCAUAAAACAUCGAACCUCCCCAUUUACACUUAGCUUCACAUACUUUGUAGUAAGUAAUCCCUCGAACCCAUGAGAUGAACUAAAGAUUAAAAUCACAUGCCUGAUUAGCUUAAGAAUCUCGUACAAUUCACCAUAGAUGGAUUAUGGAGGGCAAAAUGCUAUGUGCAGGAUAGGUAAAGAACUACCAACCUAAGAAUUCUUGAAUUGAUAUCUAUUCAUGCAGGCAAUAGAGGGUCUGGGAUUGCUAGAUGGGAUGAAAGCAAAUUCGAGGUUGAAACAGUUGGGAAUUAUAAGUUACCAAGUAUUGUCAAAACUCUAAAAAAAUUGAUGUCAGAAGAGGAUAACAAAUGUUAUGGUUUAGUGAUUGGUUAUCCGCUAACUGAGGAGGGAAUUUUUAAUAAAAAAAUUUAACGAACCACAUGCGAAAGCACUUGUUGCUUUGUUGGACUCUAACCCCUUCUUUUAUGGGGUACCAUUUUGCUUUAUAAAUGAAUAUGGAUGUUCUAUCGAAGCAAGAAUUAUAUGUUCAGAUAUAGAGACUACUCGGGAAGUAGAGAGGGCUAAUGAUCAAUCGACUAGUAGUCUUGCAAGAGGAAAACUUAAGAUUGCAGAUGAUAACAAGAAAUUACAAGCUACUAAAGUAAUUCUGGAGACUUUCAUUUGGAAGGUAAAGAAAGAAUGAUUCUUAUCUCUUGAAGCAAUUUCUACGAGAGAAAAUAAAAUAAAAGAGAAGCUGAAGCAAAAGUCUGCGGCAACAGCAAAAGCAGCAUUGGCGAAAAAGAAGGAGGAAGAGGAGGCGCAAAAGUUGGCGGCAGAAGCAGCAGCAGCAGCAUUGGCGAAGAAGGAGGAGGAGGAGGAGGCAGUGGCAAGACCAAGUGAAGCACAAGCUAUUAAACCCUGAAACAGGUAAAACUAACCAUGAUUAAUAAAUUUUACUUCACUAGAUUGGUAACUAUUGGUAGAGGGCAUGAUAUCCAAUCUUUUACAUGUGCAUUUAGUACAAACUAGAUGGCAAUUUUAAUUAAUUUUAGAUUAAAACUUCAUAAAAAUUAUUUAUUUCAUCUCAAUUAUCAUAGCCAAAAGAAAUCUAUGUAAAGCAUGCAUCCACUAACAAAAUUCUCAUGGUAUAAUUCUAGAUAAAAUAUGUAAAUAAAGAAAACUAUUAAGAACAAGGGUUGCUAACUCCACCACAAAAAGUAAAAAAAAUCCAUCCAAAUAAAGUACACGGUGAGUAAAACAAAAGAAAAAAGCAAUGGAAUUAAUCAUUUUACUUGCUAGCUAUAACUUCAAUGUUUUUGCUUAAUUGAGUAUGGCCUUGUCACUAAUCUAAAGAAAAAAAAAACCAUAAAACAAUACUUUAUUUGUGAUUUACAUAUACAAAUAUGCGAAUAAAAGUCCAAGACAUACAAUAUAUGAGGGGAAGAAAAGAAAUAUAAUCACCAACACUAUUUCUUAAAGUAAUUGAUUCAAUGUUAGUAAGUUGAGAUAAAGACAAUUAAAAAAAAUUAAAAAAAAUCAAACAGUAUGAAAGGUAUAAAUUUUCAUGAUGCAAAUAGUAUCAAAACAAGCACUCAAGUCUUAUCUUUAUAAAAAACACUUAUAUUCACAUAUAACAUCAUCAUUAUUUCACUUUUAGAGAGUAAUUUUUCUGUUAAAUGAUUAAAUUGUCGUAAGAAUGUUUAAUAUUAAAAAUCACAGCCAUUAUAUAAAGCUAUCAUAGCCACAGAAGUAGUAACCAAACCAAAAUAAAUAUAUACAAAGCAUGUAUCUACCAGCUAGCUAAGACGCAUUCAAAUAUAUAAAUACCACUGUUAAGAAACAUUGUAACAAAAGGCCGCAAGAUGCUACAUCGUAGUUACACCUUGAACAAUCUUACUAGGAUGAAAUGUCCUCAUCUUCAAUCUAAAGUGAAAAAAAAAACUAUUAAGGAAAACUUCUAUUGCAAUCUUCAAUUUCAAAAAAAUUUAUUUAUAUAUAUACUAACGAACUAAAAACUGAAUUUCUUCACCAUAUUAAAUUAAUGCAGGCCUGUGAUCACAAGAUAUAGUUAGUUAGUUAGUUAGAUAUGAUUUAUUUCAAAUUUCAACUAUGAAAUGUCCUCAAUAUUUUAAAAAAUAUGAGCUAGUAAUACAGAGAAUGCUAAUGUAUUGUGAACUAGAAUUUAGAAAAUUUUGAGAAAAUUUACACAUACAAGAGAAAAUAGCAUGUGUUGUAAAUUUAAGUUGUGAACGUUCACCAUUUAAAAGAAUGAAAAAUCCCCAUUUGGAAAUAUUGCUUCCCCACCCUAGCUCUUGAAACCUAUAUAUACGUGAUUUAUUUCAUUAUUUUGGCAACAAAAAAAAAGCUUAAUAUAAGCUUAAUAGCAAGGUAUUAUUUAGUUCUUUGUUUAAUUCAAAAAAUUUUCUAUUAUCUAUUUAUUUUAUAACAAGUUAUCAGUACGAUGGCUGAUUUGAUAUGUGCAGUUUAAUUUUUACUAUUUAUGUUUACUUAUGUUUAUUUUUUUAUACUUUAUCAUUAUUUUUAUUAUUUUUUAUUUUACUUGUUUAUUGUUUAUGAUAAUUCUAAUAGAUGGUUCUAUAAUACUACCUAUAUUAUUAUUAUUUUAUUAAUAUGUUUAUUAUUCUGUUAAUAUAACUUGUUUAAUUUAUUUAUAUGGCUUGUUUAACCGCCUAUCAAGUUAUUUUAAUUUCAAUAAAUUAUGAUUUGUUCUUGCAUAUAUAUGUCUUUGAAUAUUAUUGUUGUAGCUUGAAGUUUACAAAACAUAUGAGACGGUGAGAACCUAAAGUUCUAAUUUAUGAUUUUAAAUUAGAACCUAAAAAUCUAAAGACAUGCAUGAAGUUUCUACAAAUUUCAUAAUUUUUGUUUUUGUUUAUAUUUAAAUAUUUCAUAUUUAUAUUAUGAUACUUAUUGCUAUUUCUUUUUUAUUAUUAAUAAGAUUUUUUUGAAAAGUGGCAAGUUUUAUGAAUUUACAAAUCCAUGUUCUUGAAGUUUCUAAAAGAAACUAGCUUUCUUAGGUAUUGGACACCAAAAUGCACUUGUAAGCUAUGGGCCUAGAAGGCACUAUAGCAAAAAGAGAUGAGGUAUCUUGGCAAGAAAAAUUAAAGCCUAUGAUUUUCGUCCGCCACCACAUACAUGAGAGCCUAAAAGUUUGAUACCUAAUGGUGGAGGAUCCACUAACUUUGUAGAGUAACUUCUAUGAAAGAUUUGACCACCAAAGAGAUAUUUUCCUCUCAAAUGCCAAACAUGAGUGGUUAAUUUGAUGUUCUAGGAUUAUGCAAGAGUCCCUUAUUAUAACUUUGCUCUAUUCCGCAUCACCUCAAAAUUGAAAUUAUGUGACAUAGAAAUUACUGAUCGAAAUAUGCUUGAAAAGACACUCACCACUUUUCGUGCAUCAAAUGUUGUCUUGCAACAGCAAUAUUGAGAGUGUAGAUACAACAAAUACUCUGAGCUGAUAACGGCUCUUUUAUUUGCUAAAAAAAUAAUGAGCUUCUAACGAAAAACCAUGAAUUAUGUCUAACAGGCUCUCAAACAUUUCCAAGAGCAAAUGUAAAUAUAUAUACUAAUAGUGGACGUAAUCGAGGAGGCAAGAAAGGUCGUGGUUACUACCAUUGUGGUAGCAUAGGCACAUAAGAGAGGGCACAAUAGAAUUGACGCCACCAGAAGUAGAGCAUCUAUGAGAGAACUAAUAAACACGAUGAUGCAGGAAAGAAUAAUGCUAAAAAUGAUAAUGAAAAAAUUUAUUGUCGAUGCCAAGGAAAAGGACAUUAGUCACGCACCUAUCAGACUGACAAACAUUCGAUAGACCUUGACCAAGCAUCCAAGAAAUGAAAAUGAAAGAUUGAGACUAAGUUAAUCGAUAGCUCAAAUCCUAUUGAUCUAAUUCAUCUUCAUGCCUUUGAUUUCUUUGAAGAUACAAAGGCAAAAACGAUCACUUAAUUAGUGAUGAAAAUGUCCAUAUUAAUUAAGCUCUUAUUAUUAUGCAAGUUACCGCUAUGUUAACUUUGUAUCUUUUUGUAGUUUCAUCAAAUGUUCUUAAUGUUUAUAUCUAAUUUUAAUAUCUAACGUGAAGUUUUGUUUAAUGUAAAGUUAUGGAUGUUAGAAAUAAAUUAUCUAUUUUGGAAAUGAAAGCUGAGGAUUUAUGCUUAAAACAUAUUUCUUAAAAAUAAAAUUUCUUGAAAGAAAAGUAAAUGCUAUAUCUGGUCUUACAAACUUGAUAAAACGAUUCUAGAAGAGCCAUAAUCUUGUUGGCAAGCGGAAUAAAAUUAAUAAUCAUAAAUACGACUGAAUGCUACACAGCGAUGAACCAAAGAUUCACAAAUCCAAAAAUAUUUAUGUUAUGGCAUGAUCGCCUUGGACAACUGGAUCUACAAUAGUACGUAGAAUUAUUGAAAAUUCUCAUGGACAUCUAUUAAAGAACUAGAAGAUUCUAUUGUCCAAUGAGAUUGUUUGUACCGCUUAUUCACAAGGAAAAUUUGUGCUUAGACCAUCCCCAUUUAAGGUUGGUCAUGAAUCUUUAUUAUUUCUGCAAAGAGUUCAAGGACAUAUAUGUGAUCUAUUUCGUUACUUAAUGAUUUUGAUUGAUACAUCUGCAUGGUGAUCAUAUGUUUAUUUAUUGUACACCUGCAACAUUGCAUUUGCAAGAUUGCUUGCCCAAAUUAUAAGAUUAAAUGCACAAUUUCUAGAUUAUUCAAUCAAAAUCAUACAUUUAAAUAAUACUGGUGAGUUUACAUUUAAGAUGUUUAAUGACUAUUGUACAUCAAUAAGUAUUGACGUUGAGCAUCCAAUUCCACAUGUACAUACACAAAAUAGUUAGUGGAAUUGUUGAUUAAAUAAUAUAUAUAUAUAUAAUAUUACUAAUAUCUGCAUGAAUUCGUGCUAUUUUAUAUGUUGCGGUAUUAGUUCGUUUUACACCCAUCGCAUAUCAUCAAUGUUCUGCAUCACAGCUUGUAUUGUGUCAACAACCUGAUAACUUCUAUCUAUGUACUUUUGGUUGUGUUGUGCAUGUUCCUAUCACUCCUUCAGCGCACAAAGAUGGGACCUCAACGUCGUUUGGGGAUUCAUAUUUAUUUUAACUCACCUUCAAUUGUUAGAUAUCUUGAACCCUUGAUGGGGAUAUUUUCAUUACACGUUUUGCUGAUUGUCAUUUUGAAAAAUAGUUUUUUCAUCAUUAGGGAAUGGAAAGCCUUUUGAAGUAAGGUAUAAAUUUUUUUGAAAAGUUUCCACUUUAUCUCAUUUAGAUCCUUGUACUAAUCAAUGUGAUAGAACAAAGUUGAGCCCAUCUUAAAACCUAAGGUUUGUUAUUCCUAUAUGCACCUUGCCUCGGUUGGGACUUGGCGUAAGGUUGUCCUACUCAUGGUUACCUGCAAUGUAAGGACUUUAUGAGCUAAUACCCAGUAAAUUAACACUUUGAUGCAUGUAUAAAUUAUUAUACAUAUAGAUAACCAUAUUAAUUUUUUAAAAGACACUUAGAAAAUACAAAAACAACUUUAUUAGGGCCCUAGGUAUGUUGUAUUACAAGGCUAGCAUUCUUAUUCUUUAAAAUAACAUGCCCUUAGGCAUAAUUAGUUGAUCUUUUGGGAGUUACAUAUCGUCGUCCCCAAAAGAUUUAACUUUUACUAUGUUUGGAGGGCUUGCCCUCCUUCAGAACUUUGUCACCUGGUAGUACAACCACCCAUUUUUCAUAAAUUCAUUUUCUAAAAUGUCUUCUUUAUAAAGUAAUCCAUGAAAUGGGUGCAUCUAAUACAACUUAUGUCAUAACAUUUGAAGUUUCUAGAUGUAGAACAAAAUCAACAUACAACGCUAUUUAAGAACAACAAUCUUUAAUAUAGACAGCAGUGUCAUCUAUACAAAGAUUAAACAAAAUGGGAUUAUAGUAUAGGUGGCAGAGUCGACCAUAGCAUAAUUAAGUAUUACAGAAUAAGCGGCAUAGCUGACCAUACAAGGAGUAAAUAAGAAAAUAUCAUAAUAUAGGCGGCAUAGCCGACCAUAUAAGGAUAAACAAGAAAUUAUUGUAAUAUAAGUAGCAUAGUUGUCCAUGUAAAAUUUAUAUCAUAACUAAUCACAUUAUAGUAGCCAUCACAAGAUAAAGAAUUAGUUAAAACUGAAGUUAAGUAUAAUAAGAAUUUUGCCCCUACAUUUUAGUUGAAGCGUUACUUACUUUUUAACCUUGACUUCUCUAUACUUUUUAAAUUUGAGGAUUUCUCUACUCUUGAUAUUAUAACUUAGAAUAGAAGAAGCUUGAAUUUCUAGAGUUGUAUUGAAAAUGACAGGGCUAGGGGUUAUUUAUAGGAUUUCUUAAGAUUAAUGGAUUAUUAAAAUUUUGCCACCAUAACUCUUGAUUAAUGGUUGUGAUUAUUCUUCAUAAAUAUCUUACUAAAUUCUAGAUUUCCUAACUAUCUCUACAAACUUCUCUUACAUCAUCACUUAUGUCAUUGUUUAUGUUAUCAUUACUUUAGAAUUAAAUAUUUUAUUAUUAUUAUUAUUAUUAUUAUUAUUAUUAUUAUUAUACUUCAAGGGCUUGAUAGCUUAAAGUUAAUUAUAUUAUAUUCAAGUGAGGAAGUUGUACCUUAUAAAUGCAGCUCUCUAUACCUCCAACUAAUACACCAUCUUGCCUAUCGCCUACACGUCAUGCAUCUUCUUUACAGCCUCUCACCUCUUCCUCUCAAAUUCAACCAACACUUUAAAGUCUUCAUCUCAGCCCAAACCAAUCCUCUCUACAUAUAAAAUUAUUACUAGAGCAAAGGUUGGAAUAUUCAAGGCAAAAGUCUACGUAACAUAUCACAAUGGCCUAGAACCAUCUACUGUCUUAGAGACAUUGUUUGAUCGAAAAUGGACAGCAAUAAUUCAAACUGAGUAUGAUGCUCUCAUUAAAAAUAAUACUUGGAAUCUUGUGUCUAUAUGCUCAUCUUAUAAACCGGUGGUAUGCAAAUGGGUGUUCAGAACCAAGUACAACACAGAUGGCUCGGUCGCUAAAUAUAAAGCUAGAUUGGUGGCCAAGGGAUUUUAUCAAACUAUAGGCAUUGAUUACUUAGAAACCUUUAGUCCUGUAGUAAAGUCCUCGGCAAUGAGAGUAAUUCUAAGUCUGGUUGUCAUGAAAGGUUGGAAGGUUAGACAAAUUGAUGUUAAUAAUGUCUUUUUAAAUGGGGAUUUAUCAGAGGAUGUGUAUAUGAUUCAGCCUGAGGGUUUUGUUUCCAAAGAAGGCUAUAUAUGCAAGCUUAAUAAUGUAUUAUAUGGAUUGAAACAAGUUCCAAGAGCAUGGUAUGAUAAACUGAAAAGCUGUCUUACCACUUGGAAAUUCAUUAAUUCUAAAGCUGACGCUUCUCUAUUCUUCAAACAUGAUAUUAGAGGCAUGAUCAUUGUGUUAAUUUAUGUUGAUGACAUUUUGCUUACUGGUCCUGACUUAGCAUUUCUUAAAGAUUUCAAUACUAAACUCAAUAAGAUCUUUGCUCUCAAGAAUUUGGGAUUACUGGCCUAUUUUCUAGAUGUGCAAGUUUGUUACACAACUCAUGGUAUGCAUCUCUUAUAGACAAGGUACAUUAAGGAUCUGUUGAGUAAAGCCUAAAUGCAGGAUUGCAAGGGUUUUAAUACACCUCUCAACACUGGUUUCAAACUGGAGAAAAAUGUUAAAGGACCUUUGGGGCAAGAAUUUGAAGAGGCAGCACUUUAUAGAAGCAUUGUUGGGGUUCUAAUACUUGAUUCUCACUAGACCUGACAUUACUUACUCUGUACAUAAAUUUAGUCAGUAUCUUAGUAAUCUUACACUUUAUCACUAGUUACAAUAUAAGAAAGUUCUCAGGUAUCUUCAAGUUACAAUCACCCAUGGUCUAUAUCUUCAAAAGGAGGGAACACUUGAAUAUGUUGGUUUAACAGGCUACUUUAAUGAUGACUGGGCUGUAAUGUUGAUGAUCAAAAAUCUAUUAGAGCUUACUGUAUUUACCUUGAUAAUAAUUUGAUUUCUUCGUCAUCUAAAAAGUAAGCUAUUGUGGCUAAGUCAAGUAGUGAGAGUGAAUAUAGGACUAUAUUUUAAGCAAUCUCAGAAUUGUCCUGAUUACAAUUCUUACUGUCAGAAUUUAAUAUUGUGCAAUUACCAACUCCAAUUCUUUGGUGUGACAAUCAGAGUGUUGAAGAAUUAGCUCGGAAUCCUAUUCUUCACUAUAAGUCUAAGCAUAUUGAAUUAGAUGUUCACUACAUUAGAGACAAAGUGCUUAGAAAUGAGUUAGAUGUGAGAUACAUUCCUACUGAAGAACAAGUUGAUGAUGUUCUUACAAAGCCUUUAUCAUUUCUUAACUUCAACUACUUCCGAUCCAAACUCAAUGUCAUUAGCAGACCAUUAAGCUUGAGGGGGGAUGUUAAGGAAGCUCAUACUUGCAAUUAUUAUUUUGCAAAUGGUAUAAUCAAAAGAGGGUCUUGAUAUCCCUUAUUGAAAACUUGAGGAUCUACAUAACCAUGCAUUUCCCCAAACCUUGUAUAUGUCCUAUUCCCUUGUUUGCGCCUCAAAAAUUUUUUUGAAUAUUUAAAAAAGAAUUCGAAUAGAUUUUUGAUGUAAUAAAUGACAGAAUUCGACAAACGUUUGUACUUAGUUAUAUUCCUCUGGCUGAAAGGUUCAAAAAGAUAUAUUAUAUGACCAAAUCGAUAUCAUUUGAGUUAUCUGACAGUACCAAAAAAAUCCUAUGUCAUAAUACCAAAUUACAUUACAAGGGAAAAAUCAUCUAUUUACAUAAAUUCAGUAACGAAUACAAGGGCAAGGUGUAAACAUGUUAAUUUCAUAAACUCGGGUAUAAAGAUGACCUUUGCAAUAUAAAGAUGGACGGUAAGGGUAAUUAGAAAUAUAAAGAUGGAAUCUGGACCCUUCGUACGAAAAUUUUCUAUCUCUAAUAAUUAAACUAAAAUAACUCAUAAGUUGUUAUUUUUCCUUAUGGUUCAUAUUUGGUAUGUAACGGUUAAUUAAAAAAUUAAAAUCUAACUAAAAUUGGAAGACCUCUUUCUUGUGAUGGCAAGACGGUGGUCACAUAAAGGCCUUUUUCUUGUAACUUGAGCGGAUAAGAAGGAUAUUAGAGACCCAAGUUUCAUCCCAGAAAAUAAAAAAAAAAUAAAACUAUUCACAACAGAUCUUCUUUAUGAAAGCUAAAUUACUUGAGAUAUGGAACUUCUAAAUAAGAAAAAAGGACAUCUAUACCCUCAAGAUUUAGGAAAAUAGUCACAAAAAACCUUCAAUUUUCAAUAAGGAACAUCAUAACUCCUUUUAGACCAUAAUGUCCCUCAACUCUAUAAAUCCCAAAAAAAUAACUCCAAAAUUUUAUAAUAUAUGGAAAUAUGGAAUUAAAAUAAAUGUAAUAAUAUAUACAUUUCAAAAUAAUUUUAAUAUUUAAAAAUAUUUUUAUAUUUUUCAAUCUAUCAGACCUAUUUUAUUAUAUUAAAGUAAUUUUUAAUAAGAUAGAAACAUAAUAUUAAAAUAAAUAAAUUAAAACUAAAAUUAUUUUGAAUAUUAUGUAAAGUUUAAUUCUAAUAUUGCUAAUAGGGAGAUUUUUUAAUUGUAAAAUCUAUUUAACCCAAAGAUUUAUUUAAAAUCUUUAAAACAUUACAAAUAUAUUAUUAAAAUAAAUAUAAUAAUUUAAAAUUUUAAUAUUAUUUUAAAUGUCAAAAAUAAUUUAAUAUUAUUAGUCUACUAGACAUAUUAUAUUAUUUAUAAAAAAUUUGUGUUAAUUAAAAACCUUUAAAUCAAUUUUUUAAUUACUAUACUUAAAGAGUUUUAUGGAUAAAAAAUGGUCUUGAUAUCCUUUUUUUUUUAAUUUACAGAUUUUUAUGACCAUUUUCUCAAACCUUGAAGAUAUAGGUGUCUUUUUCCCUUUAAAUAAUCAUGCCACAAAGGACUAGAAAUCGUUGCAUUCUAUGGUGCAUAUAGAUUUAUAAGACCGUCAUAAUUUUCUUGUCAAAUUCAUCUGAAUUAUCCAAUUUUCUAUAAUUUCACAAAUCAACUGGUUUACUUUAAUUUGCUCUUUUCUAAAUCGACUGUUUUGUCCCAAAAGGACGGAAAAUUCACCCAUGAUUUCUUGUUAUUUCUAAUGGUAAUCUACUUGGAUCAUUCAUUUGACAAUAUAUGACUGGUCCGUUUAUUGUGUUUUCUCCGCACAAUAGGACUGAAUGAUAAAGCAUCGUCCGAUUAUGCGGUCUAGACUUUUUUUUUUUUUUUUUUGAUUCAAUUAUGCGGUCUAGACUUUAAGGGCAUUUUAUCUCGUGUCUUAUUACUAUUGUUUGCAUCUUAUGCGAAGACUGAUUUGGAUGAUGAGAACGAUUUCAGAGAUUUAUAUUUUGAAUAUGGCGGAACACCAUUUUUCUAGCUCUAAAUUUUCUGCGGACUGCAAUUCAGGUUGCAUAUUGAACCACGUGGGGCCCUGUAAAUACUGAGAAUAAGACAAUGUGUUUAUCAUUUUCUAUGAGUUUGCCGAUACCGCUCAAAAUUAUAUUUCAUGUUGAUACAUUGAGAUGCGAUGCUAAUUAUGGUUGAGAGAUGGCCGACAAUUAUUCAUUUCUCUUUUUUUAUUUGUUUUGUUUUGUUUUAUUCACAAAACAACCGCUCAAGUCAAAUCAAAACUGGAAAAAGAUUUUCCACGUCUAAGGCAAAAGCGAGAUAGAUAAUUACAUACGACAAUAAUCAUCUUGUAAUUUAUAUAUAUAGGUUUUGGCAAGAUGACAAUUCGUACGGUGAUAAAAAUGCUUGAUCUUAUCAUAUCGAUAAUUGCGAUUGUGUUUUCGCCGCGUAAUAUGACUUAAUGAUAAGGCAACGUCGCCACUUCGGCCUUGGCCGAAGUGGUGGGCUGCUGCCCUCACAAUGCUUGUGAAGGCAGCGGUUCUAGCUCCCACAAAAGUAUUGUGGGGGCUAAAUGUUCUUUAUAUUUAAAAAUCAUUUUCCCUUGCGAAAUGCAAGUGGAGUAUGGACAUUCCUCUUCUGUGAGGGGUUAUUUGUCUGGGCAUGUACUUCAUAGAAUUCAAUGUAAUAAUGUAAGUCCCAAUCAUGUAUAUCUGAUUGUAAAUAUCAGUGUAAUAUCUCUGCUACAAUAGCAGUUGUUGUAAAUAUCUGUGUAAUGCAGUAAUCUGAUGAUUAAUCAGUAUUCAAAAAAAAAAUGAUAAGGCAACGUCCGAUGAUUAAUCAGUAUUAAAAAAAAAAAUGAUAAGGCAACGUCCGAUUUGCUAGAGAUUUCACGGGCUAUGUUCAUCAUGCGCCUCUUGUCACAAUUACGAGAAUCGAUUUGGAUGAGAGCGACUUUAUAGAAUUAUUAGUUUUUAUGAUGGUCCAGGCUCAAAGUAUAUUCAUCAGUAAUUUAACGUAUAAAAUAAAGAAAUAAUAGACAUUAUAAACAAACAGAGUCAGGUUCCAAGUGCUGAAAUGAUUGAUUAAACAACCAGAAUAAUACUUUGAAAAAGUAAGAUAAAAGUCAAGUAAUUAAUCGGAUCAAUCUUUUUGGGGGCGGAAAAAAUAAAGUAAUGUUUGAUGUGGCUGAAAAGAAUAAUGAUAUGUGACCCCUAAAUAUAUUUCAACCGCGCAGUAAUUAAUUAUCUCUAAUAAUUUCCAAAAGUACCCUUGUUCAUAUAAGUUUAAUUCUGCAGCUCCAAACAUAAUUUCGAGUCUAGUGUUGGCCAAAAAUGGUCUCGGAACUGAAAAUAUGACUUUUCAUAAUAUAAUGUAGACACGUAGUGCAAAUAUUAACUCACUAAAAUGAAUAAAUCAAUGCAAAUUGCAAACAAAACGGAGGGGAAAUAAAACCGCCGAAAAUAUUAGAAACCUUGGAGAAAGAUUGCUGAGACGUUGGAUUGUUGGUGUCGGUAUUGUCUUGGCAAAGCAAACGCGCUAAUUUUCAAUCUUUAAUUUAGAAAAUCAAUUCUAAAAAAAAAAAAUUAGAAAAUCAAUUGUUGUGGUGGGCGUUUGGCAGGGGAGGAAAUGAAGGGAAGUGGUGGAGAAUGAGAGAAGGGAGAGAGGAAAAAAUGGGCACUUUUUGAAAAUAAAAAUUAUUUUACUAAGUAUAUUUUAAUAAUUAUUUUAGAUAUUUUAAGUUAAAAUGAGAAAAAUAAGGGUUAGUGAGAUAAGUUUUGGAGGUCAAAUAUCACUAUUCUCUUAAAAAGAGUGAAGCUAUUGGCAUCCCUUCAUAGUCCUUAUAAAACCCCACCUCAAAAAAAAUUAUAGUGAAGGACAAAUAAGAAUUAAGCAUACAUAAGUCCCCCCCCCCCCCCCCCCCCCCCCAACACCCAAAAAAAAACAUAAUCAAUCCUUUUGUUUUAUUUUCUACUUGUUUCUUCAUAUUAACUAAGAUAAAUUGUAAAAAUUUAGAAUAAUCCAUUACUCUUUUCAUAUUUCUUAUUUAUUUAAUAAAUUUUAUGCUUAAAAUGGCUUUUCAAAUUAAAAUUUAGAAUAUGUGUAAUUUAAGCCAAUGAUAAACAUUGAAAAUUUUUAUCACCCAAAAAAAUUUUAAUUUGUGUGUCCGGUAAUAAUAAGAUUACAAAAUAAAAGUAAAAUAGCAUAAUAAGACCUUGCGUAUUAACAAAAUAAAAAAUUAGAAGUGUAUUAAAAAAAGAAGAAAUUUUUUUAAAAUAAAAUAAAUAUACCUGAAAAAAAUGGGGUUUUAUGAGGAUAUUAGGAGGUGCCAAUAGUUCAACUUUCUUUAGAAAUCAAAAUUAUGCCCAAUGCCUUGGGCCUUGUACAGCCCGAAGGUAUGUAUUUUACUCAAUGGGCAAGCUAGUAUUUGGGGGUAUUUAUCUUCUAUAUAAUAAAAGCUCAAACAAACUUUGAAAAAUAAAUGGUUUCAAUACUACAUUACAAACUGUUCAAAGUCAUAUAUAUUUAAUUAAGUAAAAUCCUAAAUAUCCUGUAUAAUAUAAUGCUCGGUUUAUGGUGUAAGUUAAAAAGCUAAAACUAAAUGUUUCUUUAACUUUUUGGAAAUUUGGGCCAAUUACUUAGGGUGCAUUCACGGCAGCGGCACAACACUCGACCACUUAUAUUUUCGUUUAAAUCCAAACGCACCAUUAGUUGGCCCUUGCGGUUAAAAUCAUCUUUAUUACAUAUCUAUUCCAUUUAAAAGCUACUUUCUUACUCUUUACUUUACUUGCUGCUGCAUGUUGGAUUUGAUUUAAAUGUUAAGUUACAUAUCUUAGAUAAAAAAUUAUUUUUUAGCCUUGAGAAGUUGGAUCCAACAAUUAUGUUUUGAGUAAUUUUUAAAUUUAGAGUUUUAUCUGAAUUAUUGACCAAUGCACUAGUGCCUAAAUGAAAAUUUACCGGAAAGAUAAAAAUAAAUUACAAAUAUCAAUUUCUUUUUUAUAAAGUAAAAUUGAAAUAUACAACUUGCUAAAGGAAAGAAAGCUUUGUGAAUUUAGAUAGAUUUUUUUAGAUUAUCUUUUAAUUAUCUUGUACUACAUGUGUAUUUAUAUCAUUACAUAGUUAAGAUUCUUAUUACCAAGAAAAUCACAUCAACACUUGAUCAAAAUUUUAUUUAUCAAAUACUAAGAAGAUAUUAGAUAUCUACUUUUAUAACAAGUGAAAUCUAGUUUCAAUUUAUGCUUUACAAAAGGUUAAAGGAAAAUUACCAUUUUCCCUCCUGCAGAUGGUAAAGGGAAAAAGACAUCUACACCACUAAAGUUUGGAAAAAUAAUUAUCAACACUCCAAGUUUUCCAAAAGGGAUACCAAGACUCAAUUUUAACCAUAAUUCCCUUUAUCUCUAUUAUCUUCAAAAAAUUAACUCUAAUGUUUUAUAAUAAAUAAGAAUAUAACAUUAAAAUAAAUGUAAUAAUAUGUACAUUUUAAAAAAAUUAAUGUCUAAAAAUAUUUUAAUAUUUUACAAUCUACUAGAUAUAUUUUGUUAUAUUAAUGUAAAUUUUAUAAUAAAUAGAAUCAUAAUAUUAAAAUAAAUGUAUUAAAAUUUAAAUUAUCUUGAAUAUUAUUUAAAAUAACAAUUUCAAUGUUAUUAGUAAGUGAGUUUUUUUACUUGUAAAAUGCAUUUAAUGAGAAUUUUUAUUUAAAAUCUAUAACAAAUAAAAAUAUAUUAUUAAAAUAAAUAUAAUAAUUUACAUAUUUAAAUUUAUUAAAAUAUUCUAACAUUGCUAGUCUUUUGCAUAGAUUACACUAUUUAUAUAAUAUUAGCAUUUAUAAAAAAAAUUUAAAGUCAUUUUUUGGAAUAAUAGAGGUAAAAGGUAUAAUGAUCAAAACAAGCUCUUGGUGUUCCUUUUUGGAAACUUGGGGGUGUUAAAGAAGGGUGCAUAUAUCAUUUCUGUGGUAAAAAGACAAAAAUAUUACAAUACUUUGAAAUCUACCAUUUUUAUAAACUAAAUUUAUAAAAUACUAUUUUUACACUUUGCUGUUAACAAGGAAUCUGUUAGUGAAUUUAUUUGAAAAGAUGUUUUAUCCUUGAAAUGUAAUUUAAUAUUUUGAAGUAGAAUAUUUUUAGGAAAUGAAGUCAAAUUCGGAUGUAUAACAAAUAUAUAUAUAAAGCUCUCAAUGAGACGAACAACAAUCUAAGUAAAUAUUUUACCACGCUCUAUUGUUUGUGGGGAAAAUGAUACCUGUAUCUCCAAGACCCUCGAGUUUUCAAUAAAGGAUGCCAAGAUCCCUUGUUGACUAUAAUACCCUUUAGCUUUAUUUACUCAAAAAAAGUGACUCCAAUUUUUUAGAGUAAAUACAAAUAUAAUAUUAAAAUAAAUGUAACAAUAUAUACUUUUUAGAAUAAUUUCUAUAUUUAAAAAAUAAUUUAAUAUUUUACUAUCUUGUAUUAGAUUAAAAAUUUAUAAUAAAUAGAAACAUAAUGUUAAAAUAAAUAUUUCAAUAUUUCAAUUUUUUUCAAGAUUAUAUAAAAUAAUUUUAAUAUUAUUAAUUCAUGAGAUUUAUUUCAUUAAUUGUAAAAUCUAUUUAACCAAGGGAUGUUUGGUUUAAAGAAAGGGGAAUAGAGGAAAAGAGUGGAAUGGAAGGGAAGGGAGAAAAAAUGAGUGAAGAAGAAUAGUGAAAUUAAAUUUGUUUUUUUGGUUUGACAUAAAAUUUGAUAGGAAAAAGAAUUACAAUUUUUUUCUUUGGACAAAUUUAUUAUUUACUUUAAAUAUUAUCUAUAUUAGCAAUGAAAUAUAAUUUAAUUUCAAUACCAAACUUUUUUAAUGUCAAAAAGUCCUAAAAUAAUUCAUGAUUUAUUAGAAUUAUAUAUAUAUAUAUAUAUAUAUAGCCAAGAUUGGAGUUUUAUAGGCAUUGGCUGCCAUGGUCAUUUAAAUUCGGGUGAAGAGACAUGUGCGCUCUCACUUGUGUCCAAGGGACCACCCGAGGGUACAAAUAUACGUACAAAAAUAGAAAAUACAGAGGAAAAAUACUGGAAUACUCUUUUUUUUUCAUAUAUGUAAUAAUUAUUUACAAUGCUUUAUAGGAGAGAAAAUUCCGAAACAGUCGUCUUCAUUUUCAUCUCUAAGGGAUAUAAAUGGCUCUUCGUCUUGAUCAUCAUCAUCAGAGGAGUCUGCAACUGAGGACUUUGAUCUUGAUGUGAGGAGCUGUUCCAUGACUUUAAAGUAUUCUACUUCAGAUUUGGCACUGGCCAGCAGAGAUUGGGCUUUGGAUUUUUGAGUUAGAAAGGUUUCUUGGGCUUUUUUGGCUUUAAUAGUUGAGGGUAAAAAUCCUUUAGAACAGAGCCAAUUGCAGAUUAGAGUAUCCGUCAAUUUAAAUUAAAAAACACUGUAUGUUCCAAAGGUUACUGUUUCAAGUAGCUCCGCUUCCGCUACAGUAAAGAGUUCCAAAGAUUACUGUAUACUACAGCUCCGCUAUAGUCUACAGUUUAAAAACUCAUUUUGUAUAUAAAUCUGGAGGAAGACUUAGACUCCUCAGAUUUUUUCAGAUCUAAGUUUUUUCUUUCUUUUCGUUCUCUCUCUCUCUCUCUCUUUCUCUUCUUCUCUCUCUCCCUCUCUUCUUGGGAAGUCUGGAUCAAGACAUCCAGGAAACCAUCCUGUCUUGUAAAUGAUCAAGACAUCAAGGGAGUUUCUUGUCUUGUAAUCUUCCCGUCUUUCAAUCUUUCUUUUACAACAGAUCUGUAAAAUUGCACCAAGCACAAAGCAAUAAAGAAAAGCAUGUAUGAUUUAUGUUUCAGUCAUUUAAAUUAAAGAGGAACACCAAGACUUUGCAGUGUGGCCUUUUAUACCACAUUUGUGACAUAUGACUUCUUUGUAAUUAAACGGGGUUUUGAACGGAGUUUUUGGUUUUGCUCUAAACUCUUUCUUUUUAGAGAAACUAGGUUUCUUAUAAGGCCUCGAAGGUUUCUUAUAAUGAAGUUCUCUAAAGUCUUGAAAGGGUUUUUUACGGAAUUUAGAUUUGUAAUAUUUUUUGUAAGGUUUUGUAGAACACUUACCAUUACAAUCGUUAGAAGUAGAAGUCUUAAAGGGGUCAUAAUUGAAUUGUUUACAGAAACUGCCUAAUUCUUGCUUAGACUUUUUAAGCUCCCAUUUAAGUCGUUUCUGUAAUUUAAAAUCUUGACAAAUCUUUAAGCCUUCUUUGUUGAUGAAACUGACAAGUUCACCAUAGGUGAGCUCAUCAUAAGGAAUACGGUUAUCAUAAAGGGCUUUAAUGGAAUUCCUAACAUUUUCUCCUAGUAGGGUAGGUAAACCUGCAAGGAAUUUUUCCUUCCAAGUUAUAUGAUUUGUAUCAUCCCUAAGGAAGAGUCUGGUGAAGAAGGUGGUUUUAUAGCUUUGAAAUUCACUAAGUUUUCUACACCUCAAGUUGUGUAGUAACUCGGCGUUUUUGUGUCUAAGGUGAGAAGGGUCACCUAUAAAGUGGAGGGAUAUAGUCAAAAUCAGGGUAGCUACAGCAUCCUGAAUUGGACUAUUGAACUCAUCAAGAAUGAGGGCACCAUCCUCAUCUGUUUGUAUGGAGUUUAGGAUAUCUAAUUGCUGCAAUUUGGUAAGAAGAUGAUCCCACCAUCCUUUAAGUUGACCAGUAAAACCGGCAAUAAGGAUUUCUGCAAUGUCUUUGUCAGAAGUUCCCGAUUGGGUUUUAUAGGCAUUGGCUGCCAUGGUCAUUUGCUGCAAUACUCCUAGGAUAUUGUAUUCAGACAUUCCAUCUAUAUUUCACUCAUAGACAGAGGAUACAUUAUAUCGAGAUUGAUUUAAUGCACUAGGCCUGUUGUCUAUGGUCAAAUCAGGUGGAGACUUGGCUAUAGGAAGGGCUAAAUCCCAUUGGAUUUUAUUGGCUUUAGGAACAAGUUCUUCUUUAAAAGCUUCGGAAACCCUCUCCAAAAUUACCUCUCUGCUCAUAGAGUCUUCUGACUCUAUGUCUUCCAUGUCGGGAGAUAGUGACCCUCUUCAAGUUGAUGAGUUAAUUGACUCAGAUGACUCUGCAUCUAGCAGUAGUGAUUCUGAAUCAGAUUCUUAUUUAAAGAAAAUCAAUGUUUUGACUAAAAACCAAGAAAUUUUUCUUGAACUUGUUAAACAUAUUUCUGAUCCGAAUCUUCAAAAGGAAUACCUUGACAAACUUUUGAAAACUCUGGAUUCUAAUAAAGCAGAAACUUCUAAAGUUCCAAUUGUUAAAAAGAAUUCUUACGAUCUCACUGAAAUUCUGGAUAAAAAGAAAACAAAAAAGUAAAUUCCUAAUAUCCAAGACCUUCAGAAAGAAAUCAAAGAUAUCAAACUUGAAAUUAAAGAAUUAAAAGAAAAACAAAAGAAAGAUUCUGAAACUAUUCAACUUCUUAUACAAAAACAAUUAGAAGAAAAUUUUGAAAAGGAAGUUGAAUCUGAAAGUGACAAUGAACAAAAAAUUGACAACAUUGAAUCUGUACCCAAUGAUUUUCUGUUUGUCCUAAAACAAAUCACCACCAGAAAAUACUUAAUUAAAAUCACUUUGAUUUUUUUCAAAGACUUUGCUAUUGACGCCAUUUCCCUUUUUGACACUGGUGCCGAUAUAAAUUGUAUAAGAGAGGACAUUGUCCCCAAAAGAUUUCAUGAAAAAACAAAAGAAAGGCUUUCUGCCGCCAAGAAUUCAAAACUUAAAGUCAAUUCUAAAGUUGAAGCCUCAAUCCAUAACAAUGGUUUUGAAUUUAAAACUUCAUUUCUUCUUACAAAUGACAUUCACCAUACUGUCCUUUUAGGAACCCCAUUCAUAAAUUUAAUUACCCCAUAUACCGUCAAUUAUAAUAGUAUAUCUUUUAAAGCAAGAUCCAAAAAGCUUGUUUUCCCUUUUAUUGAGAAACCAAAAACAAGAGAUCUAAAUAUUGUUAAAGCAUGUUCUGUUUACCAGAAUCAGAUCAACGACAUGCUUAAAUCUAAACAAAAUGACUUGUUUUGUUUUAAAAAGGACUUAAAUUUCCAAAGAAUUGAAAGCCAAUUACAAAAUGAAUUUAUACAAAGAAAAAUCUCUGAUUUUAAAAACCUCAUUGAAAAAGAAAUAUGUGCCGAUUUACCAUCUGCUUUUUGGGAAAGAAAACAACAUUUGGUAGAUUUGCCCUAUGAAAACUCUUUUGAUGAAAAACAAAUACCCACUAAAACUCGUCCAAUUCAAAUGAACAUGGAAUUGGAACAACACUGUAAAAAUGAGAUAAAAGAUUUAGAAAACGAAGGACUAAUUGUAAAAUCCAGAUCCCCAUGGUCUUGUGCCGCUUUUUAUGUCAAUAAAACCUCCGAAAUAGAAAGAGGAACACCAAGACUUGUAAUAAAUUACAAACCUUUAAAUAAAGCAUUAAAAUGGAUUAGGUAUCCUAUACCUAAUAAAAAAGAUUUACUCCAAAAAUUGUGUUCAGUUUUUAUUUUUUCAAAAUUUGACAUGAAAUCUGGUUUUUGGCAAAUCCAAAUCCACCCAAAUGACCGUUAUAAAACUGUCUUUACUGUUCUUUUUGGACAGUAUGAGUGGACUGUAAUGCCAUUUGGUUUAAAGAAUGCACCCUCAGAAUUUCAAAGAAUUAUGAAUGAUAUUUAUAACCCUUAUUCUGAGUUUUGCAUUGUCUAUAUAGAUGACGUGUUGAUUUUUUCUCAAACUAUUGAUCAACAUUUCAAACAUUUAAAGACUUUUUAUUUUGCCACUAGAAAGGCUGGUCUAGCCCUUUCUAGUUCAAAAAUUUCAUUAUUUCAAACAAAAGUCAGAUUCCUUGGUCACUACAUUUCUAAAGGAACUAUCACCCCUAUUGAGCGAUCACUUUUAUUUGCUGAUAAAUUUCCUGAUAAAAUUCUUGAUAAAACUCAACUACAAAGAUUUUUAGGACAAACAGAAAAGCAUGUAUGAUUUAUGUUUCAGUCAUUUAAAAAAGAAAUUGAACAAGAAAAACCUAUUUCCAAAGAGAUUUCAAAACCCUCUUCUCAAAAUAUAGUUGUCUCUGGAGAAAGUUCAUCUUCUCAAAUUGUACUUUCCCAGCCAACACCUUCAAAGAAAUCAUCUGAUUGGUUUGAUAAAACCCACUUCCAAAAUGUUUUAUUUGUGGAAGAUGGUUUUUACCAUACUGAUCCUUUCCAAACUAUUUCAAAGUUUUUUCCUAAAGGCUGGUUUUUCAAACCAUGGGAUUUGACAAAACCCCAGUCUUACUAUCAAAGCAUUUUAGAAGCUACUGAGUCAGUUAAAUUCAAACAUUUCUUUCUCAGUGAAACCCAUUCAGAGCCAGCCUAUUCCACGGCUACUAUUCUAAAAGUCCUGAGCCCAAACCAGUGGGGUGACCAACUCCACACACAAAAAAGAUUCCCUUCAAAUUUCCUACACCAUAUACCACAUUGUUUGACUUAUUCCUAUUGGGAUUACCAACAAGCCUGGUAUAAUACCUUCUUUAUCCAAAACCUCAAAAAAUCACACUCUUGGUUAUUUUUCUUUAAUUCAAAAAUAACUGUACAAAGCUCCAUGGUCAUUUAGGCAUUGGCUAUAAAAAUACAGAGAAAAUUCAGGUGAAGAGACAUGUUCUAAUACUCCAAUCUUGCUAGAUUGGGGAGUAUCAGGGGCUAUUUGAACUUUGCUAGAUGAGGAAGAAACAGCUUCUAUCCUAUCUAGUUGUUCUCUAAUGGCUUUAGCAAAAUCUGACUUUGACUCUUGGACAAGCUUUUGGCUAGUUCUCGAAACCUGAAAAUGUUUGAAAAUAAGUUCCUUAAGCUUUUUGUCAGAAUCUGAUUUUGAUGAAACAGAGGAGACUGCUAUAGUAGAGGUUUGAAAUUGGUUUUCUAUACGGGCCAAUUGCUUUCCAAUUGUAUUUAAGCUAGUAUUACAGAAAUUAUUUUGUUGGAUAAUACUACUCAAAUUCGCAUCAGAAUCAUUUGGCUUAGGGAUUUUAUAAGGUGAAGCUCUAAUUUGGACAGGAGGUUCACCGUGAUCAACGGUUAAACUCCGAAGAGGUGGAUGCUCAGAUUCUACGGUUCUAUCACUAUCAGAAAGUUUCCACUCAGAGAUUUUCUUCCUAACAGUAAUAGGGUUUGAUUCUUUGAAAGGAUAAUCUAUGUUGUUAUCAGAAGAGUAUAUCUCGAACCAAUCAAAAAAUAAUAUAUGAACUUGAUGCAAAUUUACAAAGUCAUAGUAAGUUUGUUGGAUUUCUUUUCUUUGGUUCAAAAAAUGUUUAAAAAACCAAAGUCUUUUUUCUUUAUUUGUUUCCGAAUAAAAAUCAUUGUGAAAAAGAUUUUUAUCAAGCUCAAAAGCCUUUUCAAUAACAUUUUCUGUGAUAGCAGAAAAAGUAGGGGAAGUAGGGGGAGAAGGUUCCUUCUCUUCCUGUCUUUGUUCAUGUUGACUGCUAGUGUAAAUUGGGUGUGGAACUUUUGUAGUGUAGUCAACAGAACGCAUAGAGGAACUAGGUAUAUCUGAAGUGGAAAACCUAGGUUGACUUUGAAAAGGAAGGUUUAUAACAGAAGGAAUUUUUGUGAAUUUCCUUUCCAAUGAAGGAAUACUUGAGCACGACUCUUUAUCAGAAAAUCUGGUUGAAGUAGAUCUCCUGAAUGAUAAUUUGACCUUUCCAUCAUAAUACUGAGUUACAUUUUGCAACUCUGUAUUUGGCUCAAGUUGUUUUGGAAUCGCUGGUGGAGUGGCUCCUUCAAGAAUCCAUUCUUCUGGAAGAUGAACAUCUUUCCACUGGAUUGGUUUUGGAAUGACAGUGUUGGCUCUUGACAAAUCAGUCUGUAAGAGAAGAGUCUCUUCUCUUUUUUACUGGAAUUUAUGUUAUGUACUAAAAGCAGAAAUCAUUGCUUUGUAUGAGAUUUUAAAGAUUAAGGCUACAGGAACAUAUCCUUUAAUCAUGUUAUAAUUAUGUGUCUUAAUCUGUAAAAUCAUACUUUUCAAAAUGUUUUUAUCUUUAAGGGAAAUUGUUAUGUUUGGAUAACAAUCAAAAGAAAUUGGACAUUUACAGAGACUGGAUUCGAUGCUACUUAGCAAAGAAUCAUCAAAAGAGAUGAAUCGUCCAUCUCUUAGGACAACAAGGAUAGAAGUAUCCAAGCCUUCUUUGGUUAAGGGUUUUAUUCCUACUUGGAUCAAACCGAUGUGAAUGUAAUUAAAAUUCUUUUCUUUUAAUUUGUUUAAGGAUUUUUCUGAAAACAAAUGAAUUGUUUCAAAAGGCUCUGAAAGAGUUAUGUCACGUUCUUCGGUUUUUAUUACAUAAUCAUUCUUUAAGAAAUCAAACUUUUUUGUUUUGUAAAUCUUUUCCUUAGAAAUUUUUGGAAGUUCCCAACAAUCAAUUGCUUUAUCAAAGUUCUCAAUAAUGAAUUCUUCUGAACUCACAACAUGCUUUGAAUCACUAGUCUUCUCGGAAGAAGAGCUAGAAAAGGAUGAUGUUCUACAGAGUGGAGGGUCCAUGGGUAAAACCUAUGGUCUACUUAUGGUUCGGUCAAUGUGGCUACAGGUAUGGUUUUACAGCCCUGAGCGGAAUCCUUAUCCUAUGGCGGGACUUACUACCAGUAAAAAUUCACCACACAACAAAACUUCCAAAUUUUAGUUGUCAAAUUUUAGAUAUUUGAAGUACGAGGCGUUGUUCCCCAGAUCGAUGCAGAACUUAAUCUGCCUUUGGAUCCAGAUCUGACUUAGAACAGAUCAACAAUCUGCACGUUCUGUUUUCCAGCCAAUAUACUCAAAUAUUUUUACCAGCUUUAAAUAUUAAGUUCGUUAGGCAAGCCUAGCAACAAACAUACAUCUAAAGGCUGGGUGCAUACACAGUACUAGAUCCGAUUCCCGGAAAUAGUGCUCUGAAGGAAUGGAGGGAGAAGAGAAAGAAUACAACUGAGGAUUGAGAUCUGGUCUCGUUGCCUCAGAGGAACGUAACAAUUAUAUGGCAGAUCUGAUACAGAUCAGUCUGCAAGCAUGCUUUAAAAUUUAAAUUGCUGAAAUUUAAAUACUGUAAAGUAAAUUGCGGAAAUUAAAUGCUUUAAAAUUAAAUUACAAUGCUUUAAUUUAUAUAUAUAUAUAUAAAUAAAACGGAGGUCAAGCGGCAAUCAAUGACGUUUCGACGGAAAUCAGUGGCGGUCGACGGCAUUUCCAGUAGUGGUUCGGCAGAGUUCCGGUGAUAGUCUAGUAGAUGUUCGGCGACGGUUUGCCAGAGUUCUAGCGACGGCUAAUUUAUAUUUCUAUAUUUUCAUAUUAAAUAAAUAAAUAAAUAAGUUUAUUUAUUUUGUUAAGUUUCUUAAAUCAUUCAUUAAAUUUAAUUAAUAUAAAAUUAUUUAUAACAUUAAAUUGAUGAAAUAAAAUUAUAAAUAAUAAUUACUAAAGGCAUUAAAUAAGCUAAAAAGUUGAAGGGUAAUUUUGGAAGAUUUAGUUUCCAAUAUAAGAGGAAUUUAAAUUCUUCACUCUUUAGUGUGAAAAUCAAAUUAUACAUUAAUUCUUAUAUAUUUUGUCUAACCAAACAAUGAAAAUAAAAAUAGAACUUAAAUUAUUUUCAUCUCCUUCAUUCUCUACUCCCAACCAAACAACACCUAAAGAUUUAUUUAAAAUUUUAUAAUAAAUACAGAUAAAUUAUUAAAAUAAAUAUAAUAAUUUGUAUUCUAAAGUUAUUUUUAUAUAUUAUAAAAUAUUCUAAUAUUUUAUUAGAUAAAUUAGAUUAUUUAAAUUAUAUUUGUCUUUAUUAGAAAAAUCUAAAAACCAAUUUUUUAGUUACUAUUUACAAAGGAUAUUAUAGUUAAAAGAGGAUUUUGAUAUCCCUUAUUGAAUUCUUGAGGGUACAUAACUAUUUUCCCAAACUUUAAGUGUAAUUGUUCUUUUUCCUUGUUUGUGCCUCAAAAACUUAUUUGAAUAUUUAAAAAAGACUUCAAAUAAAUUUUUGAUGCAAUAAAUGACAAAAUUUGGCAAACAUUUCUAAUUAGUUCUAUUCCUCACGUUGAGAGGUACAAAAAGACAUGUUAUAUGAUCAAAUCUGAUAUCAUUUGCCCUAUCUAACAAUACCAAAAAAAAUAUCCUGCAUCAUAAUAUUAAAUUACAUUACAAGAGAAAAACUGUCUAUUUUAUAUAAAUCCAGUAACAAAUAUAACGGUAAGGUGUAAAAAUGUUAAUUUUAGAAACUUGGGUAUAAAGACGAUAAAUUUGUUACUGUUGUAAUAUUUUUGGCCUUUGUCAUCUAUAAGGUGAAAAAAAAAAAAGUAAUUUCGCAAGUUUAAAUAUUUGAUUGAAUAUGUAUAAAUCAUAAAAUCAAUAAUAGAAGUAGGAGCGACUCCGGACUGACCCCACUUGUCAAAUCACGAUGAUGACUGUGGAGAACAAAUCAUGCCAAAUGGACAAAAUUAAAAAGAACUACUGAAGGUAAAAAAUGACUUAAAUUAUGCACCUUUUUUUGCAUACAACAAUUCGAUCUUAUCCUCAUCUAGAGCUCUGUCUCUAGAGCUCUAUAAAUUCGAAUUCUUCCAUGUCAAACUGAUCAACUCACUCGCUCAAACAGCUCUCUGAAAGAUAACAAAAUGAAUACUCCUUUCGUGACUGCAGUCUCCUUUCUUCUCCUUGCCUUUGCCACAAAACUGUUGGGAAAAUAUGCUCUUUAAAAACAUAUAUGUUUAUUUAAUUGUAAUAAAUAUUUUUUUCUGAUUAAUAAAAUUAAUGAGGUAUUUUAUUCAAAUAUCUUAAUUGCAUUAAUAUUUUUAUUAAAGUCAAUUUAAUCAUAUUAUAUAUGUUUAUGUGAUCACCAUGUGGAUUCACAGAAGACAUAAAUAUAAGUUAUCUUAUGAUUAAAUAAAUUUAGUUCGCAGUUGAUAAAUAAAGUUGGGCACUUUAUUUAGGUAUAAACUGUAAUAAAUUCAUUGAAUGAUUUGUCUUAAUCAUGUAUGAAUUUAUUGAUGUAGUAUAACUACAUUGAACAUGAUCACAUAUGAGAUUUAAUUAACUUUGUAAUAACUGUCAGACUUAUUAAAUCUCAUAGGCAUUGAUUUUACUGUAAUCUUAAUCUUGAGUUAAUUAUGAUUUCAUGAUUGUAAUUGUUAUUCCAUUUGAGUUACCAAAGGGCACGACACAUCCUUGUGGUCAAGAUUACCCGGUAUCUUGGUGGGAGCAAUUAUGAGUAUUAGAGUUAUGGAUUAACAAUAUAGAAUUUGUACAACACAUCCCUUGAUGGGUUUUCGGCGCUUGAUCAUAGAAUUCUCUGGCCAGAGUAUGUCAACAUAUUUAGUAUGUUGAAAAUGAUCAUUAGAGAAAACCAGUAAGUAUCAAGGAAUAAGAUAUUAUUAAAUUGAUUGGACAAUUUAGAUAUCAAUUUAAUUAACGAUGUGGUACAAAGGAUUGUGCAGUAAAGAAAUCAAUGUGGCUUGGGACGAAUUAUUAUUCGAGCAUACAAUUAUGGAAGUCAGUUCCAAUCUUUUAGUGGAGUAUGUUUGGAAUUAAAUAAUUGGGCUAGUUUAAUUACAGGCCUAAUUAUUGUAGCCACUAUUGUAUGUUCCCAAAUGAUCCCCAGAUUAGCUCAUUUAAUUGAUUGCACCACUAUUGGACUAAUAAGCAAGAUAACUAGCUAUUUGGGUCAAAAGCCUAAUUAUAUCAUUUAGUAGGAGGCUCCAUUUAAUUAGCUUAUGUGUAAGGGGUCUUACGUUAUUUUACAUGGUGGGUCCCCUAUAGAAAAAACAAGUAACGUGAGUUUUUAUUUUCAUUAUUUGGAGCCUAGGGUUUUCACUAAAGGGAGAUAUAAAAGGUUUAUUUUCUCUAAAGAAAAAAAGAAAAGUCACUUUAUACAGAUCAGAGAAAAAGAUUUUUCUCUCUAUUGUUGAGAGAAAAAUUUUCUCUCUAUUGUUGAGAGAAAAAUUUUCUCUCUAUUGUUGAGAGAAAAAUUUUCUCAUGCUAGUUGCUUUGAUAGUGAUAAAGGCGCCUACACGUCAAGUGUAGAUCAAACUUAAGUCAUAACCUGGAAGAUCAUUGGUGACAGUUCGUGAUCUAACAAGCGUGGUGGUGACGGAUCGUGAUCUAACAGGAGUGGUAGUGGCGGAUUGUGAUCUAGGAGCCUAAAUCACUUCAACGGAAAAAACCAAAUCGGAUUUUCAAGGUACGAUUUCUAGAUUACAAAUUCUUAUAUAUUAUAUGAGAGCGGUACUUAAAAGUUUUUAUAAAAAUUUAAAAACUUGAUUUUUCCCCAACAAAAACCGCUUGUGGGACUCGCUGAUCCUUUGGUUGAUGUCAAUGGCAACAAGGUCGAAGCAUCCCGAGACUACUAUUUGGUCUCAGCAAUUCGAGGAGCAGGCGGCGGCGGCCUCACCCUCUUCAGGGGCAGAAACGAACUCUGCCCACUUGAUGUUGUCCAACUAAGUUCCGACUUACAAAAAGGAACCCGUUUAAGAUUCGCAACGUAUGACAACACUAGUAUUAUCAAUGAGGAAGUGGAUCUGAACGUGAGAUUCUCGACAGGGACUCGCUGCAACGAACCAACAGUAUGGAGAGUCGACAGCUAUGAUGCAUCGAGAGGAAAAUGGUUUAUAUCAACUGGUGGUGUUGAAGGAAACCCUGGAGCUCAAACUUUGAAAAACUGGUUUAAGUUUGAGAGAAUUGGAAGAGAUCGAGGUGAGUAAUAGGGAUAAAAAUACCUAUAUUUCUUAAUUUAAGUUACUAUUUAAUUCUUAUAUUUUAAAAAACACCUCAAAAACUUAUAAUGAAAAUGUUACAUUACAUUCUUAUCCUUUUUUUUUCUUUUCUUUUAAUGAAAUAACUUGAUUUGAUAUAUUAUAAUUUUGUUAUUGAUAUCCCAAAAAUAUUGUUGUAAAAAGAAAGUAAGGAUGGAAUUGUGGCUUAUUUAACAAUAAAAAUAUCUUGAAAUUUUAUUUUUAAAUAUAAAGAUUAAAUGAAUAUUUAACUCAAAAUAUAAGUAAUAAAUAAAUAUUUAGCCUAAGUAAUAAUGAUAACUGAACACAAAGUUUGAAGAGGCAAAUAAUGACAAAAUACGACAAAACCAUCUCACUUAUCUUGUAUUGAUUUUUUUUUUUAACUGACUUUACAAAAUUGUAUAUUAAUGUAUCCUUGCUCUUUCCAGCUACGUACAAGAUUGUUCACUGUCCUUCCGUUUGCGAAUCCUGUGUAUCUUUAUGCAAUGAUGUUGGGGUUUCUCACGAUCAUGCUCGACGUUUGGCUCUCACUAAUGGGCUCGCGCUUGCUGUUGUUCUAGUCCCCGCUAAUGAGAGAUCAGCCUUAUGUGCGUCUUGAAUGCCCUUGUAUCAUUACUCUAAAUAAUGGAUCGGGCUAGCUCCCUGACGCUUAUAACAUAAACAAAAAUGUCAUUGCUAGCUAGCCUAUGUACCUUUGAACGGAAACUUGUAGUAGCAUUAAAUAAAAGUGGUGAAUUUUGACUGUUUAAUCUCUUAGAGCUUUGGUUAUGAGUAGGGGUCGGCAAAAACCCAUAACCCAUCGGUUUACCCAAAUCCAAACCAAAUAAAAUAGUUUGGGUUGAGUAAAUCAUAAAAUGGGUUAAAUUUGGGUUUUUAUGUAAAAAAUCAUUUCACAAUGGUUUUGGGUAUGGUUUAUCCAUGGGUUAUGGACAAAUUCAAAGUAGCAUAUCAAUGAAAAAUAAAUUAAACAAAAUAAAAGGUUAAAUCAAUAUUUAAUAAUAAUAAUUAUUAUUAUUAUUAAUUAUUAUACUAAUAAUCAUUAUUAUUAUAUAAUAAUUAUUAUUAUUAUAUAAUUAUUAUUAUUAUUAUAUAAUAAUAGAAGUGCUGCACAGGGCAUAUACAUAUGUAAUUGGUUGUACAGUACACUAUUAUAUAAUAAUUUUUUACAGUCUCAACUCGAGUUAAAAGACUAAAUUAACAUUUUAAUAAAUUACUCAGACAAUAUUUUUAUGAAAUCCUCUAAUAUAAUUUAAUAGUCAUAUUUGUAUUGUAACUUACUAAAAUUAAAAAUGUAAUUGAUUAUAAGAUUUCAUUAAAUAAAAUAUGAUUCUAUUGUUAUUUUUUAAUUAGAUUUCAUGUCUAAUUUUUCUUACUGCAUUUAAAAUUUUGGAGCUUUUUCUAAUUAAAAUAAAUUUUAGAUUCAUUUCUCAGAAGAUUUAAAUUUAUAAAAUUAAAUAAUUUAAUUUUGAUGGAUUGUUUGGAUACUUGAGUUGAGAUAUCUUAUUACAGCAGAAUUUUAAAAUAAACUUUUAUUAUUAUCUAACAAAGCUCACCACUCAAGAGGGUUACAAAGGGAUACAGAGAUUCACCAUGCAAUGGUAUCCUACAAGAGAUACAUGGCUUCUCAACUCACCACACAAAGGAAUCCACCGAAAAGAUACAAAGUUUAAAGAAGGAACUCUAAAAGAGAACUCUUCUAGGCUAUAUUAUCAAAUUACUCACUUUUUUUUUAAGUUACAGCCUAAUACAUUUAUAUAGGUAACUUGAAACAUUCCUUCAAGUUUAGGAUAAGAUUUCUAUUAUCUAAAAUUCAAAUCAAAUCUGAAUUAAAGUCUUAACUGUCAUGAGGUGGAAAAGAACAAAGCAAAACUCAAUUUGACUACUAGGUCGGUUUGAUCAACAAAUGUAAGCAGUCAACACUCAUUUAAUCAUAUCUUGAUGUAGAAAACUCUAAAUUGAACACCGUAAAAUUUAUUAAACUCCUGAUUCAAAGAGCUUUCCAAAGAUAUGAAGCUUAUUAGAUAGAACUUGAUGCAUUGAUGCCAGUAAGUUCAGAAGUUGCGCCCUUGUGCAGAAUUUCUUACAGUUGUGACCUUUGUUGACUAAAUCUUGAAUUUCCUUAAGAAGAGAGGUCCAAAUUUGAUUCCAUAAAAUUCCUUAGAAAUUAGACAAAAUUAUCUUUUUAACCAUAUAUUGUACAUAAUUUAUCUAUUUCUUGAACAGUACAGUUAAUUCGAACAAGUGGGCUGUUAAUUUUGACCUUUGCUUCCCACUUUGACUAUCCUUUCCAAAUGUCCAUAUCCAUCUUCAUUGUUAACCUCCAAACAUGAUAGGUCUCUAAACACUCUUGUGUCAAUAUCUUAUCUUACUUUAAUUUGUAUUGACAUUGUUAGAAUUUAUGUUGUAAUAUGGUUAAUAUUUAAUGACGAAGUUAUUGUAAUAUCUAUUAUUCAUAAUUUUUAUAAACUGUAUUUUUUAUAUAUUAAUGUAAUAAUUAAUAAUUAUUAUAAUUUUAUAUAAUUAAAUUUAUUAAAAUAAAAAAAUUUUGAUUAUAAAAUUCAAACCAAACCCAAAUGGAUUGGUUUGGGUUGGAUUAAAAAUAUUUGAGUUGGUUUGGAUUGGGUCUAAAUUUUUAUGGUUUGGUUUGGAUUGACUUAAAACUCAACCCAAACCAAGCCAUACCCACCCCUAGUUAUGACUGAGGAGUUAUAACUUGGGGGGAAAAAAGCUACCUUGACGGGGAUAAAAAAAUUAUUUGAAAAAAAAAUGAAAUACUUCAAUCAACCAUGACAAUAUUCAUAGGCAUUUCAUGUGACUAAGUUGAAAAAUUAAUAAUCUUUCAAGUGAUAGGCUUAAGCAUUACAGUUAAAAACAAGUUGUGACAGUCAGCUUAUUCAGAUAUUUGUACCCCACAAUCGUGGAUCUUAUCCCAACUAACACGCUUUAAGACAAUGAACAAAACCGUGUAGUUAAACAAAUAGGAAGACCGCAAAUAAAGCCAUUGCGACUCCCAUCAAAGGAGUAGUUCCCCAUCCAGGAGCUACUUUACCAUAUUCCGAAUUCAAGGGUUUCAACAACCCCCCUGCAGAAGUUCUUUUUGGACGAGCUCUAGAACUACCCUCAACUGCUUGUGUAAAUAAUUAUGAGUAAUAUCUUGCUAAUAGUUUGGACCGCUUGUUAGUGAAUGCAACGUACAGGGUAUCUCCAAUUCUUAACUAGGAUUCAUAGGGGUAAAUAUAUUAUAAUAUAUAGUAUUUAAGUCAGAUCAUUCUUAAAUAUUUUAUUAGAAUUUACCUUAUUUUUUAUUUGUAUUUGAGUUUUUUUUUAGCUAGUAUAGUUUUAUAUAUGUUAAACCAGUAACUUCUUUCUCGCUUAUUUUAUUAGAAUUUUCCUAUGGAUCUACUCAUCCUCAAAAGUUAGUUUAAGAUUCGAAAGUUGCCUCAAACUUAUAUUAUUAGUCCAAUAAUAGGGAUGGCAAAAACGAAUUCAACUUGACUUUAUCCCUAAUAAACUAGCCUGCGUAUAUUUUUCAAACACUCGGCCAGAUUCAUGCCUCACCUUAAAAGCUUGAUACCAACCCGAAAGCUAGAAAAAUGCUUUACAAUAGAAAUACAUAUUUUUUUAAUUAGAAUACACAUUUUAAUAUUUAUUUACCUCACUAAUAAUAUAUAUUUAAAGUUCCAAAUCCUUUAACCCAACUUUUAAAUCCUAAUCUAAUAAAAACAAAAUUUUAUAAAUUACCAAGUUGUUUUACAAAUUAAAUUUUAUUUAUAAAACACCUUUUAAUAUAUUUUAAAGUUUAUAACAUUUUAUUUUUAUCAUAUUAGGCUUUAGAAGGAUUUAAAUGUUGUUAUGAAUGGGCUAAAUAGAUUAAAAUAAAUAAAUAUUUUAACUUUUUGUUUUUAAGCAUUUCUCUUGCUUUAAGUUGGGUUCAGGUUUUUUAGGUGAAACCUAAGCCCAACAUAAGUGUGUUUAGAAAACAUGCUCAGGGUGGGCUACCUAGGCUAGGGUGGAGCCAACCACUAGGGUUUGGCUUAAGUGGCUAGAGCCACUCCCUCACAAGUGUGAGGGAACUCCCGCAGACGCAUUGCAGAUGUUUAAUUUUAAAUAUUUUUCCUUAAAAUCUCAGAACUUGAGUGAAGGCAGUCUUUCUCCUAGGAAGAGAGUGGGCGUCUCUCAAAUAUUUGAGAGAGUUAAAAAUACGAGCGGUGCCAUUUCAGAAUUGAUGUAAACUGAUCUCAAUAAUUUGUAUGGUUGUAAAUAUCAUGAGCAAUAGUUCUCCUAAAAAAAAAAAAAAAAAGACUAGGGUGGAGCCGAUUUAUUUUGCCACCUUUAGUAUUGGGCUAAUAAUAUAAGUUUAAGGUAACUAUCAACUCUUGACCUAGCUUUUGGCAUAAAUGGAGCAUAUGGGCUUAUGGACUUCUAUACUACGAUGGAACACACAAAUUUAUUGUUGAUUGAAAAUGAUAUUUAACAUCUCGAUGUGAUCCUUUUUCCUUUGCUUCAAACACCAAAUAUCUGGGUAUAUUAUCUCCCUUGCAAACCGAUUUUAAGCUAGAAUAUAAGAGUUGGACCAUUGCCACCCACCCAAUCUCAUCAUGCAACCCCAUUUUUAGUUGUAUUUAUUUUAUUUCUGAAAAUGUCUUUUUUUAAUAUAUUCUUUUAGUUUUUAAUUUAAUUUUUUUUAAUUGUUAAAACUCAAAGUAGUAUUUUGUCUUUUUUAUGUUUGGGGGCAAUCUUGUUGUUUGUCUACACACAAAUUAAAAAUUUUUCUAGGUAAUGAAUUUUUGGAUGUCAAUCAUUGGUUUAAAUUAAACUAUUUUAAAUUAUAACUUGGAAGGAACUUAAACACAAAAAUAUAUAACCACUAAGAAAUAGGAAAAAAAAUUAUUUUAAGCCUAUUUUAAUUAGAUAGGAAGUGACAGAUAGAAAAUAAAAAAGAAGGAUUGAUUAUGAAUUCAAGAAUUUGUUGGAAAAAAAAAAAAAAAACAUUGUGUGUUUGAUUCUUAUUUGUCUUAACUGUAAUUUUAUUUAAAGUGGGGUUUUAUAAGGAUAGUAAAAGGGUACCAAUAGCUUCACUUAGAAAAUAAUUUCUGGUAUGAUGAUAUGAGCUUCAGGCAACUCUUAACUCUUGUUCUAACUUUUUAAUAUGAGUUAGGCCCAUAAGAUUCAAUAUGAUCACAUCAUAACCCCCUACAUUAAAAAGAUUUUAAUAUGUUUCAAUUUUUUUUCUUUUACUAAUUGUUGAAAAUAAAUAGUAUAGAUUUUUGUAAGCAUCAAGCAUGAACGAAAAUAUUAAAACGGAAAUAUUAUAAUUACCAGGAAAACAAAUGUUACAAUUAUAAUGAUUAUGAUUGUUUAACAAGUUAAUCCUUGAUGUUUAAUUUAUUUGAUUGAUUUACAAUAUAUUAUUAAGGAUUAACUCGUUGUCCAGGCGUUCUAUCAUAUUCAUGCCUAUUAGCCCUCUUCUUAAUCAAAAUACUAGUCGCAACUCUUCUUCUAUCAAGACUGUGUUUUGGCGUUCUCCAGGGACACCUUGGCUUGAGAUAAAUACGGAUGGUUUGGCUACGGGUAAUCCCAGAAUCUCGGUUUGUGGGUUUUUACGAAGCUGCUUUACUGUGGCUCUGGGCCUUGUUAUGCUAAGAUAUAUGCCAUUCAAGCUGUUGAUAUUGCUUUUUCCAUGGGACGGCAAUUUGUUUAGCUGAAGAGGGAUUCAAAUCUGCUAACUCUUGCUUAUUUGUGGAACACGCUUUUUCAUCCGCCGUGGCAACUCGUACUUAGCGGUUGAACUGUCUAUAACAGAUCAGUCAUAUGUAGUUUCGUAGUCAUAUUUUGAAGUAUAAUUCGGUUGCUGAUUGCUUAGGAAAGGCCGAGUCUAACUGAUUCGAGGCCUUUGGUGAACUUUUUUUUUUUUGUUUAAAGACAUUCUUACGUUAAACAACAUCAAUUCCCAAAGGAAUAAUAAAUAGCUUAAAAUUCAACUAUCUUUAAUAAUAUCUUGAAUUUCAACAAUUAUAAACUUGAUCCAGAAAAAUAAUAAAAAAGAUAUAUAUAUAUUGAUCAUCUUCAAAGUUGAUUAUUUCAUUCACUAUUUCAUUAUUGUUUAAUUCAUUCGAAGUUAAUUGUUCAAUAACUAAUUCUUCACUUAAAUACAUAUCUUUUUCUACUAGUUGUGAAAAAUUUAUCAAGAGCUCGUUUUUUAGAUUUGACUACUUUUUCUGUUCUUUUUUUUUUUUUUUAAUUUUUGUAGCUUUUCAUAUUCUAAUGCUUAUUUUCUAGUUGAUAUGCUUUUCAAAUUUAAAUAACAAAUAAAUAAACAAACACAAUUUUUCUUUUCUAGAUUAUUCGAGCCAUAUAUCAAUACAAAAAUAAAAAUAAAUUAAAUUUAAAAAAGAUAAGAAUAAUAUCAAUUAAAAAUAGAAUAAUUGAUACCACCUGGCAAGUUGACUAAUUGAGAAAAAUAUAAUGAUCAGAUGAUGAUAAUAAAUUUCAUAUAAAAAAUUUUUCUCUAUAGAGAGGAGAGUAACAAAGUGUUUAGUUGAGAAUAUCAUUGAUUCAUUGUCUAUUUGUUUUGAAUUUUUAAAUAGAUUUUGAUAGAAUACUAAGAGUUAAUUCUAAAAUAUAAGGUUAAUAAUUUUAAUAGAGUAAUUUUGGAAAGAGAAGGCAUUGAAUUUUUUUUGAAAUAAAGAAGUAACAUUUAAAGUCAUUAUUCAACUGUAAAAAUAUUUCUCAUUUUUAAUAAUAGGAAGAUGCCUAGAAAUUAGGCUUUCCUACAAUAUAUACUUAACUUAAAAUAAUUUUGAAUUAAAAAAAUUAUUAAUUAUACUAACUAAUAAAUAGAUAUAUAAAAAUUUGGCCUUUCAUAAAUAUUGGGUUAGCCCAGUGGUAAAGCCGCCACUGUUGCUUAGUUAACACAAGUACUGCCUGCUCAUAGUAUGUUUGGUGUGGGAUACUCUACCAUACACCUGUUUACAAAAAUUUGCAUGAAAAUUCAUGGGGCCUUCCUGUAUACCAACUUUCGUGAAUGAUUUGUAAACAUUCUUUCUCAUAUUUGAGUGCAUAUUUAGUUUUAAUUUAUAUUAGUUCUUUAAAAUUAUAUAUAACUGACAGAACCUUCAUAAUAAGUUUCCCCAUAUACUUCGACUUCUUUUCAUCUGUUGCGUCACCAAUAUCCAUGCUGUCGUAUUUGCAAAGUACAUUGCUGAAAAUUGUUGUUCGAGACAUCAAAGAUUUGCAACUUAAAGAAAAAAUAAUCAGCCUUAAAGGACCGUAAUUUAUUCGAAUGUAGAACAAGAAACUGAAGCUGUAGCCAACGUGUAAUAUAUCCUCUAUCUUGUUGUUGCCGAGAUCAACAACUUGAAGAUUUGCACAAUUGAGCAAAGAUCUUGGGACUGACCCUACAAGUUCAUUGCCAUUGAAGUUAAGGGUUCUCAAAUUACUGCCCUUUGACAAUGUUUCAGGAAUUGGCCAUGGAAUCUAUUCUUCCUCAAAUCCAACACACGCAGAGUAUUGCCAAAGUUUCCAAUUAAUGCAUUCUGGAAUGGUGCCACUCAAGCUGUUGCUGGGCAGAUCAAGAACUUCAAUGGUGCUUAAGUUGCAGAUCAAACAAGGUAUCUCUCUGGUGAACCUAUUGUUUGAUAUCAAAAAGACUUUCAUAUUAGAUGAUGGAUCUAGAAACAAUCCUUGAAGCAAGUUGGAACGAAAGUCAAGAUAUUCAAGAUUCUUCCACGGAAGUUUCUUAAUGCCUGUAAAAAAAUGUUCUGAUUCAUCAAAUAUCCAAGAGGAUUUCUUUAUUAAAGUGCCUUGGGGAUUGAGGUAUGUAAUUUCAAUAUAUUUGUGCCAGCAUUCAGCAGCUGUAUGCCCUGAUUUGAAGCAAAUUUGGCAGAUAGGCACUGAUUUAUCACCAUUUGAAGUUUGUGGUUCAAUAGCAGACAUAUUGCCACUGCUAAUAAGAUUACCGUCAAAUGAAUUCUUUCCAAACUGAGCAAAAUUAUUACUUCCCAUUAAUGAGCCAUUUCUGCAACCUGAAUUUUAAUGUCCCUGCAAACCUCCUGUGUAACUUCCUCUUCCAGCAUUGCCUUUUAUUUGUGCAUAAUAAGCAUUCAUCAUGCCAGAAUUGCUAUAGUCGGAAAGUUUGCAAUAUUAACAUUGAACAUUUGCUUUUCACUCCGACUUUGCUCAAGUCUAGUCUCAUGAGUAGGAAGUAAAGCAUAAGCAUCAUCAUAAUCCAGUUUACUUCCAGUAAUGAAAGUAGCAAGGUCUAGAUAACCAGCACCAACCAUUUAGAAUCUGCUGAAACAAAUCCUUCUCAGAUGUUCGACUACCAGCACAAGCCAAUUUAUCUGCUAUCAUUUUCAUUUUUAAACAAUACUCUUUUCUCAAACAUACAUCUCAUAUCUAAGUUGAAGAACCCAGCUUCAGACUGCACACCAAACUUUUUCUCCAAAUUUCUCCAAACAUCAAAAAAAGUAUUACAAGGAAGUAGAAGACUUAGUAUACCUUCACUGACGGAACUGAGUAACCUUCUCAGAAGCACUUGAUCUUGAGAUCUCCAAGUAACAUAAUUAGGAUUCUUAAUUUGUUGCAUAGAUCCAGAAGCUGCUCCAGCAUAAUUUGAUGAAGUGAUGAAUCGAUUUGGAGCUGUUUUCUCUUCAGUGAUAUAGCCUUCAAGACGAUUUCCUCUUAUAGAGGCAUAGAACAAGAUUAUGCCAAAUCAUGUAAUUAGAUCGAUCUAAUUUGAUCAAAGUGAUGAAAUAAAAUGUUGUUCGUGGUGCUGGAUUUGUAGUAACUGUACUAGAAUUUGUAUUAAAAUUGCUUGUGCUAGCCAUUCUGGCUCUGUUACCAUGAAACAAAUAUGAAAAAUUGAUUGAAAGCUGUUGUUUGGCAACUGAGAAAAUUUGAGAGAAUAUUCUUUGCAAUGAAUCUUUUAUUUCUAAUUAAUGAAUGUGUCCAGAUCUUAGAUAUUUAUACUUCUUACAAGAAAUUAAUGCUUUACUAACUGUAUUAAGCUAAUCUAAAUCAGCUAAAUUUAAGCACAUGCAGGAGAGCGUGCAUAACAGAAUUUGCUGAGCUUCACUGCUGUUGAGCUGCAGUAGCUGACUCAGCAAUAUUGGCAUUUGACUUGUUUAUCUCGGCAAUGCUGCUACAUUUCUUCAUACUUGACUGUUGCUUUUCUUCUUUACUUCAACAAGGUGAGCUAUCUUCACUCCCUUUAUAAGACUGGAUUCAAUUACCCCCAAGACCCUAGUAAUAUCUCAAGUCUUGAGCAAGAUUAACAAACAAAGAAUCAAACGCGAAUUGAAUCAAGAAAUAAAUGAAAACAGAUAAAAAAACUGGAUUCAAUUACCCCCAAGACCCUAGUAAUAUCUCAAGUCUUGAGCAAGAUUAACAAACAAAGAAUCAAACGCGAAUUGAAUCAAGAAAUAAAUGAAAACAGAUAAAAAAACACAGAGAUUUAAGCAGUUCAGCACCUGAUACGUACUGGUGCCUACGUGCAAUGAGAAACAUUGCUUAGUGCUUUCACUAUAUCAAGAAUUGAAGUUACAAGGCUAUGGAGAUUAUUACAAGAUUACAAGAAUGGAACUUUCUCUCUCCCCCCUCGAUUGUUACAUAAACCAGCUUAUAUAACAGAAACAGCUGCAACUUGUAAACCCAGAUUGCACAGUAUUGAGCCACGUAGCGUAACGGUUUUAACAGCUUUCACUUCUCACGUGCUGCUGACGAGCCUCUUGAGUGAAUUGGCCAAAACAACUUUGAGUCAGUCGUUUCUCAGGCGUUUGAGCUUUACGCAAUCUUCAUACAUGCUGCAGAUGACAGUUAUAAUCAGAUCUCGAUUACUCAGGACGACUUGUCUUAUCUCUGAGUUUGUGCUCAUACUCAACAAUAUCCAAGUUAAUUAAACAGGAAAUAAAUCAAAUCCCAAAUGAUCAACUAACUAGGAAGCUGAAUGAUCCCGUCAAAAUAUGAAAAGAACAAAGGAAACAAUAAGCUAUCUUACCUAACAACUUUGACCCAUCAGAAGCUUCAGAUCCAGUAGCAGAUGCAUGUAUUUAAUUUGUUAGGUGGCUGUGACCACCAUGGACAACACACGAGCUUCCGGCAAGUAAUUCAAGAAACGGAACAACAUAAACAACAAUACUACCACUCAUGGCUGCCUGAUUUCAAUGCUGUGCAAGUUGCAAUAUAAGUAACGUGUGUAAUGCAGAAUCUCUCCAAGUGCAUUGUCCUUUUGCUAGCAUAUAUGUGUUUUGCCUGGUGUACCUGAGUUACACUCAAUUCCUAAAACACACUAACUUUGUUUUCUGUCCUAGUAAGGUAUUCCCUUAAUUCUUUGACAGAUUCCCAAUGCUCUUUUAGAUUAGCUACGAACCAGCUCUCCACACCAGGACACAUCAUAGUAACCUAAGCUGACCACUAAACUAUUUAGCAGCACCCUCAGCUUAUUUUUCCAUCUAGAUCCUUACAAUUCAGCCUCUCAUCUCAUAUGUAUACAACCGCAGAUAGAAAGCUCCACCUUGCUCAGCAUUCCCUAAACAAUCUCCACAAUCAAAAUAUUCUCCUUAGGAUGAAGUGUGGUUCAUUAGAUGAACCGGUACGGCACUACCUGAGCACCUAAUCCUCAAACUUCAUCUACAUCAGCUAUGGAGAACUCUUUAGCCCAUACAAAGACUUCUUGGCCAAAAGUCUACCCUUGUCUCUUUCGAGCUUGGCACUAGCUAUUCCUUAGUUUACCUUGUAUUUAUAGCCCAUAAAUUACAUGCCAGCAGUCCCCCUUUACACGUCCUUAAUCCUUAUGGUUUUCAUUUAAUCAAUGAUUCCCCAUGGAAAUCAUGCAAUAUCCUCAAGAAUUAAAAUCUCCAAAUCUUAAUCAUAGAGAUCAAAUGCAAAAAUUCUAAGUAUAUACAAGAAAAAUAGUGCUUUAAUGUCAUAGAUAUUCAUACCUUAAGCAUCUCUAUAAUUAUCCCACACUUUUGUCACUAUAAUGAUUAAAAAAAAAACACUAAAAAGCUUUGGCGACUCUCUCUUCAAUCUCAAAUUGCCGACCAUAAGGGAGACGAAGGAGCCAGCUCUCAUUUUCUCGGUUCAAUUUAUCUAUCCAUACCUAGGCCAUUUUUUUAGCUAAUGGGCUUGGAUCAAAAUGACUAAAAUGGCCUUGACUAAAACUAGGUCCAAUAACAAAUAAGUCAAAGUACCACCAUAAUGUUAAUACUAGUACUAAUAUUGAUAGUAAUAACAAAAAACAACAACAAUAGUAAUCACAUUAUAAAAAAAUUGAUAAAAUCAAUAAUCACAACCAUACUGCAUACAAUCAAAAUAAUACUAAUAAUUACUUGCAUAAUUUUUGGAUUUUGCAAUAAAUGUGACUAUAGUUUUACCCCUAAAAUCUAACAUAUGCCUAAUUAGGAAAAGACUCAUUACUUUUAGCUGCCUUAAACUGUAAAUUAGCUCUAUAGCGUAAAUAGGAAGUUUCUGUGUAUUGUAAGAAAGAUUAAACUUCCCAAAAUAUGGUUGGUUGACUUAGUUGUGAAGUAAAAAAAUUCCAAUGAAAACGGGCUCAUCUUGUCAUUUUUUUAAUACUUGAAGUUAGGAGUGGGCAAAAUGAUAAAAUUACGCUGUUUUAAAGAGAGUGGGCAUGUAUAUAUGUAUAGCUUGUCCCUUGACUAAAGUAAAGAAUUCCCUUAUUGUAAAAUUACUCAUAUAUAGUUUGGGAAAUUGGGAUCCCUUAUUCCCUUGUUUAAAAAUUUUCGCAUAUAUUAAAAGUCGGUUUUAUUGAUAUCACAAGGCAUGCUUGUUACAUAUUCUGAGUACAUGCUUUAAGAACAAAAACAGUCUAUUAUUACAUUGACAUCAGUGGUAGAUGGAGUACGUACAUGUACAAGAGAAAGCAUAAGGACGUACUCCAAGACAAAGCGCAUAAUGCAGACUGGUAGACAACUUUUAUUGAAAGAGAGAGAAUUCCGAGAAACUAAAGCUUGAACAUAAACUGACUGAACAGGAGACAAACACUAAGCAAACAAAGACAUACGUAUAGGAACAUCAGUAGCUUUGAUACACGACAAAGACUGGAAAUUAUUGAUCUUGAGAGGGUACUUCGACUUGAUAGCGACCACCUUAUAGCAAACUGAUGCCUGCAAUAUUAAGGCGAGUACAAUGUUGGCAUAAGGAUAAGGGGGUAUUUCUUAGUGACAGCCAACCCGUAUUCUUCAGUCAUAUCCAAGUUAGCAUCAACCGCACCACCAGGAAGCUUCCAGUCAAACCAAUACAAAAGGUUGGCCAACAGAUACUCAGCUGCAACUUUUCCAAACAACAUCCCGGGGCAAAAUCUUUUUCCAGUACCAAACGGAAUGAAAUCAAAGUGUUGGCCAUUAAAAUCAAUCGUGCUGUUAAUAAACCUCUCUGGCAGAAACUCUUCUGCUCUAUCCCACACCUUCGGGUCCCUCUGAAUGGCCCACACAUUCAUAUACACAAUUGUUUUGGCAGGAAUAUCAUAACCUCCUAGAUUGACACUAGUUGAAGUUUCUCGAGGAAAUGAAAUGGUACCUGCCGGAUGUAAUCUCAGAGAUUCCUUCAUAACACAUUUUAAAUAGUGCAUCUGAUUGACAUCAUCCAUAUUUAUACUUGAUUUGUUUUGCACCACCCUCCUUACCUCUUCUUGUGCUUUCUUCAACAACUUGGGAUUUUUCGCUAGUUCAGCCAUUACCCAUUCUACUGUUGUUGCAGUUGUCUGAGUUCCUCCCGUGAACAUGUCCUAAAAGAUCAAAUAAGAAAACUUCAAUUAGCCACCUCUGUAUCGUAUAUUAUCAUGCAUGUAUGUGAAUGUGUAAGAGAGAUUGUAAUUGAUAAUCAAUUAGUAAACAAAUAACUAAAUAAUUAUUUUCCAUAUAUACACACACAUAUAUACACACACACAUAAAUACAUAUAUAUGUGUGUGUGGAGCUAAUGAGAAAUUCUUAUGUCCGGAUGUCUAAAUGCAGAUUUGUUAUUACAUCAUAAUUGAACCAAAAUACUAUAAGACCAUAUAGCAUAAGAGCGAAUCCAUACAAAAUUCGAAUUUAGGCAUCUUGACCUAGAAAUUGUGUAUGACUAAUAUACAUAUGUGUGCGUGCGCUUGUCUGAUAACAUUCUUAAAACGUUAAUUAAAAUUAGAUAUGGAGAAAAUUCUAAUUCGAGCGGAGAGAGAUACCAAGAGAAGUGCUUUAAGAUUGUCUUGAGUCAGCUCGAUCCCUAGCUUGCCAUCCUUUUGAAGUUUGAGGAGUGCAUACACCAAAUCUUUUUUAUCAGACUGGUCAUUAUCUUCAUGGCUCAUUGCUGAUAUCCUGUGCUCUUCAAUCACCUGAUCAAACAAAGCAUCAAAUUCUCUAGUGGUUGCUUUCAAGCGACCAAUGUGUCCCGUAACAACGUCCAGCCAUCCAAAAGAAGGAAACAAAUCUCUGAAACUAAUGGAUCCUAACUGAAUCAACAGCCUUUUUGAUAACUCCCCGAACUUAUUGCUCUUCCCUCCAGCAGUACUUUCUUCUUCUACCCUCCGACCAAGAACGGAACGGGAUACUAUGUUGUUGGUAACAGUUUGAAGCAUCUCAGCUAAAUUAACGGAACCCCGACUUAAACACGAAGAACGAAUUUUAUUGAUCAUGAUUGCAACCUCCUCUUCUUUUACAUAGUGCAAUGAUUGCACUUUUUUAUUACUCAAAAGCCCAAGAACACAAGUCUUCCUAGCUUCUCUCCAGUAUUCGCCAUAAGAAGAAAAACCAAUGUCUUUGCUUCCAUAAAGGAGAACAUCUCCAGCUGUGGUUUUGGGACGGUUCGAGAAAACAAUAUCAUGAUUUUUGAUAAUGUCUCUAGUUAUCUCAGCUGAUGAGACAACAAGAGUUGGAGAAUGACCCAAAUGCAUGAACAUCAAAGGGCCAUACUUGCUGGAUAGAUCUUUAAGAGAGCGAUGGGGGAGAGAGCCUAGCUGGUGAAGGUUGCCAAUUAUGGGUAAGCCUGGUGGGGAUGGAGGUAAUUUGAGUUUGCUUUUAUUUCUACUGAGCUUGAGGCGCAAAAAUAGAAAUGGAGAAAGAAGAAGAAGGAGAAGGAGAAGAAGAGACACCAACAUGUUGUUGUAACGAGUUGAUAACAAAUAAGUUUACUUAAAAGUUGCAGAUCUUCACUUGAGGCUACUCACUUAAAACUUCGGUCAUAUAUAUAUAUAGGAGCAUGCAUCAAACCUGGAGCAACCUGCGUCUCUUAAUUUUUAUUACUUUUAGUCAUUAUAUCCAUGAUUGAAAUAUGACUUUUCUACAUUCAAAUUGAUUAUUUAACAAAGAAAGAGAUGAAAGAUGAUAAUGUUAGUAUUUUUUUUUUCAAGAGGAGAGAGAUUUUUAUUUUAUUUAUUUAUUUAUUUCUGCUGUUUCUUAAAUACAACUUUGGGGUAGAAAAAACAGUACGGCGGGGGAUUUGUUUGACUGAAUAGCAUUCGACUGAAAAACGACUUUUUUUUUAGAUUCAAAUUGAUUAUUUAAUAUCUUUACAGAUUAAAACUAGUUUUUGUAGACUCCCAUCGGCCUACUAAUUUCAACUCAUAAUAAAAAUGAUUUAGGAUUUUCUUUGGCUUAUAAAAUUCAUAUUAAAAUCGGAUCCCCUCCUUAUAUUAUCUCUCUUUAUCUACGCUCUGCUUUCAAAAAUCUAUUACAUUUUUAAAAUAAUAAAUUAGUUAAAAGAUAGAAAAAUAAAAAUUUCAUUAUCCUAUAUAAAUAAGAACUUGUUUUGGAUUGAUUUGGAGAGGCUUAAAAGUACUUUUAAAAAGUUAAAAGUUAAUUUUUGGUGUUUUUUUAGAAAUCACUUUUAGUAAAAUCACCGCAUUUUACAAUUUUUAAAAGUAGCGAAGAAGUAUCGUUCCAAAGUUUGAUUUUGAAAAUCACUUUUGUACUUAAUAAAAUUUCAUAUAUAUCCUCAUAUAUAUUAUAAAAAUUUUAAAUUAUUUUUAUUAUUUAAGAAAUAAAAUCAUUAAAUUUAACAGAUUAUUAUUAUUAUUACCAAUUAUAUUGAGAUACUUUAGUUUUAGUUAUCAAUUAUUAAAUGUACGCAUUAAAAAAUAUUUUAUGUACCUGUUUAUAAAUGUUUAAAUAAGUUUUAUGUAGUAUUAUGUCUAUUUCAAUCAUUUAUAUUUUUUCGGUAGUUUAACAAUAAGAAUUAUCAAAUACAUAUAACUCUUUUAAAAUUCAUAACAAUUUUAAAAAUAAAUAUUACCAAAUAUUUAAUUGACUCUCUUAAUUAUUUCUAUAGUAAAGCUAAAAAUAAUUAUUUUAACAAUUACAAUAUUACCAAACUGGGUCAAACACAUUAAAUUAGAGUAUGACUUUUUAUGUCUUUUAAUAAAUAUCUUAUUUUAAUAACAUAAGAGACCUCUAAUUGAAAAAUUACUAUAUAUAUGUGUGUGCACGCGAGCGGAAAAAAAAUUAUUUAUUUAAAAAGAUUAUAAAAGUAAUUGAAUGAGCAUGCAUAUACGCAAUGGACAUAGAGACUGGAGAGGCGGUUGACGAUGGCAUGGAGCUGUAUAAGAGUGUUGAAAAUUUUGGCCACAAAAGAAUGAAUUAACGGUACUUUAAGUUUGGAAAAUAUCAAUGUUAUGACCUGAUGACUUUCCUUGAUAGUGGGGUUAAAGAGAAAAAUGAGGCCAAAUGUUAACCAUACAAUUAAUUUAUUGUUUGAACUGGUUUGAUUGGAUCCUGAUCUGAAAUGUAGCAAGGCAACCUCAAAUAAAAAUUUCCAUUUUAAGACAACGUUUUGGGAAAUAAUAAAUUUUCUCGAUAACUACUUUGGUAAGUGCUUCAAAAUUUCCAAGACAGUAAUAAAUGUUGGUCCCAUUAAUUAAUUGUAGCCGCAUCCUAGCUAGAAAUUCUGCCUUUAUGACGUAUAAACGCUUCAUGAAAUUUCAUUGGAACUCACUUUGCUUCAAAUUUUGUAACAGAUUCAAAUUUUAUUGGUCCCGUUGUUGCCUUCUACUGGCAAGAUGUCAGAGUAUAAUCAUGGUAAGGAGAAAAUUAUACUACAAUCUUGAUAAAUUUGUACCUUUAAAUAAUAUAUUAAUUUGGGGUAUAUUUGCUUAAUUAUUAAAUUUUUCUUGGACUCAAAGAUAUUAACUUAUACAAGUUUUAUACUUUUACUGUAUUAGGGUUUAAAUUUUUUUCAACUAUCUCCAUUGAAGUAAAUGGAAAUGCAAAUCUUCCCCUGAAAAUAAAAAACUUCCUUACUCAUAUGAACAAUGUUCAAACUAAGAAUUUUUCGACCGCUCCAUAAGAUUUUAAUUAUUAAACCAAUUAACACCCAAAUUAUUUUAAUUUAAUUGAUACAUGCUCAAUAAUUACCUUUCAAAUUCACUCUAUAGGAAAAAAACUUUAGAUUUUAGUUUUCUACAAUUGCGGUGAGGGAACGUAGUUGUUAUUAGUAAUAAAAAUUUUUGGAUCGAUCAAAAAGUCCGAGAUUUGAAUUAAUUCUGGCCGGCUAACAUGGGUGGACAAGAUUUAGUUGUGCUAUGUUUUAUUAUAGAAAAAUUCUCAUAAAUUUUGUACAGACACACUCUUUUACAACAUUGUAAAAUAUUUCCCAACAUCACAAACACUUGAAAAAAGUCAUUGACAACUUUGUAAAACCCGAAUAUACAUUUUAUAAAAUACGGACCUCUGGACUACAAAAAAAAAAAAAUGCAAAUCUCUUACUUUAAAAAUAUAAAUAUAAAUAUAAGUUAAAAUAUUAAAAAAAAUAUAACACAAAACAUGCAUCGUAUAUACAAUGAAAAGGAUGUUACCGAUAAUGACUUGGGCUUUGAUUACGUAUCUAUGUUGAAAUUGAUUGUAUUACAUACAAUAUUCCAAAAAAAGAAAAAAGAAAAAAGAAAAAAAGAACUGCGUGCAUAUUUAAACAGACUUUUAAAAAAGAGAAGAAAAACUGAGUUAUCAUUUAGAAAUCGCAACAACUGAAAUUCAUUGCAACACACUUUACUUGACCAAGAAUAAAUGACUUUCUGGGUGUAUAUGACACGUUCCAUGAAGUCAAAGCAAAGAUCACUCUUAUCUUCUCUUUUUAAUUACGUGCCUAUCGUUCUUGUUUACUUUGAAAAAUGGCGCAACAUCAUUUCACUGACCCCCGGAACCUCAAAACUGCAUCAUUCAAGUAAAAGUGGAAGAGAACGAAAGAAUAUUUUAAAAUAUUAUUUGCAAUUCGAUUCAAUUAACUUUGAUGAUUAGUGAUUUAACUUACGCCUAUUUUAUCAUUUAGUGAUUUAACUAUUAAAUCUAACCAAAGGGUUGCAAAACGGCGCAGAUCAGUUUGCAGGGUUAUUAACAUUGCCAUCCCUGAUGUUUGUUGAAAAAUUAGAAAAGGUAAAAAUUUCUAAAUGUUGACAUAUAUGUCCAGAUUUUUUCAAAGUUUUUUUACAAUUAAAUCUAUUGACCUAGUUUGACUAUUAGCAUCAGUAUAGUGUAUGGACAAUAAUGUAAUCUCAUGAAAAAAUUUUAAAAUGCACGAAAAAUUAACAUGCCUUAAUAAAUAUUUUUUAACAUAAUAUCUAUUUAAUAUACAAUAAUUCUUUGUCCAUAAUAGUAAUUUAAUGAAUGAUUAUCUUUUUAAGAUUUAAUUAUAGUAUGAGGUCAUUUGAACCCACCAAAUUAGUUUCUACACCCAAUCAAUCAAAAAACCAGUAGCCUAAAUUAAAAUUAGACACUGUACACCUCUUAAUAACGAAAAAACACCAAUUUAAUUUUAUUUUUUGAAUAAUAAAUUAUUCACCUCUAUUUUUUUAAUCAAAAUUGAUCUUUUAUGAACUAGAUAAGCUUACAAAGUGUGGGUACAAUAAAAAUGAACAAAAAAGUACUUUAAGCUUCUAAAAAUUCAACUCUUAAUUUGAUAGCAAUGAACAUUGAUUUAUCUCUUUUAUUAUUAUUAUUAUUAUUAUUAUUAUUAUUAUUAUUAUUAUUAUUAUUAUUAUUAUUAUUAUUAUUAUUAUUAUUAUUAUUAUUAUUAUUAUUAUUAUUAUUAUUAUUAUUAUUAUUAUUAUUUACUUGUAAUGGAAAAAGAAUUCUCUGCAAUUUUGUUAUCAAUUGCAAACUUACAACUUUCAAAUGGGGAUUGGUGCUAAAUAUUAAGAAAGGAUGCUCAGAUCUUGUUUUUGUGUGUGUGUGUGUUUUUUUUUUUUUUUUUUUUGUGCUAUUUACCUUUGGUUUUACUGUUAAUUCAUGAUCAUUGUGCAAUUCUUCAUAUAUAUACACUUUUAGUGCUUAUGUAAUUUUUAAAUAUUCCUCUACUAAAGGAUUCCAUAAAAGCCCAAUUCAUGUCUCGUGAAAUUCAUGGUAAAAGUUGCUUAAAUUAAAGGUUUCCAACAUCAAAUGCGGAUGGUAAUUCAAUUUGAUUCCUUUGUUCCAUCAAUUUUUACACUUUUUCUUUUUUUCUUUUUGAAUGAAUAUUAUUUGUUUACAAUGAAAUUGCGUUUAGCUUAAAAUAAAUUUUGAAUUUAAAUUAGGAUAAGAUCAAAGUAAAAUAUAAUUAAUUAAGUAUAUAUAUUGAUAAGAGGAAUUUAAUCCAUGAAUUUGAUAAGAGGAAAGAAAGUAAAAAGAGUUGUACAAUAUAUUUUACCUCUCAAACUUUGUUUAGAUCAGAUGAGCUCUAUCCAAAAUGUAGCUUUUUUAGUUUAUUAUAAAUAAAUCUUAUUUCUCAGAUCUCACAGUCCAAAAAUAAUGUUAAAUGAAGAAAAUCGGACUGAUUAUGGAGAAAAGGUGAAGAAGAAUGGGAAAAUAAAAUUAUUGUUAUACUUAUAACUAAAUUGUAAAUAAGAAAGAAUGUAAGGGAUUCAAUCAAAAAAAGACAAAAGAGGGGUACAGUGUCACAGAGGUAUUGUAGCUUUGUCCGAUUAAUUAUUCAUCUAAACUUUUCAGAAUCCAAAGAUAAUUUCAGCAUAUACUAACAUAAUCAAGCAGCAAAUAUUUACGCUAAUAAAAGUAUGAAGGGCAUUAAAUUUUUGGAACUGUUUUCAGAAUGCGUGCUUGCGUAGUCGUACAUAACUCAAAAUCCUUACUUGCGUAAUUAAUGAGAUAGAAAUUCAAUUUUGAAAGUGUAGUCAAUUCUUCAUAUAAUUCAGAGGACUUUUCCUCUCUUUUUUUUUUUUUCUAAAUCUUUGAUUUUUUUGCAAAUCCGGGUGGUAUUUGAUUCAAAACGAAAGGAUUGAAGGAGAUUUCAUGGCCAGCUGACGACCACAUAUACUCUUUUUUUUUUUUUAACUAAUGCCAGAAAUUUCAAAAUGUAUCGUAAAUUUUCAUUACAAAUGAUAUUUCAUUUAUGAAAUAAUAGUGAGGUCAUGUAAUAAAUUCACGUGGCAGUAGGUGAAGAUCCACUGCACCGAAUAAUUUAUAACACUUCUGAGAUUUAUAAGAGACAUAAUUGUUAUAUGAUUGGUGUCACCUCAUACAAGCUGAUUAGCAGAGCAAGAUAUAAACUUGUGUUCAAAAAUGGAUGGCGAGUAUACCUGUAAAAAACAGUUAAUUAACAUUGUCGUUGGCUAGUUUUAAUUUAUUUAUAAUUAAUUAUUAACAAGAUUACUUAGAGCGUAUGAAAAAUAUUGGUUCUUUUAUACAGAUAAUUAUUGCUUGUUAAUUAAUAAUUAUUGGUUGACUUAUUAAUAAAUAAUUAUUGAUUAAUUUACUAAAAGAUAUUGAUUAAUUUGUUCAUAAAUAAGUAUUAGUUAAUCUAUUAAUUAAUUUUUUAUAGAUAAAUUAAUUAAUAUCCCUAAAAAUAUUGUUGUAAGAGUAUUAUUGUAAAAUUUAAGAAAAAGUAAAGGUAUAACAUAUCUAACAUUAGUGGUAUCUUGAGAUACUUUUUAAAAUAUAAAGACUAAAUAGACACUUAAUCUUAAAUAUUAGAACUAAACUAACAUUUACUCUGUUGAACAGCUAAAGUGUAUGAAAAAGUAUUUAGUAACUCAGUUUUCAACAUCUACACUGUGCAAUGAGAAAAUUUUUCUUUGAUAAUUACUCAUUCUCAUGAUUUCAAAGAGAUUUAAUUGAUAGUAAUUGACAACAUGAAACUCAAUUAUAGAGGAUAAUUUGAGCCUUGAUUUGGAAUUAUCCUUUUACUUGGUAAUGAGAAAAAUUUUAAUAUUUGAAUCAGUUUUCGUUUGUGAAAAGUUGCUCUGGACUUGUUAUAUUUCUCAAAUGUUCGGAAAUUCAUCAAUAUGACCAUGUAACCAACUAGAAUAAUCCUUUCGCUAACGGUUGAAACCCAAAUCCACUCUAUCAUAGCAAGAAAAGAGCAAAAGCCAAGCAAUCAAGACACAAAUUUAUAAAUCCAAUGUGUUUUGUUAGUUGGCUAGAGAGAUAUCCAAUUUAAUGAAAUUAACAAGAAAUAUAUCUAAUUCCACAUGACCAACCUAACUAUCUAAGAAUAUCAAAAUCUCUUUAAAAUAUUAUUACUACUCGAAGAUGGACUAACGCUUUCAAUCUUUAAAAUAUUAUUACUACUCAAAGAUGGACUAACGCUUUCAAUAACAUUGAACCACAUCAAUUUCCUAUAGGACUCAUUCAUGAAUAGUAAGUAUGAUCGAAAUUGUACUAGUCUAUAAAGGAAAAAAUGUAAAGGAAAUAAUAUAAAUCAAGUUUGAUUAAGCUUCUAACACAAGAUACUUAGCCUAAACCAAUAAUGGAUUUAAAUUAUGAUAAGAUUUUAAGUUUCUGAUUUUUCAUUUUAUUUUAUUUUUUCAUAUAUAAGGGCAUUUUGGUGGUCUUAGAAAAAAGUAAACUUUAGAAUGCAAGCCCAAUAUUUUUUUUUUUUUAAGGAGAGCCCAAUAGGGUAAGAUUUUCUUUUCGAUAGUGUAACAAAAGUAAAACACAUAAAAUAAAAGGUUCCAGCUAUAGUAUCAUAGUGGUACCGUAUCACAAUUGGAUUUAGCCAUUGGAUCCAGCUAUGGUGACAACUGUGAGUUGAAUCCAGUAGUGGAUCCAGCUGUGGUACGGUACCACUGUGGUACCAUAGUUUUGCCCAAAAUAAAAUAGCUAAAAAGCAAUACAUAUCUUUACAUACAAAAGAGGGUCAGAGUCUCAAAGAUGAUAGCAAUUCGUCCAUUUGAGUUAAAAAAAUUUAUUAGAUGAUAAAUUGAAAAUUUGAAAUUAGCACCACAAACUAUUAAAUUUAUAAAGUGCUUUGUGUUUACGGUAUAGUAACAAAAUAUGUUAAAACUUUGUUAUUCAUGUAAAAUGCCAAAAAGUUAAAAUUGACUGCUCUAUUUAUGAAUGAGACAACCACUAAGAAUUUUUAGUUGAAAAACAAAUUAAAUUUCCAAGCAGAAUGGGACAGAUACGCUAAAUAAGGAAAUUAGGAUAUUGACUGAAAAUUGGAGUGUAAUGUGAUUAUUAAUAAUAACGAGUUAUGAUUGACAAAAGGUGAUCAAGACAAUAACAAAAAAAUGAAUAAAAAAGUUAUUUAGGUUACAAAAAAGUUAUGACAUCAGAUAAUGAUAGUGUGUACACUUAGUGAUUACAAUAGUAGCAAUAGCAGCAAAUCAUAUAUAAGUAAUAUCAAAGUCAAUAGUUUAGAAUUUUAUACCUCAUUUUGGGGGGAAUUACUAUCAUUAUAACAUGCUUCAAUCACUGGCAUAGAAUAUGGUCAAUCAUUUGGUAUAAUUAAAAGUUUAACUUAUCUUUGGGUAGCCAUGGGUUGACUUGGGUUGGGGUUAAGUUCACCCAAAUCAAACCAAAUAAGUUUGGAUUUCAAUCCAAACCAACACAAAGUUGUUAGAAUCCUAUUCACAUUACUAGAAAAAGACUAAACAAUCACAUUUUUUUACCAUUGUCAUGCAUUCAAUCCAAACCAACACAAAGUUGUUAGAAUCCUAUUCACAUUACUAGAAAAAGACUAAACAAUCACAUUUUUUUACCAUUGUCAUGCAUUCUAUAAAGGUCACUUGAGCAUCAUUGAAGUCGAUAUCAACAAAUUUUAGAUGAUGGUUUUUAUAUGUUAUCAAUUUUAUGGUGUAUUAUCCAUCAUGAAUUUGUUAUUCACAAAUGGUGUCUGUCAUAAUAUUUUUUAUACACGACUAUUAUUUGCCAUAUGAAAUUAAAUAUCUUAUUAAAAAUUAAAAUAUAAAUAAACAUAAAAUUGUUAUCUUAAUUAAAAAUAAAUUUCGUGGGAUUAUUUUAAAUUAUUUUGGAGGAAAUGAAUUAUAAUUUAAAUAAAUAAUUUGGCAAAAAUUGAAAUUAUUUUUUAAUUUUUUAGCACAAGCUAUUACUAUUGUUGUUUAAUUUAGCGGGAAUGAAUGAAUCUUUGGCGCCAAUUGUUAUUAUUAUUAUUGAAUUUCAUUUCCAUAUACAUAUGUGUGCACACACACGCACGCAUGUGGUUUGUAGGUGCGCGUGUGCACACAUGUGUGGGUGUGUGGGUGUAGAUGUGUGUGCAUGCAUCCAUGCGCGCGCAUGGUGUGCACAAUGGUGUGCGUGACCGCGGGUGUGCACGUGCAUGUGCACAUGUGCAAGUGUGUGUGUGUGUGUGUGUGUGUGUGCACAUGUAUGUGCAUGCAUGUGUGUGCAGGUGUAUGCGGUGUGCGCAUGUAUGUGCGCGAGCGUGUGUGUGUACGCUCACAACAAGAAACACUACAAAAAAAAAAUAACAGCAUUCAAAAUAUUUUUUGCUAGGCUAUUUGUUAAGAGUAAAAUCAUGUAAAAAUUAAUAAAUGAUUUUGGAACCAUGCUGCCAUUCAAUUUGUAAAAUUAACAACUAUUGAAUCUAAUAAGAAUUUCAACUUUAUCACUAAAAGCAAUAAGUAUAAUAAACAAAGAAAUCAUGAGAUUGUAAUUUUAUGUAUGUUAAUUAUUACAAGGAGACAUGUUCUCACUAUCUUCAAUUAUUUAAAACUAAUUUAUCUGAAUGUUACUUCUAUAAUAGUUGUGUCUUGAAUCGUUAAUUAGAUUGACAAUAUUAUUAACUGCAUCCUUUUCAUUCCCCUUAAUCACUGAUAUGUCUACUGUUAAAGCCAACUUCAAUGGCAUCGUCCAAAAUAUUUUUCCUUCGACGCUUACUUCAGCAUUCUAGUAAUUUUUAGCCAACUUGUCAAGUAGACAUUCAUUCAAGAAGUUCUUCUAAAUGUUUAAUAACUAAAAUUAUAAAAUAUAAGAUCUUUAUUAGCUAAAGCUUAUAAUAAGCCUGAAUCAAAUAGGAUAAAGCCUAAAAGAUAGAGUUUCAAUUAUCAUAAUAGAAAAAAUAAAAAUAAAAAUGUCGUACAACUUCAUAAAACAUCUAACCUCCCCAUUUACACUUAGCUUCACAUACUUUGUAGAAAGUAAUCCCUCAAACCCAUGAGAUGAACUAAAGAUUAAAACUACAUGCCUGAUUAGCUCAAGAAUCUCGUACAAUUCACCAUAGAUGGCUUAUGGAGGGCAAAAUGCUAUGUGCAGGAUAAACAAAGAACUACCAACCCAAAAAUUCUUGAACGGAUAUCUAUUCAUGCAGGCAAUAGAGGAUGUGGGGUUGCUAGAUGGGAUGAAAGCAAAGUCGAGGUUGAAACAGUUGGGAAUUAUAAGUUACCACGUAUUGUCAACAUCCUAAAAAAAUUGAUGUCAGAAGAGGAUAACAAAUGUUAUGGUUUAGUGAUUGGAUAUCCGCUAACUGAGGAGGGAAUUCUUAAUAAAAAAAUUUAACCAACCACAUGCAAAAGCACUUGUUGCUUUGUUGGACUCUGACCCCUUCUAUUACGGGGUACCAUUUUGCUUUAUAAAUGAAUAUGGAUGUUCUAUCGAAUCAAGAAUUAUAUGUUCAGAUAUAGAGACUGCUCGGGAAGUAGAGAGGGCUAAUGAUCAAUUGACUAGUAGUCUUGCAAGAGGAAAACUUAAGAUUGCAGAUGAUAACAAGAAAUUACAAGCUGCUAAAGUAAUUUUGGAGACCUUCAUUUGGAAGGUAAAGAAAGAAGGAUCCUUAUCUCCUGAAGCAAUUUUUAAGAGAGAAAAUAAAAUAAAAGAGAAGCUGAAGCAAAAGUCCGCGGCAGCAACAAAAGCAACAUUGGCGAAAAAGGAGGGGAGGAGGAGGCGCAAAAGUUGGCAGCAUAAGCAGCAGCAGCAUUUACGAAGAAGGUGGAGGAGGACGAGGAGGCAGCGGCAGGACCAAGUGAAGCACAUGCUGUUAAACCCUGAAACAUGUAAAACUCAAUCAACUCAACUAAUUCCUCAAGAUUAACCAUGAUUAAUAAAUUUUAGUUCACCACAUUGGUAACUAUUGGUAGAGGCCAUGAUAUCCUAUCUUUUACAUGUGCAUUUAGUACAAACUAGAUGGCAAUUAAAAUUAUUUUCAGUUGUUACUUCAAACUAUUAUUCACUCAAUUACUCUAGACUGAUUAUAUAUAAAUUUGGCUCAUGUUGAGCUUUUGUUUUGCAUAAUUAUCCAAUUUUAAUUAAUUUUAGAUUAUAACUUCAUAACAAUUAUUUAUUUCAUCUCAAUUAUCAUAGCCAAAAGAAAUCUAUGUAAAGCAUGCAUCCACUAACAAAAAUCUCAUGAUAUAAUUCUAGAUAAAAUAUGUAAAUAAAGAAAACUAUUAAGAACAAGGGUUGCUAACUCCACCACAAAAAGUAAACAAAAUCCAUCCAAAUAAAGUACACGGUGAGUAAAACAAAAGAAAAAAGCAAUGGAAUUAAUCAUUUUACUUGCUAGCUAUAACUUCAAUGUUUUUGCUUAAUUGAGUAUGGCAUUGUCACUAAUCUAAAGAAAUAAAAACCAUAAAACAAUAUUUUAUUUGUGAUUUACGUAUACAAAUAUGCGAAUAAAAGUCCAAGACAUACAAUAUAUGAGAGGAAGAAAAGAAAUAUCAUCACCAACACUAUUCCUUAAAGUAAUUGAUUCAAUGCUAGUAAGUUGAGAUAAAGACAAAACUAAAAAUAAUUAAAAAAAAUCAAAUAGUAUGAAAGGUAUAAAUUUUCAUGAUGCAAAUAGUAUCAAAACAAGCACUCAAGUCUUAUCCUUAUAAAAAAAAAAAACACUUAUAUUCACAUAUAACAUCAUCAUUAUUUCACUUUUAGAGAGUAAUUUUUCUGUUAAAUUAUUAAAUUGUCUUAAGAAUGUUUAAUAUUAAAAAUCACAGCCAUUAUAUAAAGCUAUCAUAGCCACAAAAGUAGUAACCAAACCAAAAGAAAUAUAUACAAAGCAUGUAUCUACCAGCUAGCUAAGACGCAUUCAAAUAUAUAAAGACCACAGUUAAGAAACAUUGUAACAAAAGGCCGCAAGAUGCUACGUCGUAGCUACACCUUGAACAAUCUUACUAGGAUGAAAUGUCCUCAUCUUCAAUCUAAAGUGAAAAAAAAAACUAUUAAGGAAAACUUGUAUUGCAAUCUUCAAUUUCAAAAAAUUUUAUUUAUAUAUAUACUAACUAACUAAAAGCUGAAUUUCUUCACCAUAUUAAAUUAAUUCAGGCCCGAGAUCACAAGAUAUAGUUAGUUAGUUAGAUAUGAUUUAGUUCAAAUUUCAACUAUGAAAUGUCCUCAAUAUUUUAAAAAAUAAGAGCUAGUAAUACAGAGAAUGCUAAUGUAUUGUGAACUAGAAUUUGGAAAAUUUUGAGAAAAUUUACACAUACAAGAGAAAAUAGCUUGUGUUGUAAAUUUAAGUGGUGAACUUUCAACAUUUAAAAGAAUGAAAAAUCCCCAUUUGGAAAUAUUACUUCCCCACCCUAGCUCUUGAAACCUAUAUAUAUGUGAUUUAUUUCAUUAUUUUGGCAACAAAACAAAUUAGCUUAAUAUAAGCUUAAUAGCAAGGUACUAUUUAGUACUUUGUUUAAUUCAAAAAGUUUUCUAUUAUCUAUUUAUUUUAUAACAAGUUAUCAGUACGAUGGCUGAUUUGAUAUGUGCAGUUUAAUUUUUACUAUUUAUGUUUACUUAUUUUUUUAUGCUUUAUCAUUAUUUUUAUUAUUCUAUUAUUUUAAUUGUUUAUUGUUUAUGAUAAUUUUAAUAGUUGGUUCUAUAAUACUGCCUAUAUUAUUAUUAUUUUAUUAAUAUGUUUAUUAUUCUGUUAAUAUAACUUGUUUAAUUUAUUUAUAUGGCUUGUUUAACCGCCUAUCAAGUUAUUUUAAUUUCAAUAAAUUAUGAUUUGUUCUUGCAUAUAUAUGUCUUUGAAUAUUAUUGUUGUAGCUUGAAGUUUACAAAACAGAUGAGAUGGUGAGAACCUAAAGUUCUAAUUUAUGAUUUUAAAUUAGAACCUAAAAUUCUAAAGAUAUGCAUGAAGUUUCUACAUAUUUCAUAAUUUUUUGUUUUCGUUUAUUUUUAAAUAUUUCAUAUUUAUAUUAUGAUACUUAUUACUAUUUCUUUUUUAUUAUUAAUAGGGAAAAUAUCCACCGUCCACCUGAUUUUGUCCACUUUUUUAAAAAUACAUAAAUCUUAAUUUUUUUUGCUGCGCUACACCUAAACUUAUAUUUUUUUUCACAUUUCCACCUCUGUUUGCAAACCGUCAAAACGUUGCUGACGUCAUAAGGAUAAAAUGAUAAUUUCACUUGGACUUCAAAAACAACGUCGUUUAAGAUCUGUAAUUUAACCUUUUCGUUUGAUUCUGGAGUAAGGUUGGCCCUACAAACCGGGCAUGUCACGUGAGAGGCUAACUAGACAUCGAUGCAAUGAGGAUGGAACACGUGAUCACAUUUUGGAAGUAAACGCAACGUUUCGUCAUCCUCAAACUCGCUUAACACACGACACAUUCCAGAGCACCUUUCCCAAUUUUCAGAUCCUUCACCGCAGAGUAGACGAAGAUAGGGAAAGACUCGAUGACGGAAGGAUCGAGGCCGCGGUUUCUGGAGACAAUUUAAAGGCAAUUUAACGUUGAGAGAGAUGUCAACGUUAACGUACUGUGUUCGCUGAAGUAGGGAGAGCUUUGCGAGUUACGGACGUCUUGGGAGAUGCAGGUGCGGCAAACUGAAUGAGCGUUUGCUGCUGUGCUGAAGGCACAAGCAAUGGAAGGCGGCAGUUCGGGGACGCGACACAUGCGUUCACAAGUGGGGUUCGUUAAAGUUGGUGGUGAGGGUAUGGGAUUGGGCGAUGGUUGGAAUUCGAACGGAAGGAACCUGUUGACAGCAGUUAAAUCGCCGUUAAAUUGUUUUGAUUUCACCGUCUAGUUCGCGACCCACCUCGAUAUCUCCGCUUUAGUUUGUGGGUGGUGGACAAUCUUGCCGUUUGUUUAUUUGCGCUAACUGUUCAUCUUGCCGUUUGUUUUCUUUCUCAUUUUAAAAUUUCAUUUUCUCUGUUGUUAUUGGGACAAAAAUGUAGGAGGAUUUGGAGAAUAUAUGCAUAAUUCAGGGAGGGGCAGUGUCGUAGUUACAGAACAAAUUCGAGGCCAAUUAAUGCCGGAGGAAUUGGAUGUGCCGCGCACUGCGAAUCAAUGCCAGAGGAAAUGGGAUUCAUUGCUUGAUGAGUACAAAAAGAUAAUUGUGCGAUCAAGGACUUUUCCUAACUCCCAAACUCAAACUCAUACUGAUUUCUUUCCACCCAAUUUUGACCCUGAGCUCUUUAAAGCCAUUCAUGAUUUCGUUAUGUCUAAGGAUACCGAUCUGAUGAUACUGACCCAGAUUCAGAUAUCGAUCCUAAAGCUGACUUCUCUGAAGCAAUUUCACAAACACAACUAGGUAACUUUUAACCUCUCUCUCUUGUCUUGGAUUGGGAGGACUUCUCAUCCACCUCGAUAACAAGAACAUACACACAUACUCUUUAUUUUUAUCUCCACCCACAAACGGCAACGGCUACAAUACUCAUAAAACUAAUAUUUUGGCGUUUAUUUAGGGUAAAUAUGUAAUUUUUUAUUUUCGGGGUUAAAAAGUAAUUUGGAUAAAAUUCCGUUAGUUUUAUUGACGGUUUGUAGACGGAGGUGGAAAUGUGAAAAAAAUUAUAAGUUUAGGUGGAGCACAGCUAAAAAAAUUAAGAUUUGUGUAUUUUUUAAAAAGUGAACAAAAUCAGGUGGACGGUGGAUAUUUUCCCUUAUUAAUAAGAUUUUUUGAAAAGUAGCAAGUCUUAUGAAUUUACAAAUCCAUGUUCUUGAAGUUUCUAGAAGAAACUAGCUUUCUUGGGUAUUGGACACCAAAAUGCACUUGUAAGCUAUGGGCCUAGAAUGCACUAUAGCAAAAAGAGACGAGGUAUCUUGGCAAGAAAAAUUGAAGCCUAUGAUUUUCCUCCACCACCACAUACAUGAGAGCCUAAAAGCUUAAUACCUAAUGGUCGAGGAUCCACUAACUUUGUAGAGUAACUUCUAUGAAAGAUUUGACCACCAAAGAGAUAUUUUCCUCUCAAAUGCCAAACAUGAGUGGUUAAUUUGAUGUUCCAAGAUUAUACAAGAGUCUCUUAUUAUAACUUUGCUUUAUUCCGCAUCACCUCAAAAUUGAAAUUAUGUGACAUAGAAAUUACUGAUCGAAAUAUGCUUGAAAAGACACUCACCACUUUUCGUGCAUCAAAUGUUGUGUUGCAACAACAAUAUUGAGAGUGUAGAUACAACAAAUACUCUAAGCUGAUAACGGCUCUUUUAUUUGCUAAAAAAUUAAUGAGCUCAUAACGAAAAACCAUGAAUUAUGUCUAACAGGCUCUCAAACAUUACCAAGAGCGAAUGUAAAUAUAUAUAUUAAUAGUGGACGUAACCGAGGAGGUAAGAAAGGUCGUGGUUACUACCAUUGUGGUAGUCAUAGGCACAUAAGACAGUGAACAACAAAAUUGACGCCACCAAAAGUAGAGCAUCUAUGAGAGAACUAAUAAAUAUGAUGAUGCAGGAAAGAAUAAUGCUAGAAAUGAUAAUGAAAAAAUUUAUUGCCGAUGCCCAGGAAAAGGACAUUAGUCACGCACCUAUCGGACUGACAAACAUUCGAUAGACUUUUACCAAGCAUCCAAGAAAAGAAAAUGAAAGAUUGAGACUAAUUUAAUCGAUAGCUCAGAUCCUGUUGAUCUAAUUCAUCUUCAUGCCUCUGAUUUCUUUGAAGACACAAAGGCAAAAACGAUCACUUAAUUAGUGAUGGAAAUGUCCAUAUUAAUUAAGCUCUUAUUAUUAUGCAAGUUACGGUUAUGUUAACUUUGUAUCUUUUUGUAGUUUCAUCAAAUGUUCUUAAUGUUUAUAUCUAAUCUUAAUAUCUAACGUGAACUUUUGUUUAAUGUAAAGUUAUGGAUGUUAGAAAUAAAUUAUCUAUUUUGGAAACGAAAGCUGAGGAUUUAUGCUUAAAAAAUAUUUCUUAAAAAUAAAAUUACUUGAAAGAAAAGUAAAUGUUAUAUCUAGUCCUACAAACUUGAUAAAAGAUUCUGGAAGAGCCAUAAUCUUGUUGGCAAGCGGAACAAAAUUAAUAAUCCAAAAUGUUUUAUAUUCAACAAGAUCCAAAUUGCUUUAUAUUCAAAAUUAAUAAUCAUAAAUAUGACUGAAUGCUACGCAGUGAUGAACCAAAGAUUCACAGAUCCAAAAAUAUUUAUGUUAUGGCAUGAUCGCCUUGGACAACUGGAUCUACAAUAGUGCGUAGAAUUAUUGAAAAUUCUCAUGGACAUCCAUUAAAGAACUAGAAGAUUCUAUUGUCCAAUGAGAUUGUUUGUACCGUUGCUCACAAGGAAAAUUUGUGGUUAGACCAUCCCCAUUUAAGGUUGGUCAUGAAUCUUUAUUAUUUCUACAAAUAGUUCAAGGACAUAUAUGUGAUCUAUUUCGUUACUUAAUGAUUUUGAUUGAUGCAUCUUCAUGGUGAUCACAUGCUUAUUUAUUGUACACCUACAACAUUGCAUUUGCAAUGCAAGAUUGCUUGCCCAAAUUAUAAGAUUAAAUGCACAAUUUGUAGAUUAUUCAAUCAAAAUCAUACAUUUAAAUAAUGCUAAUGAGUUUACAUUUAAGAUGUUUAAUGACUAUUGUACAUCAAUAAGUAUCGACGUUGAGCAUCUAAUUCCACAUGUACGUACACAAAAAUGGUUGGUGGAAUUGUUGAUUAAAUAAUAUAUAUAUAUAUAUAUAGUGAGCUCAUCAUAAGGAAUUCGAUUAUCAUAGAGGGUUUUAAUGGAAUUUCUAACCUUUUCUCCUAAUAGGGUAGGUAAACCCGCAAGGAAUUUUUCCUUCCAAGUUACAUGAUUUGCAUCAUCCCUAAGGAAAAGUCUGGUAAAGAAAGUGGUUUUGUAACUUUGGAAUUCACUAAGUUUCCUACAUCUCAAACAUCUAUAUGUUGUGAAGCUACAGACUCGCUACAGUUAAAGACCCAGUCUUUGUAUUUAAAUCGGGAGGAAGACUUAGACUCCUCAGAUUUUUCAGAAUUCUAUUUCUUUCUUUCUUCUUCUCUUUCUCUCUCUCUCUCUCUCUCUGGGAAUCAGGAAUCAGAAGACAACAAGGAAUUUUCCUGUCUUCAGAUUAAUUUCCCAUUUCUUCUAUAAUAUUUUCCUUUAAAGCAAAACAAAGCAAGAAAAUCAAAUGUAAGAUUUGUAAUUUCUUUUAAAGUUUGUAAUAAAUUUAAAUUUCUGUAUGUUUAAAUUUCUGCAGUUUAAUUUCCGCAAUUUAUUUUAAAGCAUUUAAAUUUAAGUAAUUUAAAUUUUAUGCAUGCCUUGCAGACUGAUCUGUAUCAGAUCUGCCAUAUAAAUUGUUACGUUCCUCAGAGGCAAAGAGACCGGAUCUCUGUCUUCUGUUGUAUCUUCUCUCCUCCCUCCAAUCAAUCAGAAUACUACUUCCGGGACCCGGAUCUAGUAUUAUCUAUGAGCCUUAGAUUUUGUUGCUAGGCUUGCUAAUAAAAUCGUAAAAAUAAAAUAAAAAUUAAAGUGGUAUAUCGGCGGGAAUCCAUCGACGUAAGUUCCAAAGGUGAACCCGAAUGGGCAUUAGCGUGGUCCGCACUGAUGGUCAACAAGCCACGUACCCUUGUUUGAUAAUUAAAUAAAAAGAUAAUAAAUUGUUUCUCUUGUUUACUCUUGUUUAUUUAAAAUUUAAGUGUGUGUAUAUAUAUAUAUAUAUAUAUAUAUAUUGUAGGAACUUACUUAUGCGUAAAAAAUUACCAAUAUCUGCAUGAAUUCAUGCUAUUUUACAUGUUGCGGCAUUAGUUCGUUUUACACCCACCGCUUAUCAUCAAUGUUCUCCAUCACAGCUUGUACUUGGUCAACAACCUGAUAGCUUCCAUCUAUGUACUUUUGGUUAUGUUCUGCAUGUUCCUAUAUCACUCCUUCAGCGUACAAAGAUAGGAUCUCAACGUUGUUUGGGGAUUCAUAUUCAUUUUAACUCACCUUCAAUUGUUAGAUAUCUUGAACCCUUGAUGGGGAUAUUUUCGUUGCACGUUUUGCUGAUUGUCACUUUGAUAAAUAGUUUUUCUAUCAUUAGGGAAUGGAAAGCCUUUUGAAGUAAGGUAUAAACUUUUUUGAAAAGUUUCCACUUUAUCUCAUUUAGAUCCUUGUACUAAUCAAUGUGAAAAUAAAUUACGAAAAGUAAUAUAUUUGUGGCAAAUUGCAAAUCAAUUGCUAGAUGCAUUUACAGAUGCAGCAAAAGGUAACCAAAUCAUAUGUUCCAAUUGUUGAUUGUCACUUUGAUAAAUAGUUUUUCCAUCAUUAGGGAAUGGAAAGCCUCCUGAAGUAAGGCAUAAAUUUUUUUGAAAAGUUUCCAUUUUAUCUCAUUUAGAACCUUGUACUAGUAAAUGUGAAAAUAAAGUACAGAAAGUAGUAUAUUUGUAGCAAAUUGCAAAUCAAUUGCCAGAUGCAUUUACAGAUGCAGCAAAGGGUAACCAAAUCAGCAAAAUGUGUUGCUAAUACACCAGCCAGGUGGUUGUUCCUGGUGAACAAUCAAGUGUAAAAGUAGUUAAUGAGUAUCUGUUACAUGUAAAAAACGUGGUAGACCACUUAGUUCCAAAGAGACUACUCCUCAAAAAAGGAAAAUGAAAGAUCAUGAUCCUAUUUGAAAAUAAUGCUCAACUAUAAACCCACAUUAUUAGAAUCACCAGAAGAACUUAUGGUCCCUAAAUAGACACAAGUCCUUGAAGAAAUAGAAACUCUUGAAGAGGUAUGAAAACAUAAAAAUAGGGAAAAGUCUAUAAAUUUUACUUAUACAAAGGAAAUAUGGAAUCAUAAUGAAAUAAACAUCAACAAUGUAUUUUCAUUCUUAGUAGCUACUAAAAUUACAAAUGCUUUUGAGCUUAAAACUGUCAAUGAAUGUAGAACAAGACAUGAUUGGCCAUAAUGGAAAAAAGUAAUUCAAACAAAAUUGAUUUCUCUAAGUGUGAAGUUUUUGUACCUAUAGUCUAGACACUUAAAAACGUCAAACCCGUUGAUACAAGUGGGUUUUAUGAGGAAACGUAAUGAGUAUAAUGAAAUCACUAAAUACAAAGCACCUUUAGUUGCACAAGAUUUCUCGCAGAAACCUGGUAUUGAUUAUAAGGAUAUAUAUUCUCUAGUAAUGGAUACCAUUACAUUUCGACAUUUAAUCAGCUUAGAAGUCUUAGAAAGACUUGACAUGUGUCUCAUGGAAAUAGUGACUGCAUAUUUACAUAAAAAUCCUUGAAGGAUUCAAAAUGUCUGAAGCAUUUAAAUCAAAGAAUCGUAAUCUAUGCUCAAUCAAGCUACAACAGCCCUUAUACAAAGUUGAAAUAAUCUAGACUCAUGUGGUACAAUCGUUUGAGUGAAUAUUUGAUUAAAGAAGGAUACAAAGAUGAUCAUACAUGCCCAUGCAUAUUCAUUAGAAAAUCUGAAUCUAGAUUUGCAAUUAUAGGAGUUUAUGUUGAUGACAUAAACUUAAUUAGAUCUUCUGAAGAGCUCUUAAAAAUUGCUAAACAUUUAAAAAAAAGAAUUUGAAAUGAAAGAUUUGGGGAAAACAAAAUAUUGUCUCAAUCUGCAAUCGAGCAUAAAACAAAUGGAGCACUUAUUCAUUAAUCAGCGUAUGUUGAGAAAAUCUUAAAACGAUUCAAUAUGGAUCAUGCUCAUCCACUAAGCACUCCUAUGAUUUUCUGGUUUCUCGAUCCUAAAAAAGAUUCAUUCCACACCAAAGAAGAUAAUGAAGAGACAUUUGGUCUAGAAGUAUCGUAUCUAAAUUCAAUCAGUGCUUUAUUAUAUCCAGCUUGAUGUGUCGGACCAGACAUUGCAUCCUCUAUGAAUUUGUUGGCAAGAUUUAGCUUAGUGCCAACACGAAGAUAUUAGGAUGGCAUCAAACAUAUCUUCUAACAUCUUCGCGAAAUGACAGGUUGAAGUUAUUUUAUUCAAAUGAGCCAACAAAGAAUCUUGGUCUUAUCAUUUAUGCAAACUUAGGCUACCUUUUUGAUCUGUCAGAGUCCAUUCACAAACAGGAUAUAUUUUCACUUACAAUGGCACAAUAAUUUCAUGUCGAUCUACUAAACAGACUUUUAUUGCCACCUCUUCCAAUCACUCAAAGAUCCUUACAUUACAAGAACUAAGCAGAGAAUAUGUUUAACUGCGAUCUAUUAUCCAUCAUAUGCAAAGCACAUACAAUUUGACUUCCCCCACAAGUACUCCAACAAUUAUACAUGAAAACAAUGCUGCUCAUAUUACUCAAAUUAUAGGAGGAUACAUCAAGGAGAUAGAACUAAGCAUAUCUCACCAAAGUUUUUUUAAACUCAUAAGCUGCAAUAGGACAAGAAAAUUAAUAUCAAGUAGAUACGCUCCAUUGAUAAUUUUGCUGAUCUUUUUACUUAAGCUUUGCCCAAUCGAGAAAUUAGUCCAUAAUAUUGACAUGCAUCAAAUCAACAAAUUAUCAAAUUGAUACAUGACAUUUGAGGAGAUAUUUCAUUAAGGAGAGCAUAUUUUGAAAAUAAAAAAUCCGACAACUAUAUUAGACAAAUGUUCAUUGUACUCUUUUUCCUUCAACUAGUUUUUUCCCCACAGGUUUUACUGGUAAAGUUUUAACGAGACAAUAUUAAGCACAUCUAAUCAAGUACCUAAAUGGUGAAGUUCAAGGAGAAUGUUGUAAAUAAGUGGUGAACUUUCACCAUUUCGAAGAAUGAAAAAUCCCACGUCAGAAGUGUUACUUCCCCACCCUAGCUCUUGAACCCUAUAAAUAUGUGAUGUAUUUCAUUAUUUUGGCAACGGUAAAAAUUAACUUAGUAUAAGCUUAAUAACAAGAUAUUAUUUAUUACUUUGUUUAGUUCAAAAAAAAUUUUCUAUUAUUUAUUUUUUUUAUAACAACUUGUACUUUAAAUGAAAUUAUAAAAACAACAAUUUUCUAAUAUUUAUCGACAUAAGAUUUUACUUAGUUUUAUUUCUGAAAAAAAAAACUACGAAAAAUUAACCUGAACACCAUAACAAUGAAAGUAAGAUAGACUAGAAUCAUUGUCAAUUAAUCUCCAUAUUUGAUUUAAUAAGAACAAUCUAUAUCAGCAUACAAUAGCAUUUAUUUUCAAAAAAUGUAUUAGAUCUUAAGUCUCUCAAACAAUUACUGAUGAAUAAAGGUAACAAUUUGAUCAUCAUCGAAACUUCUGAAACAAUCAAGAAACCCACAUCCACGUAUGCUUCCAAAUUAUAUAUAUUAAUGAACUCUAUGACAAUAAAAAAAAAUGGGUCUUAUCGUAUGGAGGAAAAUAUCUGACCGUCAAAUGAGGAUCAUUGAGCGUAUAUCAACCCUGUAAUAUUUUCCAUGGUAUCAUUUGCUAAAUUGGAGAUUAUAUUCCAUUGAGCAGACAACCGCAGUUCUACCACAACUCAAUAUUCACUGUUGAGAUGACUCCAUUUGAUAAAAUUUUCAAGUACAGUUUAUUUAUGUAGGACUUUUUGGAGUAAAAUUUUUAUUAAAAAAACUUAUUUAUUCAGUUGGUAAUAAAAACUUUUAUUAAAAAUUUUAAAAUUAUUUUGACAAUUUUAAAAUUAUUUUAUAAAAAAAUAUAUAAAAUUAUCAAACAAGUAAAAGAUAUUUUAGAUAUUCUAACAUUUUUAAAAAAAUUUCAACCUCUACUCUACAAAAACCCAAAAUUUAAAAUUUUUACUAACAAAAUAUAUUAUUUAAUUUUCAAAAACUAUACCAAAAAAAUCAAACAAAAAAAUGAUAAAAAGAACACUAAUGACCAUUAAAUUAGUCAUGUUAAAAAAGCAUGCUAUGUUUUUAGUAGGUAAGGAACCAAUAUGGAAAAAUAUUUAGCACCUUUGUUUUCAACAUAUAUUAAUAGAUAUUGCAAUGAGGAUUUAAAAAAAAAAAAAAAUUACUCACUCAUGAUUUCAAAGAGGUAUAAUUGCUAUUGGUCUAGAGUGGGCUGGUAGUUGUUACUGGCUAGAGAGCAGAGCAGGAAACUGAAGAGGAUACUUGAAGCUUUGAUGGGGAAUCACCACAUCCUUUACCUCACAGUGGAAAUUCUUUUGCAACACCACCAAAUGUGAAACAUUGUUUACAAGAGUCCGUUGCUUCAAAUCAAGGGAAGAUCAUAAUCAUAAGACUCUUCACUUGUUCUAGUUCACUUACAUCAAAUUGAUGAGUUGUACCCUGCACUGAUGCACAAUCAAUGGCAGGGGCGGAGAAAAAAUGCAAUCAAAUUUCUUGCAAACCAAGCCGUAGAGAAGUCACAUGCACAGCAUCUCCUACAUUUUUCAUCUAAUAAUAAUGAUUUUGUAAAAACUAUAGUGUGUGCCAACUGAUAUGACAUGAAGAGAUUAGCUGAAAAGUGAACAAAUUCACAACGAAAUAGAAAUACUGAAGCUUUCCCGCCAGCAUUCUUGUUUCUUUAAACCAAAUGAUUUCAAAACACAUCCACAGAAAAAGUAUAACAAUACCGACACAGAGGUAAAGAAAAUGCAACGUAUCAGAUUAAUUUUGCACUGAGAGUCAACUCUAACAUCAUAAAACACAGGAAAUCCAAAUGGCAGCAAAUCCAACCCUCAAUGACAGAAAAUACAACAUAUCACUCCAAAAGCUAAUUACCAACUGGAGUUUAAAAAAUAUUAAAAAAAAUGUUGCAACCGAAGAUCAUAAAAGGGGAACAUUCAAGAUUAUAAAAUAUCACAUUCCUAAAUCCCUGUUAAUCUGUUUGUCACCAAACUAAACUAUCCAAUAAUAUUAAAAUAUGCUUAUAAUAUUGAUCUAUGGUAAACAAAGAAACUAAAAGGAAAAAAAAUACAAACAAAUUCACCAAAAGAAAAAGAAGCCUCCAAUUCAAUGGAGACGGUAUAUAAUUCAAAUUCCAGACAUUUUAUACUAGUCAAUCCAUAAGCUUACAACUAGGCAGGAAGUACGAUCACAAGAAACCAAAACUCCUAAAACAUUCAAUUCAUGUAGAUUCGACAAAUAGGAAGGCACAGCAUGACAAUAACUAUUUUGUUUGACAUCAAAAGAAAAGGAAGAGUCAAGUAUGGAGAUCAAACGGGGCUGAGGAGCUGAUAGACUUGGGGCUUGGGAUCAGAAUUCAUGCCGAUAAUGAUGAUAAGAGGAAUAAAUCCAUAGUGAGUGACCACUUUAGCCUUUUUCAUGGUCCAAGUGCUCCACUCUUUGAAAGAAUCGACCAUUGAUUUCUCCUCUGAUGCCUUUGCUCCCUUCACGCCCUUGCCUUUGGUCCUAAGUGUUACUCUAGAACCCAUUUUCUCCUCAAAUCUUGACCUGCACAAGAGUAAUAAGUCAAUAAACACAACUUCAUCAUAUAUCUGAUCAAGAAACAGUAUUACAUCGAUAAAAAUCACUUAGCAGUUAGCAUUCCUUAUCAACCACACAAGUAAGAUUCCCACACGAGUAAACUCAAAUCAAGAUAAAAACAUUGUCACGCCCUGUAGCAAUACUCCAAAACAAAUUAUGAAACUUGAAACAGCCGAGUACACAAUUAAUUCUUGUAAGGUAUGACUUCUGAUUCUGUAACUAACGAACCUAGAACAGUCCUUGUUGCUGCAAAAAUUCUAAUCACAGAGCAUGGGUUUAUAUUGAUAUGCUAACAUAAUUCUUUUUUGAUUAAUUUCUAUUUACCAAAAUGAAAAUAAGAAAUUUGAAAUUCAACAAUCUGUUUACAUUAAUAUGCUAACAUAAUUUCAAAAUAAUUUUCCAAACAAAGCAAUGAAAAAUAUGUUUUAUAAGCCAAAUAUAUUAUACGCGUCUUACAAAUGCACGAUAAUGAAACUUUAAUCCAAAAAUCAAACGUUAACCAUAAAUUCAUUAGCAUCAUUAAGAUACCAAAAUAAUUUUUCUAUUUUUUCAAACAACAAUACAUAUAUAAAAUUUUAUCAUAAAAAAAAAAAACUGAUAGACAAAAAAAUAAUUAUAAAAUAAGCUUAGUAGAUCCCGUAGACCGGCGGCGACGAGAAGUACCUGCUGCGGUGAACAGCUUGAACGUUGUGUUGAGAGGAGGCUUUGGCGACUGAGAAGCGACAACCGUGAUUACUAGGGAUUUUAUACGUGUAUGUGCCUCUGUGUAUAUAUAUCCGGGAUUGUAUGUACUCAGAAACAAUUUACUACCAUGAGUCAACUUAUAAAAAGCUGCCACGUAUAUUUUUAAAACAAUAUUUUCAAGUUUCACUCUUCUAGGAUCGAUUGUCGGUUCCGCUCUCCCUUCUAAUUUCUUUCUUUUUGUUCAAAAAUCUAUAUCUAUUAGGGGUGGACAAAAUAGCCGACCCGAUCCAACCUGAAAAAUUUCAAGUUCGGAUUGGAUCGGGUUGUUAAUACAACCCGAUCGGUUGAAAUCUUGCAAACCCGAUCGAUCUUUAAAAAAAAAAAACAAAUCUAAGUGGCUAAACACACGCACACAGCACACCACACAUAAUCACACACAAAUCACAUACUCAAAAGGUUACACAAACACAAGACUCACAACAAAACACAAACCCCAACUUAAGUCGUCUGCGAAUUUGCUCUUUCUCAAAAUUUCUUUCUUUUUUUUUUGUUUUCUUAAUGUGAUUUUUUUCAAAAGACAAGUUGCGAUGAUGAUGAGUGAAAUUAAUCUCGUUAAUCUGAGAUAAACAUGAGGAAAAAUUCUCUAAUCCAUUGUUAAUUAUCCUGAGCACCUUUUCUUCCUCUUUAAAAAAAAUCACAAAACCCAACCCACCCUCAAGAAGCAAGAAAACAUUCUCUCCUUCAUGCGAUCUGCUGCUGCCGUGUUGCGAGUCCGGCCAUCUGCUGCUGCAUCAGCGAUCUGCUGUUGCCGUGCUGCUGUCAUGCUGCUGCCGUGUUGCGUCCAGCCAUCUACUGCUUCGUCCGCAAUCUGCUGCCGCCGUGCUGUGUCCAGCCAUCGCGAGGAAACUGUUGCGCAUCCAACCGUGCGCGAGCUGCUGCUGCACGUCCACCGAUCUGCUGCCGAAAACCCAGCCGUGAUCUGCUGUCGUGGCUGCCGAUCUGCCGCUCCAAGGCUCAAGCCUCCAACCCGACCCGAGUUUCUCCCUUAUGUGUUUUGAAUUUUGAAGCUUUCAUGGUGUAUUGGUAUAUAUGUUUUGAAUUGACCCGUUUUCAUCAACGCGAAUUGGCUUAAUUUGACCCAAAUUCAAUAUGAUUCGUUUUUAAUCCAAACCGAUUCUACCCAAUUUUUUGACCCGAUCCGAAUAUAUAUCGGAUCGGAUCGAGUCGGGUUGUAAGUUCGGGUUGCAUUCGAAUCAAUGUUUGCCCAACCCGAAUAACCCGAAACCCGAUCGGGUUGACCCGAACCCGACCCGAAUCCGAUUUUGCCCACCCCUAAUAUCUAUAUAUAUAUCUAUCUAUAUCUAUCUAUAUCUAUCUAUAUCUAUCUAUAUCUAUCUAUCUAUCUAUCUAUCUAUAUAUCUAUAUAAAGCUAGGACUUGAGGAGGUGAUGUGACAUUACCAUUUCUCAUCUUUGUAUAUUCUCUAUUAUCUAAUAAAUAAAUAAAAAAAUUUUAGAUUUGGGUUUUCAUCUUCUCAUAAUUAAUUUGAUUGUUAUUACACAAUAACAAUUAUGUAAAGAUUUUAAUGAGGCAUAUUCUUUGUAAUGAACAUCCAAGGGGGAGUGUUAUGAAUUUAUUAAAAUAAAUGUAAAUGUUCAUAACAUAUAUCUCUUAGUCUCCCUACUAUCUCCUAUUAGCAACCUUUAACUUCCCUAUAACUCUCACUAUCUCACAAGAAAUUAUAAUCCAUAAUUCUUACAUUUAUUUCAUUGAGUGAUUAUGUAACUAUAAAAGGAGAGCUCAUUUUUUUGUUUUGUAUAUACACAAUUGGAAUGAAUAAAAUCAAUCUAUAAUAUAUUCUCUCAUUUUAUUCUUUAUCUUGCAUUGCUUCUUUAUUUGUAUUACUGGCUAAUUAUUUUUUUUUGUUUUUUAUAAGGCUGUCUCAUCUUAAAAAAAAUCAAUUCAUAUUUUUUAUCAGUUUCAUCAAGUGUAAAGUAAGAAAAAAUGAUAAUACUAAAUUCUUUUUUCAAAGCCGCGUGAAACGCGGUUCUAUUUUCUAGUAAAUAAAUAAGGGAGAGAAUUUUUAUUUUUAUUUUAGGCGAUUGUUAAUAUAUACCACUUAUUUCUACUAUUUUCAUAUUAUUUAAAAAAAUUAAAAAAAUUGUAAAUAAAUCAUUAGUUUAAUAAUCUUUUUUUUAAUAUAAAACAUAUAUUUAUUAUGAGAAAAUAUUUUUUAAAAACAGAAAAUUAGAAAAAUAUUUUAUCAAUAAUUUUUUAUUCACAUCAAAUAUAUAUAUAUAUAUAUAUAUAUAUAUAUAUAUAUAUAUAUAUAUUUCUUUUCUCUAGUACUUAGGUUUUUUUUUAUUUUAACUUUUAUUUAUAUAAUUUAUAAUAAAUAUAAUAAAGAUAUAUUUAAAAAUAAAAGUCAUAUUGUAAAACUAUACUAUUAUAAAAACUAUAAAGAAAUAAAUUAUAUAUAUUAAUUUUAAUUAAAAAAAAAUUACAUAUAUUGAUUUAAGUGGGAAGGGGGGGGGGGAAUUGACAAUAUCCCUUUAUUUUUUUUUGAAUUAGUAAAAUAUUUGAUUGAAAACAAGAGUUUUAGAAUUUGAAUCCCACUAAUAUAGAUGGAAAAAAAUUAAAUUGCUAUUAACCUAAAUAAUAAUAAAAAAAGACAAUCAUUUCAACAAUUAAGUUUCGAUUAUUGUGAUAAUUUAUUUUGUCACUACACCAUAACAGGUAGUUAUUUGUUGCAAAAGAAUAAAAUUAUAAUUUUAUAAAAUAAAUAAACAUUAAUUACUAAUAUCAUGAUGUUGCUAGAAAUACGAUGUCACAUAAAUUAGAAUUAAAUAAAAGAUUGGCAAAAUUAUCACUGAAACAACCUAGUAGCCCUGCCGUCACUUUAUAUUUUGUCACACUUUAAUUUAUUAACAACGUAUCUACGUGAUUUUAAUCAAAAUGGUGAAAAAGGAAAAUUCAUACUAAUCGAUUUAUUAACAAAAGUAUUUACGUGAGUUUACAAGAUUACCCCUGAACAGUUCAUAUGUGCUAAAAGACAUUUUUUACCUUGAAAUCCCACCCAAAAAAUCUCACCAGCAUCGCAUAUAAAAGCCGACUCGGAGGAGUGGCGGGAAAAUUGGUGCCCUUUGAAGAAUCUCAAUCCCCAGGAAAAAUGCCCGAAAUCGAAACCCUAGGUGUUCUCGACGAGAUUCAGGCUCUCGUCUCUGAUCAUCUUCAAGUGGUAACUUCAAUUCUUCUUCUCUCUCUUCAUUUGGUUAUUUAUUUCAAAUUUAAUGUAAAUUUUCUCUGAUAUGUUGCGUCUUACUGUGAUUCAACUCUUUAUGAUGCUAAUUUUGCUCGGGCUUUGUUAAAUGUAUUUCUGUUUAUUCAAUUUUUGCUGGAUUGGUGAAAUAAUUUAUGGGUAUUUGGUAAAAAUAGAGCCUUUAUACUUAAUUGUCUAAAAAUUCUAGUGAAAAAAUAUUACAUUUUUAGACAUUAUGCGUCUAAUAAAAAGAUGAAUGAUUGAAAAAUAAUUAAAUUUUUCUGCAAGUGCUUUUAGUGUUGAUUUGACAUUGAGUUUGAGAUGGGGUUUUGCUUUACUUGAUUAGUAAUCAUUCUCAAAUUUCCUAAAACUGUAUUUAUUGUGGAAAAUUCUUCAUUGAAUGCAUUAAGGAUUUGUGUUUGUUCAAAAUCCAUCCCUCUGUCAAUAAUUAAAUAUGUCGGUUGUUUUUGCUUUUCAUCCCUUAUCCCUGUUUUAGUUGUAUUUUUGUGCUAAAUUUAUGAAAUGUCACUUGUUCAUUGAUCUGAGAUUAUACUCGUCAACACUUAGAUUUUGUACUUGCUCACAUAUCCCAUACACAGCAUCUUCAAGCAAGUUGUAUACAUUUGGCUUCUUGGCUAACAUUUAUAUGUAGAAAUGCAAAUUUCUUUUUUGGAUUAGUAGUCUUAUUAUUUCAUGAUAUAGACCUUGUAGGCUAUGCAUGCUACCCUUUUCUAAAGCUGGAAGUGCAUGAGCAAAUUCUUGACAUAAAUGAUAAUACUUUUCAGGUUUCAUAUAAGUGGCUGAGUCGCAAUUUUUUGGUGUCUUCAAAUACCGCAAAGAGGUUAGAAUUUCUCCUUCCAGCAUAUAAGUGGUUUUUCUUAUCUAUUGGACAUACUUUUACCUUAUAUUUUGUUUUUCUGAUUCAAUAAAGGCUGCUUCAAGAGUUUGUUGAGAAACAUGGAAAUGGGUUGGAAGUAGUAUACACUUUAUCCGGCUGGUUGAAGAGUAGUCCUCCAAGUUAUAAUAUAAGGCUUGUUUCUGAGCCUAAACUUGCAGGUUAGAUUUUUCAUUGAAUAUGUUAUGGUUCCACUUGUGCUAAUAAGUGAGAAUUGGACUACAUGGUUAAACGUUGCUACAGCUUGGGAAAAGCAAGACUGAGAAAUUUCUGUAAUCAUUUUGAUACUUCGAGUAAAGCAUUAUUGAUAUCAAUUGCCACAUCUUUUAAUUCAGAGAGGUUGCCUUAUCAUUAACUCUAGCCCUUUAUUUGUGCCAUAAUAUUUGAAAUAUGUGGCUCUGCUGUAUGAGUUAACAAGAAUUAAUGAGGGACUCCAUUAUUUGUCUUCCAUGCAGAAGCCAAGCAAGAAUUUGAUGGCAAUUGCUCAAUUCAGGUCUAUAGUGUGCAAGCUUGUAUCCCAAAGGAUCCGGCAGCACUUUGGAAUGCUGAAUUUGUACAAGCCGAAGAGCUCUUCAAGCAGCCUUCAGCAGUUGAUAACUGCUUGAGAGAUAAUAGGUAUGAUGAUACCUCUGUAUUAACUAUAAUUGUUUCCACUUUUAGAUUAGACACUUCAGAUUUUGGUAUUUGGGACUGCAUUUAGUUUUCUCAAUAGAGCUUUAUUCAUUUGUCUUUUGAAAUUGUAAUAUCCAAGAAGUUCUCGGUUUCUUUGUAAAAUUUGGUUAUUGCAGGUUUAGGAUUUUCACUGCCUUAUUUUGAAGCACUUCUUCCUGUGCUUCUAUUGAAGCUUCAUUUUUGACAGUUUCUUAAAUCAAAAUUCCUUAGAAAAUAGAGCUUAAUAGAUAUUGAAGAUAUUGAUUGGUUAUGGAUUGUUGUCAUCUGAGAAGCUUCAAUUGUUUCUCUGUAAACAUUAUUGCAGUAAACCUUAUAUUCAAAUCUCAGGGCAUUGGAGUAAGAUAUGAAAAUAGUUACACUUCUUUAAUUUCCAGUGUAUGGUUGCGCACAAAAAGAAGGGGGUGAUGAGAAAAAUAACAAACCUUUAUGCAUCUUCUGAUAAGCGAUUAGACGAUCAUUUCAUCCAUAUACAUUUCUGCAGGAACAUUCUGUACUAUUGAUAGUUAGACUUACAUAGUAAAUGACUAUGACUCUGCAUAUGUUGCCUCCUCUUACUUGACUGCAUAAUAUUAUUUAAUCAGGUUCUGUGGGAUUUCAAAUUCCUUUGUCAAGCGCGGUGCCGAGGGAACUCCUGUAAGCAAUGCUUCUUUGCAGCUUAAAAUUGCAGCGAUCCCAGACCUGACAAAAACUAACACUGCACAUCAUAACAAUACAGUUCCACCAUGUUUGCAAAAUAAAGUUCAGCAAUCAAGCCCAAAGGUGGGUCUGAUGUCAUCCAAUGCGGCAAAAGAGGUCAAAGGUCAAAGUAAUGGCACAGGAGCUCAUGAUCAAGUUACCAAGCCUUCUGUUCAAGAAGAAAAACUACAGCCUUUGCCUGCAAAUAUACAGAAUAAAAGCUCUUCUGGUAAUGGAGGUUCAUUAGCAAAUUUAUGGGGUCGUGCAUCUUCAAAGUCGAAGCCCAAUAGCGCACCAGCAGAUGGUAAUGUUGACUUCCAAGUCCUACUGGUUGGCUCCUAUCUGAUUAAUCCAAUACUCUUAACUGUAAUGGAGUAAUUAGCUGUUUACUAUUUUAAAUAAAUAUAUAUUCUACCAAGUCCACAAUCUAGGAUACGUUUAGCUAACUCUUUCGUUUUCCCUUCCGCAACUUUUUACAUGAUAUUAGCUAGUGCGGGAGUGGUGCAGGAUGUGAGCAAUGAAGAUGAUGCUGAAGAUGUAAAUUUUAGAAGAGCCUCCAAUGGGGAAGGCAAAAGGAAAAGAAAGGUAGUUUUUGAUCUCUCAGAUGAAGAUGAGUAUGAAGAUGCAGUCAAUUUGGCAUCACCCGAUCUACCAAAGGGACAGUCAAGUCUAGCUCCAGAGCAAAGUAAAAAAGUUUUAGUUACUGAAAAACCCAAUUUGAUUUUUGAUGAGCUAAUAGAAGAUAAACCAAAAGUAAAGGAAGAGAAAGCAACUGAUCUGGAACCCAACCAAUCAGAAGACUCUUCAGUUGUCAGCACAAGAACAAUCACUGAAACUUCCAUUACAGAGAAGAUACAGAAGUGUGUUCCUGAGAAGGAUGUACAUAAGGAUAAAGUGGCUGAUUCUUCAGCCCAAUCACCCAAAAGAAGAAAAGUUGUGAAGACACGGAUCGAUGAACGUGGGAGAGAAGGUAUACCCAUGUUUUAUUUGUGCUCUCCUAAAAGGCAUGAGUUACAUUUGGUGGUGUUUUUAUGUUGUUUCUGAUGGGAAAAGUUUUAUCCUAGGAGAAAUUCAGGUUAAUCUUUAUUUUAUUUUAUUUUAUUUCUGUCCAGUAACUGAAGUUUUAUGGGAGGGUGAGGAAAGUGAAAUGAAGAAACCUGACAGUGGAACGAUGCAGAAAGCGGACAAUACGAUGAAGAAAGCUGAGAGCAAUACUGUCGCCGACAAUGUUAAAAGGUUAGAGCUGUCUUUACGUUUAUUAUUUGCACUUAGAUAUCAUUGUUUAGCAAUAUUAUUUUACUCCAAGAAGUUCAACAUGCCCACUGACCACGUCAAAUCAUAGGGAAACUUUGGUAUCCCGCAGGUGUCUGCUGGUUGUCAACCUCAUUUUCUAUUUGGUGAAAAAUCUGUUUCCUUCCUUUAAUGGAAUAGAUCUUAAAUAUGAUUCCAGAGUGAUCCAUUAUUUAUUCUGGCCAACAAAAAAAUAAAUUAGAAACCAAAUGAAACUAAUAAACAUGUCAUAAAGUAGAAGUAUUUAGAAGUGAUGAUUGGAAGCCUAAGAAUAACUAGAAUACUGUGCUGUGCAAACAUCACAAUCAGCUGGAAAACCAUGCAAAUAAAUAUAUGAAAACAUCAGAUGACACCUAUGAUAUUUGGUUUAAUUAUACGUAAAUAAAUUAGUUUGAAAUUAUCACAUAGUGUUUGUGAAUAAUAGUUUGAAAAUUAUCAUAUGGCUCUGCCAUCAACCGAGGUCUGUUAGAUUUAUGGGACCCUUGUUACUGGUCGCUGGUUGCUGUUUGCUGUUUGCUGUUUGGUAGGUUCUCAAUUGCCAAAUACAGUUUGUGAUUUGCAUUUUGUUUAGGUGUUUGCUAAGGAAAGCUUAUUGACUCUUUUAUGAAUAAUCCUUGAGAUUUCUUUUGCUAUUUUUCAUAGUCAAGUUACCUUUCCUCCAAUUGAUAUUGUGGUUUCCUUUAUAUCAUCAAAAUUAGCUUGGUAAUAUCCUUUCUUGGUUACAUUUAACAGACCUGAGUUAGUGAUAGAGGUAGUAUGUAAUAUGACUUUUCUGGCAUUGGGGUAAAACUAAGCCCAAAGUCAGGUUGUUGGAUGAUAUUUUUCCUACAAGUAUAUUACUUCUUUGCUAUUUUAAGUUUGAUUAUUUCAAAACGCUUUUGAGUGAAAAUAAAUAUUGUGCACAAAAUUUUUCAUAUCAGAGAUCAAGCUUGCUUAUCAGUUCCUUUUGAUUGUGAAAUGUUUGUCUCUGCUAAUACUAGUUACAGUAGGCACUUGGUUUAUAAGCCAUGCCUGUCUUGGAGACUGAUUUAUAUAUGUGGCUAGCAUUAGAUUCCAGAUUUCAAAUAUGAGUAUUCUUAUGGUGGUUAUUUGUCAGUUUGUGCCUAGAUACUCUUCUAAAUGUUGGAUUUAUGUAAUUAUGUCAGGCCGGCGGCAGCUAAGAAGUCUCCAGCAUUAGGAAGCAAUGCACCGUCUAAUGCUGGGAAUAAAGCAGGAAACAAGAAAGCUGGAAAUCAGAAGGAUCCUAAACAAGGCAACAUUCUAUCUUUCUUUAAGAGGGUAUGAAGUGAAUGAAAUGGUGUUCGUGCUAUUUGACGUUUUCAUUUUGGGUUCUGUAGAAUGGUUUAACAACCUAGUUCACAAUGGGAUUUGUGGUCCGAGCGUUAAAACUCAAUGUUUGGUUCUAUCACUACUUAUGGUUUGUACAUUGAUAGGAUCAGAAUUCAUGAAAUGAAGAUGAAGGGUUCUGCAUUUUGAGUGUCUUUAUGCAGAUUUAGGUUGUGAACCUUUCUCAAACGGUUAUAUUUCUAAAGGAAAAUACAGUAAUUUGCAGCCCUUGUUAAAACAAGCCAUCAAGGAUAUGCAUAAUCAUUGUUCGAAUUAUGUAACACAUCUUUUCUUUGCUAAUUUCCAACUUGGAUUAGCAUUAGGAAUAUGGAAAUUUUACUGAAAUUCACGUACAAAAUAACUUCUUAAAGUUAUAUAAUUCUGAUAACCUGGUUUUAUCUUGAAAAAUCAUAAAUGGUGGAUUAGAAAAGCUUCAAUCUGCAACAGUCUCAUACAAUCCAAGAGACCUUACACGACGGGAUACAGAAUCAUCCUCAAUUACAUCAUCAGAAAAUCUCUUCUGAUUCUUAAACAUUGAACUAUACAUAUUCAAAUUGCCUGAAGAACUUGCCUUUCUCAGGCAAGUGCAUAUUGGAGAGAGAAUUUCAAGUCUUAAUAAUAUCUACCAAGUCAAUAUGCAACCUUUCAGGAGAACAAGUUGACACCGAAACCCUAUUUUUUUUCCCCACAAUAUCCAGAUGGGUCACAGGUGAUCUUGUUCGGUAUCCAAAUGAAACUUACACAACACAGUUAAAAGAAAAAGUCCACAAAUAAAGAGGAUCAGAGCAUGGCUUUACGAAAAAUAGUAUGGAGGAGAUUUAGAGAAAUAUACAUGAUUUACAAUCAAUCUUUGCAGAAACAAGGUACUCAGUAUCUCUCUAUUCUUUAACCUAACCUUCUCGGAUCAAGUUGGUCGGUUCGCUCAAAACAUACUUGGGUAGUUCAUAUUUUGCACCUGCAAGAUGGAUUUGUAAAGCACAGCAGUAGAAAUAAGAAAGAAAACAUAAGUUUCAACAAGAACUUCAGUAACAUAUUUAUACAUGAUAUGUUGAUACUUCAAAAAAUUAAUAAACAGCAAAGUACCUCUUUCAUCAUAGCAAAUAGUCAAAUCAGCGCUUUGAACAAUGACACCCGCACUGUCCACAAUAGCUUGCGCAAGGCUCAGAUCAGCUUCAGCAGCAGCACGUAGUGCAUCCCAGAUCUCUGAUUUUUCAAAAAAAGGACAGUGACAAUUAGAAGUAUAACUAUAAAACUCAAGAAGUAUAUUCUACCGGUAGUACAGAUUAUUGAUGACAAUAAAAUAAUAAUUUAAGAGACUGUUCUGAGAAACUACUAAUUUUUCCCCACUCAUGUUUGCUUUCCAGUGUUAAAAAAAUAAAAAUAAAAAUAAAUGUUUCCUUUUCGGCAAAAUUACAUGCAAUCUAAACAGAUUAACAAUUUUGCUUCUUGUGAGGAUACAUUUUGUGAUCUUCUACCAGUAUUGAUAUCAAUGACUUCUUCCCAAAUAACUAACUAAUGGAAACCUCAACCUCUGCGAAGCAUACUACUAAUUCAACAAUUCACAGUCCGUAUUGUAGUUCAAACGUUUGAUUCAAAUCACAGUAGCUGGCAAUUUAAUUGGUGAUAAGAACUAGUUUUCUACAAGACUUGAUUUCCAAUUUAUAAAAUGCAGCUCUACAGUUGCUUCCCAGAAGCUUGAGAUGAUUGGGGAUAUACACUUGAGCAUAUAUAGGCCAACACUCAAUUCAGUAAUAGUUAUACAGUGGCUCUUACAAAAUUGUCUAAACAAGGUGAUGCUUCUAGUGGCAUAAUACUUAUAGUAGUUUAUUAUGCCCCAUCAUUGUUUUUCAUAAUCCACAUUCUACUUGAUCUUCUCCGUAGCCUUAGCCAACUUAGAUCAAGUCGGCCAUCGUCUUAAUUUUUAACUCUAGCUCCCUUUUUUUAUGGGUAGGAAAUUAACCUUGAAUUUUUUUAAAAAAAUCAGUAUGGAACCACAAAAACAAAGAUCUACCUGGGCAGGACCUCAAAAUCUAUACAAAAGAAAACUAUCCACUCAAUAUCUCCCAUUGCUGUCCACUCUACUUAGCAUUCCUUCAAAAAUGCAUCAUCACUUGACUUUGAACAGUAUUUCAUAUCUGCUACAAAAUUAACUGAAGGUUGUCAGGACUGCUAAAGCUUUGAUACCACAAUCUUGUCAUAGCCACUGGAUUCUUAUCCUUCAUGUUCACAGAUAUAUUAUCAUCCAAACAUACCAUAAGAUUCAUAUAUCCUACACUUUUAAGCACAACAUAUGUUUUCUUUUUUAAAUUUUUUUAUUGUUAUUAUUUUUAGGAUAAUCCAGACUCCUGCACAACCUGGACCAGAAGUCUGCCUCGGCCAGGCCCCCUAGAGGUUCAGUUGGGCACCCUAGCCCCAUGACUCAUGAGACAACAAAGGGUGGAAUUUUUAAGCCACCAAAAGGAUCAAACCUGAGACCUCGAUACAGCCAAGCACCAGAACCAAGCCCUAAACCAACUGGGCUGCCCCCUCGGGGGCUUUAAGCACAACAUACGUAUUGAACUCUACUAUGCAUAGUCUGUCCAGGAAAAAAAAUGCUCAGUUUAGGGUCACCCUAAAAAUAAACUCUCACCAUUCCUAGCUUCCAGUGUCAUUUCAACAUUGAAAACCUUUAAACUGUAAGCAAUUUAUGCAUAUGAUACAACAAUAACUUGAAUUUAGGAGAGCAAAGCCCUUAAAACAGCAUUAUGUCAUAGCAUACCUGACUUUAGUAAUUUUUUGGUUAUAUUUCCAGAUUUUUUCCCCCUAGAAACCCUCUAAGGAAAUUUUCAAGAAAUUAGAUAGGCGUAAAAUUAACACCGCAAGCAUGAUCAUCCUUUAUAGAACAUGAAAUAAAUAUACACAUCCAACGAAACUUCCACCACUCCCUUAUUUUGGUCCAGCUACAAAAUCAAACCAAAAAGAAAGUUUCAUUACAAGGAAAAGACCUAUUUGUUUAUGUUAAUGGCUGAAAAAGGAAGCAGCAAUGGGCUGCAAAGAAAAACUGGUAACCUGAAGGUUGUAGCCAGGUUCUUUCACUCUUCUAAGAACCUGCCUAUUCAUUGUAUAUAUUGCUUCUUAAACAAUGAAGGCUAUUUAUCUUGCAGGUAAGAAUCAUUUCCAUACUUAUUCAUCACCUGUAGGAGAGAUGAGAUUAACACAGUAGUUUUGCUAUAACGUGCAGCAAGAGGACUGCUAUUUGCUAUAGACACUCCAAGACGAUCAACAAUAGAUUUACAAAGCCAAGAUCUGGACGUUGAAAAUGAACGUACAAAUAUAAAUGCUCAACUCAAGGUAAAUCUAUUCAAAGAUCUAACAAGUAAUCAUCCAAGGAAAAAUGAAUAAGUAAUCACACAACAAAGCAGCAGAUAAACAAAUUCUGAAAGUUAUAAUGAAGUCAUACUAUUAUAAAAAUGGAUUGUGGUGGUAACACACACUUGAACUAUUCCAAAUUAGCGAACUUCUUUCUUUAUCUUCUUCUUCCUUUUUUUUAAUAUCUGAUAAAUUAGCAAUCAAUUCCAUUUUCUCAAGUAAUUAAAGAAUCAGUACUUAGGUUUUCAUACAUUCUGAGGGACUACCUUUCCGGCCACCAUAAUGAGGAGCAGUGUCCCAAAACUCAUCACGUAGCUGCAUCAAUUGAGACUUUGUUAUUGGCUGAGGAUGCUUCCAGGGUUUUGGCUUUCGAAUCUUUUUCACAGUCCCUGAUACAACCAAUGUUUUCGGUCGGCAUACUUUAAUAAAACCAUGAUAUUAUAUCUAAAACAUUCAAACUAUAGUUAUAAUCCAAGAUAUUGAAAUCUUGGCCGGGAAGAUUUCCAUUAAAAACUCAUUGGAAUCUUGAAAGUCACCGAAAUUGACUCAAUUUGUAUAAAUUUGAUAUAUUCAUUCUAUUGAGAAUAAGAUAAUAAAAGUACAUCACAAGCAGCACCGUUACAAGCUUCUUGCAAUAUAUACAAUAAUAACAGAAGCAUCAACUCAGCACAAUUGACAGACAUUCAUUCAUGCUUGCUAAAGAAGCUAAUAAAUUAUACGAAGGCCACCAUUUUACUAGUUACUGUGCGCGCACACACACACUGCAACUGCAAAUCAUACACGGUCUCAACCUAAAUCAUGCAAUUUACAAACCUAACUUAUACAAAAGAAAUCACUUUCUAUAAAUUCAAGCCAUAGAAGGUAAGAAUUUUACUCGACAGGUCUCUUUAACAAUACACAACAAGCCAUAUAAUGCAUGUGUUUUAAGCGGCAUCCUGAGGGAAACAAAUCCAAAUUUUACACCUUAUUAACCAAGCCUUGGAAUCAAUCUCUUGCUAUACACUACACUCGCUAAGCGUGUCUCUUUUUUUCUGGUUUCACUUUAUCAUGUAUAUAUCAAAUUAAUUCGAAAAUUUGACACAAAUUACACAUAACUCGAAAAUGUAUUUAAUCUACACCGAAUCAAGCAGUUCAUAAGUUCAGCGGAAAGAUGACAGAAAGAGAGGGAUUCAACUGAGAAUUAAUCAGAAAAAAAAAAUUAACAAAAACAAGAUUUGAAGAUAGCUAAAUCCUACAAAAAUAACAAUAAUAAAAAGACGAAAAUUAAUCAAUGAUAAUUAAUAAAUUUUAACUGAAUGAAGAAGACGAAAAGAAAUAAUAAAGUGACUUCACCGUCAGCUUUGCUCUGCGACGAUCCAGCACACCCCAUGCUUUUUUUUUUCCCGCUCUUCUUCUUCUUCCGUCACAAUAGAAAACGGUUCAUUGAAUGCAAAGACAACUGAAUUUAAAUUUCUUUUUUUUUCUUAAAAAAAUUAUUUCAGUUUUGUACGUGGAGUGCGUGAGUGAGAUAUUUUUUUUCCGGCCGCAAGAGUCCCUGCGGUUCCUCUCCCGUGAGUUGAAAAAAAAGGUCAAAAACCCAAGAAAGGUGCACGACGAUUAUGAUUGGAUAAUUAUAUUAAUUUUUUAUUUUUAACGAAUAAUAAUUAUGACAUAAUUGGCUUGGCGGUUUUGCCCUGCUCAAUAAUAUUUACUUUCAGCAGUAAAGAGAUUUUUUUUUUUUUAAUAGAUUUUUCCAGUAAAGUGAGUUGCUUCGCUGUGAUAUGUGAAUGAGAUGUUUCCUCUUUCCUCUUUCGGGUUAAAUUGUUUUUUGAUUGACAGCAACGAGAUCUAGAAUCGAUUGUAGUAGUCAUAACUGACAAAAUUUCGCCGCAUCAAUAAUUCUAAAAACGAUUGGGACCUAAAAGUUUUUUUUUUUUUUUUUUUUUUUUACUUGUGAAUGAGAAUCAAAAUCCACUGCUUAACUUUUUAAAUGGAACUUUUGUAAGUGGAAUAUUAAUUAAAAAAAAACUUUUAGUUAUUUGUCACUUGUUAAUAGGAGUUUUUUUUAAAUUAUAAAAUUAUUUUAAUGAAUACGUUUUUAAAGUUAUGUUACGAAAGUAAUUAAAUAAGAUUGUAAAAUAAAUAAUAGGUAUUUUAAGUAUUUAAUUUUUAGAAAAAAAAAUCAACAUUUACUCUUAAGAGUUCAAAAUUUGACGUUUAUUAGUAGAGGUAAAAUAUCUUAUUUAAUUCUCAAAAGUUUCACUCAAAAUACAACUAAACAAUGACAAAAACUUUGAAACAAGCUUUUGAAAUUAAAUAACCAAUUAUAACUAUUAAAUAAGUUAUAUCCAACAUGUAGUACUUCUUUUUUAAUUUUCUAUUUUUAAAAAAAAUUAAAAUGAGAAAAAAAGUUUCUUAGGAAAUUUGUUUAAAUUCUUUUAUAAUAAAUUUCCAAAUAGUGUCUUUUAGUAAACAUCAUCUUUUACAUACAUACAUACAUACAUACAAACAUUGCUUGCACUAUUGAGCAUAAUACUAUUCCAUAACACCAUAAAUAUGGUGUUUAAUCAUGAAGUAGUGUCUGCACCGUGCUGACAAUAACGCUCACCAUAUAAUAUUUUUCCUUGUCAUGCUGAUGGGGUUGUGUUAAUCUUAAUCAAUAAUCACUUAGUCCAAAUCAAAGAAGUUGCACUGCAAGUUAGAUGGAUGGAACGAAAAGUGCUUUUGGUGUUGUUGAUAAAUGAAUAAAGGAUACAAAGAGGCUCCAACUUUAUAUAAGUCACUCACGGAUUUUAUAUAAAUGUAAAGUAAAGUUCAUUUUUAAUACUGUCAUGCUCAUGAAUUUUGUUGGUCACAUUUCCAUCUCAUGAAUUGUGCUCACAGAAAUGCAAAAAUCAUUUUCACUCCCAUUUGAGUCAAAAACACCUCUUGAUGUCAUGUGAUGUGAGGGAUGCAAUCAAAGUAAAAAGUCACAACCAAAGUUGAAGUUAGCUUAAACUUUUAUUAAUUUGAAAAAUUCAGCUUCUACAACCCUCCGUAAUAAUUCCCAAACCCCCCCCCCCCCCCCCCCAGUGUGGAAUCCACCAUCUAAAAGCACUUUUUAAAUGUGCUUUCAAUGGAGAAUUUGGCACCCCCACCACUGCACUUGAAUAUGUUGCUAAAUACAAUCUUUUUAAGGCAUUUACUGUUAAAAUAUUGUCAUAUGGUUCCAUGCCCCAAAAUGAAUGGCCAUGCACUGUGAAAGUAAAAUGAUUCUUCAAAUUGUCCAGAUCACAUGGGAACUAGAUUCUGAAAGGCUAAUUUAAUUACUUAACUACAUAAAGAAAACAAAAACAAGUCUACACAACUGAGUCUCCUUUAACAACUAUGCUUCUGACAUCAGUUGGGUAGUAGUUAGCUACAUUUCAGACACUCGAGGAUUUCAUGCAGCUCCUUCCAUAUGUUGCAGUACCCGGACCACAAAAUAUCCUGAGAUGAACUCAUCUGUGUAGAUAUCUAUCGAACACACAAAAUCUUGCUUAUAGUUUUUAUUCAACUACACCAGGUAGACAUUCAUGUUGAAAGAAAGACAAAACAAAAAAAUGAAGGUGGUAAACUAACCGGUAGAUGCAAGUGAUCGCCAAGAGUUUAAGCUUAUAUUCAAAAACGGUAGGAAUCAUCGCCAUACUUGCUCCUCAUAUUGUAAUGGUCAAACUUCAGGUUGUCAUAAUCUACUGGCUUCAUCUCGACAGGUUUUGGCUCCAUCCCACUCACUCCAUAAACUACCUCUCCACUUUUAUCACGCUGACGAUGUCUUGUUCUUUCUUUCUGGCUCUUAGACUUGCUGUAAGGAGGAGGAACCUCACCUGACCCAUAGAAUUCAGCAUACUCUUGUCUUUUUGAAGACCGGUGCUUUGUUGAUAAAGAAGAAUCCUUAAAACUGGCAGAUUUGAUCUUCGGAGGCUUCAUGUCUGGAUAUUUAUCACCAGUACCAGGAGUGCGGACUUGAUGGGUUUCAGAUAGAGGAACAGCUGACUUCUGCCUUUGCACUACUGGGGGCGCAGCUUCAUCUUCAGGCAUCCUGAGAGUAUCCCUCAGUGGUGUAAGGUUUCCCUUGGUGCCACUGGAUCUAAAACGAAAGGGGACAAAAUUAAGGAACAUGCUACCCAUUGCCUCAAGGGCGAGCUUGGACAGAUCAAUAAUCAGUUGUCCAAAAGAUGGCCAUCCUGGUUCCUCUUUCAUGCUCUCAACUAUUGGAAUGGGUUUCUCUUUAUUUGACAGUUCUUUGAUUUCAGUUUCUUCAUUGAAUUCGCUCUCUGAAGGUUGUUGCUGCACCACAACAAGCAGUAGAUUAAGCAAACAGUGAAAAACAAUGUUAAGAACCAGCUUGUUAAAAUUUAUUCGGGCAGAUAAAAUAAAAGUACUUACUCCUUCAAAGACCUUCAAGACUACUAGAAAAAAAAAAAAUUGAAUGGCAAUAAAGCAUACCGAAGGCUAUUAAUUUACUUUUCCACAGAUAGAAAAUGAACUGGUAAAAAUAUAUAUAUAAGUUGUAUAUUUGCAAAUUAUUCUUUGUAAGUUCUACUCAAAUUAUUAAGGCUUUCUCAAAGAACAUCCAGUAAAGUCAAAUAAUGUUGUUAACAAUAAUGCCACCUGCUGAUGUGAGAACAGAUAAAAUGAAUAGUACUUUGGAGUAAAUAUCCUUGAACUAGUUCAAAGCAUCUAAAUUUUCUAUUUUGUGUAUUUCUACACAAACAAAGAAAUAGAAGUGAAAUGAUUGAGCAAGAUGUAUACCGUUCUCGAGAAGAAAAAAGGUCCAAACCCCUGCUGAAGCAUGCAGGUCACAUAUCCAACCAAGACAGCCCCAACAACCAUAAGAAUAUCUACAAAAAGAACCAUAAAUGUGUCAGUCACUGAAGGGCAUUACUAUAUGAGAUGGAACCAAAAACUUAAUUGAUGGCAAAAUAGAGAAAAUACACAAUGACACAAACACCUAUUACAACACAUAUUACACAAGGAAAGACCAACAACCUAAAACAGAAAUUUAAAUAUGAAAAGAGAGUUUGAAUGCAGAUCAGGAUGGUUGAUCAUGAAAGCACAUCAGAAUGUUGAUAACAAUAGAAGAAGAGCUACAUACAGAAAGUUCAGACCCCACACACCUGGGUGGAGAGGGAAUUGGAUUGCAGUUAGGCUAAACAAAAAUAAAAAAGAACAGCUAUAUAUGGAUGGAAUUUUGAAAUUUGAAUAUCUAAAAUGGAAAUGGAACGGAUAUCCUAAAUAAAAGUGGAAAAGGACAAUUUUGGACAAGGUCUAACCUCCAAACCAUUUACCCCUAGAUGCUAGGGUAGAUUAAAAGUAUGAAACCAGUAACCAAUAUUUUGCCUGUCAAAUUAGAAACACAACAUUCCGAUCCACUAAGUGGGAUAAUUUCAACUUAAUAUUUCUUUCAUUUUCGUUUUCCUUGCUUCUGUAACACAAAAUUGCUUCUGUAACACAAAAUUAAUAUUGCAACAAGCACUAAAUUUAAUUCUUUUCUUGUUCAAUCCGUAAAGGAUCUCUACUUUGCCAGCUGAGGUUCAAUUAUGCAUGAGAGGUUCAUUUCAUUCAUAAAAAGAGUUAAAGGUCAUCAUGGUUAACACAGGCUCAUUCAAGAAAUUCCUCCAAUUCCUCUCUGGUGCCACUUAGGAUUCAUGCUUAACCCAACUUGAUCACACAAAGAUAAACAGGGUAAACUAACCUACGGAAAUCACAGAGUUCAGGAAUAUUGGUACAUUGGCUACUCACUCUAUGCAAUGAUACAUGAAACAUAAUGGAUCCGGGGUGCAAAGCACACUCUGAAGACAGAAUUCUUGAUAGAAGUCAUCAAUAUCCAUUGUGAAAUGUAUGUCCUAGUCUCAAAGCUAGCAUACUAAUAGUUCCCAGGAACACCACGUGGCUAUAAGCCAUCACAAGCAAACCAGGACUAAGAAGACAGCAAAGUCAAAAAUAUAUCAGGUUAAAUGAAAUGUAUUCUUUAUUGCCUCUAACAUCCCCUUGCAUAAUGGACUGACAAAUAAUUUUCCUAGAUCGUUUUGAGUUCUUAUUUUAAUUCAGUUUUCCUCAAGAGAAAUACAAGUUCACCACCAAUGAUAUUUAAAUGACAAGUAGGAACUCCCACGCAAAGCCCUGAAGGAAAAAUUCACAGCUUAAGUGUACAACUGGAAGUAGAUACAUUCAAAAAUAAACAAACAGGAAAAUAAAAUGGCUUUGAACCUGUGGGAGAAAUGGAAUUGUACUGAUAUUCACAGUCAUCUUGAUUGAGAGAGAUUUGCCGAAGAGCUGCAUUUCCUCUAUCAAUAACUAAUAAGGAGCAGGUGGGUCGAACAUACACCACAUCGAAAUCAUUUGAGAACUUAGCAUCCUCACUAGGUCCAUCUCUGAAACCUGCAACAUUUGAUUUCCCUCCAGCAAUGGUUGUCACACCUACAAACAAUUUCGAUACUUAAAACCUUCUAUCUCAUAAUAUCCAUCAUUGCCUUUCACAGCCAUACAAUAAAAUUGUUCAUCCCUAGAAAAGCUCCAAAAUUUUAUGACGUAUUGCUCAAAUAAAAUUUUAUAUCAACUGUAACUCUACCUAAGUUCUGAUACAAUGUUAUAAAUAAACUACAACAUUCAUUGCUAUUCUAGUUUCACAGAGGCUAAGACAAAUUUCCAACCUAGCUUCUAAUAUGAAUUGAACAUACCUGCAUCUCCAAUCUUUCGGAUAGCAAGAUUCAAAGUAUCAGCAACAUACAGGUUCCCUUUGUCAUCCAUGGUCACCCCUUUUGGAUGAUUAAAACGAGCUUCAUUUGGCUUUCCAUCAACAUGCCCUGUGUAACCCUGAAAUGACCCAGCAACCAAUCUACCCCGACUAUCUACAAAAUUAGAAAUUAUGAACAAGAAGACAAUUAAUAAAUCUUCAAGCUAUAGUGCAAUCCAAAAUAUUCCAAUCAACCCAUACAUUAACAGCUCAUAUUUCAUCCAGGAAAUAAAGACAUUCAGAAUAUAAAACAUAUAAACUGGGCACAGAUACACAAUUAGAGUCUUUAUCUUUCCAGAAAAAAUUCCUCUGAACUUUUGGUAUAAAAGAACAAGUACUAGAGAAAAUAAUAUCCCAAUCAGGUAGUUCUAUUUAAUUUUUGCUUCAGAGCACAAAAAAUCUGAAUUAAACACAGGCAACAAGCUGCACUAGGAUCAAGUUUAUGGAGCAUUUCCUUUUACGGAUCUGGAACAAAGAAUUUAAGGACUUAAAUGCUAGUAUCAGUUAUUAUCCUACAUUUUCCAAGGAAAACAAAUCAGAAAUAAAUCAAAGUUUUUGAUCAGCAAAUUAAGGAACAAGCAUACAUUGGGACAAUGGUGGAGUAAUUUUCACAAUGUUGCUAUUAACUUCAUCAACAGCAAAUAGUUCGCCAUCCUCAGAGACACGGAUCUUGUAAGGAACCACCCCGAUCUCAUUUCCUUCAAUAACCGUCUCAACCAAGUAACCGUUCUCAAAUUGGAGAACGUUCCCAUCUGUAAAACACGAACGGAUAUAGUAUACACAGGAUCACUUGAAAGAAAACCAUUUCAAGUAAACAUAUACCAAAACAUAAAGAAUCAUAAGAACUCACCUGAUUGAGGUGCUUUGGAAGAUGACCUGGUUGUCCACUUAAGAAGAGAAGUCAAGUGCUUUAUCAAAGGCCCUGCAUAUCACAAUAAAGUUACAAUAUGGAAAGAACCCAAUUCCAUAACAAAUGAAUAUUGGCAUAUAAAAUAAAAACUGAAAAAGUGAAAGAACCCAAAAUUGGCUUUACCAAACAAAGCCAAAUAUAAACUAGGAUUUAACUAGAAGCAGGACAAGUGAAUAUUAGUAAAGCAAAAUCAAUCAAGCUUGUAUAUAAGUACCAAUUAACCAAACAGGUUAAAAACCAGAAUCAUAAAAGAAAUAUAAAGAGUAAAGAGAGGGCGGCGAAAUGGGUUACCUGCAGGGGCAGCAUGAGCUUGGAAUUGAAGAGUGAAAGCGAUCAAAAGAGUUAAAGUGAGGAGAAGAUGCGUUCCUUUCAUGGCUCUUUGAGCCAAAAACUUGCAGAAAGAGAGAUCGGUACUUGUUUCUUUAGCUUUAGAAUUUCAAGAACAAUUUCAUAUUUUUUAAGUUAUUUUGUUGCAUGUGUUAGUGAAAACUCUGAAACUGGGCAACAGCUGAAACACACACAGAAAUCAGUGACAGUCGUUUGUGGAGUAAGUGGGUCACUCUGCUUGUACUGGACUGCUGGUUGCUGAAUUUUGUUUUACAACACUUGAAAACAGCUUUUUGUGGUUUUUUAAUUUUUUGUCUUUUUUUCUUUUGCAAAAACAUUAAAUGGAAAAUAAAAGGUCUGCUUUUUUAUUUAUUUUUAUUUACCCAAAAAGAUAAAAAGUGGGUUUUUCAAGGAAAAAGAAAAGAAUGUGGUGGAAAAGAUAAAAAAGUGAAAUUAAGAAAAAUUGAAUACAGUUGGAUUGAAAUCACAUACGUGUUUCAGUUGUCAAGUAUGGUGCAGCUCCGCCAAAUUGUUGCCAUGUCAUUAUAACCAAUUAAGAGUUUUAUUGGGAUUUCCUUUUUUCUUUUCCAAUAGGUCAUCAAAGCAUACACAACUUCCCAUGAAGUAGUGUACACGUAUUUUCAUGAUAGGGGAUGGCAAAUAGGGAUGGAAAAAAUCCCCACGGGACGGGUACCCUCGGGGAUUUUUCUCAUUCGGGGAGGGUAUGAGAAUAAUUUUAUACCCAAUUUCUUAUUCGGGGAGGGGACGAAGAAAUUUUGUUACACAAUUUCUUAUUCGGGGACGGGACGGGGAUGAGGUGGAAUCCCCAUCCCCUACCCAUUUCCCCAUUUUAAUUUUUAAUUUUAUUUUAAUUUUUUAAAAUUACUAGUAAAUAAAUAAUAAAAUUUAAAUUAUAAACUUAUAAAUAUGGGUAAAAUUAAAAAAUAUCAAAAUAUUUAUAUUAUUAAACUUUUAGGCCUAAUUAACUAAUUAAAAUCCUAAAUUUUUAUUUAGGACAUUAAAAAGACCAAGUAGAUUCUAUUAGCCCAAAAAUUUUUUAUUUUUAAUAUUCUUUAAAUAUUUUAAACUUAAAUUUAUUUUUUAUUUAUUUUUAGAUGUUAUAAUUGCCCACAACGAAUCACAAUUUUAAUAUUUAAUCUAAUAUAAUCUAAUAUUUACUCUUGAUUUGCUCCGAUUUAACUAUUGUGUUGUAAAGGGAAUAGUCCACAUUUAUAAAGUGCUCACGCCAUCAUUGAAAAAGUUAAUUUUGAAUCUAAAUUCGAUUUUAUUUGUAACAAUUUUGUAUUAGACUAUUAAUUUGUUCAUGAUAGUUUGUAAAAGAAGUUUGUAUCCCUUGCAUGCUGCGUUACUUACUAAUUUAAUGUAUGUGACUUUUGUAAUGGAUAUUAAUGUAAGAUAUAUUUCGAACUUUACUUUUAUUUGAAUUUUUUAUUUUAAUAUGAUUAACUCAAAAUCGAAAAAAAAAUGUAUUAGUUAUUCGGGGAUCCACUGUUAUUAUUCGGGGAGGGGAUGGGGAUUCGCUCAAGUAAUUCUGACGGGGACGGGGACAUACGCAAAAUAUCGGGGAUGGAUACGUGGAGAUUGGUCCCCUCCCCUCCCCUCCCCUCCCCAUUGCCAUCCCUAAUGGCAAAAACGCCUGACUGGACCCGUGUUUUGGGACAUGCCCGAGCUGAUAUGUUUUCUUAACACCGGUUGGACCUAGGUUAGGUCUACAAGCCCAAUGAAUAAUAAAAAUUAAAAAUAUAUAUUUUAUUUAAAUAGAAAAUUUAUCAUUUGUAUACCCUUAGUCUACUCCAUUAUUAAAAAUACUACAAUACUUUAAGAGUGUACCAAUCGUCCACCCUAAGUUGACAAAAUAUAUCAGCUGACCACCAAACAGUUAGUUGCCGUUUAAGUGUGAUGACGUCAGAAGGGUAAUUUGAUCUUUUCAUAUGAUACAAGUGAUAAUUUAAGGGUAUACAAGUGAUAAAAAUAGAAUUUAAGAGUAUACAAGUGAUAAUUUUUAAGGGUAAAAUCGUCAGUUCACUGUAACUCCAUUAACUUUCAAACAGCAACUAACGGUUUGGUAGUCAGCUGAUACAUUUUGUCAACUAAGGGUGAACGAUUGAUACACCCUCAAAGUGUUGUAGUAUUUUUUAUAACAGAGCAAAUAUAGGGCAUAUGAAUGAUAAUUUUUCAUUUAAAUAAAAUAUUAUUUUAAGUAUAGAUUUUAAAGCUUAAUAUAAUAAAAAUAAAAAAUUAUAAAAAAAAAUUAUCCACCAACUACUUGAUUUUUCACAAUUUAUCAAAAAUACACUAAUUUUUUUUUUCAACAAUCUACCUGAAGUUAUCUUUGUUCCACUCUCUUCAUAAUGUUGUUAGAAUAUUGCUGAUAUGAGAGAGUUAAAAUUGUCAUUUGAACCAAAUAAACAAAAGCAACACUGUAUUCCGCUCACAAAAACGGCCACCAUUUAAAAAUUUAAAAUUUAAAGGUUUAAUAAAAAAUAUUCUCAAAUCAAGCUCAGGUUUUAACAAGCUCGGUCAAAACACGAUAUUUUUACCAUUCUUAUUUUAUGAUUGUUGUGUGAGAGAACUUGAAGAAAAACUUUAACACAUAGAGGAUGGAAUUUGCAAAAUCACCUAAAUAAAAUUGCUAUCAGAUGGGUUGGUUUGGUAAUAAUUAUUAAGGGGAAAAAAAAACUCUUUGAAUUAACAAUAUCUAUUUUUGAAAAAAAAAAUGCAUUAAAUAUCUUUUUAAAGUAUAUUAACAGAAUUACAAAAACAAUUAUUGCGGGCAAAAUUUCCUGCUCGUCAAAGGACCUUAACAAUCAUUCUAAGAAUGGGAUUGGGGGCCCCAAAUAAACCGAAGUUCAUAAUUUAAAUUAUUAUGAUUGAAUAAUUUGAAAGUUAAACUGAUUAUUUCAACCGCAUUUACAUAAUGAUCUAAAUUAUUAUGAUUGAAUAAUUCGGGUUCAUGAUUCUGCUACUUGGGAUUCUAUUGUUAUUAUCAUGAGUUCAGAUUUCUAUAUGAUUAUUGCUUAUCGACUUUCUCCUAAUUCAAUCCUCACAAACACUAAUCACGCAUAAAGCCUAAUUACAUUAGAGAAGAGUGAACUUGUCAUUCUCCAUUAAUUUAAGAAACAAACUACUUUAAGGAUGCGUUUAGGUACUCGUAAGCGUAAUGUAAUGAAGUUGGGCAGCAUUCAGGAUUAUAAUGAGUUUGUUUAUUUACUGCAUGAAUCAUAAUUCAAAUAAAAAAUAUUUUUAUUAAUGUUUUUAUUUAUCCUGUAAUCAGACUAGAUUAUUAACAAAUUAUAAAAGUAUACUUAUAGGAGUUUUGCACAUAAGGUUCCAUUUGAACAAAAAAAAAAAAAACUCGAGUGGGAUAGUCUCAUAUGUAUCAUUAAGUGGAAUUUAAAUGUUUAAACUUUUAAAAUAUCAAUUAAUUUUAUUGAUAAAUUUUUUGGAGGAUUACAUGUAAUAUCAUAUCAAUCCAAGUGGGUUCACUCUCUAAUUGGUAUAAUUAAAAAAAAAAAAAAAAAAAGGUUUGAAGAUGAUUUUAGAGGGGUACCAAAUUACCAAUAGUUCGACUCAUUACUGAAAUAUCCCUUCAAGAUGGCCCAAGCCCAACAAACAGAAUAUAAGUAUCCACAAAUUCGAAAAUAUCAAAACAGUCCACACCCCAUCCACAGUCCACACUCGAAAAUUACCAAAUAAGGUCAAACCUGCCGUCUGACUCUCUCGUUAUCCACGUCACUCUUUCCCUCACACGCGUUCACCACUCAUUGGUUCAACCUCGUGUCCACAAAGCCACACAGGCACCCCGUAUAUAAAACCCUCGCAAAGAAGACAGACUCGUUCACAUUUUCUGUCCCGUUAUUAGCAGAAUUCAGAUUCAUUUAACGUUACGUUUCUCUACGGUUCUCCGAUCCGCGAGUUCGUACGGUUAGUUCUUCAGUUUCGAUCGAUCCACUUUUCUUUGUGUAGAUUAUGAUGUUGACUUUGUUGACGAAUCUAUAUGAACAUCGAUUUUAAUCAUUUUUUUAGCUUUGCAUAACCGCAUUUUGUAUUUAGAUCUGAAAAUUGCAAUUGAGAUUCAUGUUACUUUCUAGGCAACCAAACAGAAUGUUGUUGUUGGAUCUGCGUUUCCGUGCGCAUGCAUGUGUGUAUUGGUACUAUCAUGCCAGCUUAUUUUGCCGACAUUUUUUUUUUUACUGGAGUAAUAAAAAUUUCUUAGAUCAUUGGAUUGCAGCUGAUAAGAUUAUUUGUAAUUCGGUGGAGCUAACAAAACAGAAUGUUACGAGGAUAAUUUUUAAUUUUCAUAAUGCUAUUAUGCAGAUAUGAAUUAAAUGUAUUCAUAAUUUUUGUUUUAGUUUCAGUUUAAGAUUAUACAGCUGAAUAUUAAUAACUUGUUGAGUUCAAGAUUAUAUAGUUGAAUUUCUGCUUUCAAGCUUUUGUGGUUGAGAUCGAGUUUGGUAGCAGUUAUCAUUAACCUCUCUUUAUUAUUCAUUCGGUUUAGUGUGAAUGGUAUUGAUAGACUUGGGAUAUUUAUAUCGUGGUUUGCAGAUUAGGUUGGUCUAGCUGGGACUGAAUAAAGAUGGGAGGUGGAUUCAGAGUGCUCCAUCUUGUCCGGCCUUUUCUUGCAUUCCUUCCUGAGGUUCAGAGCGCUGACAGGAAGGUUCCUUUCAGAGAGAAGGUCAUCUACACUGUAAUCUCUCUCUUCAUAUUCUUGGUGUGCAGUCAGCUCCCGCUGUAUGGCAUACACUCAACAACUGGUGCAGAUCCAUUCUAUUGGAUGCGUGUUAUUCUUGCUUCAAACCGUGGGACUGUGAUGGAGCUUGGUAUCACCCCAAUUGUGACAUCUGGAUUGGUGAUGCAACUACUUGCCGGGUCAAAGAUCAUUGAAGUGGACAAUAAUGUUCGCGAAGAUCGUGCCCUCUUGUAAGUAUUCUUUAUGGGCUAAGUUUAUCUCGGUUAUCUUGGCUUCUGACUUACUAUGGCUUAUUUGUUAGUCAAACUAUUUGCUCCUUUUGCCGAAUGUAUGUUCCUUAAUGAUGACUGUUUUUCCUCCCAGAAAUGGUGCACAGAAGUUGCUGGGCAUCAUCAUAGCUAUUGGUGAAGCAGUUGCCUAUGUUCUCUCAGGAAUGUAUGGUAGCGUUAACCAACUUGGAGUAGGGAAUGCCAUUCUCAUCAUUGUUCAGCUCUGCUUUGCCGGUAUAAUUGUGAUCUGUUUAGAUGAACUCCUUCAGAAAGGUUAUGGCCUGGGAUCCGGUAUCUCCCUUUUCAUUGCAACCAAUAUUUGGUAAGUUAAAAAUUUACUUUAUUGUUUUGAGGACUAAGGAUUCUUGUUUGUCUUGUGGCUAGGAGCACUUUGUUGUUUAAAGCUUAAUAGAUUCGCAAUAUAUGACAUAGAAGAUUCAAUGCUUAAAGAGGUUUUGUUUCUAUUUUUUUUGCAGUGAAAACAUCAUCUGGAAAGCAUUUAGUCCCACCACUAUUAACAGUGGACGGGGAGCUGAAUUUGAAGGUGCUGUAAUUGCUUUAUUCCAUCUGUUGAUAACUCGAAAUGACAAAGUUCGUGCUCUUCGGGAAGCCUUUUACCGGCAGAAUCUUCCAAAUGUGACAAACCUUCUUGCCACAGUCUUGAUCUUCCUAAUUGUCAUUUACUUCCAAGGAUUCCGUGUUGUUUUGCCUGUUAGAUCAAAGAAUGCCCGUGGGCAGCAGGGAUCAUACCCAAUCAAAUUGUUUUAUACCUCUAACAUGCCCAUCAUUUUGCAGUCUGCUCUUGUCUCCAACCUGUAUUUCAUUUCUCAGGUAUUGGAGGUUGAUGGUGAUAUGCUUUGUUUAAUAGGAUUUUGAUUUUAUUCAAUCUUACUAAUAAUGUGUGCCUAUACAGUUGAUGUACAGGAGAUACAGUGGAAACUUUUUCGUGAAUCUCUUAGGUAAGUGGAAGGAAUCUGAGUACUCUGGUGGUCAAUAUGUCCCUGUGGGUGGCAUCGCAUAUUAUAUCACUGCUCCCUCGAGGUAAUUAAGACCUUUCUUAUCUGGCUACCUUACCUAACUAUUGGCGGCAUUUCAAUUGGUGGAAGUAACAUUAUCUUGUUUUGUUUCAUGCUUCGGUCAAUGAGAGACCAAAGAUGUUCCAUUGACAUGACAUGUAUUUUUUCAGCUUAGCUGAUAUGGCAGCCAAUCCUUUUCAUGCACUUUUCUAUCUUGUGUUUAUGCUGUCGGCCUGCGCACUAUUUUCAAAAACUUGGAUUGAAGUUUCUGGAUCAUCUGCUAGAGAUGUCGCGAAGCAGCUGAAGGUAUGUGAUUUAAUGUUUGCGGUUUUUAGUUUUUACAUUGUCAGUAAAAAGUGUGGUAGUUGCAUACUGCAGUUUUGGUGAGUGUGGCAUUGCAUUUCUGCCAUUGUGAACUUGCUGGAAAUAAGAUUAGACAAAAGUUAUAAUCUUGCAUAUUUUUAGUAGUGUAGUUAAAGUUUCAAGAAGUGGAUUGUUGGUCGAUCAAGUUAAGAUGUGGCUAUGCAAACUAGAAUGAUUUGUUGGCAUCAGACUUGAGUUGGUUAUACCAAGUUAACCUUCUGGCACCCAGACUUACCUUGAUCAUACUUAGUAACAUUGUGUUCUUUUCAUGUAAAUUGAAGUGUUAUUGCAUUUCUUUGAAUUAAUAUGGAUGGCAAGACGUUACCCGUUGGAUCUCUGAUGGACCCUUCUCUAUCAGAUCCAAAAUUUAAUUCACUGUAAAGUUACUGGAUUAAUCUUUACUUUGUUCUCAUACAUCUCAUCUGAAUUAAUAGCAUUAUUGUGCUUAUUCUUCUUUGUUCAAUUGUCCAUGGUUCUUUACCUCAGAUCUAGAUGCAGUUACUGAAACAUAUUGUUUCUUCUUAACCUGAAAGUUUCAAUUAGUUCUUUAUUCAAUUUGGCCCUAGUCAUGAUCAGUUAUUAUUAAUAUUGAGCUUUUUCUCCUAGGUUAUCUGCCGAGUAAUAUCAGGCACAUCAUAUGUUACAAUUUUUCUCUCUAUUUACAGGAACAACAAAUGGUUAUGCCUGGACACAGGGAGGCAAACCUACAGAAAGAGCUCAACCGGUACAUACCCACAGCUGCAGCAUUUGGCGGCAUGUGCAUUGGUGCUCUCACGGUGUUGGCAGAUUUCAUGGGGGCAAUUGGUUCAGGGACUGGGAUUCUGCUUGCCGUCACCAUCAUUUAUCAGUACUUCGAGACUUUCGAGAAGGAGAGAGCCAGUGAGCUUGGCUUCUUUGGCUUUUAAGGUUAAUAUCUCCCUCAGUUUUGAGUGGUAGUUUGGCCGUGGCAAUCGAAGCUCUCCUGCAAAAUUUUCGGAGAGCUGAGAGAUGUAUUUAGGCCUUCCCUAACACCAGAGUUCAAGUUAGAAUUUAGGAUUAGUUUGUUGUAAUUCACUUUCAACGACGAAAGUACAAACGGGCAAAACACAAUGAUUUUUUUUCCCCCUAAUUUUUUGUUUUCACUUGUGAGCUUAAAUUAAAUCUCUUCGAUCUUAUGGAUCUAGAAAAGUGUACUUUGAUGGAUUUUACAAGAACAUUGAGGAAAACAGAGUAUAAUUUUCUGAGUUAAUUUUUGGAUAAAUAUUUCCUGCUUAUCGAUUAAAUUAUGGAUAUUUAUGUAACAUCGUUUAUCAAACCACACGAAACUGUACCUAUGCAAUCAAGUGUAAUGCCUUGUAAUUGAAAUGUUCAAUUUGCUUCUUUUGUUAUUUCUGUCCAUUUUGUGAUAAAUCUGAAAUUUGAUGAAGAAGUUUUAUAUGUCCACACUCCAUAGGAUGCCCCAUGAUGGGACAAUGCCACAAUGGUGCGCACUCAACUGGCACAAUUUAAAGAAAAAGCUGACGUUUGCAGCUUCAAAAUCUCACCUCAAGUGUCUAGCGUCUUAUCACAUCAUUCUUUUUCCUUUACGAGGCCCAGUUGACCUCACAAAAUUUGGCCUAUACAAGGGUAUUCACUAUUCACAUUCACUGCGGGCAAUGCCAGUUUUUCUCCUCGCGUCUCUUAUUUUGCUUUUUGAAUUUCUGUGUCCAUGUUUACGGGCAACUGGACAUUGCAAACAUGUUGCACGAGUGCCAGCAGAGUGGGAUGAGGAUGACAUCUGGAUGCAAUUUGCUAGAAAAUUAUUUCAUCUUUUUCUGAAUUAUGUAGAAAAAUCAAUAAAGCAAAAUGCCCUCGUGAAAAUCGGAAAAAAUAGUCAAGUGCUUCUUAAUUAAUUGGAACAAAGACGUGGAACAUGACAAUAUGGAUUCAACUUGCUAUAGUUUUUUUCCAUGAAAUUAGAAGAUACCCUCAAAUCUAAAUUGCAUGAAGAUUGAAUAUUUAAUAAAAUUCGUGGUUUUUGAGGGCUCCCUAAUUUAACUUCGUAAGGUGCACAUGCACAUUCAUCCAAUCCAAUCAUCCAACAAAUUAUGCGCAUUAAUCAUUGGAUAUAUAUAUAUAUAUAUACAAAUUUGGGUUAAUUAUUGUCUCAACUACCUAACUAACUAUAUUUGUUUGGAUUAUUGGGUUGUUCAUUCUUUGAAUGAGCUUUGUGCGAGAGAAAAGAAUUUGCCAAUAAGCUAAUGACAUUUUUUUAUCCACUCUAUAAUAAGAAUGAUGAGAUUGCCAGUUCAACCUCAUUUAGGUGGGAUUAGAGAAUAUUUACGAAGAAUAUAUCAAAAUUAAUACUCAAUUUAUAAAAUUUCUCGUAUACUCCAAUGAAUGUCAAUGAAGUAAAAUGACUCCUGCCAAACUAGAAAGAACAGUCAAACCCUCUAAGGCAACGUUUGUCCAUUCAUACAAGGGAAACACCCUUUUCAAGUCAUGACAAUUUUAACAUAAUAAAACGAGGGAAUUGAAAAAUAAAUAAAUACUAAAAGCUAGAAAAAAAAAAUCUUCACGGCUCAUCAUCUUUAUGUCUUGACAAUUUUGACAUUUAAAAAUCAACGAAAAAUAUAACACGUAAGCAAAUGCAAAAGUCUUGAUUGAUUCUCUAUUUUCUUUAUGGUUCCCAUGUCAUUUUCAAUCCGAAUUUAAUUGUUCUCUAAAUCUUACAUAUGGAGAGAUGUAUUUAUUUAUUUUUAUUUUUAUUUUUAUUUUUAUUUUUAUUUGGUACGUUUUCAGCAGUGGUGAAACUGAAGCAUUAAAUUAUCCCGAUAAUAUUUACUAAAAACACAUCUACACGAUUGUAUAUAUUAGGCUUAAAUUUUGUAGGACCCUCAAGGAAGUGAAAAAGAUUGCUUGUCCCAUUCCCUGGCCAGAGCCACGCUAUAUAUAUAUAUAUAGAUUCGGUGGUAUUUACUUGGCCUUACUAAUUAUCGAACAUUGCUAUAUGUCUUAUUCUUGAUGGCUUAACGCAUGCUUAACCUAGGGAAGUAUGAUUAAGACAUAAAUCUCUAUUUGUUAUAAUCCCAAAACUGAUUAAGGACAACGCUAUCAUGCUGUCUUAUUUGCCAUGCCUAGAAAGACAUCGAUAUCUUCUUCUUCUACCUUUUUUGUUUUAUUUAUAAAAAGUCUUCGGUAUAAUAAAAUAUCAAGAUUAUGUUUGAAAUUAAGGUACUGUAAUUUUUAAAAUAUAAUUAUUGUGGAAAAAAAGUUGUAACUAUAAAAUAAAAAUUAAUAAUAUGUAGUAAAUAUAAAUUUUAAAUAAUAAUUUUGAUAAAAUUAUUAAUGGUAUAAUAAUUUUUUUAUUAUACAAAUGAAAAAACAUAUCAAUAUAACUUUCAAACUACAGUCGUUAGUGUUUACCAAACACUUUAGUGUUGUAACUUUUAAGUUACAGCUGUCCAACCUUAAUUUCAAACGUAUCCUAAAACGUAUAGUGUAGAUGUCUGUACUAAAAAAUAACUUAUCAUAGCACACUAGUAUGUUACAUUAUCAUGUCUUUUUUGUCUUGUUACACAUUAUAUGAUGAUAAAAAAUGCAUGUAAUUUUUAUAUAAAUAUUUUAAUUUCUUACUUUUUUUGGUAAUCACUACUAUGUAUAGUUUUUAUGAGUACAAUUUUAAAAAAUAAAAAUUAUUUGUUGUUGGGUAUCAAUCACAAUUUUAAACCAAAUCAGUUUGAUUACCUUUAAAGUGAGUUUUUUGAUGUUACGUUAGGUGAUGUUAAUUAAGUAAAUCUAUGUGGAAAAAUGAGUUAUCUAAGACCAUCUAAUAUAUAUUAUUAUUAUUUAAAAAAAAGGGCCUGCACUCAUAAGUUUAAAAUUGUUUAAAUAAUUUUUUCCUUGAUAUUUCAUAAGCUCUUGCAACCAAACAACCAUAAAAAAUAAAUUUCAGAAGCUCUUUUUAAGUAGUCGAGAAUCAGAACUAUUUAUGAAGAAUUAAAUAUCCAGAAAAUAGUAAAGAAUUGAUAUAGAUAUACAUACCAAAUGGACACUAUCUCCACUUUAGUUUGAAAGCUCUAUUUUAUUUUAUUUUUUUGUAGUGAAUUUUUUUGCUAAUUGGACAUGCGUAUCACACGAGCACACUAAUAGAAUGCACUCUCUACUAAAUUUCUUGAUAAAGCCUUUUACCUAACUAUCCCAUUAUAAAAAUCUCUCUAAGGUUAAAAAAGUUUCUUAUUAAUAAAUUUUGUAAUAUUUUUAAAGAAUUGAAAUUGUGGAUUAUAAAAAACCCUAAUGUACAGUAUGAGUAUAAUUAGAUGAUCAUGUAUAAUUGAUUUUUUUUUGAUAAAAUGACGGCGUUGAGGCUCUGUGGAUAUAAUAUUGUUUUUGAAUAAAAGAUUAGUAAAAAUUCAGCCCAAUUUUAUUGCAAAUUCCUUUUAUUAGAUUUUUUUUUUUUUUUUAGAGGAGUGCAAAUUCCUUUUCUUGAAAAGAAUGCUUUAUUGAAAAUUCGUUUUGGGAAAAAUUAGUAAAAGAAAAAGAAUAAAUUUCUUUUAAAAAACAAAAAAAACAAAAUUGAUUUUCUGUAGAUGUCAAGGAAGUAAAAACAAAUACACCAGCUGGAUCUCUGAAUUACCUCAGAAUCAGAAAACAAGUGGGGCACACUAGCACUCACGUGUCCGACAAUUACUUCACACGUGUCUCAGCUCCCCUACACAAAUCUCCCACGCACACAAUCUCCCGUCUCGUUUUUACUUUUCAAUUCUAGCCGUCCAUUUAUGCAAAGUCCAACCGUUCACACGUAAGAUCUGCAAAAUCGCGCUCGGAUUUUUAAACCACAAACCCGAAAUUACCCCUCACCAGUUUCUGUUUUCCCCAACCAUCACCCUCACAACGGACGUAUGAUAUCUUCAAAUACCAGGGGCGAAUGCGUAACGAGAAAGCGACCCGACCUAGACCUUAUAUUUUUAAGGUCCCAAUGCUACGUCGGACUUUGUCCUUUUUCGUCAUUUUCCAUCUAUUUCUUCCAAUUAAAAUCCCUGUUCUUCUCUCUCCUCGGCACUCGCUUUGUUUUUAUUUUCCCCUCUCUCUCUCUAAAUCCCAAAUUUUUUUUAUUAUUUUUCUUUAAAACUAGCCUUAAGUCUCUCUGCUUCAGCUUCCCAAAAGGAAAAUUCUUUUUAUCAGAAUUUUAAUCGAAUCAGUGGAGACACUGUAGUAAUCUCAAAGCAGAGAGCCCGAGAUUUCGUUUUGAAUAUUAUAAUUUUUUUUGGAAUUUCGGAGCCCAUAGCAGAGCAACAUUCCCUGAAAACGGUAAGUUUAAAGAAUGAAGUCCGGAAACUCUUGAUUCGCUUUUCAUUUUGUUUACAUUGUGAAACGAUCUUCUAUCCUUUUGUUUCAGAAUAGUUUAUUAAGAGUUAACGUUUUAGAGUCUUAAAGCGUAAAUGUUUCAAGUUUUUGCUUCCGUUUUCAGAUUUAAUCCUUGCUCUGCUUUGUUUUGAUCGUUGAAGCUUUCAGUAUUGUUUUUGUCUUUCAUGUUUCUUAUAAGGUUUUUGAUUUCGUUUCGUGCGUUUUUGGAACUUGUUUUUAAUUUUUUUCGCGCUGUUAGAAUUAGUUUGCAGGGGCCGCAGGUUCAAAGGUCGCUAUUGAAUUUGCUGUUGCGGUGCUUUUGUCGCUCUGUUUUCUUGAGAUUCACGUUACGAUGAAGUAAACGCAAUUUCAGACUUUGAAAUUGCCUUCCGAAAUUUCCGCAGUUUUAAUUAAAGGUAAUUAUCACUAAUCUCUGUCGCAAUAUUUAUUAAUUAUUUCUAAUUCGUGAAUAAAAAUAUUCAUUAUGCUUUUAGAAAAACUGUUUUUUUUUUUAAAUUAAAACUCUUCUAAAUUUGGGGAUUUCGUGUGAUUAAGACGCAUGCACGCUAAAUGGUAGUUUCGCUUUAAUGUCUGACACGUAAUUUCCUUUUUGGAGUUAGUAAUCAAACCAUUAAUUUGCAAAUCUCUCACUUACCAUUUUAAAAUAAAUGAAAAAAUAAAAUAGCAUGUUAUUAACAAAUUAUAUCUCACUUACCAUUUUAAAAUAUAUAAAAAAAUAAAAUAGCAUGUGAUUAGCAAAUUGUAAGGUACAAUUUUUUUUUUUAUCAUAAAACACGUGAUAAUUAGAUAAGAAAAUACUUUUAGGGGAUUCUAUUUGUGAACGUAGUGUAGGGGCUCUAUUUGUUUAACGUUGCGUUGGGUUCACAAAUCCUUUUUUCAGAAAAAUUUAUUGAACUUUCAAUGAGGGGAAAAAAAAAAAAAGAACACUGUCAACUAAUUAGCAGAUUUUUAUUCAUCUUAUCACCAAUGGAGAGAAAUGGGGAUUAAAUGCCUUUGUAUUUGAUGGGCCCCAUGUCUCCUUCGUGAUGAUAACUUCUGUUAUUGAUGUUGACAUGACUAUGAUAGGCUGUUCACGUAGGGGAUCUUUAUAUUUGCUGUAAAGCACAAAGCUAAAAAUUAGUAACUUUGGCAGCUACUGAUAUUUUUACUGGCUAUAUUUUAACGGCAAAUAUAAGCUAACAAGAACCAAAUGCCAAAUAUAAGACUAAUUCUUGUGCAAUGAAGUCAUUGGAAUCAAACGGGCUCGCUUCCCAAUCAACAGGGCGGAAAAGUUUUUAAUUAUUUUUAUGAAAUAAGGUAAAAAUUGAAAAGUUUUCAAGACCCCCCCCCCAAAAAAAAUCUUAUUUUUCAAGACAACCCUUAAUUUUCUUAAGAUACGAACUUGUAUAUGGGUAGCCUUCAAAUUAAAAUCUUUGUUCCCCAUUGCUAACUUGGGUAGCCAGCUACAAGUUUUUGGUAGAGAAAUGCUAUUUCACUAGGAAAAAUGGAAAGGAAGACAGAGACGGUAGCAUAGUACUGUUCUUUCUAUUUUUUCAUGAUUUUUAUAAAAAAAAUGACAAAUAAUAAAAUAACAAAUAUAAAAUAAAAAAGAACAAAAGAAAAGAUAAAAUCUCACUUUAUACAUUUUCAAUCAUAUUCCCACGGUCUAAAAAAAAAAAAACUUCUUCCCUCACCUAGCACAAUAGCUGUCCGUCAGCGACGACAACGGCCACCGCCACCACACCGGCCUUGAUAGAGUUUAGAGAGCCGGCACCACCGUGUCGACACUGUUGGUGGGCGAUGGGUUGUUCGGCUGGCUGUACUUUAAGAGAAAGUGAAUUUUUUAAUAUUGCAAUUGAAAAAGAAUAAGGUGAUUGUUUUUUAUUUUAAUUUAUAUUAUUAUUUUAUUCUUUUUUUAAUAUAAAAUCAUUAAAGAAGAAAAAAUUAAAGAAAAACGGUAGUAUUAUGUUACCGUUUCUGUUUUACUUUUUUUUUUUUAUAAUUGAUAUUUAUAAGUCAGGAUAUUGGUGGGGUUAACUUACAUUAAUAUUUAUUGGGUUCUGAUUAAAUUUUUAAUUCUCACUAAUAUUUAAGAGAUGUAUGCUCCACUUGUAUUUGGGUUUGUUUAGAUUUUUUAUAGGAUUAUUUAUUCACGCUUAAAUAAAAAAAAUUAUUUUUACUCGAUUAUAUAUUUUAAUUAAAAAAGAAAAUACUUCUCCAUUGUAUUUGUGGGGGUUCGAGCAGCAAGCAGCAGUUCUAACUAACUUUCUCGGGCAGCAGUCCUAACCAACUCUCUCUUUAGUUACUGGUUAAGUAACAUUUCUGUUAAUAUUAUUGUGUUACUUAUAACCAUUUGUUGACAAAGUUCACGAGCGAUGAUACGAGAUAGAAAUUAAAUUUUUUAGUUUGAAUAUAGGAAAAAGAUGAUUGUGAUUGCACUCUAAUAAAUUUAAACUGGUCCGAAUCCCAAAACAGCAUUAGAGUGCUUCUGAAAAUCCAAUGGAUAUAAAUGUGGAGUACUGGCUCACUUUUGAAAGCUUUUACUGUGAAAGAGCAGUUUUUGUAUAUCCCGAGUGGUACUCAAUUGGGGCCACGUGAUUUUACCUGAAGUAUUGAAUAUUGCAGUCAAUGAUCAAAUCUGAUUUCACUCAAGUCUCUGUCCCAGGCUCUGCAAUCUACAGAUUCUAUUUUCAGAACAUGAGACCAUUAUAAUAUCUAUAGGGAUACUGUUUCUCCCUGUUGAUGGCAACUCUUUUGAUUAUUUUCUGGGAGAGUUUUUGACUUUUACAAUCGUGCUUCACUGUUGUUAAUGGAUCAAAUCAUUGAAUUCUUUUACUCUUGGCGAGCACUUGUCUUUUUGUUUUGAACUUUUAACCGUCAUUUUAUUAAAGAGAUUUCUUUUAUAUAGAGGGAGGGAAGAUUAGGCUAAAUCAUAGAUGUUGUAACUUAGAACUCAUUCUAGCACGAAUAACGGGGUGGAGCUACUUUUUCAUUUUAGUUAAGCUGUAAGUUAUAUAAGUGACUUAUCCAUAAAUAUAAAUUUGUGUAUGCCUGAUGAGUAGGUUUAUUUAAUUAAUUAAGUUAUGUGAAUUAGUGAGUCUCCUGACGGUUGGCCACACUUUUUUUUUUUUUUUGGUUUUUCAAUUUCUACCAAAUACUCCUUUGGACGAGAGAAGAAGGCUAUUUUAGUGGGUCAUUGAUGUUUAUCUUAUGGGAUUCAUAUAACAUGAUUGGUUGAGAGCAUGCCACCUCAACCGCCUUUAGUCAUGUUUGUAUUGAGAUGUCUUUUAAGCUGUAGUUGUUGAGAAAAAAAAAUAAUAAUUAUGAAAUAAAAGUUAAUAAUAUGUUGUAAAUAUAAAUUUAAAUAAUAAUUUUGAUAAAAUUAUUAAAUAUAUAAUAAAUUUUGUAUUAUAUAAAUAAAAAAUUAUAUUAAUAUAAUUUUUAAAUUACAGUAAUUAGUGUUUAUUAAAUAAUUUAGUAUUAAAGUUUUUAAUCCAACUUUAAUUUUAAACACACCCUUACACAAGUUCUUUGCAUCAUUAGUAAUAUGCUAUGCUUAUCUCUAUUUUGCGUUAGAAAACGCUUUUUUGUAACAAUUUUGUUUUUGUUGUUACUAUGACUAACUCAUAUCUUAAAUACAUGUGUUCUUUCAAAAUUUGUUUCCAACGAUGAUUUUGUUAUUAAAAACAAAAAGAAAAAAGAAUUUUGAGCAUUGUAAGUAACACUAAAUAAAAAUAGGUGGAUACUUAAUUUAAAACAUGAAGGAUCAUAAGGGAAAAAAAAUUCCAUUUUAAAUUAAUUUUGAGAAUAUUGAAGUAGCCGGCUUUGCAAUAAAUAAUUUUAUGUCUGUCUCUAAUAUUAGUUAAAGCUCCAUGUAAUUAAAUACAGGUGGUUGGUAAUAGAUUAAAUGCAUAAAAAUAUUAGAUUGGUUGAUAGGGACAUUUUCUUUUUACUUUGACCCAAAAAAAAGAAAAAAUGGGAAGAAUAGUUUAAGCUUUGAAUAAAUAAGCAUCUCGAGUUGUUUAAAAUUCUUCUCAAUUUUCUCUUUCUGCCCACUUGAUUCUUCUUUCCAUAAUUUGGAAGUUGUUUAAAAUUCCUCUCAAUUUUCUCUUUCUGCCCACUUGAAGGAAUAUCUGACCACUCAACUUGUUUUUCUCGACGCCCAGAAGCACUUCGAAAUUCCAACUUUAACGCGUCUGUUUUAGCGUGUUCAGCUAUAGUUGCUUUCUGCUUCUGCUUCUGCUUCUGUUCAUCUUUUUCUUUUUGCCUCCGUUAAAAGUUGAGUCCUCCUUUUACCCCUUCAAAAACACAGAAAAGAUAUUCCAAUGGGUUCUUUAGUGGCUCUCACCUCGGUCUAAGUGUUUAAAGCAUAUUGCUUUUUCUUCGUUCUUUCAACACGUUCAUCAUCGUCAUCAUCACCCUCAUAUCUUUAUUUGCUCUCUUUUUGUGGUUUUUUUUUUUUUUAAAUUUGGGAUCGCUUAAAAAAAAAUCAUUUGCCCUUUACUCCCACCAUCAUCAGCUUCAUCUCAUCAUUUUGUAGUUCUUUCUGCAGAUGGAAUCUGUGAAACCCUCGGCUGUGACUCCGGCGAAGAGUAGACUAGCACGUACGUUUGCGAAAGUGCUUCACAUACGAGCAGUCACCGGCGUGGCUCCGGUUGACGGAGUUGAUAAAGUUAAGGAUAAUACAGUAAAGCCUAAAGAUAAGUUCAAGGAUGAUCAUCAGGCUGCUGGCGUUGCAAUUAAGCCGCCUAAAGUCAGUUGGUCUCAGCUAUUCGGCAAAGAAGAUACAGAGCUUGAAUACAGAAUAUCCCUGGAGGCCUUUCUUGCUAAAUUAUUUGCUAGCAUUUCAACCGUUAAAUCAUCUUAUGUUCAGUUACAGCAUGCACAGUCUCCUUAUGAUGCCGAUGGGAUUCAAUCUGCUGAUCAAUUGGUGGUUUCCGAGCUUAAGCUUUUGUCCGAAUUGAAGCAGUGUUACUUGAAAAAACAGUUUGAUUUUUCGCCGGAGAAAACAAUGGUCUCAGCUGAAAUUCAGGAGCUGAAGUCUCUUUUGAAGACAUAUGAAAUCAUGGGGAAGAAGUUGGAAUCUCAGUUGAAGCUCAAGGAUUCGGAAAUCAUAUUUUUGAAAGAGAAGUUGGAGGAAUCGAAUAAACAGAACAAGGCAUUAGAGAAGAGAAUGAAUCAGAGCGGGCAAUUGGUUAUGCCGGACAAUGUUCAUCUAUCAGGGCUAAGUCCCAGCCACUUCAAUACAGUUCUUCGGCACACUGUUAAAUCCAUCAGGAGCUUUGUCAGGCUGAUGAUCGAUGAGCUGAAAUCUGCUGGUUGGGAUAUUGAUGCCGCGGCCAAUUCAAUCCAACCCAAUGUGGUGUAUUACAGAGCUGAUCACAAAUGUUUCGCAUUUGAGUCCUUUGUUUGCAGGGAAAUGUUCGACGCAUUUCACUACCCCAAUUACUCUCCGGCAAAACAACAUCAACAGCAGCAGCAACAGCAAAGACAGCAGCUCUUUUUUCAGAGAUUCAAUGAGCUAAAACCUGUGAAAGCGAAGGAAUUCCUUUCCAGGAAGCCUAAAUCAUCAUUCGCAAAAUUCUGCCGCGCCAAGUAUUGCCAAGUGAUUCACCCCAAGAUGGAGUCAGCAUUCUUUGGCGAUUUGAGUCAAAGAAAUGUAAUAAAUUCCGGUGAAUUUCCAGACUCUGCAUUCUUUUCCUCGUUUGCAGAUAUGGCAAAGCGAGUUUGGCUUCUGCAUUGCCUGGCAUUUUCAUUCGAUCCCGAGGCUUCAAUCUUUCAAGUGAACAAAGGGUCUCGGUUUUCAGAAGUGUACAUGGAAAGCGUAGCCGAAGAAGCAUUCCUUAGUUCGUCUGAAAAUCCUCAGGAAUCAUCUUCAUUAUCACCAUCACUAUCAUCAUCAUCAGAUUCAGCAGAACCUCGAGUGGCAUUCACCAUUGUUCCAGGUUUCAGGAUUGGUAAAACUGUUCUGCAGUGCCUGGUCUAUCUCUCCCCACCUCGAAAUGAAUCAUAGCCGUUGGUCAUGGGGGCCCCACAGCACGAAUCAUACAUUGAUUGAUCUUGGGAGGGCCUCUGUGGCACUGUCCGUUAAAUGAUGUUAGAUUAAAUUAAGAUCAGACAAAUUGGGUUUGUGUUGUUGUGGGGAUUAUGAAAAAACAUAAAGAAAUGCUACCUGGGAUUUUUUUGUCUCUUUGUUUAUGUGAAAGCGCGUAGUAGCAGCGGUGGUAGUAGUAGAAGCAGACCGUUGAAUAAUUAUUUAUUACCUUUUAUAUAAAUUUGUAAUGGACACAGCCUCUGCCUCCCCCUCCCAAUUUUGUUAAUAUUAGGCUAAUGACAGAGGGAUGUUAGCUGUUUUGCACUAUUACUUUUAUUUGUUUUUUUUAAUGUUUUUAUUUAUUUUAAUGUACAUAAUUAAUAUGUAUUAUUUUUACCUAUUAGAUGUAGGUGGGAUGUUUGAUGUUUCACGUUGUAUUUUAUAAUUUUGUAUACAUUAUAUGACUUUGGAUACUUUGUGCCUUUUUUUAAAAAAAAAAAAAAAAUUGGGUAGAUCUCUCUUGUCUUGUUUGAAAAAAGAUCUGGAAUAUUCUUUGCUAGAAAGAGCAUCGCAGUGAUGGGAUUUUGACUCCAAUUCUGUGAUAUGAUUCCUGAUAUAGAUAGAAUCUGCUUUAACUGCACACACGAACACACGCAAACAUAAUGUAUGUGUAUGUGUAUGUAUACGUAGAUAUAUUUCAAUUUCAAUUCUAAUAUAAUAUAGGAUUUGAUUGCUAAUUUGCUGUGUGACAAUGUGUAAUCAAUGACAUUCAUAGAAAAAUAAAUUUUUUGUCACGCCAAAUCAUUGUACGGUCAUAGUGAUUUUUUUUUUCGAGGAAUAGUUUAAGGGUUUUCUUAAAUUAUAUUUAUUGUAAUUUAUUAUCAGAUUUUUCAGUAUAAAAAUAAAUAACAGAAUACAACCAGUACGUGAAUUUUUAUUUGGCUGUAAAAUUUUUUAUUAUUUUAUUUUUCAUUUAAUUAAUUAAAAUAUGUUAUAUUGGUUUGUACUACAAUUUGUGACUGUAAUAUUAAUCCAAUUUUUUUUAAUUAACACAAAUUUUGAUGCAAUUUGAUCUGAAUUCUUGUUUGUAAAUAAAAAAAUUGUGUCAAAUAUACAUAUAUAUUUUUUCGUAAAUUAAAUGACUGCAAUAAGAAUAGGAUCAUGGGUGGAAUUUAUCCUAUAAACCGGCUUUAUAAGGAAGAAGGAAAAAAAAAAAAGAGAGCGUAUGAGUUCAUAAAUUCAAUUAAUUUUUAUGUUUCUACUACCCAUAUACAUAUGAUUUAGAUACUAAUAAUCGCUUGAGAUAAUUUAUUAAUUUAAAUAUUAUUGCUUGAAAUAACUACGAAUUUCUUCUCUCUUAGAUGAUUGAUGCAUUGUUUAGUUCCGAUGUUAAAUAAUUGAAUAUUCUCGAACAUGCAUUGUUCUUGCUGCUUUGCGUUAAGUGUAUUUUAUUGGAGACAGAGACGCUUGAGAUAUGAAACAUCAAAACGUGCAUCGAAGUGCAAAAUGUUUCAUCGAGUCCGCAACCCUCUGAAUUGCAAUAUUGCCCAUAAAUGAAAUUAUAAUAAAAAUUACGGAUUUAGUCUAGUGUGUGCAGUUGCAUAUUUUAUGGUGUGUGACCAACGUGGCUGAUUCUCAUUGACAGCUGUGAGCUCCAUAACAAAACUUUUCCAAUAAAAACUCGUCAGGGGAUCAGUCCUACGUCAUUUAUUGUGCGACUUCACGUACUAAACCGAAUUUCUUAAAAAGCUAUUUGUAUUUGGGCCCACCAAAUGUACAAACCUACUUUAUUAAAUUUGGUCGGUCUCGCAGAGGCAUGUGAUGCCAAAAUAAAACGACACUUAUCACUCUGGGCGCGUAGGUGAAUUUAUGAAAGGAGGGGAUUUGUUUCUUGUGCUUGCAAAGCAUCACCCGACCGACUGCGGCCCUCUUUCACCAUAAAAAAUCUAGCGAUGAAUAGUAAUAGCACUAAUUUUCCAAUUUAUUUUCCGAAAGUAAAUUAAAAGUUAUAAAAGUAUAGGAUGAUGUAGGAAACAUGAGUCAUCCACAAUUAUUCGAUUCAUAAGAAUAUAAGGUAAUAAAAUUAUUUUAUUUUCAUAACUGUUAGAUUUUUAUUAAAUAAUUGUAGAAAAGUCAUGUUUCUUAUAUCAUCAUGUAAGAUAAUUAGAGCUAAAAGUAUAUUGAUGUUAUUAUUACUUUUGUUAUCGCAAUGUUUGUCGUUUAAGAAUAAGAACCUUUUUGUUAUUUUAUGUGGUAUCAUUCACAAAAUAUUAUAUUGCAAAUGUGCCAAAGAAAACAGGCAAUAAUAUUUACUUUAAUAUUUCAUUCCCAAGUAAUACUUAUGAAAAAUAAAAAUAAGUCUAUUGGAGUCCUUGCAUACAAUAAAAUGAUGUUCUUCAAUUCCUAAAUCAAUCUCUCCCCCUCCCAACACCCAACCUCCCACAAACCCAAAAAAAAAAAAAUCAAAAAUCAAAAACUAGCACUAGAAGACUUUAUAUUACUUCCAACAUGGAAGUAUGUUUUAUUAAUAAAUUAUAACAAAAUAUGAAAAACAUCGUCAAACUGUUCAAUGUCAAAUGGUAUUGGUACUUCAAUAUGCUCAUACAUCAAAAUUAAGGGGAAAAAAAAAAGGAAAAUUUGAAGUUGAAAUUAGGAAGCAAUGAAUCUUAAGAUAACACAUCUUUUUCAAAGCAUUAACAAUCGUGGUCCAAAUUAUUCUUCAGAAUCAGCCACGUUUAUUUAGGUAGCAUUCACAAUUGGAAAAAUGGCUUUUCGUUCUUUCUUUUUCUUCCGCUGAUUUGGAGGAAUUAAUUUCGUUAAAGUGGUGCUGUUUUGUGCAGUUUAUAGCCAAGUGUUAGAUUUAAAUCAAAUAUCAUGGAGAUGGGAAUUUCGUUAUAUUUCAACAUCAAAUGUGACUGCCUUCCUCAGAGUUCACAAUUGUUUUCUCCUUAGAGGCUGGGCGGCUUCAAUUUAUUUGAUUUUUUUUUUUUUAAUUCCGAAAGGAGACAAAUUAUGUGGGUCUUUUUGGGAAAUCAUACCUUUGGGCGCAAAUACGUGUUAGCCCUUUUUACAUUUAGUUUUGGGCCCAAUAUUUGAUAGGGAAAUUUACACUAAUAACCAUAAAAGUUUUGACUUUUUCCAUCUUAACCCCCCAAACAAACUUCUAUCAACAUUAGCCAUAAAAAAUCAUUUCAGACCAAAAUACCCCUCUCUCUCAUCUCUUGAAUAUGUCGAGUGCUUUCUCUUCAAAACUUCAGUUCUUCCAUGACUCAUCGAACAAGCCUUUCUUUUUCCCAAUCUUUUCCCGAAACUUCUGGGGUUGCAAAUCCUGGCAGACCACUACCCAGAUCGCAACAUCAAAAUUAUUUGGACUAUCAAGGAACUUGUUGUUGAUUUGAGUAAAUAUUUUCCAACUCCCCCAUUGACAUAUAGGCCAAUAAUUCCAACUGAUUCUUCUUCAAGGCAUCUCCAGGCUUUCUCAAAAGUCGACACCAUGCCCACUAUUGUUGGCCCACAAUUUAUCUCCUCUGCUGCAUCUUCUGGCACCCUCUCAGACCAUGCACAUGCUCUGGUAAGCCACAGAAGCAACAAAAAUGAAGUCACAAAUGCAUGCAGGUGUGUCAUUUAAUUCGUCAGAGGGUGUCAAAUCCUGGCAUUGCAAACUGGGAAGCAAAUGCCUCAACCCGAUUUCGGAGGUCAACAAUCUCUUUAUUGUUCUGGAGACCUUCGUGGAACCCUUUCUGCAGUUUGCUAAGUUUUACAUCCCUGAUUUUGGAAGGAGUGGGGAAGAACAUGGGCAUAAGAAUGCCUCAGAUGUAAUGCUUUGCAGUGAUGGACGACAUUGCCCCAAAUAUCUGAAUCUACGAGCACCAUAUUCAACUUCCCAGUCUUCCAAGAUGUCAUCUCCAUUUCUAAUUCUGCGAAGGACAAGAAUCGCAGCAAUGAUAACAAAGAUUACCAGAAUAACGCUUGCAAGAGUGAUACCAACUGCAAAUCCCUUCUUUAUGCACGACUUGUUUAGAUUUUGGCCGUGCAUGAAAUGGGAGCAUAGUUACAUCCAGUUCUCGUGCAGUCCCACCGAUCUUAAAGCUCCAGCCAUGCACAUUAUUUGUGGUGGAUAAGCCUUAAAAGGCUUGGUGCGACAGGCGCCUGUCGCACCAGCCUUGGUGCGACAGGUUGCCUGUCGCACCAGCCUUGGUGCGACAGGUUGCCUGUCGCUCCAAGUUUUGGUGCGACAUGCAACCUGUCGCACCAAGCCUUGGUGCGACAGGCGCCUGUCGCUCCAAGCUUCGGUGCGACAGGCAACCUGUCGCACCAAGCUUCGUGCGACAGGCAACCUGUCGCACCAAGCUUCGUGCGACAGGCAGUCUGUCACUAGAUUCACCCACGACUCGCAGUUCCGAAACUCUCGAUCAAGUUCAGAAAAUAACUCAUACUACUAUGCGAUACCGAUUAGUGUUAGAUCCGGAUAAAUUAUGAUCGGAUUUUACUUUUAUCGUUGCCUUUUGCCGUCGCCGUUGGUUGAUGAUUCAAGAAUGGAAAGCUGCCUUUGGUUUGACGAAAGAGGAAAAUGAAAGUUGCUUUUGGCUUGUAAAGAAGGGUAAUUUGGGGAGAAAAACGUGUGUUUGGCUAAUGUUGAUAGAAAAAAGUUGAGAGGAUUAAUUAUAAAAAUAACAAAAGUUUUAUGGUUAUAUUCGUAAAUUUCCCUAUUUGAUAGCUACAAACAACUGUAAUAUAUUAACAGUUAACUGAUAUGAAUUAAAAAAAAAAAUUGAUAUGUUUUGCCAUCAAUUAUGCUAAUUACGAAAUUGACCAUCGAAAACACUUGGAUGAAAAUUUUGGAAAAUUAUUUGGGAAGUGUGUUUUGUAAGAAGAGCAUUUUAAAAGGACCCACAUAGGAGCAUGAAGCUCAAAUAUUUUGGUGGUACAAGAAGCAAUUAAUUAGCUGAUAUUUAAGUUAUCUGGUUUGAUCAUCUAGGUCCUGAUAGAAUUGAUGUCAUGAUUGAGAUUAUAAAUCCACUUGGAUUUAAAAAAACUGGCCUUUUUGGGGUGUUUCAACUUGGACAAAAUUCAAGAGGCUCAAACUGUAACGCGUUCCAAGUUCAUCAAACCCUCCAUGAUUUGGGCCAACAUUGACCCACAAAGCCUCGUACUCAAAUUUUUCCUGCAAGCCUGAGUUAAGACAUUUGCUCCAACAAAUGAAUUCUAAAAUCACAAACUCGAAAACUCUAAAUAUGCAUGUCAACAUUCAAUUCCCUUGGCUUUUGGAAUAAUGCUUUUCUUUCUUUCUUACAAACUAAAACUCUGUUUGAUCUUUUAGCACAUUAACCAAGUAAUUAAUUAGGAAAAACUUGCUCAAAAUACACUUUGGAUAAUAGUACAAAAGUUUCUUUUAUUCCAAUAAUUACCACUCACCGUAUUAUUAAAAAGCUGAGCUAUCCUAACUGUAUUAAUGGGCUUUUGUUGUUUUCAAGUAACAAUCCAACAAUUCAAUGCAAGAAUUCUCAGAAUGAUCGAAUGUAUUAUGUCAACUAUAUAAUAAGUAGAUGAUACUAUGACAUAUGUGUAUUUAUUUUGAAAAACCACCAUACAAGUAGUGGUUAUAUUAAAUUCAAUUAUACAUAUAAUUUAUAUAUUAAUUGAUUGCAUUAUCUAUGAUGUAUUCUAGAAUUCCUACUAGAGAAAAGUCAUGAAACUUAAAAAUUGGGAGAAAAGAAAAAAAAAAAAGGCUAUAAAUACUGAAGCUGAAGCUGUCUCGAUGUGAAUACUUAAAUACAAGCUUGUGCUUUUUCUGCUUAGGAUUAUUUAGAUUUGCCAACUCCGGUUCCUAGAUCAUAAAGAUGCUCUGUUGCUCUAAAACAGCGCACAAAAGGGAGCAAAAAAAACUCCCCUGUCAACAAUAAAAAGGAUUUAAAAAGGAAAAAAAAAAAACUUUGGCUUGCAAUUGCAUAGUGGAUUCCGGAACUAUAACAUCUCUUUGGGAUCAGAAUGUGCCAACCUUGUGUCAUUUUCAGCGGAUAAUUUUCUCUGUCUCCUAUCCAUUGAGGUUGAUCUAAAAUACGCGCCAGACUCAUUAAACAGAACCAAUGAAAUCUAACUUUGUCUUUGAUAAAUGUCAAGAAAGAUCGAUAUGAUCAUGGUAAAUAACCAAAUGUAGAGCAAAAGUUUUAGUUUAAUGCAUCAUUGUAUAUGUUGUAUAUAUGCCGAACAUCUACACUUCCUAAGUGAUGAUAUUUCUACGAGAUCUCAUCUUGCUUAAUAUUAACCCUUUUUAGAUAUCAACGAAGUAGAUGUAACAAAGGCAAUACAACAAACAAAGAGAAUCAACGGCCGGUUGAGAGGCUUAAUCAUUUUUUUAAAGAUAACUCUUUUCAUAGUAGCCGCCUGAUAAAGUAUCUUAUCCCACUAGACAAGAAUCCAAUCAAGUAAAUAGGCUUGUCAAAUCUGUAAAUAACUUGUAAAUGUGUUACCAUUCUGUGUUGCUUAUGCUCAAACCGUGCUUGCAAAGUGAAACAAGAAAUUAAAGGCAUGGCUGUAGCACUAGAACUCAUGAUCAUGAUCUUCAUCAUGAACCUUUGUGCUACAAAUGCCACCCAAUCAACAGCACACAACAACACUUCUUGGCAAAACAACCAAGGUUCUGCACAAGAGAGCUACAAUUUUGUCGACGGAUCCCAUGUCAGAACCUUACUUGUACGUAAAGGUACCUCAAAGAGCUACCCAAAGUUUGGUUUCGGGUUUUUGAGAAAUGGUACAACUGAUGAGAUCUUCUAUCUCAUGACGGUCAGAUUCAUGGGAACGAUCACAUCCUCCUCUAAUCAUCAGAACCACCCGCCGGUUAUUCUCUGGUUCGCCAAUGGACAAUCCCCCGUCAAAGAGAAUGCCACACUUGAGUUUACUGCAGAUGGUGAUUUGAUCUUGAAAGAUGUAGAUGGUACCCGCGUUUGGUCUACAGAAACCUCAGGCAGCAAUGUUACACGCAUUACUUUAGAUGGAAAUGGAAACUUGAGACUUUAUGAUGCUGAAAAUCGACCGCAUUGGAUCUCAUUUCUUCAUCCAACUAACACAUGGCUGCCAGGACAGCGCUUGCAUGUUCACAAAAUGAUGGCUUCUACAAAUUCUCGACUACCAGUCUUUCCCAAGGCAAGUUCAUCCUAAGUCUAUCUCCCAAAGGCAUUGAAGUUUUUCUGAAUAUGAGUACUGUAAAAAGAUUUCAAACCAUUCCAUACCGAAAUUAUUUUCUGAAUAUGAGUUCCGCUGUACUCAAUAAAUCUGCCAUUCUUGUAUUCAAUAAAUCCGGCAGUCAUAUCACCUAUGAGGUCGCACCAAGGUCAAAAUUUCACUACAUGAGGCUGGAACCAAAUGGGCACCUUAAUAUUUAUCAGCUUGAUAAUGGGUACUCAGACAAUGCUGAUCUCUCAAGAGAUGAACAUUAUGGGGACUGUAUUUACCCCACUAAAUGUGGCAAUUAUGGGGUCUGCUCUAAUGGUGAAUGCACUUGUCCUGGAAGUUCAAGUUAUUUCAAGCAGUCAAAUGAUAGUGGGAACGGCUUUUCCUGUGCCGAAGUUACUCAUUUGUCUUGCCAACUCAAGCAUCUUCAAAGAUUUUUAAAGCUUGAAAAUGUUACUUACUUUGACUUUGUCCCUCAUCUCAUCAAUAUAGAUGCAGAGGGCUGCCAAAGGGCCUGCCUGGGCAAUUGUUCUUGCAAAGCUGCCUUGUUUCGGUACCAAGGAAGUCUCUCAACUGGUAAUUGUUCUUUACCAACUGAAAUUUAUACUCUGAGGAAUAGUACCAAAGUGAUUUCUGGUUAUAAUGACAUAACAUUCAUCAAGGUACAAUUGCCAUCGGAUCAAAAUAAACUUUCUCUGCUUUUCAUGUUGCUAUUGUCUGUUUCUGCCUUUUUACUCUUGGUUAUUGGAGCAAGUAUUUAUUUGUACAAGAGAUGGCGGGAAGGCAAAAGGAGAGACAAGUCCACUGAUGAAUCUUCAGUUCAUGUAGCCAACCAUUUGGUGAAAUUUUCAUCCAAAGCUAUGAAAUCUGCUACAAGGGACUUUCAGAUUAGGCUUGGUCGAGGAGGAUCCGGAUCUGUUUUUGAAGGGUUGCUUAAUGAUGGCACUAAAGUUGCAGUGAAACGCUUACAUCCUGGUGAGAACCGAGGCAAGAAAGAAUUUUUGUCUGAGGUUGAGACAAUAGGCAAUAUUCACCAUUUCAAUCUGGUAAGACUAGUUGGCUAUUGUGCUGAAAGAUCAAACAGAUUUCUAGUUUAUGAGUACAUGUGCAAUGGGUCACUUGAUAAAUGGAUUUAUCACAAAGACCGAAUUCAAACUCUUUCUUGGGACAUAAGAAAGA
Molecule: long non-coding RNA, 201838 nt
Filed under: Citrus maxima (pomelo)
Lineage: Eukaryota; Viridiplantae; Streptophyta; Magnoliopsida; Sapindales; Rutaceae
Description: long non-coding RNA (CMAX_LNC003029)
Rfam family: Small nucleolar RNA U30 (bases 156939-157024)
Source: RNAcentral